GAGGGAUUCUGUUGCGGAGGAGUUUAAGGGUGUAGGAGGCAACUUGUUCAGGAGUAGCUCUGUCUUUAGACUCGGCUCCGGGAGUCACCAUGCUCGGCUUCAGAAGAAUACCUUUGUACAAGAUGUUGAUAUUUUAACACAACUUGAUAAUAUAAGAUAAGCAGCUCCAUAUACUUAGCUAGUAAUACCUUCAAACAUGACAUUGUUCUGAGCAAGGUAAAAGAAAACCUCAGCCCAGACCUUCUCUGCUACUUCGUAAGUCCUGUCGAUGUCGUGUUCUCCGUCCAACAAUAUCUCUGGCUCCACUAUUGGAACCAAUCCACUGUCCUGAAAAGAUAAAACACAAAACACAAUCUGCGUGUGAAAUAAUAGCUUUAAAAGAAUCCGAGUUGACCUGUUGCUUGAAAGAGAAGCAAUGUGUGUUUACUUGUGAAAUGGCAGCGUAUCGGGCAAGGCCCCAAGCAGCUUCUUUAACAGCUAGAGCAGACGGACCAUUGGGAAUGCUCACGACAGUACGCCUAAUUAAACCAUCAAGAGUACAAAAGUCAAAGAAAAAACUCAGCCGAGAGGAAACAUUUUGGAUAGGAACAGAGGGUACUAUACCAUUUGGCGAAACGAGCACCCUGUUGAUAGUAAGCAGCAGUUCGGGAGGAUAGACCAUCGAGCCCUUGGCACCAUGACUCAUUGUUAGAGCCAACAAGUGGGACCAAACCCUACUUCCAUAAAUAGAUACAACUCGCUUAGAUUCCUCUAAUUAAUCAAGCACCACGUUAGGUACAUAUAUAAAAAAUAAGCAUGCACUUUAAUUAGUCAUACCUUGUCGACUUUGAUACCGGGGACGAUGUUCUGCUCGACAAGGACGUCGACCAUUUUCUUGCCUUCGGUGGUCGACUGAUACAGAGUCUCCUCGAACAGGAUUGCACCGGAGAUGUACUGUCCGAGUCCUGGUGCAGAGACCAGCAAUGUCCUGUAUGCUUGUCGGUUUGCCUCAGUGUUCUCUAGCCCUAUCGAGUCCAAACGCUUCCCGCAAGUCGCGUUCGACUCGUCCAUCGCCAAGAUUCCUCGUCCAGGAGACGCAAUUGUUUUCUGCUCCCAACACCAUAAAACAUCAUUAUUAUCGUAAUUCGAGUUAUUUUAUACUAACUUUUAUCUAUGAAUAUGAGCUCUUAUAUUAACAAACAUGAACUAAAAUCAACCCAAAGUCCCAACUAGUGAAAAAAUGGUUGUGAAAAGAAAGAAAAGUUAAGACUACAAAUUAUUAAAAAAAGAACUGAAAACAGAACAUAAUUAAUUUUGUUAGGCAUUCCAAUUCAAAAGAUCAAAAGAAUAAAAGAAGUAAAAAACCUUUAUGUAUCAUGCAGAUAAGACACGUGACAAAGAAGAGGAUAUGUGUGGGUGGGAGUACUAACCGCUGUCUUAACAAGCUCAUCGGCGUAGGAAGAAGCGGCACGGACGGUAAGGGAGGUGGCACGGUUACGUAUGACGACUGCGGCGGAAGAUGGCUGACGGAAGAGAACGCUUUGUCCCUUGACCCACUCCGAUUUGUCCAACACAGGAGAUGCCUUGAGGAGUGAGGUUGAUGCCAUCUUUUGUUAAAUGUUAUCUCUUUCUCUUCUCUCUGCCUUAAUUUGGUUUGUUCGAGAGACACACAGUGGCUUAUGAAUGAUGACACACACACACACACCACCACCACCUUAUCUCUGAGGAGGAGGAGCAACCUCACUCUCUCUCUUUUGGAUUUAUAUUUCUAAUCAGAUCAGUUAUUUGAGGUCCUUGUGACUUUGCCAAUCACACUCCGCCACUUGGAACGUAAUCUUGUAUCACUCACAAUUCAAGAAAAAUACCACAUGGAAUGGAAUCGUCUAUGCAUGCCAUGCCCAUCAUUUACAUGUUUGCUUCUUAUUUUUUUGCUUAUACGGGAAUUACAAGUACCCAAAAAGGUAAACAUUCGUUCAUGAUAUGAUUUCUUAUGAAAUAGAAUAUAUUUUUAUGCUGUUAGCAUGCAACAAAAAAAACCUCUAAAAUUAAUAUGUAACUCCGUGUGGAUAUAAUAUUAUGUACUUACUGUAUUUAUUUUCUUGAAUUGUAUGUUUGUGCAGCUACAUGUUAUCAUGAUGUUGGGCUCAAAGAACAAACGCAUCAUAUUCAAUUACAAAUAGUGGCAACAGCUUAUUAGAAAAACGGUGUUUUGAUAAGAGAAGAAAAAUUCAUGAGGUUAGAGACUUAUUAGAGUAUCAUUUUAAAUAUCUUAGAGCAUCCGCAUCAAUGAACCCCCUCUUGGGGUUCAUAGGAUUUUUUUAAUAUUUUUUGGUGGGACCAUGAAUAGUGAUGAACUUCUAUCGUUUGUGUGUCUGCAUUAGUGAACCUGAAGAAGGGGUUCAUAGGAAUAAAAUAAUAUUUUUUUUAAAAAAAAAAUAUUUGAAAACUUUUUAUUCAAUACAUUAAAAAUAUUCAAAUACAUUAAGAAUAUUAAUGAACAUAGAAAGAUUAUUCAUCUACAUUACCAAACUUUUUCCAUACAUUUUCAACUAAAUCCGCUUUCAAAAGAUGAUGUUUCUCUGAAUCCCGAACUUCAUUGCGAACGCCUAACAUAUUACCGAUAUUAAAACUUGUUCUCGUUUUCACCUUGGAACUUCUGCUUGACUCUCCUGACUCGAACUCAGAUGUAUCAAUUUGGGUAUAUCCGUCUCGUUCGUUCUCUACUAUCAUAUUGUGCAAUAUGACACAACUUCUCAUAAUCAUUCCUAUCUUUUCCUUGUCCCAUAGUAGAGCUGGGUUUUUAACUAUUGCGAACCUUGAUUGCAAUACUCCAAAAGCCCGUUCGACAUCUUUUCUGGUGGAUUCUUGACGUUCGGCAAAUAGUUCUGCUUUAGGACCUUGAGGGAGUGGGAUGGAUUGGAUAAAUGUUGACCAAUUUGGAUAAAUUCCGUCAGUAAGGUAGUAAGCCAUACGAUAAGUGUGGUUGUUGACCUUGAACUUCACUUUUGGUGCUCGACCUUGUAAAAUAUCAUCAAAAACUGGUGACCGAUCAAGAACAUUGAUAUCGUUGAGGGUACCUGGUAAUCCGAAAAAAGCGUGCCAUAUCCAAAGAUCUUGUGAUGCAACAGCUUCUAAGACAAUUGUCGGCUUUCCUGAACCACGUGUGUACUGACCUUUCCAAGCCGUUGGACAGUUUUUCCACUCCCAGUGCAUACAGUCGAUGCUGCCAAUCAUCCCUGGGAACCCCCGUACCUCUCCAAUAUCGAGUAAUCGUUGAAGAUCAUCCUCAUUAGGUCUUCGUAAAUACUCCGGUCCAAACAAUUGUAUUAUCCCAGCAGUGAAAUUUUCCAAACAUAAAUGUGCCGUACUUUCACCAAGUCGGAGAUACUCGUCAUAUGUAUCUCCCGAUUGACCGUAUGCCAGCAUACGUAUAGCUGCCGUACACUUUUGAAGUGCAGAUAGCCCGAACCUUCCGUGAGCAUUUUUUCUUUGCUGAAAGUAUGGCACUUCAGUACUUAGGCGAUCGACAAUGCGAAGGAACAAUGACUUGUUCAUUCGAAAACGCCUCCUAAACAUUUCCGGUGGGUAUGUGGGAUUUUCGUUGAAAUAGUCGGUCAAUAGUUGACUGUGGCCGCGUUCCCGAUUUCUUUCGAUAUAAGCUCGUCUCUUCGGGUUGUUAGCUUGACCAUCAACUACUGAAUCGAUGAAAUUAUCAACAACUUCGUCGACCAUUUCUUCUAAAUACUCAUCUACUUCAUCACUUGAUGAGGAAGACAUUGUUGAAGCAAUUUACUUCCUAUAAAGGGCAAAAGGGAUUUAUAAGUACAUUAUUAGUUUAAAUUUCCAUAACUUAAAUUUUUUAUAAACUUAUUAAAAUAUAUCAUACACAAGUACAUUACAUUUAUUUCCUUGUAUAUAUGGUAUGUAGUGUUGUCUUUUAUCAUUUUUUUUCUUAAAUUUAAAAAUAUUAGUUUAAAUUUCCAUAACUUAAAUUUUUUAUAAACUUAUAAAACAUUACUAACCAAUUCAAGUGUGGAGAAUCAAUUCAAGUGCUGAUGGUUGAGGAGUGUAUGAAGGUGUGGUGAUACUUGCGAGUGCUGAUGGUUGAGAAAAAUCGUGGUGAUGGUUGAGAAGUGAAUGAAAGGGUGGUGAUAGUUGAGAGAAAUCAAUGCAAAAGUGAAGAAUCAAUGCUAGAGUGAAGAAUCAAUACUAUAGUGGUGAUAGUUGAGCAGAAACAUAGAUCAAAAGUGAAGAAUCAAUGCUAGAGUGAAGAAACAAUUUAUAGUGAAAGAGUUGUUGCAGUUCCAUAAGUGAAAAACAUAGAUUAUAUAAAGACACAUAUUUUACAAUGUGAUCGGGUACAUACACCCGUGAGUACAAAAUAGAACCCGUGGGUACAUACACCCGUGAGUUCAAAACAGAACCUGUGGGUACAUACACCCAGUAAAGCCGCUGAAGUUAAAAGAAGUGUAGAAAGAUUCAAAAUUCUACACUCACCCGUGAAUCAAACAGAGAACCCGUGACCUGAUACCAAAAGAAGCUGAGACCUACUGACAACACGUCCACACGCACGCAUCCACCUACCGCAACCCGUGACCUGCAAACCUGCAAACCCAAAACAUUUUCAGCAAAUAUCAAAUGCAAUCAAGUUUAUAUCAAGCAUUAUCCAACAAAAAAAUUAACUUAAAAAGUUCAUAUGAAAUGCAAUUAACCUACUGACCCUAUCAAAGCAUUUCACAAAUGAGUUUAUUUUUAAGAGACACUUCUUGUGGAGAAAGUGUAGCUUCAGAUUUUGCAAGCAAGCGAUCAAGGAUUUUCUGUUUAGAUAUAGUAUUUUUGGCAGCUAAUAUGCUCUCUAUCUGAUCAUAAGCUGCUUCAUUGGUGUGCUUCUUGCGUUUGGCUGCUUUGCUUGCCUUAACGCCAGGAGGCCUAACAUCUUGGUCCGCAGGAACCUCCUCAGCCGGUUCCUUCCUUUUCUCCUUUGCACCAUCUUUCGACAAUGAAUGUGAUCUCCAUUUUUGAUCAAACCUAAGCUCCCUCCAACAAUGCUCCAUACUGAACUUGACAUGAUAGUCGUUAAAGAAGAUGUCAUGGGCAGCCUUCAUGACAUCAUUCUCAUUUUGCCCACUCGCUUGCUCCUUCACCGCGGCUUCAUGGCUUCCAACAAACUUGCAGACCUGCUCAUUAACCCUUCCCCACCGCUGCUUACAUUGACUCCACUCCCUAGGAAUGGAGCCAAUGAGCAGAGGACUAGCAUUGACAUACUCCACUAUGCGCUUCCAAAACGUGCCUGCCUUCUGCUCGUUACUCACAAUUGGAUCUUUGCUGGUGUUCAACCAAGCACUGAUCAAGACAACGUCUUCUUUGGUUGUCCACUUACGCUUUGACGCCGCUUUAGGAACCUCAGAACACCCUAAGUCUAUGGGUUGACUGCUCUGAGAGACUAGUAGGUUAACCAACCCGGGAGAGUUAUAGUUAAAAGGAUCCAUUUAGAUUUUAGAUAAAUGGGUUUAAACUUUGGUUUGUGUUUUCAGAAGAAGAUUGCCUAUGAUUUUAAACUAGUUUUGACCUUGAAAGGACAAAAAAUUAAAGUGGGUCUAACCACCAAACAUUGAUUAAAGUUUUUAAAACUACAACUACUACACAGACUGUAUUCAAUAAACAUCAAAUCAGUUCUAACUCAAGUCUACCUAGCAGUCGAAUUGAUUACACAACCAACCAAAACACAAGUACACGGGCUUCACACUCAACCAUUCAUCAACAUUCAUUUCAAAUUCAUCUCAACCUAGUACACAUAGUUCAGUUCAAAUGCAACUAUAACUAGCACUCCAAUUGAUUAAGCUUGAGUGUUACCUUUUUUCAGUCGAAGCAUAGCUUCUCCAAGUGCGCGACCUGCACUGAGAGGUUAUAAACCUGCCCAGUGAGGUUAUCAACCUCCCGAUUGAGGGCUUUAACCUCUGCCUGGACAUGGAAAAAACAAUCACAAAUUGUUAGUCCGUUAAUAGAAAAUUAAGGAAAAUAUUACAAAUUUUAAACAAAAAAAAUGGAAGUCACAUUACCUCCAGCCUCUCAAUCUGAUAAUUGACCUCCGGGAGUCCGUUGAUCACCAACUCAACCUCCUCAAGACGCUUUGUGAGACGUUCGAUAUGCUCCUGGACACCAAUCACCCAAGGCUGACGGUAAUGAAACCCAUCAGCCUUGUUAACCACAAAACACAUGUGAGAAUCUGGUUCGAAACUCAAUUAAAUGGAAAUAAUUAAAUUGAGAAGAAGCGCUUACCGUGUAGUUUUUGCAGGUGAAGAACCGCUUCCCAGGAAGAGUGUCGUAGUCGUCCUUCCCCCGAACUUCGUCAAUGAUUCUCCCUCCGCAGGGACACCUCGUCGGAAUCCCGUAUUCUGAAUCUGCCACGUAUCCUUGCAUGUUGAUCAACUCCGACUGCCUCUUUGUCUCUCUUCUCUCUUCUGCGGGAUCCAUCUGUACCAGAAAAAGCAAAGAUUAUAACAAAAUAAACGGUAAACCGUGACCCCAAACUCGAUUUGGAACCCUAAGUAGAAACCCCCAAAUCGAUUUCAAAUCCUCAAGAAACGAACCCUAAAUUGAACCCGCAUGGCGAUUAUUAACCCUAAAUCAAAACCCCCAUAUCGAUUUUGAACCCUACAUCAAAACCCCCAAAUCGAUUUUCAAUUAACCGAUAACCCUUUCGACCCCAAAUAGAUUCUAUGAAACCGUAAAAGUAGUUGAUACUCACCUCAGAUCGUUUACGAGAGUCUCCGACGUCGAUUCAAUCGAGAAAUUCUCCGGCUGUCGCGUCGCACGAGAUAUCGCCUCCCACAGAGAGAAACCCUAGCUUUCGAAAAAAGGAGAGAAAAUGAAUCAUCUCACGCGUAACCCUAUUUUUCUCCCUCUCGACGCGAAAACACGCGGCCAAUGCCUGUCCGACGCGUGGCUUGAACCCGUAUCAUACGGGCUCACUCCAAAGAGACGGAUCACCCAAUUAAACUCAAUAAAACAUUUCUUUUUAUUUUCCGGGUCUAUAAACCCCAGCCCAUGAACUCCUAUUAAUCCGCUAAUGCGGAUGCUCUUAGGAUCUGGCAGGCUUUUAUCAUCUAUUCCUCUAGUGAAGUCUAAAAAUUGAAGGUAGAGAGCUUACCGCGUCUCUUCACAAUCAUCUCAGGUACCACGUGUAACAUAUACAGUGGAGGUUCUUCGGAUUAAUUCGACUAGAGGUUUUCGGGGUACCGAAAGAGAAGAGGUAAUCGAUCAUACAAAAUGUGUAUCUCGAAUGACGAGUGGAGACAAGAAAAACGAGCGGAGUCAAGAAAACCAGUAACUACUAAGAAUCAAUUUCGAGUUUAGAGCCAAAGAUGCGUCUAAAAGUUAAAUUUAUAGACAAUGACUUGUGUGAAUCCAUGCGUUUCCCUUAAGGCUGAGGUUGAAUGCGUAUGGAGAUUUCAAGAGAUUGUCAAGAUUAUUUGUAGCCCCAACACAUUUUCAAGAUUUAUAUAAAAUGGUUUAUCGUUAUAACUUUAUAUAUGUUGAAGAUUUGGAAAAAGAAAGUUGAAGUCAGGUGAUGUUGGGAUUGCUAUUAAAAUAGGCAAAGACACCAACUAGAGGUGCAUUGAUAUACGUCGUGGGCUCAGUGUCGGUAGCAUUUGUCCGUUUUCCAAUGAAUGUAUCAUCUACGUUAGGCCCGCCAACCACCGCUCCUACUAAUAUGUUUGGGUUUGGAUUGUCUGAAUGGAAAAUAUUCCAUCCUUGUGUGCACCCGAACGCAGUGCUUUGAACCUUAACAGACGGUAUAGACGAGCCACGGUGGUGGACCUGUCGCGGGUACUGAUCGCCGUACCCAACCAUGUAUGACACGUGCAUUGGAUUAUCUCCCAAAAUGUAGUCCACCUAUGUACCGCAAAAAAAAAAUGCAUAUGCCUUUGAUGGGCCUAUCUAAAGCAUAUAUACACAAUAACAAAUGAUGUUUGAGUACCUGUCGUUUAACUAUGCGCCGAAGAGAAUCGGGUUGAAACUUGAGGUUACCGCAACUGAGUUGUUGCGAGGAUUUAGAGAGGUAGUCCGCGUAGGUAAGGAUGAGGAAAGACAUUGCGGCCGUGCUCUGGAGCUGGCUGCCAACGGGUUUGUAAAGAAGACCGCCGGGUGUGUAACUCAUGUGUAGACCAGCGGUUUCCGGAAAUACUGCACACAUCAUUUUCUCCGCAAUAUCUUUAAAUGGUGUUAACGCACUCACAUUCUUCUCAAAUACUUCCUGUUCACCCAAAUUGACGUUUAAAUGGCAAGCACUAAUAGUAUAUCAAUGGUUAAUUAUGUCUUUUAUAUAAUUUGACCUAGUGGUUUUGAAAGAUCAUAUAUUUAUAUAUACAUAGAGAGAGAGAGAGAGAGCUGGAUCAAACCUUGGCAAUGAGAACAUCAACUCCCCCAAAUUUGCUGUCCCAGCCAAAGUCCAAGUAAUUGUAAUCUACACCGAAAGUUUCACGAUUGUUCACCAAGUACUCUAGGUAAUUAUCACUACCAGUCGCCCUCCUCAACCACGCAGCUCCCCAGAGCAACUCAUCCUACAUGAAAACAAUACCAUUUUAUAUGAAAUAUAAAAUAUUUAAAAAGCCGGUACUAUAGACAUAUUAAAUUUCGAAUAAAGGUAUACCUUAUAUCCAUUAUUACUGCAGUAGAAAGGGCAAGCGGCGUUGUGCACGUUCUGAUUGUCGGCAUAAGAACCUCGAUGCAUAUCUGCGUACUGAAACGUUUGUAUGGCUUUGCUGAGCAAUAAUUUGGAAUAUGUAGGCCUCGAUUGUUUGAAUGCGAUAGAAGCAGCUGCCAGAGCUGCAGCGAUUUCACCCGCUAGAUCGGAGGCUGGCCCUGGUGCAUCUAGAGCGAAAGCGGUUCGUGGCGUAUCCAUAUCUUCCGGUCUUUCCCAACAAUUAUGGUCGGGCUGUGCUUCACCUACCUAUAGCAUAUUAAUCUUAUAUUGUUAGCGUGUGUGCCAUAUAGUAUAUUUUCAUUUAAAGCCCUGAUUUCCGAAAAAUAUAAUACAAGCUAGGACAAACCAAUCAGUGGAAAUUGAUUGCUUCUUCUCAGAGAUGAUAUACAAUUUGAUUCUCUCAUCAUCAUCAACAUACCUUGAAGUUCUAUGAUUUCCUUUCUACUAUAUUAUAACUAUAUUAUAUAAUGUUUACAAAUCUUGAUAAGUGCAAAUUAAUAUUAACUACACACUCGUAUACCCAUUCAUCCGUUUAUAUCCCGACUCUAUUUUUCAAUUGUAAAAUUCUUAAAAAUGCCGACAACGCACGACAAAAUGGUGAAAAACAAAUUCUUGAUAACGAUGUUGGUGUGUACUGGUGAAUAUAAAUAGGGAACUCAUAUAAAUAUUAAAAAGAUUUUAUACUAUAACUGUUAUGUCAGUAGAUGGUAUUUAAAAAAAUGACGGUGCAUUAGCGGUUUGUUUAUACGAACAUACUUGGACGAAAAUGCGAUGAGGGAGUUGUGAGACAGUCUUAAGGAGAUAAUCAGUAGCCCACUUGAUAUUUACGAGGUUGUGUCUAAAAUCAUUGUCAGACAUGUAACAACUGAAGUCGAUAGAACUCCAAGCAAGCAUCGUGGCCGUAAAAGCCAUUGGAAAAUGAAACUUAACGUUGUCACCGGCGUCGUAGUAACCACCAACGAGGUCGGUGUUGAGGUUUUCGCCGUCCUUGAGUGCAGAGUCACCACGCCACAACAUCCUUUGUUGUCUGGGAAGUCGACCGGAGCGUUGACCUUCGAAAAAUAGGAUUGACUUAUGCAGAGCAUCCGAGUAGUUGUGAGGAAUCACCGUUGGUACCAGGAGGAGAAGUACGAAAACUGUUAAGAUUAAAAUCGAUGGUUUCAUUUUUUUCUCUUUGCAGUAAGGACUUUGAGAGAUUUUGGUUUUUGGCAUGAGGGUUUAGAGUUCAUAUUUAUAGAGCUAGUUCAAGUAUACGUAUUUGGCUAAUUUGGUAUAAACCAAUUUGCAUUGGCUUGUAGUUAUCCAUCCAUCAUCCAUGCAUGUAUUAAAAUAUUAAAUAUUGUUUUAAUUAUAACUCUAUUGUUAUCAAGAAGUCAAUCAUCAUCUUACUAAUUAAUAGUUUAAACUUCAAAUUUAGAUAAAAAUCUUUGAUUUUUUUUAUUUGAGUAGAAAUGUACUUUUCUGAUUCAAGUGGAUUUUAACAAGAGUAAUCUAGUUAGACCAUGUAGUGGAAGUGUUGAAUAAAAGAUUCAACAUAAUCACGAUAAUGAGCAUAUUGAAAAAUAAAUUUGAUGGUGUGGAUUAUUUAGUGUUGAAGAUAUUUAACAUAUCAAAAAGUGAGAACCAUCGACACAUGUUAAAUUAUAGAGAUUUUUCAUAUUUUUAUAUUAUAAUAUUCUUAUUAUAAAUUGAACAAUUUAUUUAAUUUUUAUACAUAAAUUUAUUAUUUGAAAUUCUCUAUAAAUAAAGACUAAAUUUAUUUAAUUUAGACAUAUUAUAAUAAUUAUUAAUUCGUAAAUGAGAGUGUUAAAUUUUAUUAAACAAAAUCAUUGUAAUGUGUAAAUUAAAUAUAUGUUGAAUGAUAAGGUAAAAAUGAUGUGGAAAAUUAAAAGAUGAAAAAUAUGGUAUUGAAUCUUGAAACAAUUUUACAUAAUCUUAUAUGUAUAUAUAUAGCAUAUAUAUACUUUUUUGGUUAAGUACAAAUCUUGAAGUUUACUCUGUUAAAUCUGGAUAUAUAAUCUGACCAUCUAUAUUCCAUAUAUACUUUUUGGUCAAAUGUUCCAUAUAUAUACAAGGCGAGCUAUGAUGGUAGAAAUUAUUUCCACAUAUAUAUUUUGUUUCUUUGUAAGUUAUUAGAAAUUCUUCAUAUGUCGAUAUGAUGCAAGGAAAAAUAUUAAAUUAUAUCUUAUCAGUAGCUAAUAAUUUAACUAUAAGUAACAUGCCUAAGAGUAAUGCAAGGCUCACAGGUUAGAUGAAUGAGAUCUGAAUGUUUUGAUGAAUUGGAUGAGAUGCAAAUAUUUGCUGGAAGAACACUUCUUCAUUAUAAUUUUUGGCAUGAGUUUGGUUAAAUUUGUUUUCAUGCGUAUGAAUAUUUGUUAUUGAGUUAACACUUAACACACUCGUAAAAUGCUCGUGUUUAUAUUUGCUUUUUAAAUUGUGUGAUAGUCUAUUAUUUCGGAAAAAAAAAACAAAUAAACACUUAACACAAUUAACACACUUUAAGGGGGUGUUAUUGGUUUAUAUAUUUUUAUUGAUUUAGAAAUUCAUAUAGUAUUUAUAAAUCCAAGUAAAAUAUACAAAUUUUCAAAUUUUCUCGGAUUAGUAUUUACAAAUUCGGAGGUUUUCCUUCGGAUUUGGGCCUUUGUGUUUUUCACAAACAAAUUCAUGCAAAUCCAUUCAAAUACAUUAUGAAAUCAAAUUUAUUAUUAAAUCCGUAUGAUUGAAUAACACUUGAUUUGAAUUAGAAUUUAUGAAUCAUUAAACGAAUAACACUUGAUUUGAAUUAGAAUUUAUGAAUCAUUAAACGAAUAACACAUGAUUUCAAUACAUAUUUUAAAAUCAUAGAACCAAUAACACUAGAUUUAGUUUGGAUUUUCAAAUCCAUCAAAAUACACCAACCAAUAACCCCCACUAAGAAGUUAGAUUGGCUGUGAAUCUUUCGAUUAACAGAAAUAAAUAAAUAAUUGUAUUUUUCGAAACAAUAUUAUUUAUGUGGAUGUAUGAUAUACGAAUAGACUAUCCAUUACAUUUGAAAUACAGAGAUGAUAUCCAAGUUAAGUAAUCCGAAUGAGAUAUUCAGACUGGAAUUUUCUUUCUUAGCUUUGCGUGUGUAAGAUUGCCUACAAGGAACUUAAAACAAAAAAAAAAAAGAAAAACAAAAAGUGCUCCCAUUCUUUCUAUAUCUAAUGUUACUCCAAUGACGUCAGCUAAAACUAGGAUUGGCUGCAAAGUAAGCCAAUACACCAACGAAAGGAGCAUUGAUGUAAGUAGUGGGCUCUGACUUGCGGAAAUCAGACCGGUCAUCAUCGUACAUAUCAUCCUCUCCGGGCCCACCCACCACCGCUCCAAUCAAAACGUUCGGGUUUGGUUCGGUCGAGUUGAAAUAAACCGAUCCGUCUUUGCACCCGAUGGUGCCUGGAUGGUCUACGAUCGACGGCAGCGAUGAGCCACGGUGGUGGAUCCUCUUUGGAUACCUCUCUCCGUACCCGACCAUGUAUGAUAAUCCCAUUGGAUUCUCCCCCAAAAUAUAGUCCACCUUCAUUUUCCAAUAAAAAAUUAACAUAAAUAUGGGUGUUCAAAAUUUUUUUAACAUAAAUAUCAUAACAAAGUAAGAUUAAUCCCUAAUAAUAACAAUAUAAAAUUAAUUAAUUUUUGCAAUAAUCGUGAAAUUUUUUGUAUUAUUUUGCUUUCAAUGAAUGCAUGAUAAUUGCUACGUAUAUCGUCAGGUUUAGGUGACUCGUCAGUUAGAUAAGAGAACAACCAAUAAUCACUACAAACGGGAGAAACCUGUUUCUUGGCGAGACGGCGUAGAUGAUCAGGAGGGACAGAGAGGCUGCCACAAUUGAGGGAGAGGGAACUUCUGGAAAGAUACUGAGCGUAUACAAGCAGGAGGAAAGAUAUUGUGGUCGCGUGUUGGAGCUGACUACCGCCGGGCUUGUAAAGAAGACCGCCGGGAGUAUAUUCAACAUGCUGUCCCGGAGACUCCGGCACCAAACUACACAUGAAGCUCUCCGCUGACGCCUUGUACGCCUCUAGGUUGUACAUAUUCCCUGUUAUAACUUCCUGUACCGGAAUUAUAAUUAAUUAAACCCAUCGGUUACCAUAUAUGCCGUGUUUUGUGUCUUAACCGGGCCAUGUUGGGUUUUUCACGUACACGGAAAGAAAAGAACAUAAUCUUUACAUGCACGUGAAAUGCUCGUGUUUACAUUUGCUUUACUUGCGAGAGUUAAUUAAAGUUAUGAUUUCUAUUAAUUUGAUCACGUAACUCUGAUCAAAAAGGUUAGUAUAGAUAUUAUUUUUUAAUAUCUAACCUUGGACACGAGAACAUUAAGUCCACCAAUUUUGUUGUCCCAACCGAAUUCGUCGACGUUCUCGCUAGCACCAAAGGGUUCACGGUUACUCUCAAUGUAGCUAAGGUAACUUUCAUUACCAGUCGCUUUUCUUAGCCAAGCUGCUCCCCACAAUAACUCAUCCUACACGUACCCAUCCCAACAACAUUAAUUAUAUUAAAAAAUCACCAAGAAAAAAUGUAAUAUAUAAUGAUCAAGAUUGUAUGAAUUUUUUGCGUGUUGAAAUUUUUAUUACUCGGGUUUUUUUACCUGAAAUCCGUUGAAAUCGCAGUAGAAAGGGCAAACGUCAUUUUUGAUAUCAUCAUUGCUGCUAUAAGCACCACGGUGCAUAUCAGCAAACUGAAACGUUUUUACAGCGAUUUGGAGCAACGUCUGAGAGUAGCCUGGAUCCGAUGAUCGCACGGCAAUUGAAGCGGCCGAGAGGGCCGCUGUGAUUUCUCCAGCCACUUCAGAAGCUGGAUUUGGGGCAUUUACGACGUAAGCAGUACGUGGUGUAUCCAUAUCUUCAGGUCUUUCCCAGCAAUUAUGAUCUGCAAUCGGAUCACCUACCUACACAUAUCACAAGUUUGUUUCCUCCUUUAAUUAGUUUGCAUAUAGUUAUAUUAAAUCCCUCUUAAAAUAAAAACAAGAGAAAAAGACUAGGAUAGCACCAAACCAAGUUUAUGUUCCCAAAGUAGCACUCAAGGUUCAAAGUCACAAAAAUAGGUUUCAUUAAAGAGGUAAAUAUACACUUAUAUCCCUUGGGUUAAUUAAUCCAAACCUUAGGGUUUAGAGUUAAAGGGUGGGGUUUUGGAAUUAGGGUUUAAAAUUUUAUAAAAAAAAAUAUUAAAAUAAAAAAUAAAAANNNNNNNNNNNNNNNNNNNNNNNNNNNNNNNNNNNNNNNNNNNNNNNNNNNNNNNNNNNNNNNNNNNNNNNNNNNNNNNNNNNNNNNNNNNNNNNNNNNNUGUUGUCGAAUGGAAAGUAGAUGUCAUCGCAGCGUUUGUCAAGUCGUUCCUCCAUGGUGUCUAGAGCAGUGUAGAUCUUGGAUGUGAUCUUGUCAACCUCUGCUGCUGUGUAAGGAAGUAACUCCACAUGUUUCUUGCCAUCGAUCCAAGGCCCUCGUAGCCUGUCGAUCGAUGCUGAUUUUGCCUGCAAAAAAUUUUGAUUAGUAAUGUUAUCAAUAUCCCUUUGGGCAUGAAGUAAUUGACUAGACAAUUUGUUUAAAUCUAUCAUGACUGGUGAUAUAAAGAGGUCAUGCAUGUCCUCGUAAGUCCUCAGCCUCUCAUUCAUGGCUGAGACUUUAGCGUCGAGCGAUGUGAUUGUACACAUGUCGAUCGAUGUGGCUGGUUGUUGGUCCUUCUUGCGAAUGGUAUCCAGAUCUUGCUGUAGUAGCUCGAUUUUAGUGCUCAGCCAGUCCACGUUGUUGUUGAGAGGGUAGUACACGUCGUUUAUCCUUGUGUCAAUGUAUUAGACUUCCCAUUCAUCCUUGUGUUGUGCUGAACAUUGCGGUUCUGCAGGGAUCUGGGCUGUAGGAAGACUGACGUCGAUCGAUGAUGCAUUUAGUGCGUCGAUCGAUGUUGAGGUCGUGGCUUCCUUCUCAAGUUGCUGAUGUAAGCUCUCAAUUUUUGUCCUCAUUUCUGCCAUACUUCUGAAAAGCUCAUUGUAGCCUCUAUCAAAAGGUUGAUGUAUAUCUUCUACCAAUGAUUUGAGCUCCUCUCUCAGUCUUUCCUGAGCUCCAUAAAUACCAAACACCAUCUCAUUGAUUUCAUCUUUGGUGUAGAGUUCUGGUGCCAGUCUUGUGAGUGUGAAGGAAGUGGCAUGUUCUGGAAGACAGAUGUGGCUCUCUUCAAAAAGAGAUGCUCUUUCCAGUAAUUUCCUGAUGUCGUCCUUUGUGACAGGUAUCAUCUCACCAGCUACGCCUCGUGCGUGUCCACACUCAUCUCUGUAGACUCCACACUCGUCCCUUCAUUCCCUAGUGAACUUUCUGGCUCCGUACAUGUCAAAAGCGCGGUUUCCAAAUUCAUAACGUCUAUCGAUCGACACUGGGUCAUCCCUAUCGAUCGACGUUGGUGUUACCCUGUCGAUCGAUGUCUCAGUUGUCCCGUCGAUCGAUGCUUGCCCUUUUGGUUGGCGUGAUAGAUCUGGAUUGAUUUCUGUUGUGGCGACUCCUACGUGAUUAUUUGGAUCUGUUUGAAUGACGUCUGGAGUGCCACGUUGCUGUGAGAAUAGGUUGUCAAGUCCAUUGGCUACUUGAAGGAUAUCUGCUAUGUCCUCUCUGGACACUUGUAAGAUCCUUCCAUCCAUUGCACGUGCGUUGCCAUCUGGGUCCCUGAAAAUACCAAAUUCAUCAGGUGUUAGAAAACCUGUAAUCAAUGUUUGCAUUAUCAGUCAAUUUAGGAAUAGAAAGAUUAGGGUUUAGAGUAGUAUCGAUCAAUGUAGAUACAGAUGCAUCGAUCAAUGGCAGAGUAAUUUCUGCAGAACUUGUGUUCUUGAGAUGAUUGCUCUUCAUAGAUUUUCCUGUUGAUGUAGAUGGAAGAGUGUUCAUCUUUUUUGCUUGUGUCUCUGCUCUGGUGUGUGGUGGUGGUUUCGGGGGUGCAAAACGUUUUAUAUAGGUAUCUCUACACCUAGUUGGAGAGGGAAUAUUCUCCUGCUCCUGAAUUUUCGUUGCGGCGCGAAUAUCAUCGAUGUUCCAGUACGUGUGUCGAUCGAUGUGAGUGGUUGUUUUGCUGGACGAGGGUGGGUAUUGAACGAUGUGGAGUGCACUUCGGCGAUCGAUGUUGGAAAUAUGUUGGUGAACUUAUGUGUUUCAAAUCUUUCAUCCUGCAAAGACAUUUCUAUUGCACGUUCUUUCCAAUAAUCCACAUCGUAUUCCUCUGUAUGUUCCUCGUUAGAUGAAGUAAUUAGAGUGUCAACUGCAAAACUUUCAUGGAAACCACUGUCUGCCCAACUGCCUAUGGAAUAAUCAUCACGUCCUCUCUUGCUUGGAGGUUGGAAGGCAAAGUGGGGGUAACAAUGAUUAGGUGGAGCAAAAUGGUCAACCGACUGCUUUAUGUCGAGUGACGUGUUGUUGCGGUCAUCGGUCACAAUUGACUCAUUGGAAACAAUUGAUGGAAAGGUGGGGGUGUCGAUGAGCUGGUUCUGGUCACAAUUGACUCAUUGGUCACUUGGGAAUUUUCUCCUUUCUUUUCCUUAACCUUCUCCCUUCAGUUUCUUGUUCCUCUUGAACUGGUUCUGGUGAACUAUUUAAAGGGCUGGGUUUUGGUUCCGGUGGGGUAGCUAAUGGUUUAGGUGGUGGUCUGAGUGCGUUGAUAUAAUCAUUAUCGAUUGAGGGUAACCGCACUCGGUAUGUCAGAGGUGUCUGGAUCGAUGGGAGGUGUGUUGUGACGAUCGACGUCAGACUCACUCUGUCGAUCGAUGGUUGGCUCAACCGGUCGAUCGAUUUUAUCAUAGAAAGAGGAGGGUGGGUGAGGAUGCUUAGCUGCGAAUUCUUCAUGAGUUAGAAUUUGAACUGCAUUGCAUUCAGUUGAUUUAGCAGACGACGUCGAUCGAUGACUGGAGUAAUCCGUCCAUCGAUCUUCGUCAUGGUCUGUCGAUCGAUGCGAGUUCAUCGACAUCGGUCGACACCAUUGGGAUCCGCCGAGACUCAUGGAGCUUUCGAUUUCGAAUUCUCCUUCCUCAAGCUUUUCAUUUCUCACCACUUGCCAGAAAUCAGCAUCUAUGAUGGCAUUUACGUGGUGUUUCCCUUUGUCGGCUCUUGCCUCUCUAGCGAAAGUUUCUUGCCUUUUUAUAGUCUCGCCCGUCUGAAUUACUUGCGUUUCAAGUUUUCUCACCUGAGUCCCUAAAGUCUCGAUUUUGGUGUUCAGAUUGUUGUAGGCGGAGUCUAUUUUACCAUUGAAAUCCACGGUGAUUUGUUGUUGUCCCAACAGUACCCGAUCAAGCAUAUCUUCGAUCUUGCUUCCCUGAGUCUGGGGUGGUGGAUUCUGGUAGUAGGAGUUCGAGUAGCGUUUGCUGUUGUUGAAGGGUUUUUGAAAUUGUGAACUUUGGUUACUUCUUUGACCAUUUCCAAAGAAGUUUCUGUUUCCGCCCUGGUUUCCAAAUUUCUGGAAUGAGGUACCUCCGAUGUAGUUCACAUUUUCUUCUCCUUCCGUAUCUGCUACUUCUCCUUCAGCUGAACAGACUUGCUUCCUAAGAAGCUCGUGCACCACAUCUAACUUAGCUCUUACUUCGUCCAUCUGUUCCUUCCAUAGGAUGCUCGUGCGGUAACCCAGAGUAGGGUAUCUGCGACACGAGAGUGUAGUAUUGAGGCUUCAGCUCGAAAUUCUGCUUCUGGAUCUCCGGAAGUCGAAUAGCUGAUCUGUUGGAAUAGUACUCAUCUGGGCGAUUGUAUUCGGCCAGUGGUUUCGAUCGAGCAUCCACAUCUACAGGUUGAGCAGCUCGUGUAGCAUUAGCAUCAGGGAUUACAGUCCCCUGAGCGUCUAUUUUUUGACCUGUUGCAUUAUGCAGAUGACCGUCCUGGUCAUACAGGUUUCCCUUCUCGUCCUGUGUUAGAAUAAUAAUGUUUACCAUUUUUGACGACACGGUAUCGAUCGACGUACGCGGUGUAGUAUCGAUCGUUGUCGAACGAUUGAGAUCGAUCGACGAUGAAGGUCUGGUGUCGGUCGACGGUUGGUUGUGCAUAUCGAUCGACGACGAUGUUGUUGCGUCGAGCGAUGUUGAACAUUGACCUCUACGGAUGGUGCGUUCCAAAUGAGCAGGAUCGUUUGAGAACAGCAAGUCUUUCUUCUUGUUGCUUUUGGUACCCCUGGGCAUGCACCUGAAAAGACAUGAAAAAGAUUUAUUAGAAAGGGGGUAGAGAAAAUAAUAAGAAUCAAUAAAACUAAAUCUAAUGGCGAUCAAAGCUCCCCGGCAACGGCGCCAAAUUUGAUACCACUCAAAUUACCCUAAGGAGUUUUACUCUCAUCAAAAGAGGUUCAGAUGUAGUACUUAGGGAUCAAAUCCACAAGGAGCUAGGGAACAAUUAAAUCUAGUGUUUAUUAAUUCUAAAUUAGCAAGGCUAAAACAAGCAAUGAAUACAAAUCUAUCAUGAAUAUCACAACAAGGCAGAUCUAUAGUUUGGGGCUAAUCCCACAAACCUAUCUGAACCCUGGAUCUAAUAAUUGAACUACUCAGACAUAGCAAAGCAAUUCAUAACAAUGAAGAAAUAGAAACUCAUAGUAUAGAUGAAAAGAAAUGAUAACAAGGAGUUCCAAUCACAAGUGAUCUUCUCUCCCAAAACUCUCUCUUCUCUCAAAGUGAAACUUGUAACAAAAAAGGUCUCUCUGCCGUCAAAACACUUAGGCAUUAUAUAAUCUACUAGGUUAAAAACUCGUCAUGACAUUUUCGUAAUUUGGCUUGGCCUUGGGUUUUAAGUCUGCUGAAUCCAAAAUGUCGCGUGUCUGAUGUCUCGACAUCGAUCGAUGGUACUUGUGUACAUCGAUCGAUAUUAAUCUUCAUCUGUCGAGGCAUUUCCUGAUAUCGAUCGUCAGCACUGAUGCGCAUCGAUCGAUUAUUCUUCCUCUCGUCGACCUCUACGUGGUCAGCUCGGGUGAAAUGUCCUUUAAGCUCCAAAAUGCUCCAAAGUCAUAGCUUUACUCCGAAAUGCACCUGAACCUGAAAACAUACCUAGAAGAGUAUAAAACAUAGAUAUAUAUAUAGUAAAACACCUAUAUACCAUGGAUGAAAACGGGUCAAAUCCAAGGUAUAUCAACGACUAUAUAAGAGCAACAACAACCUUCAAGCAAGGGAUCGAAUUCUCCAAGGCUUAGAGACUAGAAUUAGACGGCUAGAAUUAGGGUUCUUCUUGAAUACCUUGUAACCCCGUUUGUUCUUGCUGUUAUAUCUAAUAAACCGUCUAUCUUUCCAUUGUUCUCUCAAAUCCCUACUAAAUAACCACAAACACUCGAAGUUUACCAGCUUAUCCAUCGAUUUGUGGUACUCUAAAAGAGCCUACACAAAAAUCCCCUAACAGUUUGGCGCUAGAAGGAGGGGAGUGAUCUGAGCUACGUGACGAUGGCGGUGGAUGAGCAAGACAAUACGUCAGAAUUUACCCCAAGAGAAGCCGAGCUUUAACGACAGAUCGACGGACUGCAGAGCCAAGUAACCGAAUUGCACAAGGCUCAGGAAACAACCGAAAAUCCAGAGCUUUCCUCCGAGGUUCAGAUCCUCAAGGAAAAACUUGGUGAACACCCCAAACAGCUGGAGUUAAGUGCCGAGAAACUCAACCAACUACAGAUUAAGAACGCUGCACUCUGAUACCAGAACAAAGCUCCCAACCUGGUGAGCAACAAGAAGCGUUGCCUUAACACUCGGGUUCCACCUAUGGGACCUGAGCACUCCCUACACCGGAGAAAGCCAUACUAACCCGACUCCUGCAUCCGGAGCGGCCGGGGCAACACGAGAAGGGAUCGAGGAUCACCAGAUCCACGACCUAGAGGAAAGUGAUUCCGAACCUGAACCCGAGAAAGAAGCACCCGAGAAGACGGCAGCCAAGUCUUCCAUAACCGACUAUCGGGAGCAGAUCUUUUCCAAGAGGUUCGACGCCAUGCAAUCCAUGGUGGAACGUCUACCAGGAGUAGCUCCCCCAAUCCGGAGGAGCAACCCCGACUCGUACACAGAUACUCCCUUCGCGGAGGAGAUCGCCUCAGUCGAGAUGCCUCAGAAAUUCUCCUUCCCCAGCAUCAAGAUGUACGAUGGCACCAGAGACUCCGACGAUCAUAUCGCACAAUAUAAACAGAGGAUGCUAGUGGUUGCGCUCCCCAAGGAGUCCCGUGAAGCUACCAUGUGUAAAGGGUUCGGCUCCACUCUAAUUGGACCCGCCUUGCAAUAGUAUAUCAAUCUCCCUACCAGGUCCAUCUCUUCUUUGCCGGCCUGAACGACAAGUUCGUAGAAUAAUUCGCAAGUAGCGGGAGCCUGGAGAAGACUUCAGACGGUCUCUACGAGAUCCUCCAACAUCGAGUAGAACCCCUGUGGGACUACAUAGCCCGUUUCAAUCAAGAAAAGGUAGCGGUCCCUGAAUGCAGCAUCCCUACUGCAAUCUCUGCCUUCAAGAGGGGCCUACUUCCAGCCGGAGGACUCUACAAAGAGCUAACCAUGUACCCUUGCAAAACCAUGGAGGAUGUGCUAUCCCGAGCGUGGGCACAGGUGAAGUGGGAAGAGGACUUUGCUAGCCGCGCCAAGAAUCAACCAACAGGAUCAGAGGUCCACCUGAUCAGACCGGGGAGACCGAGAAGAAAGAUCCUCCCAAAAGGGAUCCAAGGACUCCGGAAGCAGGAACCGGGGUAGGUUCCAAUACCGGAUAUUAGAAAAAGAAGAAGGGAUGUAUGUAUCUACCUGGCCCGAUAUCUCCCAUCUCUCAAUAUCCACACCAGAGCUGGUCAACACGCUGAGGCAGAUGGGCCAACAGGUCAAGUGGCCCCCAAAGAUGAAAGCACCUGAAUCAUUCCGGAACCCGGGACUCUGGUGCGACUUCCAUCGCGAUCACGGCCACAAAACUGAAGACUGCGUCGCCCUGAAAAUUGAGGUCAACGAACUGCUCCAGAAGGGGCAUCUCCAAGAAUUCCUUUUAGAGAAAGCCAAGGCUCAUCUCAGCAAAGAAGCAGCAGGAAAAUCCAAAGGAGACGCACCAAGCUUACCAUCUCGCCAGGACCGGGUGAUUCAUGUCAUCUCAGGAGGCUCUGAAGUACCAAUGAGAUAAGCUUCAUAGCCAAGGAGCAAGAGAAGAUAUUAGCUCCCCACCACGAUGCUCUAGUUGUUUCUCUCACCAUAGCGAUGUGUUUGGUGAAAAGAAUACUAGUGGACAACGGGUCCUCCAGCAAUAUCAUCUUCCUGACUGCGUACCAAGACCUAGGGUUAGAGGAGAAUACCCUGACGCGUAGAACAACCCCACUUAUCGGGUUCAUCGGCGAGGUCAAGCAAACCGCUGGGGAGGUCGUUAUGCCAGUAUAUGCUGAAGGGAUCAACCUAUCUACCAAAUUCCUGGUUGUGGACUGCCAAUCGGCAUACAACAUGAUCUUAGGAAGACCCUAGAUUCAUGGCAUGGGAGCAGUCCCCUCGACCCUCCAUCAAAUAGUGAAGUUCCCUACCCCCAGAGGCAUCACAGCAAUCCGAGGAGACCAGGAGAAUUCUAGGUCCUGCUACCAGACCACCCUAAAGGGGAAGACCAAGGUCUUAUAGCAAUUACAGAGGAGACCUCAGAUCCCGCGGAAUCGGGAAUCAGGGGUCAACAAUAGGGGCAAUUCAGGAACCCUCCGCGUAGUCCGGACCCUACAUCCAAGCUUCAAGAGAGCUUACGUCUACCGCUUCGCAUGGUCUCCCCUAAAAACCUGCAAGGCUACACCUGCUCACAAAAUCUGGUCAACACAGGACCCUCGUCCUCCGCCUCACAUAGAUAAGAUAGCCAGAAGUUUCAACAGUUAUCAACCGGCGAUCUCACAUAUAAACGAGUACGGCACGAACACUUCGACAAAACCCCCUCGGAAGAGAGCUCCCAGCAGGCACCAGACGGAGAUAGGAGACCUCCAAACACAUUUUCUCCAGUGGUUGAAUGCGACCACAUGCUGCAUGAAAGCGCUGAAAACCUCCAUCGAUAGGAGACAGUGGCCCCCGAACGUCAGCAACACAGAGAUCUGCAAGGGCUGGGGCAUGAAGAAACUCCCAAACAAGGUCCCUAGAUUCAAAAAAAUGCAGAACCCUGCAGAGGAUGAAGGAACCCUCCAGCAAAGACAGUCGUCUCAAAAUCAAGUCAAACCCCACGGGUCAGGCAGCAAUAAGAGGUAAAACAUGGCCUAACCACCGGGGUAUCUCAGAAGCUGAUAUCUUGUGCGGUCUCUUGACCAUGAUUUCUAUAUAAUUAUUCUAUCUUUUAUUUAAGCAUUAUGUUUUUCUACUCAUAUGUACGCUGAAAGUCUACGGACAUAGCCUAUAUAAUAAAAUAGUUCCGACUAUAGGAGAGAGUACGAAUACAAUAAUAUUUAAAGGGGCAAACGAGCUGGAUCAGGUCAAAGAGACCUCUGAUCCUGGCCAACCCUCAAUGAUAAGUGGCACGACCACACAAAAACGAAAUGGGUAUGAGACAUAAGGUAGGAAUGGGUCUGCGCAAGCCCGAGUAUGCCGUCAAUACUACCUAAAACCCCUGUAUAGCCUCAGGCAUAUCGGGGUCCCAAACUAAAAUAGCAAAAAAGUGAAAGGUACCUGUAUUAAAAUGCUACGUGCUAAAUUAAUACAUGAGACACGAGGUAUAAUUGCCACUGAGCAAAUGCAAAAUUCUGGGAGCACCUUAAUAAUAUCCUUUUUCUCCAGACGUGGAAAACAUCGUAACUAUGGCACCUGGGUUUUCACCCACACCAGCACCCUCUAAGACUGAUAGUGGCUUUCUGCAGAAAGCAGAGAGCAGCACGGGAACUCGAUAGUGACCAGCCACGAGCGGUAGAAAGCGAUACCCUACAGGUACCGAGAGUGGCCACACCUAGGGUGGCAGAAUGCGGUCCCUUUAAAAUUUAAUUUCGGGUUCUGAGAAAGAUCUCCGGGCUCAGAUAGGCCCUAAGGCCAAGAAUCUACAGGUUCCUUAAAAAGGACCUCAGGGUUCAAAGACCAUGGGUCUAAAACAAGACCUCAGGGUCAGGAACCUAUCGGUUCUCUUUAUAACUUAAAUCCGGAUUCUGAGAAUUCCGGGCUCAGACAGGCUUUAAAGGUCAGGAACCUACGGGUUCCCUAAAAACAACCUCAGGGUCCAAGGACUACAAGUCCAAAUCAAGACUUUAGGGUCCAGGACCAACGGGUUCCCUAAGAAGGGACCUCAGGGUCCCAACGUUAUUCAAAACCUCUAAGUGAUCCUAGUGUCCCGAAAGAGAUCUAAUUCGACAAGACCUAUGAGAUCCGGUCAUUUUAAACAUCCAGAGGUUCUAUGUAACCCAGACACCAAGGAUCCCUGAGUCCUUCGACAAUCAUCAAGAAGCCUGCAAAAGAGCUCAAAAGAAGAAAAAAGCAAAUCCAGAAUGCAUAAAGGGCCACAGCAGGAACAUUGUUCAAAACAACAAAAUAGAGGCACGAAGGCCCGAUCCAAAAGUUCUAAAACCCCAUCGGAGGUAAAUACAAAAAGAUAUCCCUUCGCGGAGUUAAAAAACACAACUAGCAGAAAUAGGGAUCAGUUGAUAGGAGGAUCAUCAGCAGGAGGUUUCGAUGCCCCCCCCCCUUUUUUUUCGUCUCAUCACUACCAGGAACCUAAGGCUUAUACUCGAAGGAAGGAGGUGGAAGUCCAAGGAACUCGGCUUCACUGAUCUUCACCACCUUAUAUUGCUCAAAGGAAGUUAUCGGAUCCCAACGGUCGGUCUGAUCAUCAAGCCACUCCCGCAUCAGUUCCCAACGAACUACAACCUUAGCGUCAUUCACGGCCUUUAUCUUCUCAGCAUCAAAGACUUCAGCGGCAUGCCUAAGUUCGCAUAUCUCCUCCUCCUUAUCCUCUAGCCGUCACCGCAGGGAAACAUCCUCCCCUUCCAGACAUUCCCUUUCCUCAUCCAAAUCCUGUACUCUGAGCUUCCAAGCCUCAAUUUCCUCAUCCUUGGCCAAGAUAGCGUCUUUCUCUUCACGAAGCCGGAUAGCCAACGCAUCCCUUUCAGCCUUAGUAGCGCUUCUGUUUUUCAUCCUCCCCUUAAGGUAGAACAAUUGAGACAUCACCUGCACCAACAAAACUCAGCUCUGAGAUCAAAAAGAAAGGAGUCGCGAGAGCAAUAGGAAGAUUAUCACAUCACCCUGAAGGGAGCAGACAACCUUGGAGGUAUCCUCAUCUAAUGACGGACGUGUGAGAGUCAUAGGGAAUACCUCCGAAUCCAAGCUAGCCAGAGCCUUAGAACAGCUGCGAGAGGCGGAAAUGGAAGGCUUGAAAACAGAGGCUCUAGACCUCUUCUUAGAAGACAAAGGAGACACAAAAGGAGAUGCUUGGCACUUACCACUUCAGGUAAAUUGAAUAUUACUGCCUCCAGCAGGAACUACCCGAUGAAUCGCAGCCUUCCUCGCAGCCAUCACCUCGAGAGCUUUCUUAUACUCCUCCAACGCCUCCGCACCCCUAAGGCCCGGUAUCACACCUGUGGGACAAGAAUCAUUCAACAAACAACGAGAAGGAAACAGGAAAGUUACAGAUAUGAAGCUUACCCCUGAUACUACACCGAUCUAAUGCCCCUCACUCACAAGAAACAAAAUCUCACGGCGAUCAACAGGAAGCCCUAGCAACUGCUAAAUUAUGUGCCUCCCUGAAGAGAAAUCCGCGCGGGAAAUAUCUAUGGAAGGAAAAAUGAAGAAUGUUAAUAUCAUAAAAGUCGACAAGAAAUGCGAUGCUCUGCGCGACUCACCAGCCGUUCGCCAAGUUGAAGAAAAGCCUAGAAGAGGCAUAAAAGCAAACUUCGAUGCCCAGUUCCCUUAAAAAACCGGAUGAUGCUUUUUCUCCGACCUCGAUAGCUCCUGAACUGGGAGCAUCCGGCCGCGAGGAUGCAGAUGAUAGCUACGUUCUCUACCAUUUAGAGGAGAAACAGAGUAACAGUACAGAACCUCGGCGAUCCCGACAACUAAACCUUCGAGGUCACCAAGAUUUUGCAUAGCUAUCAAAAUCCUCCGGGCAGGAGGAUUCAGCUGUCCCGGAGAGAUAUUUACCGCUCUCGAAACUUCGGCAAUCAAAGAAGAAACUUGAUCCCUGAAACCCGAUUCAAAAAAGCCUUCAUAGACUGGGACUUCACCUGCCUUGAAAUCUGAAACCGUGUCGAAAGGACCGGGAAUACGGAUAACAAUUCGUGGAGAGAUAAAGCUUCUGUCUCCAAAACGCAACCUCCUCUACUCCUAUCUCUGAUACGGGACCCACCAGCAAAGAUCCACCUCCUUCCGGAAGCAACGAGGUCUCCCCCAUGGCUGUGUUCUUGAUCUCUUCUAUUUCGACAGACAGGCCCAGAGAAGAUCCCGAGGAGUUCAUCUAUUCGCAAACUUUGUCUCCAAUCUUGCGUCGAGAGCGAACCCUGACGCCAAUCGAUGAUGAGCCGGAGGCAAACUCAGGCUCGCUUUUCAUCUUAAGAGAUCCGGAGUAAAAGGACAAGAGAAUGGAGAGCUGUCGAAGAGACUAAGAAUCUAGGUUUACUGCACAAAGAGCUUUGAAAAGAAACUCAAGAGUCCAAAAUAAAAAAGGGAAAAAGCCUUAGGAUCAACACGUGUCAGAAGAGUGUGAUCGCGCGGGAAAACAAUCUCAGGAUUCAAUAAGGGAUCUUCUCCCGAAAAAUCGAGGGGUGAUAAGGAAUCAGUUACCAGCCAAAUCGCCGACCCACGCGUGAACCGCACGACAAAGCUCCAGCCUUGUCAUCUCCAGGAAGAUAGAAGAAAAUACUAUCAGAUAUCGACUGAACACGAAGGGACAGGUCCUUACCUAGGUUCAGAAUGAGUUCCGACUUGAGUGGAAUCUAGGCUAACAAGAUCAUCGGACCAGGGUCCUGCCUAAAGGGAGCCUGCUGAGAAUGAGCAACCCUGGUUGACUUGAGUGCACGGGUUGUUCCCCGACUUUGAUGACAAAGUCGAGAAACAAGGGGCAAACUGUUGGGAAAAAAUAUCCCGGUAUUAUUUCCCCCAGCCUCCAGACAGGACCCGGAUCCCUGGUAAAUGGGUUCCCCGGGUCCCCAUCAGAGGGAACCCUGGGCUCGAUCCCUGGACCAUACUCCCUUUCAAGAAAUGGAAAACUUCCGACAAGGAGAACCUUCCGUAUUUCCGAAUAUGGAAGAGUUUAACCUAAUGAAACCGACUUCUAGACGACUAUAUAUGAGCAAAAACAGCAUUCAAGCAAUUAGGGUUCUUCUUGAAUACCUUGUAACCCCGUUUGUUCUUGCUGUUAUAUCUAAUAAAACGUCUCUUUAAGCCUAUCUUUCCAUUGUUCUCUCAAAUCCCUACUAAAUAACCACAAACACUCGAAGUUUACCAGCUUAUCCAUCGUUCUGUGGUACUUUAAAAGAGCCUACACAAAAAUUCCCUAACACCAUGAGCAAAGGUGCCCCCUUUCCCACUUUCGAGAAUGAGCCUGCUAUUCCGCAUCUUCUGAUAAGGAUGUGGAUUCAGCCUGUUGUGGGCUUCUUUUUAUCCAGACACUUGCUUGCUUUAAAUCGAGUCAUAGUUUUGGGGUUGUUUUGGUCCUAAAGACUAUGGACCGGUCGGGAGAUAGCCUGGGAACCCUGAGGUUGUGAUUAUGUCUUGCGGGACGGGCUAUAUAUCCGAAGGUUUCGAAUACGGACUGUUGGAGUCUAGAGAUCGUUCACAGGAUCUGGAAAUUAUGUGGAGAUUCGAGGGUCGUGGAGGGGGAUCAGAGGCUCUCCUUGGAUCCAUAGAUCGCGUUUGGGACCCGGAGGUCCCUAUCAGACCACAAUGUAUUUUAUCUGGGACCCGGAGGUCUUUUCUCUAGGUCCUAGGACCGAGACUGGGGCCCGUAGGCGAUGUAGGAAUCCGGAGAUUCUCCAGUCAGAUCUGGAGAUCAUGGUUCGAAACCGGAGGUUUCUGUGGUUGUGAUUGGACCCUGAGGUCGCAUAAGAGUGCAUGGUUGUUCCUUAGAUCCGGAGAUCGUUUCGGGCCCUGAUGCACUUGGACCCUGAGGUCGCAUGGAACCCAGAGUUUCUUUCGGGAUGUAAUGACCCCGAUGCGCCCUCGGCUGCACAUGAGUUCUAUUGUUUUUUGCUAGAAAUUAGGCGUUUGAGGCCAUGUCGAAAACCGGAGGUUUGGAUCCGGAGAUCAAUUUUGGAACUCGGAGGUUCUUUGAAGCUGUAAGGACCCUGAUGCGCCCUAGGCUGCAUAGAGGUUCUAACUUCUUUUAUCUUUGGAACCCUGAGGCUACAUAAGAACCUGAAGGUUCUUCCUUAGAUCCUGAGAUCUUUUGAUUGGAAACCGGAGGCUAUGGAGGAACCCGGAGGUUCUUCCUUAGAUUUUAUGCGUAGGUCCCAAAAUCGUUUGGAGAACCUUGGGUUCCCUCUUUAGAUUGGGGGCUCGCAUAAGGACCUGGAGUUCCUUGGGUACCAGGAAUGUUUUAAUUUCGCAGAGACCAUACUCUACCUUCCUAGGCAAGACUACUACCGGUAGCCGUUUGGAUUUCGCAUUCUGCCGCUCGGAAGCUGGCCACUAUCAAGUUCCUAUGCUGUAUUCUACUUGUGCAGGAAGUCACUGACAGGCUUAGAGGGUGCUGGUGUGGGUGUUAUGACAUUCUUGCAACCCGUAGGCACCUGCUCUCCGCACCUCGAUGACCUUAUUGGGUCCUUCCCACCCGGGGGUGAGUUUCCCCGUUGUUUUUUUAGUUCGUCGUAGAACUCAAUCCCCUUGCUGGAAGGUUCUGGUUCUGACUUUCUUGUUGUACGUCAUGGCGACGUCUUGCUGGUAGGACCAGUUUCUUAGUCGAGCGGCCUCUCUUUUUUCAUCGAGCAGGUCAAGGCUUAGCGCCAUCAGCUCGUUGUUUUCCUCCUGAGUGGUAGAUCCGGAGACCGUCGUUCUUAUGUGAAUCUUUGUAGGUACAAUGGCCUCAGAGCCGUAGACUAGCGAGUAGGGGGUUUCCCCUGUUGUUGUUUUAGGAGUGGUCUGGUAGGCUCAGAGGACUCCGUGUAGUUCCUCCGCCCACUUCCCGUGAGAGCCCUCCAGUCGCUUUUUAAGCAUGUUGACCAUUGUUUUGUUUGUGGACUCUGCUUGUCCGUUGUACUGGUGGUGUCGGGGUGUGGCGAAAGUUAGUUCUAUGCCCCAGUCCUUGCAGAACUCCUUGAAGUUGUGGCUCGUGAACUGGGUCCACUUUCAGUGACGAUCUCGUGGGGGACCCCGAAGCGAGUGAUUAUAAUUAUGUAGGUCCACUGGAACUUGCGAAUCUGGAGAUCUGUUAUGCGGCUGAGCACUUCUACUUCGACCCACUUGGAGAAGUAGUUAGUGACGAUCAGAAGGAAGACCUUCUGCCCCGACGCCAUAGGGAAUUUCCCUACUAUAUCCAUGCUCUACUUCCUGAAGGGCCAUGGUGAUCUUAUGGACUUGAGGUUUUCCCGGGGAAGCUUCGAGACUGGAGCGUGCCUUUGGCAUUGGUCAUAGUGCUUAGCUUGUCUGUCGGCGUCGGUGGCCAUCGUGGGCCAGUAAUAACCAGCCUUUCUGGCUCUGAGCACCAGGCUUCUGCCGCUAGAGUGGGAUCCACAAUGUCCUUCGUGUAGUUCUACAAGGAUUCUAGCGGCUUCCCAGGGUGUGACACACCUCAGGUAUGGGCAAGAGAAAGAUCUCCGGUACAGCUUCUCCUUGGAGAUCUCCGGUACAGCUUCUCCUAAGUUUAGUAGCCAUCCUUCCAUCAAACAACUCUUUGCCAAGCUGAACAAUUGUCGUGUUCAACUUGUUUACUGUUUACUGCUUUUUAUAUCUUUAUUUACUGCUUUAAACCUAUUAGCCUAGCUUAAUCAAACUGAUUAGAUUUAUUUGGUUUCCUAGCUCCUUGUGAAUUUGAUCCCUAAGUACUACAACUCGACCUCUUAUUUGAGAGAGUAUAAAUCACUCCUUAGGGUAAUUUGAGUGAUAUCAAAUGUGGCGCCGUUGCCAGGGAGCUUUGAUCGCCAUUAGAUCUUGUCUAGUUAGAUUUAGUCUAGGUUUUACUACUGUUCACAAAAAAAACUGAUAAAUUUUUUUUUCUUGUGUUUCAGGUACAUCCAUAUGAUUACCAGAAGCAACAAGGAGAUAGAGGUCUUACUAGUAGAGCCACUGGAUUUGAAACGCGUGAGGGACCCCGAUGCGCCUUAGGCUGCACAUGGGUUUAGGUAGUUGUGAAAGCAUACUCAAGCCUACUCAGGCUUGCGCAUACCAAUUCCUGCUUUAUGUCUCAUACCCGUUUUGAUUCUUUGUGGGCGUGCCACUAUGGUCGUGCCUCUUUUUGUGAGGGUUGGCCAGGAUCGGAGGUCUCUGGAGACCUGAUCUAGCUCGUAUGCCCCUUUAAGUAUAAUGAUUUCCCCUCUGCUUUUAUUGCCGGAACUAUAUUAUUUUAAGCUUUGUCCGGAGACGUUUAGCAUACAUAGGAGUAGGAAAUCAUAAUGCUUAUAUAGUGUAUAGUAGUAUAGAAAUCAUGAUCCGGAGACCGUAUUAAAAAUGAUAGGCUUUGAGGUGCAGGACGUUCCAGCAGUUGGGUUGUAUUUUACCUUUGCAUUCUUGCAACCCGUAGGCACCUGCUCUCCGCACCUCGAUGACCUUAUUGGGUCCUUCCCACCCGGGGGUGAGUUUCCCCGUUGUUUUUUUAGUUCGUCGUAGAACUCAAUCCCCUUGCUGGAAGGUUCUGGUUCUGACUUUCUUGUUGUACGUCAUGGCGACGUCUUGCUGGUAGGACCAGUUUCUUAGUCGAGCGGCCUCUCUUUUUUCAUCGAGCAGGUCAAGGCUUAGCGCCAUCAGCUCGUUGUUUUCCUCCUGAGUGGUAGAUCCGGAGACCGUCGUUCUUAUGUGAAUCUUUGUAGGUACAAUGGCCUCAGAGCCGUAGACUAGCGAGUAGGGGGUUUCCCCUGUUGUUGUUUUAGGAGUGGUCUGGUAGGCUCAGAGGACUCCGUGUAGUUCCUCCGCCCACUUCCCGUGAGAGCCCUCCAGUCGCUUUUUAAGCAUGUUGACCAUUGUUUUGUUUGUGGACUCUGCUUGUCCGUUGUACUGGUGGUGUCGGGGUGUGGCGAAAGUUAGUUCUAUGCCCCAGUCCUUGCAGAACUCCUUGAAGUUGUGGCUCGUGAACUGGGUCCACUUUCAGUGACGAUCUCGUGGGGGACCCCGAAGCGAGUGAUUAUAAUUAUGUAGGUCCACUGGAACUUGCGAAUCUGGAGAUCUGUUAUGCGGCUGAGCACUUCUACUUCGACCCACUUGGAGAAGUAGUUAGUGACGAUCAGAAGGAAGACCUUCUGCCCCGACGCCAUAGGGAAUUUCCCUACUAUAUCCAUGCUCUACUUCCUGAAGGGCCAUGGUGAUCUUAUGGACUUGAGGUUUUCCCGGGGAAGCUUCGAGACUGGAGCGUGCCUUUGGCAUUGGUCAUAGUGCUUAGCUUGUCUGUCGGCGUCGGUGGCCAUCGUGGGCCAGUAAUAACCAGCCUUUCUGGCUCUGAGCACCAGGCUUCUGCCGCUAGAGUGGGAUCCACAAUGUCCUUCGUGUAGUUCUACAAGGAUUCUAGCGGCUUCCCAGGGUGUGACACACCUCAGGUAUGGGCAAGAGAAAGAUCUCCGGUACAGCUUCUCCUUGGAGAUCUCCGGUACAGCUUCUCCUAAGUUUAGUAGCCAUCCUUCCAUCAAACAACUCUUUGCCAAGCUGAACAAUUGUCGUGUUCAACUUGUUUACUGUUUACUGCUUUUUAUAUCUUUAUUUACUGCUUUAAACCUAUUAGCCUAGCUUAAUCAAACUGAUUAGAUUUAUUUGGUUUCCUAGCUCCUUGUGAAUUUGAUCCCUAAGUACUACAACUCGACCUCUUAUUUGAGAGAGUAUAAAUCACUCCUUAGGGUAAUUUGAGUGAUAUCAAAUGUGGCGCCGUUGCCAGGGAGCUUUGAUCGCCAUUAGAUCUUGUCUAGUUAGAUUUAGUCUAGGUUUUACUACUGUUCACAAAAAAAACUGAUAAAUUUUUUUUUCUUGUGUUUCAGGUACAUCCAUAUGAUUACCAGAAGCAACAAGGAGAUAGAGGUCUUACUAGUAGAGCCACUGGAUUUGAAACGCGUGAUCCAUAAGUCUAAGAGGGCAGUCAACACCCUCCAAGCAGCGAUUGACAGCGUAGAAAUCCAAGCAAUGCUCCUCGCCUAGGACUCCUUAUAUACUAGCUCCAAGGUCGGUUUACGCUUUUACUCUUCUGCCCUUAAGCCGUCAUAGCAUAAAAAUGGAGAUAUUCCAUUUUUCCCGAUCUUCACAUUUAUCUUCAAAACUUCCGUAUUUAUCCGCGGAAACUUGACACUUAUCAUUCCUCGUGGGCAAAGCGUGAACCAUGCUGUGGUUCACGGGCUUUUGGUUAGGAAAAAUCGUAGGAUGGUUCAUAAGGCUGCAGAAGUUACACUAUCUGAUAAAGAGCUUGACAUUGCUCACAGAUAUGUGUUAAUGAACACUGCAGUUGUAAAUCCAUAUGUCGAGUAAGUUAUUAUUUUUAGUUAAUAAUUCUUAUUUAAUAUAUGAUUGUUGGUUGUUAGUUAAUAAUUCUAACUCUUUGGAUUUCUAAAUCAGAAUGCAUCUUGAAGAUUUACAAGAUAAGGACGUCCGUUGCAGAAGGAAUCAAACUCUUUUGUGGAAAGUUACAUGGUGAAUGGUUUUCACAGUGGCUAAAAGAAAAGGUAUUUACAAAGUUCUCUAUACAUCUCUUUCUCUUUUACUCAGUAUUGAAAUUAAAACGUUAGUCUAAUGUUUUUUUUUUAUAUCAGAUCCCUAUUAAUUCAAAAGAGCAUUCGACCAAGCUAAGAUGGUUAGCAUUUGGUCCAAGACAUAAUGCUCAAAACUAUAAUGGCUAUAGCAUCAAUGGACAUCGUUUUCACACCGAAUGCUUAAAGCGGAAGACUCAGAACAAUGGAGUAGCAUAUGAAGCUAUUUUUAUAUGUAGAUCAAGUGUGAAAAAUACCAAUCACGUGGCAGAUGUAGUUUCCUAUUUUGGAGUGAUACAAGAGAUAACAUUGUUGGACUACCACAUGUUCCAGGUUCCAUUAUUCAAGUGUAAGUGGGCCAACAAAGGGAAUGGUCUCAAGGAAGAAGAUGGCUAUAUGCUUGUGAACUUCAGCGUUAACCAAGCAGCAUUUCUCCAAGAUCCAUACAUUGUGCCUUCUCAAGCAAAACAAGUGUUUUACUCCAAAGAAAAUGACUCAUCAAAUUGGAGUGUUGUUAUGAGGGCACCGCCAAGAGGGUAUCAUGAGUUAGAAACCGAAGAAGAGUUCGUAGUUGCGCCAAUAUCCAUCGAAGACAAUGAUGAUUUGGGGAAUGAAUCUUCUGAUGAUGAUAGUUUCUGCGUUAGGGCUGAUUGUGAUGGGGUCCUAGUACUUGAAUAAUUGGGCUAGGUCGUUAGGUUAAUUAGGUAGUUAGAAUUAUUAGGUAGUUAGGAUUAUAGUUUCUGAUUGUUUACAAUAGUUUCAGGUGAAACAUUAUGAAGCCGAGAGCUGAUGCAGCUAUACGUUGCAGUAAGCGCCAAAAAGGCGAAGAUGCGAGUGUUAAGCCAUUGAACACUCAAAAAAGACGUAGGAGGCUUACUGGUCAAACAGCAGAAGAAACAGCAACUGAUAUGCAGAUUGGUACUCAGGAAUCUGCAUUGGAAGAACAUCCUCUUGAACAAAAUUCAGAGAAAGAAAACGAAAGAGAAUCACCAGAAGACGCAGGAGAAAAACUAGAAAGUUGUGAUUGGACCCUGAGGUCGCAUAAGAGUGCAUGGUUGUUCCUUAGAUCCGGAGAUCGUUUCGGGCCCUGAUGCACUUGGACCCUGAGGUCGCAUGGAACCCAGAGUUUCUUUCGGGAUGUAAUGACCCCGAUGCGCCCUCGGCUGCACAUGAGUUCUAUUGUUUUUUGCUAGAAAUUAGGCGUUUGAGGCCAUGUCGAAAACCGGAGGUUUGGAUCCGGAGAUCAAUUUUGGAACUCGGAGGUUCUUUGAAGCUGUAAGGACCCUGAUGCGCCCUAGGCUGCAUAGAGGUUCUAACUUCUUUUAUCUUUGGAACCCUGAGGCUACAUAAGAACCUGAAGGUUCUUCCUUAGAUCCUGAGAUCUUUUGAUUGGAAACCGGAGGCUAUGGAGGAACCCGGAGGUUCUUCCUUAGAUUUUAUGCGUAGGUCCCAAAAUCGUUUGGAGAACCUUGGGUUCCCUCUUUAGAUUGGGGGCUCGCAUAAGGACCUGGAGUUCCUUGGGUACCAGGAAUGUUUUAAUUUCGCAGAGACCAUACUCUACCUUCCUAGGCAAGACUACUACCGGUAGCCGUUUGGAUUUCGCAUUCUGCCGCUCGGAAGCUGGCCACUAUCAAGUUCCUAUGCUGUAUUCUACUUGUGCAGGAAGUCACUGACAGGCUUAGAGGGUGCUGGUGUGGGUGUUAUGACCCAAGUGCCAGGCUUACGCUGCUUUCCACCUCUGGAGCAGCAGGAUUUAGAUUGCUCCCUUUAUUUCACAGUACUUUUGCAUAUACCAUGUGUUCCCUGUAUCGUGUAGCUCGUAGCGUUUUAAUACAAGUACUUUUCACAUUGGUACUCUGGGGACCCCGAUGCGCCUUAGGCUGCACUUGGGUUUUAGGUAGUUUUGACAUCAUACUCAGGCUUGCGCAUACCAAUUCCUGCUUUAUGUCUCAUACUCGUUUUGACUCUUUGUGGGCGUGCCACUUUUGUGAGGGUUGGCCAGGAUCGGAGGUCUCUGGAGACCUGAUCUAGCUCGUAUGCCCCUUUAAGUAUAAUGAUUUCCCCUCUGCUUUUAUUGCCGGAACUAUAUUAUUUUAAGCUUUGUCCGGAGACGUUUAGCAUACAUAGGAGUAGGAAAUCAUAAUGCUUAUAUAGUGUAUAGUAGUAUAGAAAUCAUGAUCCGGAGACCGUAUUAAAAAUGAUAGGCUUUGAGGUGCAGGACGUUCCAGCAGUUGGGUUGUAUUUUACCUUUGCAUUCUUGCAACCCGUAGGCACCUGCUCUCCGCACCUCGAUGACCUUAUUGGGUCCUUCCCACCCGGGGGUGAGUUUCCCCGUUGUUUUUUUAGUUCGUCGUAGAACUCAAUCCCCUUGCUGGAAGGUUCUGGUUCUGACUUUCUUGUUGUACGUCAUGGCGACGUCUUGCUGGUAGGACCAGUUUCUUAGUCGAGCGGCCUCUCUUUUUUCAUCGAGCAGGUCAAGGCUUAGCGCCAUCAGCUCGUUGUUUUCCUCCUGAGUGGUAGAUCCGGAGACCGUCGUUCUUAUGUGAAUCUUUGUAGGUACAAUGGCCUCAGAGCCGUAGACUAGCGAGUAGGGGGUUUCCCCUGUUGUUGUUUUAGGAGUGGUCUGGUAGGCUCAGAGGACUCCGUGUAGUUCCUCCGCCCACUUCCCGUGAGAGCCCUCCAGUCGCUUUUUAAGCAUGUUGACCAUUGUUUUGUUUGUGGACUCUGCUUGUCCGUUGUACUGGUGGUGUCGGGGUGUGGCGAAAGUUAGUUCUAUGCCCCAGUCCUUGCAGAACUCCUUGAAGUUGUGGCUCGUGAACUGGGUCCACUUUCAGUGACGAUCUCGUGGGGGACCCCGAAGCGAGUGAUUAUAAUUAUGUAGGUCCACUGGAACUUGCGAAUCUGGAGAUCUGUUAUGCGGCUGAGCACUUCUACUUCGACCCACUUGGAGAAGUAGUUAGUGACGAUCAGAAGGAAGACCUUCUGCCCCGACGCCAUAGGGAAUUUCCCUACUAUAUCCAUGCUCUACUUCCUGAAGGGCCAUGGUGAUCUUAUGGACUUGAGGUUUUCCCGGGGAAGCUUCGAGACUGGAGCGUGCCUUUGGCAUUGGUCAUAGUGCUUAGCUUGUCUGUCGGCGUCGGUGGCCAUCGUGGGCCAGUAAUAACCAGCCUUUCUGGCUCUGAGCACCAGGCUUCUGCCGCUAGAGUGGGAUCCACAAUGUCCUUCGUGUAGUUCUACAAGGAUUCUAGCGGCUUCCCAGGGUGUGACACACCUCAGGUAUGGGCAAGAGAAAGAUCUCCGGUACAGCUUCUCCUUGGAGAUCUCCGGUACAGCUUCUCCUAAGUUUAGUAGCCAUCCUUCCAUCAAACAACUCUUUGCCAAGCUGAACAAUUGUCGUGUUCAACUUGUUUACUGUUUACUGCUUUUUAUAUCUUUAUUUACUGCUUUAAACCUAUUAGCCUAGCUUAAUCAAACUGUCUGGAUUUAUUUGGUUCCCUAGCUCCUUGUGAAUUCGAUCCCUAAGUACUACAACUCGACCUCUUAUUUGAGAGAGUAUAAAUCACUCCUUAGUGUAAUUUGAGUGAUAUCAAAUUUGGCGCCGUUGCCGGAGAGUUUUCAUCGCCAUUAGAUCUUGUCUGGUUAGAUUUAAUCUACGUUUUACUACUGUUCACAAAAGAAUACUGACAAUUUUUUAUUUUUUUUGUGUGUUUCAGGUACAUCCAUAAGAGUACCAGAAGCAACAAGGAAAUAAGGCUCUUACUAGUAGAGCAACUGGAUUUGGAACGCGUGAUCCAUAAGUCUAAGAGGGCAGUCGACACCCUCCAAGCAAUGAUUGGCAGCCUAGAAAUCCAAGCGUCAAUCGAUAGUAUUCAUCCCGCGUUUAACGAUACUGUUCACUCGAUGUCGAUCAAUAUUGUUCAACCUACGUCGAUCGACACUAUUCAACCUGUGUCUGAAAACACUGUUCAUUCCCCCGUCGAUCAACACUCUUCAUCCCGCGUCGAUCGAUACUGUCCAUCGCGACACUGUUCACCGUGCAACUGUUCACCGUGACACUGUUCAUCCAAACACUGUUCAUCCAAACACUAUUCAUCCCGAUACUGUUCAUCCGAUGAAAAAUGACACCUCUUGUGUGGGAACCGAAAUUCGCACUGUCGAUUUCCGUUUAAAUAAGGAAACUAGGAAAACCCUAACUUCCCAGAGGACCCAGAUAUCUGUUAAUUACCCACACGUCAAGCAAUCAGAACACGAGAACAACAACGAUAAAAAUAAGAAAUCGAAAAGAGAACAAAGUAGAUCUUAUUCCGAAUCUGCGUAGGAGCGUUUACAACAAGGUAUAAGCCUGGGCUCGAGAGCUGUCGGCGAGAUUCCUAGUUCUAGAAACCCUAAGACGACUAAACCUAAUUGAGUCGCAGCUCGAAAUAACAAAAACGGAAAAUUGCCUAAAUUGCUCUAAGUGCUAAGUUUGCUCUGAAAAAGUUCUCCCCUCUGCUCCUCGCCUAGGACUCCUUAUAUACUAGCUCCAAGGUCGGUUUACGCUUUUACUCUUCUGCCCUUAAGCCGUCAUAGCAUAAAAAUGGAGAUAUUCCAUUUUUCCCGAUCUUCACAAUUAUCUUCAAAACUUCCGUAUUUAUCCGCGGAAACUUGACAUUUAUCCUUCCUCGCGGGCCAAGCGCGAACCAUGCUGUGGUUCACGGGCUUUUGGUUAGGAAAAAUCGUAGGAUGGGCCUCGAGUCGUGUUUUAGGUCCCUUUGGGCCGUCUUCCGACUCGACACGUUUACUACGAGUUUUCCGCGGUUUCUAAUCCGCGAAGUUUGAUCGAUGAAUUAGAAUAGCGGGAAACAUGGACUGAGCUUGCUACGGUCUUCGGGAGAUAGCAUUCGAAGGUUUGACGAGAAUGCAAGGACUGAUGUCGCAUCGAUGUUCGGAAAGGUUCAAUCGCUACAUAGCGACCGAACUUUGGCUCGAGCCCGGUCGCUACGUAGCGACCGAGCGAGACGAGUGCUCGGUUGCUACGUAGCGACCGAGCUUUGGCUUGAGCUCGGUCGCUACAUAGCGACCGAGCGGGACGAUCGCUCGGUCGCUACGUAGCGACCGAGCGUGGCUGAGCUCGGUCGCUACGUAGCGAACGACCUGUUUCGAGCUUUCGUCGGACGUCUCGAUUCUUUCUUCCGCCAAGCUUUUUCGUAAGGAAGAAUCUAUUUCGAAAAGUACUCUUCGGAGAAACUCUUAUUUUCUUCUUCGAACGUUUUGAAUGUUUAAAUUUGUCGUAACCGUUUUUGACCCCAACAGUUAGCCCCCCAGCCCGUUAGAGUUGUGACUCUAGCGGGCGGAUAGGUGACUUUGACAAGGUUAAGUGUAUUGGACGAAAUUUACAUUUGAAAUUCCGCGGAAAAAAGUUGUCGAGACGACAUUCCGAACCCAUACUUCUAUAAGUAGUGAGCUCUUGUCAUUCAUUUUCUUCACACCUUCCCUUCUUCAUUCCUUCAAAAACCUCUCUAGUUUCAAAACUUUCCUUUCAACAUGUCUUCCUCCCAAGGUGAUAAGAAAGAUUCCGACGUCGACAUGGGUGAUGCCACUUCUCCGGCUCCGAUUCCAACUUCUCCGGCGGAAGUGCCGGCUUGUGUUGCCGGUCAUCUUUCUUUCCGAGAGAAACUAGUUCGUCGCCAAGCCGAGAAAGAACUAGCUCAAACUGGCUCCAAGUUUCCGUCUUCUUCCGCGCAGGUCGUUGCCCCGUGUGGGACCGACGUCGCGGCUCCUCUCCCGCUAGCCCUACCUGCGGGAUCUUCCACGACUGCGAUCCUCGUCGAGGACAAAGAGAAGGCCGCUGACUUUAUGCCUCCUCCUCCAGCCAGAAAAGAAAUCGUUCUGGCAUUGCGUGCUCCUAGCGCUAUCCUGGCUACUCAGCCUAAGAGUCGGAAGAGGAAACUUGCCAAGAGCGGUGACGGGGAGACUUCGCAGCGAGGUGGGUCGAGCCUAGCAUCAGGACUUCGCGGAAAGGUUUGUUUCUUGUUUGAAUUCUCGAUCGUCUUUCGUGCAUUCUCUUAGUCUUAAGAAUUUUACCGUUUGCAGUUCAUAUCGUUGGUCUUAAGAAUGUGGUUCUGAGACCAGUCGCCUGUCCGGGGAGUUGGUGGAGCUUCAGGGCAGAUGGUCCGAAACCGAGGCUAUGUUGACGGCUGUCGAGGACUCUCACUCUGCGAAAGUGGCGAAGCUCGAGGUUGCGAUAGGAGAGCUUGAGAGGGACCUUGGGAAGACGGCGAGUUCCUUGCUUAAGGAAAAGAAGGCCAGGAAGGCCAAAUCCUCGGAGGUGCGUCGACUCCAGCGUCAGAUCGAGAGUGACGCGGGACUAGCGCGCCGCGGGAUCCAAGAGGCUACGGAUGCCCUUCGUGCGGAGUUUCAAGCUCGCUUGGCGAAGAUUUCUGCUUCCCUGGGUUCCCUCGAGUGUAUCCGGAGCAGGGAUUUCGCUUUGGCGACGAUUGAGGGCGGGAUGGCCGUGGUUCGGUCGUUCCAAAGUGAGACUCCCCCGACCUUGGAGGCCGAAGAGGCCCGACUGUCUGGAUGCAAGGGAGAUAUGGCGGCCGAGGAUGGAGAUUUCGGUCUCAUCCUGGCCGACCUGAAAUCCGCGUGCUUCCUUCCGACGUGUUCAGAAGACCCAGAGGGGAAAGACCCGAUGGUCGGAGAGAACGGAAGUGACGCGGCUCCAGGCUCGGACGAGGCAGCGGGUGAAGAGGGGGCGUAAGUUCUGAGGGUGACUUGGGUUAGAUCUCUUGCGAGAGAUUUUUUUUAUGUUUUUAUGUUUCGGCCUUGAAUGGCCUUGUUUGUAUUUCGGGACUGGCCGUGUGUGGCUUUGAAUCCCUGCCGCUCCGCGGCUUUCUUUUUAUAGUACGAUAAUCGGAUAACGCUUUUUAUGAGUUUGUGAAUAGUGGGGAGGAAGGUGAUGAGUUGUCGUCUCAUAUCCUUCUUCGAUUGUGAAAUGUUUCAUUCAAGAUCUGUUUCGAGAGUUCUUCCGCGAGAUUUGAACUCUGCGGGGGUGCUGAAGGUGUCGAACAUAAACAUAGAGGCAUGGUUUAAGAAUCUCUUAUCUUUUGAUAUCAUGUCUUUGAGAUGUUAGAGACCAGUGCGCUGGGUUUAGGGCAAGACCUAGGUUUACUUUCGGUUUAAGGAUUGUGCGGUGACUAACCGGCUAUCGUUUUUUCCUGUCGCGAUUUCUUCCUGAUUCGUAUCGAUGUAAAGUCCGCGAUAGGUUCUCGGCUUAUAUGACUUGUUUGAUACGAACCGAGCAUCUCUCCGGAGACCGGAAGUGCUAGACCAAAAUUUUGGAUUUCUUUUAUAGCGCUAUUAUCCUUGUGUCGGAUGUAAGAGAGUCAUCUCCGUGAGAUGGCUAUGUCUGUUUAGGACGUUUGUGAGUUCGAUGUGAUCAGCAUCGGACUUGGUGGCGCGUGCCGUUGUUUUGAAUAUUUUGCGCAAAAUAAGUGUUAGUGUGUGCAUAUAUAUAUGCCUUUUUUGUGACGGAGGUUUCGUUCGCUUGAAAGAAAUAAACUUUGAGGCAUCUUUUGCGACGUCUCGCGAUGCUAAAGGUUGCUUCUCCUAAGCGGCCGACUAAUUUCCGAAGACCUCGUUUUGAUUUUACGAGUGAGGAUGUUUUGAUAAGUCGAAAACGCCAAAGCGUGGUAAGAAGUUUUUCGAUUUUUUUGGGAGUAUACGAGUAUACGUACCCACUCCCCCCCCUUUUAAUGAGGGGGGACAGCUGAAUUUGCCUUUCGGCAAACUGCCUACGUACUCCUUGCGGAGAUCAAGCCGUCUCGUAGUUCAGUGAUUGCGAGUUGGUUUGUUUAGUGAUAGUAUUUUUUGAGAUGCAUCGCAUUCCAGGUUCUAGGGAUUUUUAUGCCCUGCAUGUUGGCUAUUUCGUAAGAACCUGGUCGGACGACUUUUUCGAUUUUAUAGGGACCUUCCCAGUUUGCUCCGAGUUUUCCCGCGUUUCGUUCAGCGGUGUUUUGGAAGACUUUGCGAAGGACCAGAUCUCCCUGAUUGAACCUACGAUUCCGUACGUUGGAAUUAUAGUAUCUCGCAGCGGCGUGCUGGUAGUUUUGAAUUCGGAUGAGCGCUCGAUCCUGGCGUUCGUUAAUGAGGUCGAGGUCGUCCAAGAGCAUAGCAUUGUUGAGUUCCUCUCGUUCAGGUAAGAACCUUCUUCGAACACCGGGAAAUUCUACUUCUGCGGGAAUCAUGCAUUCCGUGCCGUAUACCAGGGCGAAGGGAGUUUCUCCCGUUGCUCGCCUUGGGGUGGUACGGUGAGACCAGAGGACUCCCUCGAGUUCGUCGGCCCAUCUACCUUUUUUGGCUUCUAAACGUUUCUUCAGUCCGUCGAGAAUGGUCUUGUUGAUUGUUUCAGCCUGUCCGUUGCACUGCGGAUAUCUGGGAGUUGAGUUGUUGAGUCGUAUCUUCCACUUUUCGCAGAAUGCCUCGAAUCGGGUGGAAAUGAAUUGAGACCCGUUAUCGGUUACGAUUUCGUAAGGAACUCCAUGCCUACAGAUGAUGUUUCUCCAUACGAAAUUCUCGACUUGGACGUCUUUUAUACUUGCGUACGAGUCCGCCUCUACCCAUUUUGAGAAAAAAUCAGUAAGGACUAGAAGGAAACGUUUUUGCUUUGAAUUAUGCAGAGGUCCGACAAUAUCCAUGGCCCAACGCAUAAAGGGAUAGGGCGAUGUAAUGAAGGAAAGAACUUCGGCCGGUUGUCGGAUAGUUGGCGCAUGCCUUUGGCAUUUUUCGCAUUUUCGUGCGAAUUUCUCGCAGUCUCCGAUCAUUGUUGGCCAAUAGUAUCCGUGGCGUUUGAUUUUCACGGCUAGUGAUCUUCCGCCGGAAUGGUUGCCGCAGGAGCCGGAAUGUAUUUCCUCCAUUACUUUCCUCGCCUUUUCUCCUUCCAGGCACGUCAGGAGUGGUCCGAAGAAUCUCCAUUUGUAAGUCUUCUGAUAGCUUAAGGAUCGAACAAGGUAGAGAAAUCAUCAGCACGACCGUCGGUACAUGCGGUACGAGCCAAUCGAGCCAAAAGAGAGAAGUCUCGAUCAUUUUGUGGAACCUCAUGAUCCAAGUCAAGUCUGUCAUGACCCAAGUCAAGUCUGGCAUGAUCCUUGUCAAGUCUGGCAUGAUCCAAGUAAAGUCUGGCAUGAUCCACCUCAAGUCUGGCAUGAUCUACGUCAAGUCUGGCACAGUGAAAAACAUGAACCUCGGUUGAAAUGUUCAGAACGUCCUGAACUCCAUGCUGAGCUGGUUCCAUGUAAUGAUCCGUGGACUGCGGCACAUCAAUAUGUCCAGAAGACGCCGAACUCAAUGAAGAAUUAUUGAUCCACCAGUUAGACAUGAUCGAGGAACGACGAGAAAAAGCAGCUAUACGAGUGCAAAAUUACCAACAAGCCGCGGCACGCUUUUACGACUCCAACGUAAGAAACCGCGCUUUCUCCGUACGCGACCUAGUUCUCCGAAAGGUGUUCGACAGAACAAAAGAACCCAGGGCAGGAAAACUAGGGGCAAAACGGGAAGGACCGUACAAAGUCACCAAAGAAAUCCGAACCGGGGUCUACGAGCUAGAAAAACGCAAAACCGGCCUCCCAGAAAUGAGACCUUGGAACGCCUACAACUUAAAUAAAUAUUACAAAUGACGCAAAACCCGAACCUCGACCAUAACCGUCAAAGCUUCGAGCUGGGGGGCUACCAACCUCACCCUACAGCUCAGUCAAAGAACAACAUGAACUACGAAAAGGCUUGAUCCCUCGAAAAGGGUAUGUAGGCAGCUCAACACUGAGCGCAACCCAAACAACCGAACAAACAUUUGUUACUUUUCUUAGAAUAUUCAAUCCUGAUAGCCCGACUUGCUAUCUGGCCAUAUAAAGGCCCACAAAACAGAUUCCUGAUCAGUCUCUAUUCUACACACACCUUUUAAAUAUUAAAAGGAACAAGCUCAACGUAGCUAAAGUUAAACAAAACAUUCGAUUAGGAAAGGUAUUAACCCGAUAAUCCAUUUUCUGAAGACAUAUUUAUGUUUUUUUAAACAAACCAAAAGACAAAAACUACAAAUUCCAAAGCAAACAAACUAACAACUCGCGUUAUUCUUGGUCAACCGAAUCACCAGAAACCUCAGGAAGAUCGGGGAACUAAGGAAAGAAUCCGACACCGAGGCAAUGCCAUAAUCAAGAUCGAGCGAGUUCUCCCGAUCUUUAAGACGCACCAAUUCCUCUUCGAGCUUGAAACCGUCUUCGAUAUACUCGGUCAAAGCCUCGAUACGAGCUUGCACCUCCUGCAAACGAAUCUCUGCAGCCGUCUCUUCCUUUUUCUUCCGGAGCUUAUCCUUCACCACGAAAAGAACCGCGUCAUACUCUUGGGCAAGAGAUCGACAAGCAAGAUUGCGUUCUUUGAGAGCUGUCGCCUUGCAACCCUCAAUCUCCCGUCUAUGCUUUUCCUCCAUCGAGUCGAGAUCAGUCUGAAGAGCGACCUUCUCCGCCUCAGUAGCAAACAACUUCCCCUUCAGCCCCUCGACCUCGACCUCGCGCUGCUUCUCUAUUACUCGAACGAUCUCCAACUCACCUCGGAGCUGUUGAAUCAUAAGAAGAUGACCCCCGACCUCCUCUUUACACGGAAUAUCAGCUGAGCGCUUCUCCAUCAAAGCGGCGUAUUCAUUACUCGCCUCCAUAGCCUAAGCAAAAGCAACAACAAAGGUCGAACAAUUGUCAGCUAACCGGAUAGAGUAUCAGGAGCUAUCGCGAGAAAUAUUACCUUAUCAUUCGUGACCGCCAUCUGCACAUAAGCAUCACGCUCACGCAUAUCAUCUAGAGGAGGAAGCUCGCACCCCUUCUCUCUGAUCUUGCGCCAAAUCAGAGCAAGACGUUCGGGGUACUCGAGGAUCGGUACCUCAUCGUCAUACGAAAAUAUCCACGAAAAGGUCUCCUGCGCAUCCGGAAUACGAGCGCUCGGGUCAACUUGCGAAGUACCUUCGCCAUGCCGAGUUUUCUGAGCUCGCUGCAGUGACCCGACUUCAGAAGACUCAUCAGGACGGUUGGGCAGCGCCUCCUUCUCCCUCGCCCCUGAACAAAACAUAUUUGAGAACAUUAAGCAACGCAUAGGCAUUCAAAUCCUCCCAAACAAUAGAAAGUCAGCUUACUCUUAUCGCGACAACCUCUCCGGGGUCGAACAUGUACCACUGAACCGAUAGGAGUAGCACGGUUCUCGCCCGACGGAAGGGCGUAAGCAGCUUUAAUUCGAUCUACGGUGAACACGAGCCAUCGAGGGAUACCUCGCCUCAAAGUGGCAAUUAACCCCCGAAGCUCGGGAGUCAUAGGCGCAGAACCGAAUGGCUCUGCAAAUAAACAGAGAGAAGUCAUAAAACACCAAAAGAAAUCAAAGAGUGAAGCCCUCUAAGAGGAAAUAGAAAGAAAAACCUACCAAUCUCAUUGGACCAGACCCUAGGGAUCGUCCCAAAGUCGAAGUCACCGACCGAGGCUGGAUUAAUCUUAAAAACGAAAAAUUUCUCCCUCCACCGGUCAUCCCUAUUAGGAAUACCGUCUAGAACAGAACGGCCAGGCCGAGGGGCAAGAAUCAUUGUUCCUGGGAAGCCAUUCUUCCCCUUAAUACAAAACUGUUGUUUCAAUUCUUCAAAACCGAACCUGAGACCCUCCUCCCUGGCUCGAUCCACGAAGCCAAGAAAUAGCGCCAUAAAUAGGCGCCAUAUGGGCAAAAGCCAUCCCAAGCUCCACGAGCACCUCGAGAAGAAAGCGAGGAAGAGGAAAUGACAAACCUCCAUCUUGGAAAUGCGACGUGUAGGCCCUGCAAUACCCCGUCCUCACAGUCUCUAGAGUUUCGCCCUCUUCAGCCGCUUCAAUCUCAACGGCAUAAUCGAUUCCCAGAGCUCGUAGAGUUUUUUGAUAAAUUUCGGCUCGAUGAUCGUGGGAAGAUGAGGACCAAAUUUCUCAAGCGCCAUAGACUCAAAACAGGAAAAGAAAAAAAACCAAAGAUGAUGAAAGAGAAAGAAAGAUUGUAGUACUGAAGAAGACGAUACGCCCAGUGAAGCAUAAUAUAUAUAUAUAUAUAUAAACGGUUUCCGAGACACAAAGGAUUAACGGACCACGAACUCUCAAUCUUGACCACAAACUAUAUAUAUAUAUAUAAACGGUUCCCGAGAUCGCAGAACGGUUAUGGAGAUCACGAAGUCGACCUACUAUAAAGAGAGGAGAACACACAUGGAGAGACUCACGUUGAAAACCCUAGAGAGCGCUACAUCCACAUUUCGACCUUGUUUUCAUCGAUCUUUAUAUCAUUUCUCUUAACGAUCUAAUUGUAACGUUCUAUCUCGUUUUACUCAUUGUAUUCAAUUUCAUUCAUCAAUAAGAAUCCAUUUUUGCCUACCGGAAAUUGAUUACAUCGUUGUGUUCUAAAGAUAUUGUUGCCUACAUCAUUUAUCUUCUCCUGAUUAAACUCUCAAUCACUAUCAAAUUCUUAGUGUAGAUUUUAGGAUCUACAGCGAUCCCUUACGCAUUUAGCCUCUGUUGGUGUCUUUGAAACUGUUGGAUCUCUAUAGUCUUUAAACUCUUUACGUUUCUUUUGUCUCGUUAAAAAAGUAUCCUCUUAGUUUGUUGACUCUUUGAAGUAAUUUGACAAGAACGUUAACAGUUUUCGCAUUCUUUUUAUUUUCAUUUUAAUCAGAAACUAUUUUAUUUGAUAUGUAUUAGUAUAUAAAACGACAUCUAUAUUAAUAAAGGGACUUUUUGAGACUCCAUAGAGUGUCCACAUCAGCAAAAAAAACUUCUCCCGAAAGAUGACACGUGGCAUAAAAUAUAGUUUUACAUUUUAAUAUUACUAAUUUUCGAAAAUUAUGAAUAAUAUGUAAACAUACAGCAUAAAAAUGGAAAAACUACAUUAAACAUAUGUAAGAUUACUAUUUUUCACUUAAAAAAAAGACGGUUUAUCUCCAUAAUGUAACACUACCAUUUUAUAAAAAAACAAAAAACAUUAUAUAUAAUUUCGAAAAUAAUAAAUAUAAGUAAACAUACAAUAUAAAAAAUGGAAAUACUACAUUAAACAUAUGUAAGAUAACCAUUUUACAUUUUUAUUUAAAAAAAAAUGUAAAUAUACAACAUAAAAAAUGGAAAUACUACAUUAAACAUAUGUAAGAUUACCAUUUUUCACUAAAAAAAGACGGCUUAUCUCCAUAAUGUAACAUUACCAUUUUAUGAAAAAAAAACAAAAAACGUUAUAUAUAAUUUCUAAGAUAAUAAAUAUAAGUAAACAUACAAUAUAAAAAAUGGAAAUACUACAUUAAACAUAUGUAAGAUUACCAUUUUUCACUAAAAAAAGAACGGCUUAUCUCCAUAAUGUAACAUUACUAUUUUGUAAAUAAAAAACAUUAUAUAUAAUUUCGAAAAUAAUAAAUAAUAUGUAAACAAACAACAUAAAAAAUGGAAAUACUACAUCAAACAUAUGUAAGAUUACCAUUUUACAUUAAAAAUGGAAAAAUAUAUUAUGAUUUAAACAUCUAUUUUAAAAUAUAAAAUAUAAAUAUUAACUAAAUAUAAAGUAUAAGAACGAGAAAUGCUCAAUAUAUAGAAAAAUAAUUAAUAAGUAAAUAUUAUAAAUAUAUAAAUAUACUAAUUAUAUAUACAAUAAUAAGUAAAUGCACAAUUUUUAAAAAAUGGAAAGAGUACAUUAAAUAUUAAACAUCUAUCUUAAAAUGUAAAAUAUAGACAUUAAGUAAAUAGGAAGUACAAGAAAAAGAAAUAAACAACUUAAAAAAAAUGGAAAAAGUAUAUUAAGAUUUAAACAUCUAUCUCAAAAUGUAAAAUAUAGAUAUUACGCAAAUAGAAAGUAUAAGAAAAGGAAAUACACAAUUUAAAAAAAUGGAAAAAGUACAUUAGUAUUGAAACAUCUAUCUUAAAAUAUAAAUCUAUCUUAAAAUAUAAAUUUAUUAGUAAAUAGAAAGUAUAAGAAAUAGAAAUACACAAUAUAAAGAAAAAUAAAUAAUAAGUAAAUAUAUAAUAUCAGUAAAUACCCAAUUUAAAAAAUGGAAAAUAACAUUAAGAUUUAAAAAUAUAUCUUAAAAUUUAAAAUAUAGAUAUUACGUAAAUAGAAAGUAUAACAAAUGGAAAUAUACAAUUUAAAAAAAAAUAGAAAACGUACAUUAAGAUUUAAACAUCUAUCUUAAAAUGUAAAAUAGAGAUAUUAAGUAAAUAAAAAGUACAAGAAAUGGAAAUACAUAUACAGGAAAAUAAAUAAUAAGUAAAUAAUGUAAAUAUAUAAUAUAUGAAUUAUAUAUAUAAUAUUAAGUAAAUACACAAUUUUUUUUAAAAAUGGAAAAAGUUCAUUAAGCAUUAAACAUCUAUCUUAAAAUGUAAAAUAUAUAAUAUAAGUAAAUACACAAAAAACAAUAAAUUGUUAAACAUCAAUAUCAUCUAGGUUAAGUAUACGAACAACACAAAUUAAAACAUCACAAAAAAUAUUUACAAAAACAUUAUAAUACAAUAAUUUAAUCAAAAAUACAAUUAAAAAAAAACAAUAUUCAAAAGAAUAGUUAUAUACUUAAUAUUUUAAAAUCAAAGAUAUUUUUGCUAAAAUUGAACUUACCUGGCCAAGGAGAUCGAUCAUCUUUUUUACGGAUCGAUCGAUUGUUGAGCAUGUGGUCGAUCCGAAAAUACUCUGCAGUUUAAUUAAAUAUCUAAAACACUUAUUCCAACAAUCAACAUAUAGUUUUGCUAAAUAUAAUAACUAGAUAGCCAACAAAAUUACAAAAAAAAAUAUUGAAAUAGUAAAAAAUAUGUUAAUUUAACGUGUUAAAAUUUAAAAAUAAAUUUUAUUUAUGACAUGCAUCUUAACAUUUAUAUAAAUAUAUAUCAUAACCUAAAUAUAAAUAAUUUAACAACAUAAAUUCAAAAAAAUAAAAAUCCCGAACGUAGCCCGGGUUAAUCCCUAGUCUAUCUAUAUUAAUAAAGUAGCCUAGAAAGUAUGGCUGUUCAAUAUGGUAAAACCGAACCGUACCGAACCGAACCGAACCGAAAUAGACAAUAUGGUUUGGUUUUGGUAUAUACCAUAUAAACCGAAUGGAUAUAAUUUUCUAAAAACCGUAGGAUUUGGAUAUGGUUUGGUAUAUAACCGAUUAAACCGAAUAAACCGAACAAAAUCGAUUAAAAGUAGAAACAUGUAAAUAUGUAUCUAUUUUAUAACAAUACAUGAAAAUCUAUCUGUUACAUAAUUUAAAUUUGUGUUAAUAAUUAUUACCAUGAUUUUAUAGUAAUAAAAAAUCUUAAUUUGUAAAACACUUGAACUAUAACUAAAUAACAAUACAUCGCAAUUCAGACAUCUUAUUUUCUAAGUCUUUUUUGAUCUUUUUGAUUUAUUUUAGUCUUCACUAAAUUAAUAUGAAGAUUAUAAAUUUGAUGGACAAUAAUUAAUGGAAAAUUUUCAAUUGAAAAAACAUGACUUUAAUGAACACUAAAUAUGGAAGAGUGGAAAAACUUUUCUUUCAUGUUUCUGUUUUGUUUCAUAUUUUUAUUUUCAAAAUUUCAAGCUUUGAUUUUAGUUAUAGAUUUGAUUAUUUUAUUUGAUGGUAGAAGCAUUUUUACUUUUUUGUUCAUUUAUUUGAACAUGUAAUAUAUUUUUAAUAAAUGAGUGUGUUGACAAUAUGACUCUAAAAUUCAUAUAAUAUGAUCUCAAACAAAAUAAUUAUGUUUUUUGGUAUAAAACCGAAUAAACCGAAAACCGACGGUAUAUAAACCGAACCGAACCGAAGUAAAUAUGGAUUUAGAAUGGUAGUUAUAUUUUACUAACCGAAAUACCGAAAACCGAAAAAAACCGAACCGAAACCGAACCGAUAUCCGGAUUGAACACCUCCACUAGAAAGGUUCCAGGUGAAGCGACGUCAGCGAAAGGGUUUCCUUUGUUUGACACGUGUCAGUAUAUGAAAAACUCACCAAAGCGUAUUUUCGUUUACCUUUUUCUCUUGUCUUUUUAUGUCUGAUUUAUAUUACGGGCUGUUAUGUGUUAAGUUUGUGGGCUUUCUAUUUUAAUCUGACCGGCCAAGUUGUGAUUAGGUUUUUUUUUUCACUUACGCAAAGAUGGAGAUUAAUGUCAAAACGCCGUAGUUCUUCACAUCUUACCGGUUCUGGCGCAAAGAUGGAGAUCGAAGGUUCGUAACGCCUUCAUUUAUCGUCACUUAAUCGAAGCAUUUACGUCUUCUUCACCACUCUGCCCACUCUUUUGAAUGAAAUCGGCCAUUGCAUCCUCCAUGGUAACGGCCUUAAGCUGCAUCUAUAAAUGGCUUCGUUCUUGGGAUGAAGAUUCAUAUCAAAACAAAAUCCCAAAGUUUUUCUCUGUGAAGCAUCAAAUCAAGCAAUGGCUCAUUCGUCUUUUCGAGAUCCAUCAGAAGCAUGAGGUUACUCUCCUGGCCGAUUUGAAAGCUUGAUGCUGUUCAAACACCUCGAAGUCCGUGUCCUUUGAUUCUGGAAAGCAAAAAGUGUUAAGAAAGGUGGCCAACUCAUGGGUGUCGACACCACUGUGUUUUAUUAGAUCUUUCGACAUAUCUCUCUAUAUUGAUAGUCCGAUCUUUUUUUUUUGGUCAAGCAGUCAACCCUCAUCCAAGGAACUGUCCGAUGCCAGUGGGCAGUGUUGUCACUUAUCGACAGUACCGACGCUUUUUCAAAGAGGGUUCUGUCUACUAGCUUAGUGGUUUCGACAUAGCACGGAGCCUCUAUCUCUAUUCAAUUAUGUGAUGGAAAGUCCUUUGUUGAAAUGACGAAUUCGGUAAGGCAAUCCCUACAAAGCUUUUAUGAUUCCGCAACCACGAGCAGUUAUUGGCGUUAGCAAAUAUAAACAAACAGCUACCAGGUUUUAAAUCCAAUUUCUUAAUCUACUAUUUCAUUACGCAUCUAUACAAUAUUUAAACGGCCGUGUUCCUAAAAAAUGGCUAGACAUCCUUGGCGAGGUCAGUGCAAUCAGGAGCACAAUCAAUGACAGAAUACACGAAACACAGUGUGUAAUGCUUACUCUACGUCUAUAAAGGUGUACAUCUGCAACUCCAGUGUUUGGUUUGCCAUAAAAUUUCACAUGUUAUCUUAUGCUACACUUAUCUCAUUACCGUUGCUACUUAACAGGAAUAUGAAUGUGUGAGUCAGUCUCUUCGAUGGCUUAGCUUUUGCACUUCACGAUAAAUUUGAAAGCUGCGGGUCUGAGCCAAAAUUAGUGAUAGUCACUAGCAUCAAUCCCAAGAUUGUUUGAGGUAAAAAAAAAUAUUAUCAUCUUUCUUGCAUAUACAUAUAACUGUGACCGCUAUAUUAGGAUUUAUUUUGCUAUUAAAAAAAAUUUCCAUAAAAGUCUUUCCAUGAUGCAGGCUGGCUAUUUUUCAACGGCACAUCUGGAACCCACAUCUGACUCUCAGACAGAUGUCUAAAAAAUCUACAUGAAAAAUUAGUAUUUUGUUAUGCUUUUAUUAGAUGGUCCACCUCGAGUGCGUAAAAUAUCUUGUAAAUAUAUCAUCUUACGGUACUGUGAUGUCAUCUUUAAACUCUUUAGGUUGAGUGGGGAUGCCUCAACACAGAAUGGUUCCUCAUCCAAGCUGUUUCAUGCUCAAAAAAUAGAACCACUCAUCUUUGAAGUUACACCUUUUCACUUGGAACACUACUGGUGCCGAGUUACCUUCCACUACAAGAAAACGUAGCAGUAACAACGAAGAUUUACGACGAAAAUAUUUCUUUGUAAAUUUGCAAGGUGUUUACAACGCAAUUACGACGAGACCAAAAUUCGUCGUAAACUCCAUGGAACUUUACGACGAAAGUGUUUCGUCGUAAAGUCCAUGUAAGUUUACGACGAAAGUACGUGGAAAGCGAAAAUAGUCGUAAACGUUACAUCGACAUUACAACGAAUCAUGUUACCGUUAUAUUUAGGUGAAAACGUGUAUUCAAUGUGCUUUAACUUACCUAAAUUUGUUGUAAAGUCGUUGUAAAUAUUAUGUUAAAACCAUGUAAAAUCCAUGUAAAAUAUUCCUUGUAAAAUCGUUGUUAUAUUUCAACUACCCAACUCGAAAAUUUCUCUAUAUAUAUGUCAUUUCCCACAACUCUCUUCCUCACAACACAAAACUCUCUUCCUCACAACACACAACUCUCUUCCUCACAACACACAAACGGAAAAAAAAAAUCAGCAAAAAAAAAUUUUCAAAAAAAAAUCUAAGAAAAAAUGGCGGUGGCGGUAGUAUUUACGAUUUACGAAGUUGGAUGUAUUUGCACAAAGAUUCCGAUGGGAGAGUGACGAACGCAUUUCUGAACGGGCUAGAGACAUUCAUGCACCAAGCGGGCUGUACACCGAUCACGCAGGAAAGCGGUAAGAUGUUCUGCCCCUGUCGAAAAUGCAAGAAUUCAAAAUUUGCACGUAGUGAAACUGUAUAGAAUCAUUUAGUAAACAGAGGAUUUACACCACAGUACUACAUUUGGUAUCAACAUGGAGAGGGUUAUGGGGGAAAUGAAGCUAGUAGUAGUAAUAAUAAUUUUGAGGAUGGUCAUCAUAGUGAAGAACCGAAUCAUUUGCAUAAUGAAUAUAAUUAUCAUCAAGAUCAUGAGCAGAUGGUAGAUCAUGAUAGGGUUCAAGAUAUGAUUAGUGAUGCAUUUUUAGAAACAACUACAACAAUAGCUGAUGGAACUGGAAAUGUAGAAGAACCUAAUUUGGAUGCAAAAAGGUUUUAUGAAAUGCUAGAUGCAGCAAAUCAACCAAUCUAUCCUGGUUGUAGAGAAGGUCUCUCUAAAUUGUCUCUAGCAGCUAGGAUGAUGAAUAUUAAAACGGAUCAUAAUUUACCUGAGAAUUGCAUGGAUGCAUGGGCGGAGUUGUUUAAAGAGUAUUUGCCAGAAGACAACGUGUCUGCUGAAUCUUAUUAUGAGAUUCAGAAAUUGGUUUAUAGUCUUGGGUUGCCUUCGGAGAUGAUUGAUGUUUGCAUCGACAACUGCAUGAUCUACUGGAAAGAAGAUGACAAGUUAGAAGAGUGUCGAUUCUGCAAAAAACCACGAUUCAAACCGCAAGGCCGUGGGAGGAAUAGGGUACCGUACCAAAGGAUGUGGUACCUACCAAUUACAGACAGAUUGAAAAGAUUAUAUCAAUCUGAGAGGACUGCUGCAUCGAUGAGGUGGCAUGCGGAACAUGUCCAGAGAGAUGGUGAGGUUGCACAUCCAUCAGACGCAAGAGCGUGGAAACAUUUCAACAAGGUACACGCAGAUUUUGCUACAAAUAUUCGGAAUGUCUAUCUUGGGUUAUGCACCGAUGGAUUUAGUCCAUUUGGAAUGUCUGGUAGACAAUAUUCUUUGUGGCCAGUCAUUCUUACGCCGUACAAUUUACCGCCGGAUAUGUGCAUGGAACAAGAAUUUCUAUUUUUGACCAUAUUAAUCCCUGGGCCGAAGCAUCCAAAACGGUCUCUUGAUGUUUUUCUUCAACCGUUGAUAGAAGAGCUAAAGCAAUUGUGGUCAGAAGGGGUGAGGACGUACGAUUGUUCCUUGAAAAACAAUUUUACGAUGCGAGCAGUUCUGCUGUGGACGAUAAGUGAUUUCCCUGCUUAUGGGAUGUUGUCUGGCUGGACAACACAUGGAAGAUUAUCUUGUCCAUAUUGUCUUGGAUCGACGGAUGCUUUUCAACUGAAGAAUGGUAGGAAGAGUUGUUGGUUUGACUGUCAUCGUCGCUUUCUUCCACUUGCCCAUCCGUACAGAAGAAAUAAGACAUUGUUUCGGCACAAAAAAAUUGUCAGAGACGGUCCUCCUCCAUAUCUCACCGGCCAGCAGAUCGAAGCAGACAUUGAUUAUUACGGAGCUCAGGAAACAGUUAAAGUUGGAGGAAAUUGGCAUGUUCCUGGAAAUAUGCCUGAUGGAUAUGGUGUGUCUCACAAUUGGCAUAAGAAGAGUAUAUUUUGGGAGCUACCCUAUUGGAAGGAUCUUCUCUUACGCCACAAUCUGGAUGUCAUGCAUAUUGAGAAGAACUUUUUUGAGAACAUCAUGAAUACAUUACUUAACGUCCCUGGGAAGACAAAAGAUAACAAAAAGUCAAGGAUGGACUUACCUGAUAUUUGCUCAAGAAGUGAGUUACAUAUCAAGAGCAAUGGAAACGUUCCUGUUCCCAUCUUCCGGUUGUCAUCAGAAGCCAAAACAACCUUGUUUGACUGGGUUGCAUCAGAAGUUAAGUUUCCUGAUGGUUAUGUUUCAAAUCUGUCAAGAUGUGUUGAACGAGGUCAAAAGUUCUCCGGAAUGAAGAGUCAUGAUUGUCAUGUGUUUAUGCAACGACUACUUCCAUUUACUUUUGCCGAGCUCCUUCCAGCAAAUGUCCAUGAAGCACUUGCAGGUAAUUAUAAAUUUGUAAUAUAUAUACAUAUGUUAUGAAAUGUUAUUAAUUUGAUUACUUUUGCAAUAUACAGCCAUCAGAGCAUUUUUCAGAGAUCUUAGCACACGUACGUUCAAGGAAGAAGUCAUCGAACAACUUCAUCACAACAUUCCGAUCAUAUUGUGCAACCUGGAGAAGAUAUUUCCUCCUUCAUUUUUUGACGUCAUGGAGCAUCUAGUUGUCCACCUACCGUAUGAAGCAUUGCUUCGUGGACCUGUUCACAACGGAUGGAUGUAUCCGUAUGAGCGACAGAUGAAACAUUUGAAGGGGAAAGCAAGAAAUCUUGCAAAGGUAGAAGGUUCAAUAGUUGCGGGGAGUUUGACAGCCGAAACAUCUAACUUCACAUCAUACUACUUUGCUCCAACUGUUCGUACGAGGAAAAGAGUUCCUAGAAGAUAUGAUGAUGGUGGAGUACCGACAUCAUAUCCAAUUGAUGGUGUUCCUGACAUUUUCUGCGAAAUUGGACGGUUUGGUGGUAAAACGAAAGAAGUAUGGUGGUCAUGUGAAGAGGAUAAACAUAGUGCCCACACUUAUAUUCUGCUCAACUACGAGGAUGCAAUGACCCGUUACUUUGAAAGGUAAAUAUUUUUGUGAAUGUUAAUUAUAUGGACUGAAGUUAAUUAUGUAUGACUUGAUUAUUUGUUUAAUUUGCAGCAUGUUUGUAUCUCAAGUUGAAGAAGCAAUACCAGGAAUAUCUGCAACUGAUGUGGACACACGUAAAGAUAUGCACUUUGUCAAGUGGUUAAAAUCACAGGUACGUAAUAUAUCUCAUACAUUGAUUAAUUAAGUAAGUGUUUUGAUACUUCAAUAUUAAUUAAGAAAAUAUGCUUUUUGCAGGUUGAUUAUGACGAUCCAUAUUAUCCCGUAUGGUUUCACGAAUUGGUUCAAGGUCCAGUUGCAAAGGUCACUACAUCACCUAUGUAUUUCACACGAGGAUUUACCUUUCACACAUACGAGUAUGAGAGACAUCGGGCAACGAGUGACUACGGAAUAUGUGUGAAAGGUGAAACAGACUUUUACGGGAUAUUGCAAGAGAUUAUUGAAGUGGAAUUUCCGGGGUUAUUGAAGCUAAAAUGCGUCCUCUUCCAAUGUGAAUGGUUCGAUCCUGUUGUGAACCGAGGGAUUCGGUAUAACAAAUUUGGUGUUGUGGAUGUCAAUUAUGGGAGAAGAUACAACAAAUUUGAACCUUUCAUUUUAGCUUCACAAGCCGAGCAAGUUAGCUUCCUUCCUUAUCCUCGGCUUCGAACUUCCUGGAUAAACUGGGUAGCUGCUAUCAAAAUUACAACUCGUGGACGCAUUGUCGCUGGAGAAGAACCGCCCUUGCAAGAAGAAGACGCUAUCACUGAAGUUGAGGUACCAGAACGACCAACUGAUGAAAUCCUUUUGAUCGACCCGCAAAACUUUCAAUAUGAAGAUAUUCCCGAAGAUGCGACAGAUGAAGCACGUGAAGACGAGUUCGAGAGAAGUGAAGAUGAUGAUUGUAAUGAUAGUGAUGAGAACGAAACGAUUUAGAGUGAUGUAAUAUUGAUGAGAACGAAAACGAUUUAGAGUGAUGUAAUAUAUGUAACAAAUGUUGUAUUUCUCUAUUGUAAUGUAUGUUUAAAGAAAUAUUAUUUUUUUACCAUCUUAAUAUAUGUGUAACAAAUGUUGUUUUAUAUAAUAUGUAUUUCUUUAGUUUUUAAAAAAAUUAUUUGGAGUUUUAGGGUUUUAGAGUUUAAGUUGGAGAAAGAGCAAGAAGUAGUAGAGAAGAGAUAUGAUGUUAGAUGAUAUGUGACUUUGGGGUUUAGGGAUUUCAUUCUCGGUGUUUAGGGUUAAGCGUUGUAAAAUCGUCGUAAAUGGUUAUCUAUUCCACGUAAUUUCGUCGUAAAUGGAAAAACGCGGGCCUGGUAACUUCGUCGUAAACGUGGGCCUGGUAAAUUCGUCGUAAACCGAUGUUUCGACGUAAUUUCGUCGUAAAUCGAAAAACNNNNNNNNNNNNNNNNNNNNNNNNNNNNNNNNNNNNNNNNNNNNNNNNNNNNNNNNNNNNNNNNNNNNNNNNNNNNNNNNNNNNNNNNNNNNNNNNNNNNNNNNNNNNNNNNNNNNNNNNNNNNNNNNNNNNNNNNNNNNNNNNNNNNNNNNNNNNNNNNNNNNNNNNNNNNNNNNNNNNNNNNNNNNNNNNNNNNNNNNNNNNNNNNNNNNNNNNNNNNNNNNNNNNNNNNNNNNNNNNNNNNNNNNNNNNNNNNNNNNNNNNNNNNNNNNNNNNNNNNNNNNNNNNNNNNNNNNNNNNNNNNNNNNNNNNNNNNNNNNNNNNNNNNNNNNNNNNNNNNNNNNNNNNNNNNNNNNNNNNNNNNNNNNNNNNNNNNNNNNNNNNNNNNNNNNNNNNNNNNNNNNNNNNNNNNNNNNNNNNNNNNNNNNNNNNNNNNNNNNNNNNNNNNNNNNNNNNNNNNNNNNNNNNNNNNNNNNNNNNNNNNNNNNNNNNNNNNNNNNNNNNNNNNNNNNNNNNNNNNNNNNNNNNNNNNNNNNNNNNNNNNNNNNNNNNNNNNNNNNNNNNNNNNNNNNNNNNNNNNNNNNNNNNNNNNNNNNNNNNNNNNNNNNNNNNNNNNNNNNNNNNNNNNNNNNNNNNNNNNNNNNNNNNNNNNNNNNNNNNNNNNNNNNNNNNNNNNNNNNNNNNNNNNNNNNNNNNNNNNNNNNNNNNNNNNNNNNNNNNNNNNNNNNNNNNNNNNNNNNNNNNNNNNNNNNNNNNNNNNNNNNNNNNNNNNNNNNNNNNNNNNNNNNNNNNNNNNNNNNNNNNNNNNNNNNNNNNNNNNNNNNNNNNNNNNNNNNNNNNNNNNNNNNNNNNNNNNNNNNNNNNNNNNNNNNNNNNNNNNNNNNNNNNNNNNNNNNNNNNNNNNNNNNNNNNNNNNNNNNNNNNNNNNNNNNNNNNNNNNNNNNNNNNNNNNNNNNNNNNNNNNNNNNNNNNNNNNNNNNNNNNNNNNNNNNNNNNNNNNNNNNNNNNNNNNNNNNNNNNNNNNNNNNNNNNNNNNNNNNNNNNNNNNNNNNNNNNNNNNNNNNNNNNNNNNNNNNNNNNNNNNNNNNNNNNNNNNNNNNNNNNNNNNNNNNNNNNNNNNNNNNNNNNNNNNNNNNNNNNNNNNNNNNNNNNNNNNNNNNNNNNNNNNNNNNNNNNNNNNNNNNNNNNNNNNNNNNNNNNNNNNNNNNNNNNNNNNNNNNNNNNNNNNNNNNNNNNNNNNNNNNNNNNNNNNNNNNNNNNNNNNNNNNNNNNNNNNNNNNNNNNNNNNNNNNNNNNNNNNNNNNNNNNNNNNNNNNNNNNNNNNNNNNNNNNNNNNNNNNNNNNNNNNNNNNNNNNNNNNNNNNNNNNNNNNNNNNNNNNNNNNNNNNNNNNNNNNNNNNNNNNNNNNNNNNNNNNNNNNNNNNNNNNNNNNNNNNNNNNNNNNNNNNNNNNNNNNNNNNNNNNNNNNNNNNNNNNNNNNNNNNNNNNNNNNNNNNNNNNNNNNNNNNNNNNNNNNNNNNNNNNNNNNNNNNNNNNNNNNNNNNNNNNNNNNNNNNNNNNNNNNNNNNNNNNNNNNNNNNNNNNNNNNNNNNNNNNNNNNNNNNNNNNNNNNNNNNNNNNNNNNNNNNNNNNNNNNNNNNNNNNNNNNNNNNNNNNNNNNNNNNNNNNNNNNNNNNNNNNNNNNNNNNNNNNNNNNNNNNNNNNNNNNNNNNNNNNNNNNNNNNNNNNNNNNNNNNNNNNNNNNNNNNNNNNNNNNNNNNNNNNNNNNNNNNNNNNNNNNNNNNNNNNNNNNNNNNNNNNNNNNNNNNNNNNNNNNNNNNNNNNNNNNNNNNNNNNNNNNNNNNNNNNNNNNNNNNNNNNNNNNNNNNNNNNNNNNNNNNNNNNNNNNNNNNNNNNNNNNNNNNNNNNNNNNNNNNNNNNNNNNNNNNNNNNNNNNNNNNNNNNNNNNNNNNNNNNNNNNNNNNNNNNNNNNNNNNNNNNNNNNNNNNNNNNNNNNNNNNNNNNNNNNNNNNNNNNNNNNNNNNNNNNNNNNNNNNNNNNNNNNNNNNNNNNNNNNNNNNNNNNNNNNNNNNNNNNNNNNNNNNNNNNNNNNNNNNNNNNNNNNNNNNNNNNNNNNNNNNNNNNNNNNNNNNNNNNNNNNNNNNNNNNNNNNNNNNNNNNNNNNNNNNNNNNNNNNNNNNNNNNNNNNNNNNNNNNNNNNNNNNNNNNNNNNNNNNNNNNNNNNNNNNNNNNNNNNNNNNNNNNNNNNNNNNNNNNNNNNNNNNNNNNNNNNNNNNNNNNNNNNNNNNNNNNNNNNNNNNNNNNNNNNNNNNNNNNNNNNNNNNNNNNNNNNNNNNNNNNNNNNNNNNNNNNNNNNNNNNNNNNNNNNNNNNNNNNNNNNNNNNNNNNNNNNNNNNNNNNNNNNNNNNNNNNNNNNNNNNNNNNNNNNNNNNNNNNNNNNNNNNNNNNNNNNNNNNNNNNNNNNNNNNNNNNNNNNNNNNNNNNNNNNNNNNNNNNNNNNNNNNNNNNNNNNNNNNNNNNNNNNNNNNNNNNNNNNNNNNNNNNNNNNNNNNNNNNNNNNNNNNNNNNNNNNNNNNNNNNNNNNNNNNNNNNNNNNNNNNNNNNNNNNNNNNNNNNNNNNNNNNNNNNNNNNNNNNNNNNNNNNNNNNNNNNNNNNNNNNNNNNNNNNNNNNNNNNNNNNNNUUAUUGAAGCUGAAAUGCGUCCUCUUCAAAUGUGAAUGGUUCGAUCCUGUUGUGAACCGAGGGAUUCGGUAUAACAAAUUUGGUGUUGUGGAUGUCAAUUUUGGGAGAAGAUACAACAAAUUUGAGCCUUUCAUUUUAGCUUCACAAGCCGAGCAAGUUAGCUUCCUUCCUUAUCCUCGGCUUCGAACUUCCUGGAUAAACUGGGUAGCUGCUAUCAAAAUUACAACUCGUGGACGCAUUGUCGCUGGAGAAGAACCGCCCUUGCAAGAAGAAGACGCUAUCACUGAAGUUGAGGUACCAGAACGACCAACUGAUGAAAUCCUUUUGAUCGACCCGCAAAACUUUCAAUAUGAAGAUAUUCCCGAAGAUGCGACAGAUGAAGCACGUGAAGACGAGUUCGAGAGAAGCGACGAUGAUGAUUGUAAUGAUAGUGAUGAGAACGAAAACGAUUUAGAGUGAUGUAAUAUUGAUGAGAACGAAAACGAUUUAGAGUGAUGUAAUAUAUGUAACAAAUGUUGUAUUUCUCUAUUGUAAUGUUUGUUUAAGGAAAUAUUGUUUUUAUAUCAUCUUAAUGUAUGUGUAACAAAUGUUGUUUUAUAUAAUAUGUAUUUCUUUAGAUUUUAAAAAAUUAUUUGGAGUUUUAGGGUUUAAGUUGGAGAAAGAGUAAGAAGAAGUAAAGAAGAAGAUGAUGAUGUUAGAUGAUAUGUGACAUUGGGGUUUAGGGAUUUCAUUCUCGGGGUUUAGGGUUAAGCGUAGUAAAAUCCUUGUAAAAAUAACACGGGCGUGGUAAUUUCGUCGUACAUGGAAAAAGACGGGCCUGGUAAAUUCGUCGUAAAUGAGAAAACGCGGGCCUGGUAAAUUCGUUGUAAAUGGAAAAGCCUGGUAAACCUAUUCAACGUAAUUUCGUCGUAAAUCGAGAAACACGGGCCUGGUAAUUUCAUCGUAAAUGGAAAAACACGGGCCUGGUAACUUCGUCGUAAAUAGAAAAACGCGGGCCUGGUAAAUUCGUCGUAAUAUUACGUCGCGUUUACGACGAAUCGUUAUCUAUAUAAUGAGACGCCGAGAGCGAGACUACCUCGUUCAUUCCUCCCAAACUCCUUUGCUCUCCCUCUAAGGUAAACUCUCUCUUCUCUUUUUUUUUUUAAAGUUAGUUUAGGUGAUUAAUUAGUUAGGUAAUUAGUUUAGGCGAUUAGUUAGGUAAUUAGUUUAGGUGAUUAGUUAGGUGACGGAAUACUAGUUUAGGUGAUUAGUUAGGUAACGGAAUAGUUUUUUAAUUAUGUCGUAAUUGAUUAAAUUUAUUUUAAUUUUUUUUAGAUGGCUCCUAGGAGGAAAUCAGCAGCACCUAGUUAUGCCCAGUUGUUUGGCGAUGGUUCCGGUACGUCUUCUUCCGGUCCAUCGUCUUCCGAUGCAGUUCCAGACUCUCAGCCUUCUCAGAGAGUUGCUUGGAGUCCUCCUCCUCCACCGCAGAUGCCUCCACCUCCUCCUCCAGCGGCUGCACCUCAGCCUGUCCCAGAAGGUGCAGUUCAUCCGGAUUUGCGUGUGCCUUCAUAUGCCCCAUUCGCGAGAUAUACGGUGGAGGAUUUGCUUGCCCAGCCUGGUCAGGAGGGUUUGGAUAUUCUAGACCCCGAUAGACCCCGACGAACUUAUUGGUAAGUUAUUAAUUUUUAUUACAUUAAAAUUUAAAUUAUUUUUAUUUUGUAACGGUUAUAUUGUUUUUUUUUUCAGGUUUGGGGCUAACAACCGUGUUAGCCAGAGAGUUUCGAAGACGAUUAAGGGUUAUUACGACGGGGCAUAUCCGAAUUGGAGCAAGACACCAAAUCACGUUAAGAUCACUUGGUUUAAAUGUUUUGCGGUAAUAUUUUAAAAUUUAAUUAAAUUUUCACUUUUAAAUAUAUAUAUAUUUUAAAUAUUUAUUAUUAAUUAUAAUUUCUUCAAAAAUUUUGUGUUUCACCAAAAGUGGCAUUGGUCUUUGGGAAUCACCGAGAGGGUGAAGGCGGAAUUUGUUGCAAAGGCAAAGAUCCGCCUCUGCAACACAGUCUCUGAUUGGAUGGACAAGUGGGAGAUCUACGGGUAUGAGGGAUAGCCCACUGAGCUCACGAAGGAUGUGUGGGAUGGCCUCAUCGCCUAUUGGCAGCACCCCUUUUCGAUCAAAAAGGCCAAUUCGUGCUCGGCUUCUCGAAGAACGAAGGAUAAAGAUGGUUAUUUGCCCAUGCUUCACAGAACCGGACAAAAACCUCAUGCAGGAAUCCGUUUAGAAGCUGUAAGUUUUGUUUUAAAUAUUUAUUUUAAAAUUUUCAAAUAAUUUAAUUUUUUUUUGUAGUACGAGAAGACGGGAGUCUUACCAUCUCUGUCUGACCUAUUCAAGAUGACUCACGCCACAUCCGACGGAGUUUUUGUGGAUCCUGCAUCUGAGAAACUCUUCCAAGCAGUGGCUUCUCGGAUUGAAGAACAGGAGACGCAACUAACCCAGGAGUCUCCCGAUGGAUUACCCGUCACAUUGUCCACCGAAGACGCCGACAGAAUCUUCGAAGAGGUACAACUUAAAAUUUUUGUUUACAUUAUUUUUAAUAUUUUAACAUAAUUAACUAUAUUAGUAUAUGUUUUAAUUUUAUAGGUGGCUCCUAAAAAGAAGAGACGAAUAGUCGGUACAGGCUCUGUUAACGAAGUUGCAAGGACAAUUUCGUCAUACACUUCGAGACGGGAUGAAGAGACUUCUCAGAUGAAGAGACUUCUCAGAUGAAAGCUCGAAUGGAUAGCCAGCAGGUUCGUUUAGACUCUCUUGAGAAUUUGCUAGACGUGAUGGCCGUGGGAAACCCGGUUAUGCAGAGAAUGUUGAGUGAAAGACGAGCCGCUCUUGGGUUGCCAAUACGAGAUCCCCAAGAGUCCGAUCCAACCCGUCAACAGCCGAGCAACCCCACCGACUACUUCGAUGAUAUGUAGUUUUUUUUAUAUAUCGGUUUGUAUUAUGAAUUUAAAUAUUAUUGUAUGACUUUUAAAUGCUUUUUUAAAAUAUGUUUUUUAUUUUCAUAUUUCGUUUUAAAAUUAAACUUAUUUUAAAUUCUGAAUUUUAAAUAAAUUCAAAUUUAUAUUUGAGGUUAAAAAAAUAUUCAAAUCUAUUAUAUAUUAAUACGAAUCGAUGUAAACUCCACGUAAAUGCUUACGAUUGAUUAACGUCGAAAGAUUUACGAGGGUUUUACAUCGAAAAGUUUACGUGUUCUUUACAACGAAAGUAUUUAUGUCUGCUUUACAUUGAAACCUUUACGUGGAGUUUACCACGAAAUAUUACGUGUCGUUUACGACGAAACGAUGCCCUGCGCUUUACGAGGAAUAUAUUUCAUCGUAAACGAACAAGUCAUUUACGACGAAACCUCAGUUACGACGGACGUUUUACGACGAAACGUCUUUCGAGGUUAAUUCGUCGUAACACCCCGUUUACGAUGAAUUUAUAACGUAUAUUGCCCUCGUAAAAAAUAUGUUUUCUUGUAGUGUUCGUUAGGUCAAGAACCCUUAGUUAUGUCAACAAUCAAACAAGCGGUUAAGGUAUUACACGUCAACCCUUUGGUUUCUGUCUUGCGCCUUUUGUAUUUGAUUUUCACUUACAUAGACUCUCUUUUCAAUUUUAGAUUGGGUACAAACACAUCGGUUGUGCUUCGAUAUACGGUCACGAGAAAGAGGUAAACAUUUCUAAAUCAAAGAAUUUGAGAGAGACCAUACACUUAAGUAUGUGUAGUUGAAGUUUGAUGCCUCUGUAUGUCACGUUCUCCUCACACUAUGAAUUCAUUAACUAGAUUGGUAGCGUAGUGAAGAAGUUAAUAAAUCAUGGUUUCGUGAAGCUUGAGGAGUUAUUCAUCACUUGGAAACUCUGGUUUGUCUUCUCUCUAUGACCAAAUUUUUCUUUAGUGCAUGUCUAUAUUAAGUUUGUAGUUCCCAUCACCCCUCACUGUUUCUAUUUAUAUUACACUAGCAGCAAAUGUUUUCUGAAGAAUAUCACCUGGAACAUCAAGUGAGAGAGCCUGGGAGUCAACAACAGUACUAUGUAAAAGAGUGAGCAUGAAGAAAUGCUUUGCCUUGACUAUGUAAUAAGUUACAUUACUUUUUGUUGCAUUACUCUUUGUUGUAUCAAGUAGUUAAGUUUACGGUUUACCAUGUGUAGAAUAUGCACAUAACUAGCCUAUCAACCAUCACAGCACUAUGAAUUCCCAUAUAUAUAUAUAUAAGUGGGGUCUGUUAUUAAUCUAGAGCAAGUUGAAUAACAACACUAAAGAAAUCUAUUGGGUCUUUAAUACUUUUGGCACUGGUGAUAUUUUUUUAAUAAAGUAAGGAUGAAGUAGAUCUACAAAGUAUCAGUUAAAUGUUCGAAUCCGAUCUGUGAGGAUAGUUUUGGGAAGUAGAUGAUGUGAUUUUCAGUUGAAAAAGCCAAGAAUUUUUAACUAUCGCAAAUUACCCAAAAGAAUAUUAUUAUUGACAAUUGACGAUGUGAGCAUUAACUGUAAAGCAGAUUAAAUCAAUUUUAUAUUGGUUUAUGAGAUGAAUCAGUUUAAAGAAGCAAAGCGAAUCAAUAUUCGAUAGAAGAGAAUAGGUAACCUUAGUUUCUUUUACUAAAUCGUUCAAACGAUUGCGUCAGUCAAAAUUUGUAGAGCACAACAUACAUAUGUUUGUCACAAAAGAAAAUACUCCUCUAUGUUGUCAUUUUGCCUAUCUCCUCUUACUCAAAACAUAUAUAUUUAGUGAACUGCACAUUUAUAUCAUACAUUAGGAAACACAGUAGAUCAACUAUAAACUAAACACAUUUCAACUAUGAUUUUCUUUUAAAAAUUUACAUGAAGAAAUCACAUCCAGGGUUGGCUCAAGAAUCAUGGAGGCCUUUGGCGCAAAAAAAUGGUCGUUACAAAAAUAUAUAUUUAAAAAACAUUUAGUAAAAAUUAUGUUUAAUAUAGUUAUUUAUUAUAUAUGAGAUUUUUUAUUUAAAAUAGUAUUUAAGAUAUAUAAAAAUUAGCUAAAAAUCUACUUAUACCUAUAAAAAUGUUUAGUUUAUUAAAAAGUUGAAAUUUUGGAUCUCGGACCCUAGGAGGUCGCACUCCCCGCCCUUCUACUUAAACCGCCCAUGAUCGUAUCACAAUAAUAUAAUAUUGUCUUGUCUACUCCAAUAUCAAAUACAUUUGAAAUAAAACAAAUAUGCAAAACGAAUUACACAAGUGAAUAACAUAAUUGGUAAACAAUCCGCGCGAAACGCGGACACGCCACUAGUAUAUAUUAUAUGAGAUUAUAACAAAAUGUGUUUACAUAAAAAAAUAUAAAAGGCUUAAAGGGUUAAAAAGGGUUCAGCCCUAUUUUACAUAGUUUAAUGGGUUCUAAAAGGGUUAGGGCUCACUUAGGGUUGAGCUUAAGCUAAAUAGGGCUGGAUUGCGCUGGACAACCCAUACAACAUCCCUAGUUCUGAAGAUCCAAUCACACAAAGUUUAAUCAAAGAAGAGGUUCAUAAAUGGCAGAAGGAAGGUGCACGCAUUGUGUAUCGUCAUCGUGUGAAUAGAGAAGGCUACAAAGCUGGAAAUCUUAAGUCUUCAAUGAACUGUAGCUUUGUCAAAGACUACAUAACUAUGUCCAUUUUCGACGCUGAUUUUCAGCUUUUACCCGAUUUCCUCAAAAAAAAAAACAUUCCUCAUUUUAAGGUAAACAUUUGUUUGUAUGGCUCCCAAUUUCAGAGAAUUCAGAUUUAUCAUUUUUGAAUUGUAACAGGACAAUGAAGAAAAGGGACUGGUACAAGAGAGAUGAUCGUUUGUGAAUAGGGAAGAGAACUUGUUGACAAGAUUACAGAACAUUAACUUGGCAUUUCACUUUGAGGUUGAACAGCAACUGAACAGUGUCUUCUUGAUUUUUUUUGGGUUCAAUGGAACAGCUAGUGUGUGGAGGGUCAAGGAUUUGGAGGAGUCUGGUGGCUGGCUUGAGAGAACCACCGUUGAGGAUAUGGACAUUGCUUUUCGUGCUUAUCUCCAUAGGCUGGAAAUUCAUUUUCUUAAGCGAUGUUGAGGUAUUGUUGCCAACAUCAUAUACAAAGUGUUUGUUUUUGUUUGGCUCCUGGCUAAUGUGCCAUUGUCUUUCUCUCUCAGUGAAUUUGUGAAUUAUCCACAUCUUACAAAGCUUACCGAAAACAGCAACACUGAUGGCAUUCGGGACCUAUGCAACUAUUUCUCAAUAGUUUGCCGGCUGUAUAGCCUAGGGGGUUUGCUGAUACCAUGCAGUGUGUGUGUUUUGCAGAUAAGCAUAGGCAAGAAGUUCAAUUUGAUAUUCUUCUUCUUCCUCCUAAGGAAGCUUAUCUUGCCCUUCAAUUCCUUCACGCUUUUUUUUGCAUCAUCUUGCCAAUGACUAUUUUUGUGCCGAAGACUGAGCUUCCUGCUUGGGUUGUAUGCUACAUACCUGCCACAAUGUCCUUCCUCAACAUCCUUCCAGCCCCAAAUUCAUUUUCGUUCAUUGUCCCAUACCUUCUCUUUGAAAACACAAUGUCUGUGACAAAGUUCAACGCAAUGGUCUCAGGUCUGUUUCAGCUAGGAAGUGCAUACGAAUGAGUUUUUACAAAAAAAAAAACAAGACGAUCAUCAGAAGGAGAUCUGGCUGCUUUAGUUAAAAACGAAGGAGGAAAGAAAAAAUAACAUCAGAGAGGCGUGUCUGCACCGGGAACAGAGGCUGAGAAAAAGCUCAUAAGAAGAUCAAGAAGAAGAAGAAGAAGAAGCACAAUAGGAUAUAUAUAUAUAUAUAUAUAUAUAUGAAGGAGCUAUCACUAGCGUUUCUGCUAUUAACCGCAACAACUCGAAGUUUGUUAUCAGCUCAAGGAACCCAUUUCCACUUCCUCUUGUUUUAGGGAAUUUCUUUCUUACUGGUUGCUCUUGAUCUGAUUGGAGAGCAAGUUGAAUAACAACACUAAAGAAAUCUAUUGGGUCUUUAAUAGUGAUUUUAGAGAAACAUUGUAGAAGACAUGGAAGGGUCUGGACCCAAGAAUACAAUUUACAUUUAUCACAUUACUGAACAUAUAUCAGGUUCACAGAGGAAGGACUGUUCCUAACGUGCACGCUUUAUCUACUUUAUUUAAUACGAGUGGUAUUCCAGUGCUAUGCGCUAGUAUCAAGCCGUUCCCGGAGCUCACUCUGAGGCAGCUGCCGGUAAGGCUUACCCUUACUGUCAAGUUGUCCCUUGCUAUCAGUUUGAAGUUUCGUUUCAAAUGGUAGAGCUCUGGAUCGCUGACCGCACGGUUCUACCGGUUGAGAACUCUCUCGGCGGAAUGUUUAUUGUAUUGUUUUCAGUUGAGUUAAAAUACUAUUUUAAGAUAUAUUUGGAUUAAUAACAUUUAAUUGUCAAAUUUAUCGUUUUAAAUAAAUAAUACUUAAAUUUAUAAAUAUAUUUUACUAUCUCUAUAAUUUUAAUAUAUUAUUUUUUUCUUUAUCAUAUAAAUAUGAUAAAUAAGUUAAUGUGUGGGUAUAUGUUACGUGGUAAACUAUAGGAAAAGGGUUGUUUCCAUAUCUGAGAGUUUUAGAUACAUUUAAAAUAUAUGUUAUAAGAUUUUAUUAGUUUAUAAAAAAUUAGUUUCUAGAAUUUUAUAGAUUUACGUAUUUUGAAUUACAUUUUUAUGCAAAAAGGAGGUUUUUAAAGUGUAUAUAUAAAUUAAAUUUUACAAAUGCAAAUUUCAUGUUAUUUUAUUUGACCAUUUGAUGUACUGAAUUUAUGUAGCUUAAUGCAUAUGCAGUUUUACAUGGGAAAUAAUAAAAUAACAUCAAAAUAUGUUGAAGUUUUUAGAAAAACUAAAAACCGACUACUGUGUGAAAACAAACAAUCAAAUAUUUUCUUUAUAUUUAUGUAAAUUUUGUAUACAUUAAUUAUAAAUUGUUGUUUAUAUUGCGAGAAUAUAUUUAUAAGAUAAUUUCAAAAAAUAUAUUUAUUUAACUUAAUUUAGUCUGUUUUUUUUACGAUUAUUCGGGGGUCUCCGGUCGGCCGAGGCCUAACCGACUAAUCCCAUGGAGAUUUACUCGUAAUGAAAAUUAUAUAUCCAUGUCACCUCAAUUUAGUCAUAUUUUACACUGAUCUAAUUCAAAAUAAAAAAAAAGUUAUUAAUUUAUUUAUGUUGGUAAUUAUCGAUAUUAAUUCAUAUUCUUUUUACAAUAUUGUUAAUAGUGUAAUGGUGGUAGUUCUUUUAUGUGUUAUUUCGAUGUAGAGUUCAGUUCCUACUUUUGUUGAAUUUAUUUUUGAUGUUAUUAUCUUAUCCUAUUUGCAUUUAUGUGACUGUUGAAGGGAGUCGUUGACCGUCAAGCUUUGACACCCGGUCAUCGUUCUUCGGCCAUGGCAGCCGUGGCCAUCACUGCUCGCAGCUGAAGUUUACUUAAUCAUCUCUUGGUAAAGCAGAGGGUAGUCAAAGGUGAAGCUGUUAGCUCCAAGUUUCUUGUGCCAGAGUUCUGUCUGUGAUUCUUUAGCAGUUAGACAUUGACUUGAUGGUUUCCACAUGUAGCAGUUGUUGCCCGAACGAUAUCCACACAAUACAAGAUCCCCUCUGUCGUUUACUGCUCGGCACUCUUUUCUGUCAAAGAUAACUUGGAGUCCUUCGUCACAGAGUUGGCUCACACUGAUGAGAUUGGCUUUCAGACCUUCGACAUAAAACACAUUUAUGAGACGUGGGAGGUCAGCUCUAUCUGUCAAACCAACACCAAGUAUCUUUCCUUGACCUCCAUCUCCGAAGGUUACUUUUCCACCUUGAAUUUCUUCUACAUUCUCCAGACAUUCCAGGGUUCCAGUCAUGUGUCUAGAGCAACCACUAUCAAAAUACCAUGGGAGAUCAGUCUGCUUAGCGCUGUCAGUUGAUGUGUAUGCCACGUUUCCCACUAUCAUCUUAUUACUCAUGUCUUCAAGUAGAGGAUCGCAGUUCUGAGGGAGUGACAUUUCAUCUUUGUGGUGUGACACAGCCACUUCAUCAGAUGGUUCCCAGUCUCGAAUAAAAGCAAGAUUGCACAUUAUGGCUUUUCCUUCUCUCUGAUCACUGAUAGGAGUGAGUUCAGGUCCUGAUCCAGUCGUUUCAUCAGCGUUGAUCCUGAGUGGUGAGACUCUGUUUCCAUAUUUUGGAUACAGAUCAGUCUUAGCAAUCCACACAUGUCCCACUUUGCUAGGUUCCAUGAAACAUCUGCUGGUCCUCCAAGCGCGUUGAAGUUGAUUUCUCAUGAAAUAACAGUUAGAUGCCUUAUGACCUGCUUUGCAGCAAAACAUACAUCCAUUCUUUCGUUUUGUGGAAGGUACAUUGAAGCUCUUUGUGGCCGUUGGGUUGACGGAACCAACUGUCUGAGGUAUGCUUGAACUAGUCUGUUGAGAGCCUUUCACAAACGUUACUCCUUGGGUCAGAUCCUUUGACUGUGAACAAUAGCCUUGAUAUCCAAGUCCACGGCAAGUGGCUGGUGAUUGUCCGACCCUCAAAAUGUGAUCAAGUUUGUCAGAUCCAGUGUUAAGCAUCCUCACUUUCUUGUAGUUCUCACUGAGCUCGUACUGCAGCAGUCGACUCUUUUCUAACUCCUCAUUCAGCAACAGCUUGGUUUGAUCAUAUCUGGUCUCCAGGCUUUUUAGGCUAUGUGCCUGAUCUGAGAUGGUUUUCUCAAGAGAGUCUCGUUUCUCUUUUUCUCUGUUUUCAGUAUUCACAGGAGUGACUUCAUCAUCUUUUGCCGGUUGUUCCAGUUCAAGAAUGUUUACCUGAGCCUUUAGCAUUGCUCGAUCCUUGAUCAGUUGAAGAUUCUCAAGACUCAGCUCAGUGAAUUUAUCAAACAGAAGUCGGUACUCAGAUUUGAGAUCGGAGUUAUCUCCUUCUGGUUCUAUCUCAGAUUCUGAAUCUGUCAUAGAGAUUGUCUCACAUGCGUCAUCUUGGCCAACCAGAGCUACAAAGUUCAUAAGUAGUUCUUCAUUGUCACUGCCCUCCUCAGACUCUGUGUCGCUGAAACAGAUGAGUGAUUUGUCCUUUUUGAGGUUGUUAGGACACUCGCUCCUUGUGUGUCCAUACCCCUUGCAUUCGAUGCAUUUCAGUUCCUUUCUUUUGGUCAAAGGACAUUCAUUACGAUAGUGACCGUAGCCUUCACAUUCAUGACAUUGUAGUUCCUUUUUACGGUUUCCUCUUCCUGAGUCAUUUCGUACGUUCGAGCGAUCACUGUCUCUGCUCUGAAAUCGGUUGCUAGACCUGUUCUGUCCCUUCUCAACCCGUUUAAGCAUUUUGUUGAAGUUCUUAGCCAUAAGACUCAUGUUGUCCUCAAUUCGUUUGACACGAUCAAUCUCCUUAUUGUCUGCAGUAAAAGCGAUUCCUUUUUGCUCUUUGGGAAGUCCUUCUGCUCGUUCCAGGUCAUGAAUUUUGAGAAUCCCGGCCAGUUGAUCAAACUUCAUCUCAUCAGUGUUGAUUGCAAUCUUCAAGACAGCUUUGUAUGCCUCAAAUCGAGGAGGGAGACAUCUCAACACUUUUUUCACAAGUUUCUUUUCGUUAUAUUUCUUUCCAAGAACAGAGGCUUCGUUGGCUAUGGAACUGAUCUUUGAGAUGAAGCUCCCAAUUGAUUCAUCAUCCUCCAUACGUAGAUUCUCGAACUUAGAAGCAAGAUGGUCAAUUCUAGUGCGUCUUACACUCGUGUUUCCCUCAAAGUGAUUGAUGAGUGUGUCCCACGCUUCCUUGGCUGAUUCACAACCCUGAAUGAUUUUGAAUUGAUCAAGAUCAACAGCUGAGAAGAUCGUUGUGAGAGCCUUAGAGUUGAACUUUGAUGCAGCCUUAUCAGAGUCAGUCCACCUUUCCUUGGGUAAGGGUCCCAUGGACUUGUCAUCCAUCACCAUGGUGGGAGCAGUCCACCCUUGUUCAACAGCAGUCCAUGCGUCUUCAUCUAUCCCUCGAAUGAUAUGUCUCAUUCUCGCUUUCCAAUGCCCGAAGUUCCCCUCAUCCAACAUGAUUGGUUUUUGUAGUGCAACGAGUUCCUUCAUAGUUUCCAUGAUUGUCGCAGGAUCUCAACCUGUGAGUAGACUCAAUGUGUCCACAGAGGUGACCCGCUCUGAUACCAAAUGCAAGAUCUAGGAUAACUAAAGUAAAGAACACUCAAGGAUUUUCAAACACAAACUUGUUUUAUUAAGAAUCUUUUAGACAAUCCAACAGGACUUAGUCUAAUCCGAAUGAUACAACGUCUAACCUGACUUGUGACGGACCAAUUCUUAAUCUACCCAGUGCACUAACGAUGACAGCUUCACCGUUUGCCAACCUAACGUGUACUACUGAACAAACCUCAGAGCACGUAGAAAUAGUUCUCAAAAGCGUAACCUCGACACCCUGUCGAGUUCCCUUUUUAUAUCCUAUUCCCUAAGAUAUCUAAUCUUCCUGAUAUCUCUCCAACAGACGAGAUCUCUGAUUGCUUCUCUCUGAAGCAAUAUCUUCGUAAUGGUUAUCUGCCACGUCAUUACCGUGUAACGGCUUUGUCACGCGAUAUGUCACAUACCGGUUCAACCGUGUAGCACUUGCCCUGCUCAACAUUGAACCGGCUCCAACUUGGAGCUAACAGAAGCUUGUUAAGAAAGAAAUAUUAAUGUGGUUAAUAUAAAAGCAGAUGGGGUCGGUGACUUUGUUUAUUUUCGACCAAAGUGACACUUGUUGAUACAUAAGUGCAGUGACCUUUAAUGUUAGUUCUGAAUGCAUUGAAAGGUGCAUAUUAUAAGUAAUCUGUUUUUAUCAUCAACAUCCACACUUAAGAACAUGCAUUUGGAUCAAUAACACGGUCUACUGGUACAUCAUGAUGAUAUCGACCAACUAUAGGUCAAUAGAAAGCACAAAGACCCAAACUUUAUGAUAAAAAACCAAUAGAAAUUGUUAGUAGAACAAAGCAUUAGGUAUUCGUAGACAUAUGACAAACUUCAAACAAAAAGGGAAAAGAAAGAAGAAAUCUAAUAGAAGACUAUCCUAACCCACCAGGGAGCAAAAGUUACUCGAAGGCCUAUGCAUUCUCCUUGCGAACCUCAGCUUCUUCCUCAGAUGUGUAGUCGUUCUUGAUGUUGAAGUGCGUGCGCAUCGCUUCCCAAGUCUUGCCUAUCAACAUAUCUGCCACAGUCUUACACGCCAGGUCAAGAAGUCCAGUGAUGUUUCCACAUUUCAUAGGUAGACGUGUGUAACUGUUUCGAUUAGAAGUUACACAUAUUUCGUGUUUGAUGUGGUUCUUUGAAGCUUAGCUCCCAAUGUUUACUAUGUCUGGCUGUCACCAUAUCAUAGAAGCUUGAAUAUAGGCGUACAUGUUAAAUUUAUCAUGGCUAAAAUUUCUUAAGAAGAGUAAAUGAGAAGGUGGGAAUUCUCGUUUGGUUAGCACACGAAGGUGUCACACGGCUGACUUUGUCCCAUCAUCGACUGCCAUCUCGACCCGUUACCUAGAAGACAUAAACAUUUUGAGUUGUGGACAUAUGGUUAGUCCGAUGACAUCACUUGAUAGGAGCUCUAGGGAACAUGAAUGCUACAAUGGUAAAGUGUUACCUGACGACAGAAAUGGUGGUGGUGUCACAACAUGUUGUGCAAUUGAAGGAUCAUAUUCGAGGCUGCAGUUUUUUUGGAACAUUUGGGACAUGAAAUGUAGCACCACCCAUUGAUAGGUUCGAUGGCCUCAACUUUACUGUUUCAUAGGGAGUCAACUGUCUAUGUGGACAAGAGGGAAAUAAUUUCUAUAAUGUGCGAGUCAGGAGAAUGUAUGUUAAGGUGGUUAGAGUUGUUGUGUACCAGUAUCUGCAAGUAUUGUCUUCUCAUAAAAACUCACAUUUUACAUCCUUUUAGCCUCCUUCCAAAGAGAGGUGCAAUGGAUACAAUCUUAGGCUUUAUUUGACUAACGCUUGCAAGGAAGGUUAGGUAGGUCAGUUUCUUGAAUCAAUCUUUGAUUCAAAAAAACACUCUGAACCUUAUAUAUACCAAACCAAUAUCUGCAAUUUACUUUCUAAGAGACUAAGAAAAUAUUACUUGUUUCUACUCGCUAUGCUUACACAAUGAUAAGCUUACAAACAUAUACCUAGCGUCUAAGGCUGGGAACGUUUUGCAGAGGCCAAGCUCUUCAGAAUAAGCCAGCUUCCAAGUAAACAUUCACCUGCAAACCAAAAGCAGAAAAUUGUAACAACCUGUCUCGUAGACCCCACCGAUCCCGUGGACCUCAAGUUCACAGACCUGCAGGGCACCGACCCUAACCCCUCACAUGUGCGCCCUCACUGACUCCUCCAUGUAAGUUAUUGAUGCGCUUGGCGUUACUCGAAUCCAAGAUCUCAUCCUUUAACAAAUUUCCAACAAGACAAGCUGUCACCGAUUGAAUUGUAACAUCCAUAUUUCCCGUAAUAAAUAAUAAAAAUAAUAAUCUUGAAAUCUUCAUUUAUUAAUCCUCAUAAAUCGUCUCUAAACUCUAUAAAUCCAAUAAAUAGCCAUAAAUCCAAAUAACUUAAUAGAUUCCAAAAAUAUCGAUAAAUGCAUAAAAACCGCAAGUCUGAAAAAGAAAGAAAUAAAACUUCCAAAGCACCAAUCCGAUAGCAAUCACUCAUGUUCAUUAGUCUCACCUGAAAGGGGAAGGAAAGGAGGGGGGGAGUAACAGGGAAGUUACUCCGUGAGGUAUGGGAUGCUAAACACGCAAACUACCGACUUGAGUAAAUAGAAUUCCCACUAUGGAAGUUUAGCUCUAACAUGAACAAGCAAGACGCUUAAAGCAUCACACAUACACAAAAACAAACAAUGCGAUGAUACCAUAUAUCUAGUCCAUACACCCCACAUCUCCUCAUAUGGAUAUAUAUACAUACGCUGCUUCGCUAGUACAGUCUGUCUCUGUACCCCCGCCCUCCAAAGCUGCAUCGAAUGCAAACGUCUCCGCACCCAUGCCCCAAACAAUCUGCAUCGCUAGCCCAGAUGUCUCUGAGCCCCGCACUCCAUAGUUGUGUCACUAGUCCAGACAUCUCUGAACCCUCCCCCCCCACCCCCCCUCCCCCCGCAAAUAAAGUUAUAAAUGUUGCUUGUAACACAAGAAACAAAGGAGAAGACUCCAUAACCUUCACGGCUUUGACUUGUCAAAGGAUCUUGAACUCCGGUGACAUAUAGUUAGGGAUGUUAUGUACAUGGUUAAGGUUAAGUCCUUCUUUGGGUUAUAUAAACCUAGCCCUGUUUUAACCCAACCCUAUUUUAACCCAACCCUAUUUUAACCCUACUUUUUGUUAAAGGUUAGGCUAGAUCAGGGUUAGCCUAUUUUUUUUUUUUUACAAGUCAAUAUAUUUUUGCCUAUCAAAUUUGACUUAAAUUUAAAUGUUAAAAACUGUAAGUAUGAUCAUGUAAAUGCAAAAUGUGUCUUUUAUUCAUUUUUGUCUUCACUGAAAUUAAAAACUAAAGUUUACAUUCAUGUUAAUGCAAACUCAUUUUAUUAAACUCUCCAACGCAGCCAAUACUUGUUGCUCUCCAAGUCUCUUGACUCUUGAGUCUCUUCAAACACUCGUUGCUCUGUAAGAAGCCAAAAACAGAAUCAGUUUAUCACAGCCAGCAGUAAGAUGCUUGAUUCAUGAGCUAAAAGCUAAAACAGUCAAAGAAGACACAGUCCGUGAAUGCUAUACGAUUUGUGAUGUAUGGGUUUGAGGCAGAAUCAAUCAAAAGUAUUCAAAGUAAACUCAAACACAAGAGCUAAGAGAAGACAAUCACAAAUUGCAGAACACACCUAAGUGAACAUAAACAAGUACAAGCACCGAGAGAACAUAAACAAGCUGAAACAAAACUGACAAAGACAAAGGCACAAAGAACCAAACAUAAUAUACAUUUAAUACAAAGGGAGAAUCCAAACUAACAUAGGGAGAAUUCUACAUUGGUACAAAAUUUACAAAAUAGACCCUCACUUUAGCCAAGAUAAGAGAUGAAUCAUGAAACUCCCAAAAACUUGGUAUGCAACAAGACUCGGUAGGUUAGGCUUUAGAAUUGGUUUCUUGUCCGAUUCUCCCAACGAAUGAAACCCUUAAUUAAGGUUUAAGUUAUAAAUGUUGCUUGUAACACAAGAAACAAAGGAGAAGACUCCAUAACCUUCACGGCUUUGACUUGUCAAAGGAUCUUGAACUCCGGUGACAUAUAGUUAGGGAUGUUAUGUACAUGGUUAAGGUUAAGCCCUUCUUUGGGUUAUAUAAACCUAGCCCUGUUUUAACCCAACCCUAUUUUAACCCAACCCUAUUUUAACCCUACUUUUUGUUAAAGGUUAGGCUAGAUCAGGGUUAGCCCAUUUAAUUUCUUUUACAAGUCAAUAUUUUUUUGCCUAUCAAAUUUGACUUAAAUUUAAAUGUUAAAAACUGUAAGUAUGAUCAUGUAAAUGCAAAAUGUGUCUUUUCUUCAUUUUUGUCUUCACUGAAAUUAAAAACUAAAGUUUACAUUCAUGUUAAUGCAAACUCAUUUUAUUAAACUCUCCAAGGCAGCCAAUACUUGUUGCUCUCCAAGUCUCUUGACUCUUGAGUCUCUUCAAACACUCGUUGCUCUGUAAGAAGCCAAAAAUAGAAUCAGUUUAUCACAGCCAGCAGUAAGAUGCUUGAUUCAUGAGCUAAAAGCUAAAACAGUCAAAGAAGACACAGUCCGUGAAUGCUAUACGAUUUGUGAUGUAUGGGUUUGAGGCAGAAUCAAUCAAAAGUAUUCAAAGUAAACUCAAACACAAGAGCUAAGAGAAGACAAUCACAAAUUGCAGAACACACCUAAGUGAACAUAAACAAGUACAAGCACCGAGAGAACAUAAACAAGCUGAAACAAAACUGACAAAGACAAAGGCACAAAGAACCAAACAUAAUAUACAUUUAAUACAAAGAGAACAUAAAGUUUCAGAGAUCCACAACGUUGAUAACUAAAAAAUUCUUGUUUCAGACACAUGAUAAACUAUAAAACCACUUAGACCCAUGAACUCUAGAUCGAUUUUCUCACCGAUGUCAAGGAGAGAGGAGAUUGCUCGACGGACACAACACGGAGGAUCGCGAGAGAGGAGGGAAGUUUUUCGAAAUGAAAUGAUGGAGAACUGGAGACGAAAUCGUGUCUCCCGAUUACAAUCAGGUGAUGAAGAACUGGAGAAGAAAUGAGAUCACCAUGAAGCGUCGAGCCGUCGAGGAGAGAUGGAGAACUAGAGAAGAAACUAAAAACUGCGCCGUUCUGAUUUGUUUUCACAAAAGAAAAAUAAAGGACUUUUGGGUUAAAAAAAUGGAUGCGGGCUGGGCUAACCCUACAGACCAAAACCCAUAUUAAUAUCCCUACAUGAAGUGCAUGUCCAGUGGCUCACCAUUGAUGAUGGUGAAGAACAACAACGGAAAUAUGAUGAUGCGGUGGCUCCGUCUCUUCUCCACGUCUACACCUCUCGUUUCCAUUACAUACCGUAGACAGAUCACCACAAUACUUCUAAAGGCAUGACUGCUCCUCCGGUAAUGAUGUCUAUGAUCUUAUGUGGUUUGGUACAGCUUGGACGGUGGCUACGUGGAUCUCCGGUGGCGGUGACUCAUAGAUCAUGGCCAUGCAAUAUGUGGCUGGUUGCGAUGGAACGCGAUGGCUCCGGUUACACUUUCUCAUUUCGUCUUAGUCAUGUUCCCAAUAACAUGAAUCACAACAACGAUGGUUUCUCCUAGGCCUGCGAUUCCGAACCGAACCGAAUGGUCCGAACCGAACCGAACCGACAUUUUGACAUUUUGGUUAUUGUUCGGUUACGGGGAGGAAACCGUUCGGCAGAGAUUUGUAUAUAGUUCGGUUAUUCCCUCGGUUCGGUUUGGUUAAGAGUAACCGAUCGGAAACCCGAGAAUCAUUAAACCUAGGUAUAAAUACUUCUCUUAAGCUUAAUGGUCGGUUAACCUUUUACUAAGCAGAUCGAAAACAUAACCUCUCUAUCUAAUCUUUAAAAUCAAUUCCAUUUCUCUCAAACCGAUCGAUUAAAAAGGUUAGUUCUUCUUCAAUCUCCAUCUUCUUUCUGCUUAUGAUUUGGGUUGGGAGGAUUAGGGUUUGUAUUUCGAUUUUGGGAUUUAGGAGAAUUUCACUUAAGGUAUUUUCGAUUUCACUUUCUCUCUAUCUAUUACCACGGAUUGUCUGUUGAUUUUGUAGAUUAGGUUUCUGUUUCAGAUCGAUUUUGAAACAUUUAGCAUUUAGGGAUUAAAGUCAAAAUCGAUAUGAAUUUUAUGAUUAGUGUUGAAUAAUGGUUUGAUUUAAGUGUGUCGAUUUUGUAGAACAUGGUCUUAAUUUUGUGUUGAAUGUUGAAUGAUGGUUUGAUUUUGUAUCUCAUUGUCUUAAUUUUUUUUCCCUUGAUGUAGAUGUCUGCUUAUGAAGAUAACAUUGAUGAUGAUCAACCUGAAGAAGGACAUGAAUCUCAAGCUGGUGGAAAGAAAAGGCCGGCUUCAGAGAGAUCAAGUACCGAACUGCCUCCACCUACAAAGAAGAAACAAGUUCACAGAGCAGAAGUGUGGCAACACUUUAUUCAGAGGGAAGAUGACCCGAGCAUAGCUAACUGUCGAUAUUGUGGUCAAGAUAUAGGCUGCGACUCUAAGAAGAGUGGAACAAGUGCCAUGAAAAAUCACAUAUCUCGCUGUAAGUUGCAUGAACUCUUUAAGUCUAGUGGGGGUCAGACAAUCCUAGGUGGUGAUAGUAGUGGUGUAGUGACUGCAGUGAAGUAUGAUGCUACCCUGUUUAGGAGAUCUGUCAAUGAGAUGAUUGUGUUGAAUGAGUUACCGUUUGCUUUUGUGGAAUCUGAAGGGUUUAGGCGUUUCUGUAAGAACGUGUUGCCUAUGUACACGGACAGCUCACUGGAUUGAAGAGAGGACAUUUUUGGGAUGUUCUUGAAAGAGAAAGAAGCGUUUAAGCACUUGUUCAGUUCUGAGCAGAAGAGGGUCUCUCUAACCACAGAUAUAUGGGUUGCUCCUACAACCUCUUGCAGCUACAUGGUUGUGACAGCUCACUGGAUUGACAGAAAGUGGACUAUGCAGAAGAGGAUUAUUACAAACCAAAAUCGGUUAGCAUAACCGGGUCGUUACAAUUCUUCCCCACUUACUAGGAAUUCGUCCUCGAAUUCAAAUCCUGAGUCGGCUUUUUAAUAGCAUCCUGAAAAAGCUCUGGAUAAUCAAUCCUCAUCAAAGUCUCAGUCUCUCAGGUCUCCUCAGAUCUUGUCUCUCUCAACAAACGUUGACCAACAUGGUCAACAUCCCUUGAACCUCUUUCACUUGCCGAUCUAUAAUCUUAACUGGCUGACAAGGCGCAAACAAUUUUUUCUCAAGAUCACUGGAUGACUGCUGCAAAAUGAGCUCUAGCUCUCUCACGAUUUUCCUCAAAACUGACACAUGGAACACUUUGAUGAUAACUGCAAUAUGUAAGCCACUGCUUCAAUCCGCUCCACAAUUGGGUACGGUCCCAUAUAUCUCGGUUUAAGCUUCUUUAGCUUCAGAGUCCUAGAUCCUCCCUGAAAUGUCCUCAUUUUCAGGUAUACUAAGUCUCUACCUGACACUCCAAGUCUUUACGGCGCUUAUCUGCAUAGCUCUUCUGACGGUCAUGGGCUUCCUUAAGCUGAGUCUUGAGCAUCUCUACCUGCUUUACUAUCUCCUCAACCAUUGCUGGUUCUAAGUCUUGCCGCUCCCCCACGUCUGUCGAACAAAGUGGUGUAUGACAAGGCCUACCAUAAAGCGCCUCAUACGGUGCCAUCUCAAUACUCGAAUGAUAGUUGUUGUUGUAAGCAAACUCUGCUAGAGGCAGCUUCCUUCCCAAUAUAAAAUGCAAGCUUUAAGAAUAUCCUCAAAAUUUUGAAUAGUCCUCUCUCACUGACUACAUGUCUGUGGUGAUAGGCUGUACUCAUAUGAACCUUUGUCCUAAGUUCCUUCUGAAAGGCUCUCCAAAAUGUUGAUGUGAAAUUUUGCAUCCUGAUCUACACAAUACCAACGAGAACUCCAUGUAACCUCACAAUCUCUCUGAUGAAACCUGCGCCAACUGAUCAUCACUGUCCGUCUUCUUGAUCGCUAGGAAAUGGGCUGACUUGGUGAGUCUAUCCAUAAUACUUACCGAUAUAGAUAUAUUCAAGGAGCCGCUAUGACAUUAGGUUGACUGUAGUCCAGAAGCUAAAGAUAGUUUAGUUGGUGUCCACAGAUCCAGCGGCAGCAAAAGCACAAACUAAGGAACAUAAGCGAGCUUGGUUCAAUGCGGAUCUUCGCUGGGAAGGAGAACACAAGCAUUAUCCUAAUAAGUUGCAUCAUUAUAAUGUUCAGGCGUUGACAAAGUUGAUCAAGCGAAGGAAUAGUCUGAUGGGAAGUGAAAUAGGGUCAAGUAGGAACCGACCUUCUGGAUGAAAUAUUGUCGAACAUGAGUCAGAACACUCCUUCAGAUUUUUAAGCUUUUCCUUCUCGACUACAAUUUUUAAGCUUUUUCUAACUGAAUUCCCUCCGGUGCUGAUCCGCGCUGAAAGGUUUUAGUAAAGUUUAGUAUCAUAUGUUUGAGAAGAAACCAAAGAAAAUACUCGUGAAAGAAAAUUGAAACUUGCAUGAUUUAAAAAAUGAGAACAAUUUUCGUUAUCAUUUCGACCUGACCAGAAGCGGUCCUGAGUAGUGCACUUUGAAGCUUUAAAUAAAUCUACUCAGAAUUCACAUAUGUACAUGAAAUAACUCACUGGCGGAUUUCUUGGCAUAAGAGACGAUUGACCCGAGGAUUGUCCUUCUCCAUUGUCUCCUCCGAGGCUUCAUUUCUUCAUGUCAAGAUCCAACUCUCAACCCUCUCCAAUUUAUAGGUUUGACGUGAAGGAAACAGAGAGGUCGUCAUCAUUUUUGGUUUCAAUGAAAAUAACAUUUAUUAGCGAAAUUAAGAGAAAUACUUUGAACAUAGGGAAGGUUAAGAGUUGUGAGAAGAAAUAAUUGUGUGUGUGCGUUCAAAGAUUAGCGGAGACGGCGAUAUCGAAAACUGGAAGAACGAAAAGAAUUAAACCCUAAUCUAUUGAAAGAGAAAACGCAGAGUUUGACUUAAUAUCUAACCGAACAUGGAGAACCAAAAUCAGACAGAACACCAAACCUAAUCGACUAAUCAUAACCGGUCAGAACGCGGGGCCCACAGUCUUUAAGAAAUCAGGCAACUCAUUAAUGACACGGAGGAUUGCUGUAAUUUUAGUGGCUGAUUUUCUAAUCCGAUGUGGCAUAGCUCAGAGGGCUUCAUAUGUUCUUUUUAGUAUUGUUUGAUUAUGUUGGGCUAUAGCCCAAUAUGCAUCCCUUAAAAUCAAACCUGAGUCCGCCACUGCAAAUAGUGACUUGUGUUUGUAGCUUCCAUUGGAGAUAGAUUUCAUCAUGGUGCUCUUUGUCCCAGUAGCAUUGUUGCUACAAAAGAAGAUAGGAGAUUUAGUAGAUUUGUAUUUUGGAAAAUUAAAAAUGUAAGAAUGAAAACGAUAGAGAAAGAGACACUUACUAAGGGUGGGCAUUCGAGUAUCCAUUCGGGUUCGGUUCGGAUCUAUUCGGGUUUUGGAUUUUCGGAUUGUAGCUAUAGACUAUAGUUUAUUCAAGUUGUAGAUAUGAAAAUAAUGGACUAUCACAUUGUCAGUCUCGUUCAUGACUCUUAACAUUUUGGCUAUCUUACAACUCCCCCCAUUCACUUGAUAUUUCGUAAAAAAAAAGAAAUUUGAAGUUUAUUCGUAAGUGUAUUGGAAAAUUUACAAUAAUGUUUAGAUUAUGAUAAUGUUUAAUACUCUGCUAAAUAUUUGAGUCUAUUUUGCUUCAAUUGAUUGUUUUAUAUUAUGUUUAAACAAUUAUUUCCUGAAUUAUUUACUUAUAUAUGAUAUCAAAAUAUUGAGCAUCAAAGAUGCUUGAGUAAAUUGCAUAAUACCAGACAUAAUUAUGAUUUUUCAAAUGAAACAAUAUUUUUAUUUUGAUAAUAAUUACAUUAUUUUACUUGUUCUUAUUUUUCUGAAUCUUAUACAUAUAUAUAUAUAUAUAUAUAAUUUAAGAAGUGAUUUUGCUGAUUUGUCACAGUCUCCAUGAUUUUAGAUAAUUUUGUUUAUUUUACAUAUUUUCAAAUAAUAGUAUGAAUAUAUCUAAUUAUUAUAAUAACUAUGAUCAAUUGGUAAUAACCUUUCAUUCAUUAUAAUUUUAACAUAGUUUAAUAUUAAAAAUGUGAUAUUUAUAUAUGCUCUACAUACUGUUAUUUACGUAAUAUUAUCUACAUUUUUUUUUUAUAGAAAUACUCUACAAAACAUACAAAGUUAUACAUCUACUCUUUAUCAUUUAUUUAAUUUUAUUUUUGAUAAGUUUAGUUGUCUAAGUAAUUUACUGCAGAAAUAUGAAUAUUUUAAUAAGUAUAAUUAUUUAUUUUUGUUUAUUUAGGAAUUGUGAUUUGGCUUAAAUAAUUCAGAGAUUGUCAAUGAUAAAAUACUUUGAUCAAAUGGUAAAGUUAAUUCCAAAGCAGUGGUAGUCGAUUAAUUUCUCUGAAUCAUAUCAUGCUAAGAAACUUGGAGGAUACUUGCUUUAUCUACGUAUUUCCAAACAACUAUGAUAUAUCACUUUAUUAUAUACCCUUUUAGAAUUAAUAAACUGCAAAAAUUAUAUUCGUGUUUGGUAAAUUUGUAUUCACCUCCCUUAUAGUAUAGAUUUGAAAGAUAUAGGUUUUAGUUUGGGGUUUAAUUUCCCUUACACAUAUGGGCAUAAUAGAUGUAAUAUUUGUAUAUACAUGAAUGUUUUAAAAUUUAUUAAACAGUACAAAAGUAUUUAUGUUAUGAUAAAUUUGUCAUAUAAAGAAUUUAAUAUUUAAUAUAUUAUUAAAUAAUUUUAAUGCAUGAAUAUUUCAAAAUUUAUUUACGCAGUAAAAAGUAUUUCUAUUAUGACGAAAAACUUUGUCAUGAUGUUCAACUUAUCACUAAAUAUUUCUAUUAAAAUGAUAAUGCAUAUAUUUAUCAAUAUUUGAUAAAAUACUAUGCCAGUAAGUGUGGACAAAAUACUUUUAACUUACAGUUUAAAAAAAAAAAUUAACUUUUAACUUAAGUAAUAAGUAGCAUUAACGUUCACAAUUUUUUUAACAACAUUUGUAACUAAUUGUUUUACCAUUCAUUUUAAAAAUUAUAUACUUGUUGAAGAUGGAUGUACUCUUGAGCUUUCGUUGAUGUACCCCUGACCCAACUGUAAUUAGAUUAUUGUCUGAGGCCCAUUUACAAAAAAUCAAACGAAACAAAUAUAUCCACGUUUGGACAUACUCCAAUAAGUUCAUAAUGUUAUUGAUUUUACCAUUUAUUUCAAAACUACAUGAAACCUUUGUUUAGGCCUUAGGUGAUUCUAUCUUUUUGUGAUGUCUAUCUCUUUGUAGCAAAUACAAUGAGACUUAUUAUAAGAAAAAAUGUAUACAGUUAAACUGGUCAAGUAGUGUUAACCCAGAAAACCAAGAUUUAAGAAAAUGGAGCCAAACUCAAAUUACUUAUAAGUUACAAUUAUAGAGAAAGUGAGUGACAAUGUCUGGAGAUGUUAGUAAUGGGGCUCCUCAUAUAGGAAGGUAUAUAAAGUUUGGAAUAGAGUAAUGGAGGAAAAUAUUACAUUGCAUCACAGUUCUUUAGAUAUAAAAGCUCUUUGGAAAUCAUUGAUUGUGGCCACUAAGUACUCAAAAAAAGAAAGAGAAAGAUCACACUAUUAGUUACAUGUUAGAAACUACAUAAGAAACACAUCUGUUAGAAUAUAUGUAGAUAUCCUAAUUGUUUGAGAUCAUGGGCAUGAAUCCAUUAGGGUGAAAGUCUAAAAAGUGAUGAAAGAUUUUAAAGUUUACGUUAGUUUCAAAAUGUAACUAUUUAGAUCUCACUGAAAACAGUGCUCAGAAUUCUUUUCCUUUGCAAUGCUUCUAUCCUUUAGCCAUCACUAAUAUGCAUCAUUUUAUCAGACAAAAAACAUCCUUAACAAUUAUUUCCACUAUAGCUUCAUAAUUUCCAGUUUAGCAAUCUAAAACAGCCAGCAAAACCACCAAACAAAUAGCUACUCUGCAUGGUAUAUCCCAAACUAAAGAGUAAAGAAAUUACCGUGGAACUGAGAAAAAUGACUUGGACACAUAACUUGAGAAUAAAGGUCGAUGCCAUUCAAGAAGUCAAGCUCUCAUCUUCCUUCAGUAUUUGCAGCUGCUACCUCUGUUCUCCAACUCCGACCGGGCUAUACAUGUAAACGAAGAGCAGCAGAAAUGGCAAAAAAGCUGCAUAAACGUUUCUGCUUGUCUAUUUUGGUAGGCCCAUAAAUCUGUUUGGUGAAUGAUGGAGGGGCUGAUGAGAAUUGCGAUUAAAGCUUAGAAAACCUAUUCAGCCACACCUUUAAAGUUACAUCACCUGGUGGCAUUGCUAAGCCUGCACCAAUGGAGUCAAACGCAGCGUUACGUCCGCUGUAAUACACUCUCAGUCAAACUCGAUGUCAUGUCAUCAUUCAUACACAUGAGGUAUGAACAAUAUAUACUUUUAAACACAAUGAAAAAGUAUUUCAAACUUCAAUGUUUUCUAUAUAUGUUGAACUUUUUGGACUACUAAAUUUUGAACUCUAUAAUGUUGAGGGAUAAUAGCACAUGACAUCAAAGAACAUGAUCAACUGAUAUGCAACUUUUGAAAAUGCAGAAGAGAGUUGAUCAAAUUACCUAUGUAGUCUUUGUACUCAGGAUCAACAUAAGAGUUCAGAAGCACAAAGAAAACAGUAUGAAUUCCUCAACACCUGCAAAAACCAAGACACAUCAAUUGCCCAAUCAUAUACUCUCGCCCAGAUCUGCAAAAUUAGAGCGAUAGCCAUAAUGUUUCUGAGUGGAAACUUGAUUUACCAAGAAAAAUAAAUUAAGAAUUACAUAGUACAUACAUGUAGCUCUCUUAGAAACUGAUUUGUUGCUAUUAGAUGACUUAUAUUAAUUAUUUCUUUCAGUACUCAUAUCUUAUGCAUGACAAAAAUACUUAAAACCUGUCAAAUAUUAUUUUGGAGCUAACAUUUUGAACAACCUUAAACUCAAGUAAUGGAUCUGCCAUGAAACCACCGGAAGACAAAGAGAAUUCCAGUAAAAGAAUACAGAGGAAGUAAGCAUACCAAAAAAAGAGGAAAGGAAAAGAUCUAAGGAAACGUAUGAUUGGUUCCGCAUAAUCCGUGGACUUUGUUUAUCGCCAUGGCUGUGGACGUUUUGAGAUCUCUGUGAAGCUUCAGGAAAGUUAGAUAAAAUCUCUGAGAAGACCUCCAUCGAAGGUCGCCACCGCAAAAGUCCUGAAUAUGUUCAUACCACCGCCGUAUAAUCUCAGUCAGUAUUAUGUUGAAUGUAUUAGUCUAAUCCUCUCAAACAUUACGCAAAUCCUAUAACAUAAAUUUUCAUAGGCCUAAAUAGCAAACCCUAAGGGAGUUUAACCGCGAGCUUCCGUUGGCCUGUUACCCGGAAGAUUGCGCUCGCUUGCUGUAGCUGGUCAAGGGCGGUCCCGACCAGCUUCCUCCGGUGGGGGAUCUCCUUUUUAAGGAUGAGUACCAACACAGAGAGACGAUUGUAAACCCUAAUCUUGCCGCUAAGUUUGUGUAGCUAAGUGUCGAUGCCUUUCAGAAUUUCCCUGCCUUCCCUAUAUAUAUAUCACUCUGUUACAGUCUACAAAAAAAUCCUUCACUUCCAUGACCAACAAAUCAGCAAUAUCAUCCUCCACAUUCACUACGCUAUGUUCUUCAGUUAUGUUCUUCUCGGCUUGGUAGAGGCAAAGCUUCUAUUUAGGAUCAUCCAUUUUUGGGAUCCCAGAGCACAGCGAGAGGAUACAUGCUUAUUGGUCUGGAUAUAAGGAGAGGAGGCGGAUUCAAAAUGCAUGUUCUUUCGACUACUGCAAAGAGAUUUCGUUUGUGAGAUUAUCAAUACCAAACUACUGAUUUGUAAUUUGGUCAUUUGUGAUUCGUUGAACCAAACUAUUCGUUUUCUUUCAAUCUCUGUCUUUUUCUAAGCCAAAACCUUAUUUUUGGCAUUUUUCAGAUUUAUAGGAACUUCUAGCCAAAACAUGGAAGACCUUGACAGUAUAUCGAAGGCUUGGUUCGAUUUUUGGAAAGAACGCUGAGGUGGAAACAUCUAGCUCCCAUUUCACAAACAACACCCGGUGAGUGAGAGUACACUUUCCCUUGCAUAUUUUACCUUUUUGGGACUAAGCCCUCAAGAAAAAUGAAAAAGUACAAAAUGAAACUCAUUGGUUUAAUUCACUUUCGUACAAAAUUUCUCAAAUUUCUAUGGAUUCAAAGUUUUUUUUUGGUUGAGCCAAGAACCUGAUCAUAGCUUCGUUUUGGUUCUUUAGCAAUGAUACGACGGUUGACGCUUUCGACACUUUCGUCUGCAAAAAUGGAGCCGGAAACCAUAUUCUGGGAGCUGUCUUUGUUGAACUCGAGACCAUUGUCAUCUAUGAAGUCUACCGGGACUUACUAGCAGCUUUUCAAUCAUGAGUAACUUAACUCUGGGAACAACUUCGCCAAUGGUGAGAGAAAAUUUUAUUUUUCUCUUCUUCUUACUGAUUAUUCAAAUGGUGAUUAGAAGUUAUAUAGUCGCAGUUGGAAAGGAGAUUGUGGACCUUUGUCUUAACAGUGUCAGAGAUCUUGCCGACAACUAUACAUGCUUGCAAGGGGUUAUUGGUCUUUAAUGCUGUUGGUGGAGUAACUGGUUCUGGUUUGAGAUAUCUGUCGUUAGAACCUUUGUCUGUAGAUUAAGGAAAUAAGUCGAAACUUGGAUCCACCAUAUAUCCUUCUCCUCAGGUACUUUUCAAGAAAAAUAACACAUUACAAAUUACAUUGAAAUUGGAGUUCUCCCAAAAGCUUGGUUUGAUGCAUUACCUUUUGAUCUCAGGUUUGUACUGCAGUUAUAGGUACCUUACAACGGUGUUCUCUUGUUGCCUUCGCUACUUUUAAAAUCUCUCAUAUUUCCUAAAUUUUUCAAGCUCGGUGUUGCGGUUGUAGUGCAUUGAAGUUUGAGCUAAUGAUCUCCCUCAAAUGUCGGCACAUAUUUUGACAGGGAUUCAUGUGGGCGAGAAAGUCUUAUUCCUAAGGAUUCAGUUAUUCGCAAAUGACAAUAUGCAUCCGUUCAUAUUCCAAAAGAGGCAAUACCCCCAAUAAGAGUAUGUUAUGCACAGGUUGCCCUCAAUCUCCCAAGACCAGUUUGUAGGCAUGGUCAGUUUUUUUUGGCUCUCUCACGACUCACAAAGCCUGUGAGAAUAAAAAUCAACAUUAUAAUAGGACAGUUUCAAGGCUCCUUAAGGUGUACACGUAGGCAAACGUGUGGGACCCACCUUAUUUAUUUUUUCCGGACCCCGUGGGCUAAAUAAAUGGGCUUCGUGUUUGUUCAUAGCUAUUGAAUGGGCUUAAGGGUUGCUCCUGCGUUUUGGUAAGAAGAAAGACCGAGCCCUCGGCUUCUUCCAGAUCCUUCACCUAUGGUCGAUUCCUCUUCGGUCUUAUCGGAUUAACUCGAUCUUUAUGGCUGUCUUAAGUUCCUCGGACGACGAAACGUCAACCUCUAACGCAUCCAGAAGAUCCUAUAUAUAGGUUCUUCAUGAAAUCAGGUAUCGCCCUCCUCGCUACUUUUUCCUCCCUUUUUUCAUCCUGUUUCUGAAUCCGUUACGAUAAUGGCUUCAUCCCCAACUCCAGUCGUUAAUGCCGCUGCCGCCGCCGCCGUCGGCAACCCCACGUUUUACUCUCUUCGUCUCGGAAGAUCUGCUUAAUCUGUUGUUGGUCGACUCAUCCGGUUUUGGGAUUCCCGCAACGUCAGCAAGAACGGAGAGUUUAUGGGGAUAACAAUUCUACUCCUCGAUGAAUUAGUAAGGAUUGUUUCUGACCCUGACUUUUUUCUUUUCGGAUUGUUGUCAUGAAAGACUAUUAAUCUUCUUUUAUUUCUUACAGGACUCAGUGAUUCAUGGUUUCAUUCCAGCUAAUCGGGCCAACCAUUACCGGUCCUCUUUGAAAACCGGUUCUAUUGUCAGAUUGGACCGUUUUGACGUGGCAAGGGUGGGUCACACGUAUAAGAUUACUGAGCAUCAGUACGUCAUCCGGUUCAUUCCUUCAACGCGUGUUGUUGAGGUCCAAACGGAUGCCCCUGUGAUCAAGAUGGACAAGUUUAUGGUUAGGCGUUACGAACAGCUUCAAGUGCUUGCGAACACCAGUUUAGAGCUACCAGGUCUUUUUUUUUCCUCAGCGAAACUUUGAAUUUCAUCAUAAUGUUGGUUGCUAAAGUAAUUUUCUGAUUCGCAGAUGUUGUUUGUGAGAUAAAAUCUGUGCAGGGGUCCGAUCUCAAGAACCAAACAGCCAGAAGCAGGGUUGUUGUCCGCCUAUUAAUUGAACCGUACGUUGUUUUAUACUUCCACUUAAACUUUCGUUAUAGUCUCAAAUUGUGUAGUCUGUUGGUCCACUUGAACUUUCGUUAUAGUCUCAAAUUGUGUAGUCUGUUGGUAGGAAUUAUAACUGUUUGGUUUUGUUUAUAUGUGUAGUUGAAACGUAUUCUUAUUGUUUUCAUAACAGGAACAUGACCGUGUUCAUGUCUUUAUGGGAUGAGGCUGCAUCAGCUUUUAGAGGUCUCUUGAAAGCUGGGGAUAAAUCACAGUCCGUGAUGUUGGUGACCACAGUUAAUCCUAAACUCUUUGGAGGUAAGAAUCAUCUGCUUUCUAAUCCAUAUAAUGUUUUUAUAUAUUUUCCUCUCAAGUUUAUUCUCUGUUCAGGGAAUCUGUAUCUCAAUUCCACACAAGGGACUAGGUUCUUCUUUGACACCAGUAUCUCUGAAAUAGCAGAGUUUGUUAGCAGGUAAGAUAAUCAAACUUAAAUAGUAGCAAAAUCUCAGCACGUUUUAAUCAUAACAACAUGCUAUAUCCAGCAUUGGAGCUACACCACCUCAAGAUUAUACAUGUGUCGACACGCUUGAAAGAGUCAAGAAAAAGGAGCUUGUGUCAAUAGGGGAUCUCAACACAUUCAUCUCGAACUCUAACGAACAGGUUGUUGUCUGCCUUUGUUUACUCCAAUAUAUAUAUUCACUUUUUUCUAUACUUUCAAUUGACUAAAAUAUUACUUCUGGGCAGACCCAAGAAGCUGAUUUCCUCUGCAAAGCCCAGAUUAUUGGUGUCAUUCAGGAAAAUGGGUGGUUCUUUGUGUCCUGCACUGGUUGCCACAAAAAAUUGGAAAAACGUGGGACGUCAUUGGACUGCAGCAGAUGUGCAACUUCUGACGUGACUGGUGUUGUUAGGUAACUUUGUGUAGUCUUUAACAUUUGGUUAAGCGGUUUCAUGUAAAUAUCCAUUUACCUGUCCAUUACUCAACGUAAGGUUCCGCGUUGAGCUUGCUUUUGAUGACGGCAAAGAUAGCACAACGUUUGUUGUCUUCGAUAAGGAGAUGAACAAGCUCACCAAACAGGAAGCUGCUGUGCUUGCCCUGGAUGAGGUAUCUCCAUCUUCCCUGGAACCAUUUUGGUUUCUGUACGCAUUUAGUGUAGGUCAAUAUAACUUGCGAUUACUGGCCGCUUGCUGCAGGUUUCAAACGGUGGAGAGGAGUAUCUCCCAAGUUGUCUUGAAGAGCUAUCAGGGAAGGAGUUUGUGUUUCAGAUCCGUGUAACACCUUUCAACUUCACUCCCAAUCACCGUACCUUCACCGUUGCCACCAUCUCUGAAGCUAGCGAGGUUGUCUAAUUUAACUUAUCACUAUAUUUACUGACUGGACUCUUUUUUAAAAUAUCACUUUCAUGUAUCUCAGACACACUCUGAGAACAGUGGAGUUGACACAGGAUUGGAAGCUUCGUCUUCGGGCCCGUCUGUUUUGGGAGUCAAGAUUAGUGAAGAACGUGCAUCAGGCAAUAAUCCAGGGAAUGAAGGCGCUCAGCAGAGACGCAAGCGUGGCCGUGAGUAAUUGGGAAAACAUAUUCCUACAAACCCGUCAUCAGUCUUAUUUGUCUUUUUUUUAAAAAACUUCUACUAGCUCUUUGACAAAAAAAAAAAAAAAAACUUCUACUAGCUAUGAUACUCAUUAUGAGCUUUGAUCUCUGUCGUUAUCGUUUUGAUUUCCAUGGAUAUUUUCUUUUUUUUCUGGAUUAUUAAUGAAUCUUUGACGGGUUAAAUUUGAUUCAUAAACCAAAGAGUACUGUUUCUUUAAAAAAUUGAUUUAAUAUAAAGAAAAUUGGCGGUAAAUCAGCCGGAAUAGGCUUAGUAUGGAUACAUGAAUCCGUUAGUUUGAUCAAAGUUAUAUUUAAUCUAGAUUGCUACAACAUGGUUGCACACUGUUACGGUUACUUACUGCACUAAAUAAUUAAUAAAUCUUCACCACUGUUUAAGGUGAGUUUGGUCUCGGAUGAAGUAAACAAUACUAAAAAUGGGUCGAACAGAGGCGUUUAUUAGAUUUCGAGACGAGGUUACAAAGGUGGAGAAAGUAAUGGCAAGCCGGAGCUCGUGAGAGCUUAAACCAGAAAAGUACAAAUAGCAGAGAGACGAUUGUAAACCCUAAUCUUGCCGCUAAGUUUGUGUAGCUAAGUGUCGAUGCCUUUCUCCUUUGCUUUCCUCUCCUUUUAUAGUCUGUUCGCGAUCGACUUAACCUAAUCUUCUUUAAAUCGAUUGGGCCUUGUCGGCCUUUCGGGCCUGGCUAGUGAAUGCUCGCCCCGAGCCGCUAAGUCGAUCGCGCUCUGUCAGCUCUCCGUUUCGACUAAAAGCAGUCCUUAGCUGAGUCGAAACCCCAAACAUCGGCUCCCGAGCCAACGACUAUUCAGCUUAUCGGAUUGGGCCUUUUGUUCGAUGGGCUUUGUGGAUGGGUUCAAUCCAUCCCCAACAGUAAGUCCCCCCCCCCAGUUCAUCGAUAGAUCGAGUGGUCGAUCCUCGAUGAAUUUGGUGUCUUUAGUUCGGAGGACAAAAGGCUUAAUCCGAGCAAAUGACUGGAACUGAUGUUUUCUCGAAGUGGAAGGUUACGGUUGCUGUCGAGGAAUCAAACCGUUGUGAUCGUGAGACGAACGCUUUUUGGCUGAGAAAACGAACCGGCGCAUGUGUCGAUCACGCGUCGUGAUCGUGAGACAAAUGCUUUCUUGGUCGAGAAAACGAACCGACGCGUUUGUCGAUCACGCGCCAAUAGGGUUUAGGCCCAUUUAGGCCUUAUUAGUCGUAAUGAUUGCGCCUUAAUCCCAGCGCUCGCCUUCCCCUAUAAAUAGCGCACCCCUCCUCGCUUCUUCUCACUUUUCUCCGCAGCGUCAAGGUACUUUCUCUCUCUACCCUCCUUCUCUCUCUUAAUCUUUGUUUUAGAACUUCGAUUAUCGAGAUGUCGUCGCCCCAAAGGUUAACUCGGGAGCAAAAGGGGAAAGAAGUAGCACUUGCUCGGGGUUCUUCCGAGGAUCCGGAGGAUAUUCAUCGCGAGGCGAUGAUGGAUACCAGGAUAUUUUGUUAUAUUUAUUAUAAUUAAAAAAAUAUUUUAAAAAUAAAUAGGUAUAUCAGUAUAAAUUAUAAGUUUUUAAUUCUGAUAUUUACAAUCUAAACCUAUAUAUAGUAAAAUUCUAUAUUUGUUAUAUCACUUGUUAUUAAAUACUAAAAUGUCAGAGAAUAAAUAGGUGAAAUUUGAUUUGAUUUAAUAGCAUGACAAAUAUUAUUGUAUGUAAUUAUUAUUUUUACAUUACUUUUUUGUUAGAUUUGCGGAUAAGAGUGGUUGUGGUUUCUAGCGGUUUUAAGUGAUUUGUAUGAUUGGUUAUGCGGUUAGAAAUUGGUGCGUUUGUGGGAUAUUUAUGACUGGUUAAAUACCAAAUGCAGCAGCUAUGUAAUAUAUGUUUUAACGUAUAUAAAAACAUCCAGAAUAUAUAUGAUAUUGUUAAGUUGGUUUAAAUAUUUGAAAAUAUAGAAUCAAAAGUAAAAUUUUAAAAUAGUUAAACUAUAAUCAAAACACCAAAAUACUUAAAUUAAUUAUUGAUUAUCUAUCCAAAUAUUUAAACCAAACCAAUUUAUAUGUUAAGUAUAGGUAUUCUGACAUAUGUUAUUUAAAUUUAUAUGUAAUUUAUUAUUUUGCUUAUAGAUUUUAAGAAAUUUAAAGUAUAUAAUGAAUUUUAAAAUUUUUAAAUAAUUUAAAUGGGUUAUCUGAACCCGAACUGAACCCCCAAAUAUCCGAACCGAACCCGAACUAAAAUUUAGAAAUAUCCGGAUGGGGCUAAAAUAUUUGAUCCCGGAAACCAGAAAACCAAACAUACUCGAACCGAAUCCAAAUAGAUACCCGAACACCCACCCUUAGUCACUAUUAUAUAUAAUAUAUGUGUCAUUAUAUAAUUAAUCGUAUUUUAUACGUACCAUCAUAUAAAUAAUCAUAUAUUAAUAGUAUUUUAUACAUACCAUCAUAGAAAUAAUCACAUAUAUUAUAUUUUUUAAACUUGAUGUGAAAUGAUGACAAAAAAAAUUGAUGUGAAAUAUAAAACCAUAAUUUAAGUUGGUAUAUGAAAUUGGGUGUUGCAUUGUAUUUUUUUAUAUAUAUUGAAAACAUUAUUUUAAUAAUGGUUAUUGAAAUAUUUUUGUAAAAAUUAAAUUUUAAAUAAAAAUAUAUAUAUAUAUAUAUAUUUAAAUCAGUUUUUGAUAUGAAUCAACUUUAAAUUAUUAUUUUGAUUUGAAAUAUGUAUAUAAAGUUGAAUUUUUGUUACUACCUUCUAGCUUUUCUGUUUGUUUGACGUCAAGUAUAUUUUUUCUCUUUUCAUUUGAAGGCUUUUAAAACCAAACUGAACGAUAAGUGCCGCAAUAAGCAAAACAUAAUUACAUGGUUAUAUGAUGCCAAAAAAAAAAUUACAUGGUUAUAUCUCCUUCAAUAUUAAAACCCAAAACAAGAUAGCAAAACGUCUCUACAACACGGUCACAAACUACACAAAAAGACGAUGAAGAAACAUACGUUUGUAGGGUAACAAAAAAACAUAACUAAAGAUAGCUAAGAGACAAAGAAGCAGUAUGAAGCAUCAAAAGCAGACCGGAGCAGCAACUUCUGUAUGUCCCUGUUACAAAGCCAUAAAACUUGUAUAAAUCUUCACAUUCAGAAUCAUUAAAUGACAGAGAGCUAACGAUUAGGCGGGGAUCACGAAACAGAAACACAAUCACAUAAAACGUGUUACACAAGCAAUCCCUAAAGUCUAAAGUCGUAAUAUAAACACACAAUCAUAAUCAAUGAAAGCUGAAGCAAACUGCACAUAAGUAGCUGUAGAUCCCAAAAAAUCCAAAUCUUUCAUCUUCAACACACACAAACCAUAAUCUAUAACAACGAAGCUGAAGCAAAUUGCGCAGGAACAGAUCCUUUAAGUCUAUCUUUCGUCUCUAACCCAAAAACGCAAUAAUGUAACUAUGAUGCAAUAAGGAGCAGUCUACAAGAAAGAUAGCAUAAGAUAAGUACCCAUUCAGUCGUCAGCUCCAUCAGCCUUUCCAGCACCAAAAGGGUCAUGAUCCGGACCCAAUUCCUCUCCCAUAUGGCGCUGCACCAGCCUCGAAAGAUCAGACAUCACCUUAGCCUCACGCUUAGCCUUCUCCUCGUAGUUAAACAUAGCCAACGCACGUUUGUCUUCAGCACUGUAAACCUGGUUCUCCUUCCUGAUACUAAUGGCAUUCAUCCUUUGAUGCCUACUCCCACUCAUGACAUACCCGAGAUCCUCAAACCUCUGAAUCUCAUCAGCGUUAAGACCCACUUCUCCUCUAUGUGGGAUACGUUUCCCUAGCUGAACGUACUGUGCUGUAGCGUCUCCUUCACCGGGUCUUAACGCACCACCGUAACUGAUGUGUCCUUCAGCUUUAGGUAAUGGCAUUGGACCCACCUCAGCUUCUUCUUCAUCUUCAAGAGCUUCUUCUUUGAUUCAUUAACCAUCUCUUUGAACUUCUUUUCUCCUCUUCGUCAAGCUCAGGCUCCUUCACAGAUUCUUCAAGUUUCGCCUUCAGAUCAGUGCCAGAACCAUCGCCUGACAGCUUCUUCCACCUCCUGCUCUUUGACCUGCUACGUUCUUCCCCAGAAGCACUAAUGUCGCUGCUCUUCCUCCUAUGUCCUCGCUUCUUUCUACUACUUCUGCUUCUUUUCUUCUCCUUACUUGUUCUCCGUCCCCUAUCUUCCUCGUCAGAACCAUCGCCUGAGAGCUUCUUCCGCCUCUUGAUCUUUGACUUGGUGUGUUGUUCAUCACCAGAAGAGAAAGCACUAAUCUCAAAAUCACCGGUUAUGAGGACUGUCAAAAUAUUCUUUAAACGGAAUUAGAUUCGAACCGAUUUCAUAUCUUAGAACUCCUAGAACCCUAGAAGUCCAAAUCGUGAUGCGGCUGGAGAAGAACUCGACGCCGACGAUCCCGGAUGCGGCUGGAGAAGAACUCGAUGCCGACGAGCCCGGAGAGUCUGGAGACGAACUCGACGCCGACGAGCCCAGACCAUCUGAAGAAGAACUCGACGACGAGCUCGGAGAGGAGGAGGAAGAGAUGAGAUAGAGGAGGAGGAGGAAAUGAUUGGAAUAUGAAGACCACGGUUCAAAAAAGUGACUUGUUUUAUCAAAAUGAAUUGAUUGGCUUCUCAACUUUUUUCAUUUGACGAUAUGUCAAUUUCACAGCCAUUUUAAGUGCUGAGGUGUCAUGCUCAUAAGAGAAACUAACCUAAUUAUUGUGUUGAUUUUGUGACCAAAAUUUAAAAUUAUAUAUUUGAAACUAAAUGUUAUUUUUAAAAGUUUUUUUUUUGUCAGCACUUUUAAAAGUUUUUUUAGUUGCAAUAAUUUAUAUGUGAAGAUUUCUCCCGAUUUCUUGAAGACAAACCUAAAGAGAGUUGCUUGUCUGAUCCUGAUCUUCCCUCGUCGACACUUGAAAUCGCGAAGCCGAUAAUAUAGCAGAUGACUGCAAAAUUGAAGCAGGUGAUGCUGCUUUGGCUCGAGGGUUUCCUAGAAGCUUGUUCUCUCCACCGUGUUGUAAUUCUCUGUCACAAGUAGGUUCCUCUGAUUUUGUUUCCCGAGAAACUUAGAUUUCCAUCUAAUCUCCCGAAUUGUUUUGAUUGGUAAUUAGGUCGCGAAAGCUCCUAUUACGAACGGGGCAGUGUUUUCUUUUGAAUGGUUUGAUUUUCUUAGGAAGGUAAAUGUCAACGACUUAACCUUUGUUUUCCUUUACCCAGUUUGGCUUGAAUUCGGGAUUACAUAUGAUCUAGAAAAAAAAAAGAUUUGAUCUUGGGAUGAGUUCAAUCAACUUGCAAUUCGGACAGGCUGAGACCUAAUUAAAAGAGAUUCUCUUUUUUUUUUCUCUUUGCCAAGAUUCUUUUGAUGUUGACUUGAGAGUUCUUCACAUGGUGUCUUAAGAUUCAAUACUCUAAGCUUAUCUUACACCUUCUUUUUUUUGAAUUGGUUUAGUUUGGGCGUCUUUAAGUGGUUUGUUAAUCCUGCCCUUGAGUGGAUAUUACCUGAUCCAUGCGCUCCUGUCACGUCUCAAGACUUUUGCUCGUAUAAUGGAUCUUAUGCCUUUCUACGUGGUGGUCUGUUGCAGCUAUUUUACGUAAGUUUACUGCUACCUUUUAGAUUUAGUGUAGUUUAUCGUUGUAUCAACUUUUUCCCAUUAGCUGACUUGGAAAGAACAUUUUUAUUACAUUGCAGGUAUUUUGGUUCUAUCCUAUGUAUAUGCUCAGCUUCAUCUUAAGUAACAUCUGGUAGCCUUCUUGCAUCUUUACCUUUGCUUUCUUAUUUUUUGCAUCUCGGAGUUAUUAUUACCAUGUGACUUAGUUGACACAGGAGUGAGAACUGCGUGUUGAAAACAAAUUUAUUCACCUUUCCAUUAUUUUUUUUCUGAGCAAUCCGUUAACUUUGUUUGUUAAGACUUUAGACUGUUUAGUUCGUUCGAUUGGGCUGUGAACUUUCAGGUAUAACGAUGUUGCAAAGUAUGGAUUCGAGGCAAUGGAAAAAUCUGAGUUAAGGUCGGCAGAAACAUUCAGGCAAUGUGACGUCCCUGCGUCAGUGAACAUGACAAAUGCUGAAAGGCCUUCUUCUGGUUUUGGAGGGUACUUGUCUACCAAAUCACUUCUUCAAAAUCAAAAAAGCAGAAACAAUUUUUAGGUGAUAAGCCAAUUAAUUUCCUUUUGGUUAAUUUUCAGGGUGAUGAUUGAUAUAGGAGAGCAGGUGUAUUCCAUAUUACUCCUGACAUUUUUCUUUAUGGAGGUAAAUUAUUUUGCCUUUGUUAACCUUCUUUGAAUGUAUGUUAACCUAAUGGGCUGUGCAAACUAGGUUUAUGUUGUUGGCGUUAUACCAUACAUUGGGAAGAUACUAAAUUUCUUACUUCUUUCAUGGAUGUAUGCUUACUACUGUUACGAGUAUGCUCUGUUCUCUCUCACCUUAUGUCAAUAAACAGAAUUACCUAGUGUCUUCAAACUCACUUAAAUACGUCUUCUUAUCGUAGAUAUAAGUGGAACUUCUUGGAGAUUCCUCUCGUGAAAAGGCUCGAGUUCUUUGAAUCUAACUGGGCAUUCUUUGCUGGUUUUGGUGAUUUUUCUUUUCUCCUUGAUUUAUUCCGUUGGCGACGUUAGUGUAAUUGAAAAACUGAAAGCUGGCUUUUAUUUGUUUUUUUUUUUUUUUUGUUUCAGGAAGCCCCGGCGUGUUAGCCAUUUUCUUUCUCUCUCCUCUUGUCAGCGGAGCGCUUAUGGCCAUACUGUUUCCAUUGGUAAACUUUUUGCGUUCAGUCAUUAACUCAGUGUCGUUAUAUUCUUGUAAACUAGUGUUAACAGAAUGUACGCAGUUUGUUUUAACUGCUACAGGGUCAGGACCUGACAAAUCUAUCGUUGCCCCAAGAGGAACUUGGAAAUGUGCAGGUUUAUUGAGGCUUCCAAUAUUCUAUGUAGCUAACACACUCUCGUAAGCAAAACUCUCUCUCUUUAACUUCUACUGAAACUUUAAGCUUUUAAUCUAUGAUGGUAAUGCUUCAUAGCUUUAUGUUGCAUAUAUAUUUCCUUGGGUAAUCUAGGAUGCUGGCGUUGUCCAUCUUCCGGUUGGAGUCCCUGCAACAUGAGAAGACAGGCUAAGGCUACUGCAUCUCUCAGUCUUAUGUCAAUACUGCCGUCUCGUUGAUUUCAAGUGGUCGUGCUUCAGCAAUUUAGGUGUGGCUUUGUCGCAUAGUUAUCUGAUAGCAAUGCAUAUGAUAGACACUAUGCUGCAAACUGCAAAGCAACGAAUAUGAAAGAAGACGGUCAUGUCGGAAGUAGAGUUUGAUUGUAAAUUAAUAUAAUCCACAAAUUAUAAGUAAGUCGGCAUACAUGCAGGUGUGCUGUUCGUUUACACAUCGAUGUUCGUACAGUGCAGCUAAAUGAUCUAACCGACUGACUGCGUUUUUAAAUCAGUUAAAUGUGUUGUUCGUUUGUUUAUCGCGGGGAUCCAUCUGGAAUAUUAGUUACUUUAGUGCACUUAAAUGCAAGAUCCAGAAGGAUCACUUAAUCUUCAAAAUUUAACUGAAAUUUUCAGAUAUAUAUAUAGUUCACCGCAGAAUGACAAUAAAAAUUAGGCUUUUUGCAUGACUCAAAACACAAAGUUAAACCUAAAAUUAACUCAUGUUCUUUUUUGGAUAUAUAUUUUUCUUUUGUCUUAUUCACCCGAGAAGUUCAUAUUAUUCACGAAAAUAACAUUGUUUUUUUUGUUUUUGAAAAUGGUAUUUUUACUCUCUCAACCUCAUCAUUUUCAAGUAUUUACAAGAGUAUUAUUGCCAUCAAUACAUCAACCACCAUGAAAAACCAAUUUGAAACUGUUAAUGCACCUCAAAUCGAUUUACAUUCAUUCUUUCUCAAUUCUUAUGAAUUAAAAACAAUAUUUCUUUCACUUUCUCUUCAUAUUCAUAAAAAAAAACCCAAGAUUUUGAUUCUAAUUUUUUUAUGGUUCAUAGAGCCAUUGAAGCUCAUGAUUCUUGAUGGGUCACUUUUGUUUGAGAUUCUGGAUGCUUGGAAAAAACUUUUGUGUGCUAAACAAGUUAUCUCAUUGGUUGAAACUAUGAAAUUAGUUUUUUUUCAAGAUCUGUUCAUCCAGAUGACUUCCGGGUAAGUCGUCUGGGUGUAAACGAUUUACAUGGAAGCCUUCUGGUCAAUGUAGAUGUUAGUUUUGCAAUUGACUUUUAAAUGAGUUUUUUCUAGACGACUUACAUAGAAUUCGUCUAUCUUUGUUUGUUAAAAAAAAAUUCGAGACGAGUUCCAUGUAAAUCGUCUAAGGUAAACGAGUUAGAUUUGCAUUUGACCGGAUUGUGUCAGAAAUUUGACUUUUCCAUGUAAGUCGUCUAGUAGAAAAUUAAAAAAAAAAUCAAUAUUUUGUUAUACCUAGACGAAUUCAAUGUAAGUCGUCCCAUGUUAGUUUUGCAAUUGAAAAAUAAAAAAAUAUUAUUUUUGUUUAGACGACUUACACGAAAGCCGUCCAUGAUUUUAUUCUGAGAUUGUGGUCAAACCUUGCUUAUCUUGGACGACUUCCAUGUAAGUUGUCGGAUGGACGACUUUCGUGUAAGUCGUCUUAAAAAAAAUAUUUUUUAUUUUAUUUUUCAAUUUCAAAACUAACCUAUGACGACUUAUGUGGAAGUCGUCUAGGUAUAACAAAAUAUUAAUUUUUUUUAAUUUUCUACUAGACGAUUUAUGUGUAAGUCAUCCAGGAAAAGUCAAAUUUCUGAUACAAUCCAGUCAAAUGCAAAACUAACAUGUUUUCCUUAGACGAUUUACAUAGAAAUCUUCUCGAAUUUUUUUUUUAACAAACAAAGAUGGACGACUUCCAUGUAAGUUGUCUAGGUUAAAAAUCAAUUGCAAAACUAACCUAAAUGGACGAAUUAUUAGAAGUCUAUCAGACGACCUCCGUGGAAGUCACAUGCGUCAAUGUUUAAUAAACUUUCCUUUCUCUAAAAUUAUAAAGACUUUUAAAAUUUGUUUUGUUAAUUUGUGUAUAUUAGUCAAUACUGGGGCUACUGAAUGAAAUUUAUAACUUAAUUGGUGAUAUUUAUGAGGUUACCAACAUUCAUGCUUAGUAAAGUUUCUACCUAAUUGAGAACACUUACACAUAAGUCUUCUACGUUAGUUUUUGUAAAUUUGUUAUGCAAUUUUAAGAUAUGUUUAUUUAAUUUUCAAAAGUGUUAAGUAAGUUCAAGAAUAUCAAGUAACAUGUUUUAAUGUGUCUUCUUAGAUCAUAAAAUAUACUUUUUACUUAUGUAUCUAAUUAAAGUGUUCUAUCUUUGAACGUAUGUGAUGUUUUAUAUUUUGUAAAUUCGACUAAGUUUUCUUUAGACUUCUUCUCCCUUAGUUGUAAUAAAUUUGAUUAAUUUUUUGUUUUAUUGUGUUUUGCUAUUGAAGUUGUAUCAAUAACUUCAAUUAUGUCAAGUAAUUUUGGCAAGAUAAUAUUGUGGAAAAUGAACAUAUUUACCAAAUAUUUUUAUUAAUAUCUCUUCAAAUUUACAAAAAAAGUCACAACUAAAUGAGUAUACAUGCAAAUUACAAAACAUACUACAAACAAAACAAUUUUUGAUCAUUCUUCUACAAAGACAAGCUUAGACACCACUUAAUAUGGAAGAAGACUCCGUUAGAAGACUUACAGGAAGUCGUCUGGAAGAUUUCCAAGAAGUCGUCUGGAACACUUCCAAGAAAUCGUCUCGAAGACUUUCUGGAAGUCGUGUGGAAGACUUCUUUGAAGUCGUGUGGAAGACUUGCUGGAAGUCUUCUAACGCAUUAUAUUUUAGAAAACUUGUGAGAAGACUUCCUAUAAGUUUUCCAAAGUCUGAUCCAUAUAUGAAAAACAUGUAUAUCAAACCCAUAUCUGAAAAACAUGCAUAUCAUAUCAAAAAACGUUCAAAUGGCUUAAAAACAGGGAAAAUGAGUGGAAAAUUAUAUAGAUAUACUUUUAUAGAACACACAAAGUACAUAUCAAAAUGGAAGAUGAGAACCAUCUGAUUAAAAUCCUGCAACAAAAAGAUAUAUUAGUGAGAAAGACAUGAGACAAAAAUGAAAAAUCCAUAUAAAGUUUAGUGUUUUCAAAUCAAAGAGAUUAUAGUGGGUUUGAAGAGUUUUAGUUUGGGAAAAAGGUAUGAACUUUAUGCAACAUGAGGUUACCAAAUGAAGAAAAAUCAGACAUAAAAACUUACCAGAACGCUCAUAUCUGUUAUGAAAGAGAGACACGGGAGAAGACUCCGUGAGAAGACUUCCUGGAAGUCGUCUGGAAGACUUCCUGGAAGUCGUCUGGAAGACUUCCUGGAAGUCGUCUGGAAGUCUUGUAGCCCAGAAGUCUUCCAGAUCUGAAAAACCUGCAUAUCCAAAUCCAGAUCUGAAAACCUGCAUAUCCAAAAACGUUCAAAUGAGUUAAAAACAGAAAAAUGAGUGGAAAAUUAGAUAGAUCUACCUUUAUAGAACACAAAAAAUACAUAUCUAAAAUUAAUAGAUCUACCUUUAAAUAAGUGGAAGAUGAGAACCAUGUGAUGAAAAACCGGCAAAAACAAGAAAAAUAAGUGAAAAAGACAUGAGACAAAAAUAAUAAAUUGAUAUAAAGUUUGAUGUUUAUAUGUUUAAAGAGAUUAGAGAGAGGUUGAAGAGUUUUAGAAUGAGAAGCAUUAUAUUUUUGUUGCAGCCAUUUGAGAGGAAAAAAAGAGAAUGUGUAAAUUUUUUCUAUAUAUAGGGAGACAAAAAAUUUAAUUAGGUUAAAUAUUUUCGAUUCUGAAGACUUGCAAGUAAGUCUUACUUGUAAGUCGUCCAGAAAACUUCAAUAUUUUUAGCGGAAAACUAAAAUAUUUUUAGCGGUACCUCAGAAGACUAAGAUGACUUCCAGUAUCUUAGAAGACUCAGACGACUUACCAAACUAUAUUCUUAAAAAAGAGUUUUGUGUUUUUUUGUUUGGUCACAAGGGGUUGGGUGUAUUUUCACAAGGCUUUAGGCUACUGAAGUCUAUUAUUUCAUAUGAGAGAUCCAAAGAUAAGAAAAAUGCUACUGAAGUCUAUUAUUUCAUUGAUUUGUAAAUGUGUAAACACAUUGUUAGCACAUGUAUUACAUCUUGGGAAACAUUAUUACUGAUUUUACAAAAAUUUACAACUAAAAGAGUAGACAUGCAAAUCACAAAACAAACCACAAACAAAACUAUUAUAGAUCAUUCAUCUACAAAGACAAGCUUGGACUCUAUUUGAAGUCUUCUGGACGACUUACCUGGAAGUCGUCUGGAAGACUUCCUGGAAGUCGUCUGGAAGACUUCCUGGAAGUCGUCUGGAAUACUUUCUGGAAGUCGUCUGGAAUACUUCCUGAAAGUCGUCUAGUGCAUUAUAUUUUACAUGACUAACAGGUAAGUCGUCCCAGAAGUCUUCCAGAUCUGAAAAACUUGCAUAUCAAAUCCAGAUUUGAAAAACCUUCAUAUAAAAAAACGUUCAAAUUGGUUAAAAACAGAGAAAAUGAGUAGAAGAUUAGAUAAAUCUACCUUUAUAGAACACACAAAAAUACAUAUAUAAAAUUAAUAGAUCUACCUUUAAAUGAGUGAAAGAUGGAUAACAUCUGAUUAAAAAUCUGCAAAAAAAAAGAUAUAUUAGUAAGAAAGACAUGAAACAAGACUGAAAAAUUCAUAUAAAAUUGGUGUUUUCAAGUCAAAGAGAUUAGAGAGAGGUUGGAGAGUUUUAAUGAUGACCAUUACAUUUUUGUUACAGCCAUUUGAGAGGAGGAGAUAUAAUGUGUAAAUUUUUCUUUAUAUAGGGAGACAAGAAAAUCUAAUUAGGUUAAAUAUUUUUGAUUCAGACGAAAGUCGUCCAGAAGACUUUAAUAUUUUUAGUGGGAAAUUAGAAUAGCGGGAAACUAAAAUAGAAGACUUCCCAGACGACUUACAAGUACGUCGUCUGGUUUAAAUUGUUUAAGCGGAAAAAUAACUUUUUAAAAUUUUUUAAAGUAAUUUCUUCACCAGACGACUUCUGUCUAGACCCUAAACAUAACCCUUAAACUUAAUUAACUAACUAAACACUUCAUAAAAUCAAAUUAAACUUCAAAAGUGUUUACUAUACACAAAAAUAAACAUGUAUAGGUAAAAAUUUAAUUUAUCAAAAAAAAUAUUCAAGCUUUGCAGAAUCCAACCCUAAGAAUACAUACAAUACUACAAUAUAUGUUGCCAAACCCUAGACCAAAGAAUACCAUGAUUCACUACUUACACUCAUCUAUGUUGAAAACAAUUCAAUUUUGUUAUAUUUUAAUUUAUAUCACUUAAAAUUGCUUAUAAUUACAUGAUUUUAAUUUUUCGCUUAUCAAAAUAUUUUUUUUAAAAUUAUUUUUAAGAUCAGUUACACCAGAAAACUUACUUUGAAGUUGUCCAGACGACUUCUAACAUCUCAGACGACUCAGACGACUUACAUGAGCUAUAUUCGUAAAAAUAAUUUCUGUUUUUUUGUUUGGUCGCAAAGGACUGGGCUGUAAUUUCACAAGGCUUUUUAGGUAAGUUUUGCAUUUGAUUCAAAUUUGGGUAUAGGUUUGAGGUUAAAUUCAAGUUGUGGGUUAGUUUUGACAAAUUUCUCUAAAUGUUAUCUCCUAAUAUGUAGGACUCAACUCUAUAUCUUAACGUUGUAUAUAUGUCGAUCACGAGUCAAUGAAUAACACAUCAGAAACACUUUGACAAAUUCCCCUAAAAAUUAUACUCUUUAAAUAUAAUUUCAUAAUUUUUUAAAAAAAAUUCAGAUCUGAGAAAAUAAUGUUUUUGGUCGAUAAUAGAAACUCACAUUUUCCGCUAAAACCCUAAGAAUAGACAAGAAUAGAUUUUUUCACCAAACUUGAAAAAAACCACAUUUUCUUCUCUAAAACUGAUUUUCUUUUUAUUUUUGUGUCAAAAUUGAAAAUAACAUUUUCUACGAAAACUGUAAUAUUUAAUUUUUCAGUCAAAUCCGUAACAUUGUAUUCAUAUGCCAAAAUAAAUCCGUAGAAUCAUAUUUUUAACUAAAACCAUAAAACUAUAUUUUUUUGCCAAACUUGCCCAAUUUUUAUUUUCUGCAAAAUUUUAUAACCGGAUAUCCUCAUAUUCCACAUCUCAUUUUUUUUUUUGCCAAAAAUCAAAAAUCAUAUUUUUUUACCAAAAUCAAAUUUUCCUUCUAAACCACAAAAUCAUAUUUUAUGGUAAAUCAACAAAAUAAAAAGAAAAUUUAAAAAUAGUUUACUUGUAAAAAUAUAAAUAAAUUUUAGAUCAAUCCAACAGAAAAUUUCAUAUUAAAUCCCUAAGUUAUAAUUUAAAAUUUCAAAGAAAAAUUAAAAUAUCUCAUUCUUCCUAUACUGCAGCGUAUAGUAAUUUGACGCAGCAGACUAGCGUGUAAGUUGAGUUUAUCUCUUCUAACAUUAUAGUUUUACAUAGAUAAUGUAAAAGCCGGUAAACCGGACUGAUGUAAACGAUAUAAUAAAAGCGAAGUUAAGGAAAUAGACGAAUAUAGAAAACGAAUACGAGAACGAUAAGAAAUCGUAUUCGCAGCGAGACAUAGAGGCGAGAUAUGAUCUCUUUCCUUAACUCAAAAUAUUCGCUCCGUUAGUGAGACGGGACUGUACGAAUAUAGAGUCCCAGGAUACAACCAUGGCAGACGAAUCACGCCUCACUCGUGAUCGCCCUAUCGAACUAUAAACUCUACGAAACACUCUCGUUUUUAUGACUUACGCUAAGGGAAUUUUGAUGCUGGUUUCGAUGUGAAAAAGUUGAAGAAAAUGAGAAGAGGAGAGUCCGUAUUUAAAGAGAAGACUAGGAGCGGUUUUUCGAAAUUGUUGCGAACGUUUUUUCCGAAAAUCUCGCAAAGAUCUCGGAGUGGAACGUUGAGCAGCUUUCUCCGCAAGUUUCUCUCUUGUUGACUCGUUCUGAUCCAUUUCGAACAGAUAAACUUCGUGUUGUUUUUAAACGAACUACAUGUCGUUUAUACACAAAUGUCAUGCUGUUUUUAGAAAUAAAAUGGCAAAGCGUUGAGCUUAACUUGGUCAAAAAAGAAUACUUCUUAUCGGGCCAAAGGCCCUCCACCCAAGCCCAAGCCCAAGCCCAAGCCCAAGCCCACGCCGAGCCGAGCCGAGCCGAAUUUCAUUUCCUCAUAUAUAACACAUGAUAUCAAGUGACCAUAUAUAAACACCUCAUUUCCUCUUGUUCCCACCGAUAUGGGACAAGUCUCUUCUUCUCAUUAUUAUUGUUUUUGGGCUGUUGAACACACAUGCCCAUGUCAUUUAUUUUUUACAAUUUCCAUUAAAGCCCAAUGGCUAUAAAUGGAUCCAACAAUCCCCCACAUGAAUAGAAAUGACUCUUCUAAACAUAUGCAGACUAAAUGCAGACUCGAUAGACUCUAAAAACUAUACUUAUUCUAAUCCUUACUAGACUGGACAGACUUAUCGAGAGUGUUUGCGAAAAAUUCACUGUGUUUGAAUUGGUGGCAUUUUUAAGCCUAUGCUUUGGUUAGAUUCUGUUUGAUUUUGUUUUCCCUUUGAACCUACGUCUUGGGAUCUCCAGUCAUGAUAGGUAGGGUUGCAAUCAAGCAUCCUCAUUCGUUAUAGGCUUUAAACCCAUUCCUUUUGAUGAUUUAGCAACAACAUCUCGUGGCAAACCUUUAGUAAAUGGAUCCGCUAGGUUGUCAGCCGAUUUGAUGUAGUCUAUUGUGAUUACACCAGUUGAGAUAAGUUGUCUAAUGGUUUUAUGUCGUCUUCUGAUGUGACGAGAUUUACCAUUGUAGAGAUUAUUCUGAGCCCGAGCUAUUGCUGAUUGACUAUCACAAUUUAUGCGUAUAGCUGGCACAGGUUUCUCCCACAUAGGGAUAUCUUUCAAAAAAUUUCUAAGCCAUUCAGCUUCUUCUGCUGCUUUGUCUAAGGCUAUGAACUCAGAUUCCAUGGUUGAUCUGGCUAACACUGUUUGUUUGGUAGAUUUCCAUGAUAUUGCUGCUCCUCCUAGUGUAAAUACAUAUCCACUUGUGGAUUUUGAGUUUUAGAGUCUGAUAUCCAGUUAGCAUCACUGUAUCCUUCUAAAACUGCUGGUUUUUUACCAUAGUGAAGCCCAAAAUCUUUGGUGUAGCGCAAGUAAUUGAGUACCCUCGUUAUAGCUUUCCAGUGUGUAUGACCUGGAUUACUUGUAUAUCGACUAAGUACGUUUACUGCAUGCGCUAGAUCUGGUCUAGUACAAUUUGUCAAGUACAUGAGACUUCCGAUCACACGUGCAUACUCGUUUUGUGAAACCGCUUCACCUGAAUUCUUUGUCAAGUGCAUUUGGGGAUCUAACGGAGUUUUUGCCGUACUAUUAGAGUAAUUUUUAAAUCUCUCUAAUAUUGUUUGAGCAUAAUGAGAUUGGGUUAAGAUAAUUCCGUUUGAAUUUCUUGUGACUUUAACCCCGAGAAUUACAUCUACUAAUCCCAAGUCUUUCAUCUCAAAUGUCCCUUUGAGCAUGUUCUUUGUUUGAUUGAUAAUGUCUUUAUUGCUUCCAAUAAUGAGCAUAUCAUCUACAUAUAGACAUAGCAAAACAUACGCAUUUUUGGUAGUUUUGUAGUAUAUGCAUUUGUCACAUUCAUUUAUUUUGAAACCAUUUGACAUCAUUGUAUUGUCAAAUUUUUCGUGCCAUUGUUUAGGAGCUUGUUUAAGCCCAUAAAGUGACUUUACAAGUCGACAUACUUUGUCUUCCUGUCCGGGAAUGACAAAACCUUCAGGUUGUUUCAUGUAAAUUUCCUCUUCUAAAUCACCAUUUAGAAAAGCAGUUUUUACAUCCAUUUGAUGGAUUUCUAGGUCUCUUAAGGCUGCGAUUGCUAUCAUCAGUCUUAUUGAUGUUAUUCUCGUCACUGGAGAAUAUGUAUCAAAAUAGUCAAGGCCUUCCUUUUGUCGGAAUCCUUGAACUACAAGCCUAGACUUGUAUUUUCCACCAGGUUUUCGUGUCAUUAUCCAUUUAUUCCCUAAUGCUUUGCAGCCAGGUGGUAAAUCCGUUAUGUAAUAAGUAUAAUUUUGCAUGAUCGAAUCAAAUUCACUCCUGACAGCUUCGUUCCAAAAUGGAGCUUCUGGUGAAGCCAUGGCUUCUGCCAAAGUUUUUGGAACAUUUUCUACUAAAAAUGCCAUUAGGAAAUCUUCUCCAAAAGAUUUUUCUUUUCGAGCUCUUUUGCUCCUUCGAGGUUCAUCUUUUUCUUCAUUUUCUGAAAUAUCAUUUAUAGAAAUCUCGACGUUUGUCUCAGUUUCUGAGUUUUUGUCAUUGUCUCUUUCUUCUCGAGUUCGUUUUGAACCUUGUUUUUCCUUAUAUGGAAAAAUAUUUUCGAAGAAAGAUGCAUUUCUUGAUUCCAUGACUGUAUUUUCAUGAAUGUCUGAUAUUUCAGAUUUAUGUACCAGAAAUCGAUAAGCAUUACUGUUAUGUGCAUAUCCGAUGAAGAUGCAAUCCACUGUUUUAGGUCCAAUAGUGACCUUCUUUGGUGGCGGUACCGCAACUUUUGCCAGGCACCCCCACACUUUGAGGUAUUUAUACGAAGGUAAAUUACCUUUCCAUAAUUCAUAUGGAGUUUUGCCAGUUACUUUGUGUGGAAUUUUGUUGAGGAUAUAAUUAGUGGUAAGCAAUGCUUCCCCCCACAUGUUCUGGGGUAACCCAGAUUCCUGCAACAUUGCAUUCAUCAUCUCUUUUAGAGUUCGAUUUUUGCGUUCAGCAACUCCAUUAGAUUCUGGUGAGUAAGGAGCUGUAGUUUGAUGGAUUAUUCCAUGUUCUUUACAGAAUGCAUUGAAUGGACCAUCAUACUCGCCUCCUCUGUCGCUUCUAACUACUUUAAUAGUUGUUUUAAGCUGAUUUUCGACCUCGAGUUUAAAUUCUUUAAAUUUUUCUAAGGUUUCGUCUUUGCUAUGUAAUAAAUAUACAUAACAAUAUUUUGUGCAGUCAUCUAUGAAGGUCACAAAGUACUUUUUACCACCUCUAGUUUGUAAGUAUUUUAAAUCACAUAAAUCUGUGUGAAUUAAAUCUAGAGGUUUAUUAGUUCUUUCAACACGAGGUGAUGGCGUUUUCGUGAGCUUAGCCUGUACGCAUACUUCACAUUUUUGUUUACUUGUUUUGCAUUUAGGAAUUAGAUUUAAAUUCAUUAAUCUUUGUAUAGAUUUGUAGUUUACAUGGCCUAAUCUUUCAUGCCAUAUAUUAAAAGACUCAACCAAAUAAGCAACUGGCUCUUUCUUAUUCAUUGAAACUUUUGAAGCUACAACUUUCGGAGGGACUGUCAUUACAUUCAACUUGACAAGUCCACCCUUAACAUACCCUCUUCCCAAAUACAUCCCAUUUUUCCUAAUCACGAGCUUGUCCGCCUCAAAAUUUGUGGCGAAUCCAUUCUUGCUGAGCAAGGUUCCCGAGACCAGGUUCUUCCUCAUGUCAGGCACAUGCUUCACAUUCGUCAGAGUGACCUCAUGUCCAGAUGUCAUCUUCAAAAUCACAUUGCCGCGUCCUUCAAUCUUGGAGACUGCAGUGUUUCCCAUCUUGAGCUUCUCCUCAGUCUUGCUUUUCUGAUAGGUGCUGAACAUCGCCCUAUCGGUGCAAAUGUGGGUGGUUGCACCAGUGUCAUACCACCAUUCCUUGGGGUUGUUGCUUUCAACCAUGUUGGCUUCAGUCACCACAGCAACGAGAUCCUCCUCUGUGAGAUUUGCCUGAGCCUUCUCAUCCUUGAUCUUUUUGCGACACUCAACAGUCUUGUGCCCCACUUUGUGGCAGUAGUGACAUUUCCCCCUGAACUUCUCCACAUUCGCAUUCGCAUUGAUUUCAAUGCCUUUGUUCUUGAAGUUUUUUCCAGAAGCCUUCAGGGCUGCAGCAGUUUUGGAAGGCUUGGCAGGAGAAUGGGCGUGUGCCUUUCCUUUGCCUUUGUGCUCAGCCAUGUUGACACUGUGCUCCUUAGCAGUGACCUUGUCAGCAGUUCGGUUUCUGGAUUCCAUCUGAAGCCUCAUGAUGAGCUCCUCGAGCCCCAUCUUCUUCUUCUUGUGCUUCAAGUAGUUCUUGAAAUCCGCAUAGCUUGGAGGAAGCUUUUCAAUGAAGCUGAGAGUUGUGAAUGUCUCGCAGAUGGACAUUCCUUCAGCAGCGAUUUCAUGGCAAAUGAGCUGAAGCGCUUCCACCUGAUCCAUGAUGGGUUUUGAAUCCACCAUUUUGAAGUCGUGGAAUUUUGAGACCACAUACUUCUGGCAGCCAGCGUCCUCACCUCUGUACUUCUUGUCUAGUGAUCUCCAUAGCUCUUUCGCCGUGGGGAUCUCACAGUAGACACGGUACAAUGGGUCAAUGAGGCGACCCAAAAUGUAGCCUUUGCAGAUGAAGUCGGAAUGCACCCAUAUGUCAACAGUUGCGAGGCUGUGAACAUCAUCAAUCCCGUAAGGCAUAAGGGGCUUGUCCUCCUGGAGGAACUUCUCCAGCUUCAUCGUUGCCAGGAAGAACAACAUCUUCUUCUGCCAUGUUUUGAAGCCUUUGCCAUCAAAUUGGUUUGGCAUCAGUCCUUGAGUGAACACACUAGGGACAGUCGGAGGAGUUUGAACUGCCACCGGACCACUUGCAGUUGCUGAAAUUGAACCUGUCUGAUAAAGACCAACACCGAAUAGGGUACGGCGGGUGGUUUCAUCCGCAGCAUUCCCCGCAGGGAGGAAAGUGCUCGUUGUUGCUGCAGUGGUUGACGCUGUGAUGUUUCCAGCGGUUGUCACGCCAGUUGCUGCAGCGUUGAGUGGAGUCUGAAUGACAUCCGAGGUGUCCAUGGGAGUGGGGGUGUCGUUCUCGUUUGUCAUUUUCCUGUAGAGAAAACAUGAAAAACGGAUUAGUACUCCAUUCAACAUUUAACAUAUUAUUUUAAAUAAAAUAAUAGUCUAAAAUCGAUGUUCAUUUUUGGUGUUUGAACCAAAUCAUAUCGAUAUAAGUCUUGGAAAAACGUUUUGCAAACUCGCUUAAAAGCGUUCGCAGAAAUCAUUUUUAUAGACUUAGAAUGUUUCACAAACUCGCUUAAGAAAGCGAUCUUGAAACGAUUCAUUUAUAGAACGUUUUGAAGAUGUAUCAAAACCGUUUUGCAAAAAAUGCUAAAAAGCAAUCCGCAAAUCGUAAUGAAAUAAAACAUAAACGUUUCGCGGAAGUACUAUAAAGCAAAUCGCAAACACGUUUUUAGAAUAACGCAGAAAACGUUUCGCGGAUAAGCGUAUAGCAAAUCGCAAACAUCGUUAUGAAAUAAGAAUAACCGUUUCGCGGAAGUGCUAGGAAGCAAAUCGCAAACACGGUUCCAAAACCCGUUUUAUAAAUCGUUCUUCAACCCGAUUCGAGCUUUAGACAUAAAGCUAUUUUGAGUUAAGAUUGUAAAAGCCGGUAAACCGGACUGAUGUAAACGAUAUAAUAAAAGCGAAGUUAAGGAAAUAGACGAAUAUAGAAAACGAAUACGAGAACGAUAAGAAAUCGUAUUCGCAGCGAGACAUGGAGGCGAGAUAUGAUCUCUUUCCUUAACUCAAAAUAUUCGCUCCGUUAGUGAGACGGGACUGUACGAAUAUAGAGUCCCAGGAUACAACCAUGGCAGACGAAUCACGCCUCACUCGUGAUCGCCCUAUCGAACUAUAAACUCUACGAAACACUCUCGUUUUUAUGACUUACGCUAAGGGAAUUUUGAUGCUGGUUUCGAUGUGAAAAAAGUUAAAGAAAAUGAGAAGAGGAGAGUCCGUAUUUAAAGAGAAGACUAGGAGCGGUUUUUCGAAAUUGUUGCGAACGUUUUUUCCGAAAAUCUCGCAAAGAUCUCGGAGUGGAACGUUGAGCAGCUUUCUCCGCAAGUUUCUCUCUUGUUGACUCGUUCUGAUCCAUUUCGAACAGAUAAACUUCGUGUUGUUUUUAAACGAACUACAUGUCGUUUAUACACAAAUGUCAUGCUGUUUUUAGAAAUAAAAUGGCAAAGCGUUGAGCUUAACUUGGUCCAAAAAGAAUACUUCUUAUCGGGCCAAAGGCCCUCCACCCAAGCCCAAGCCCAAGCCCACGCCCAAGCCCAAGCCCAAGCCCACGCCCGAGCCGAGCCGGCCGGACGGCGGGUAUGUUCUUACCGUGGGAGGCUCUCUCUUCCUCUGAGCCAUUUAACCUCUCAUGUCAUGAAGUCUUAUAUAUAUUACUCCAAUUCUUUCUUGCUAGGCGAUGUGGGACUUUGCUCCACUCCUUCAUUCAUUUAACUUAAGCCAACAAGGCUUUUUGUUACAAACCCAUAGGCCCAUUUCAUUUUCACAAUUUGACCAUUUAUUAUUAAGCCAAUGGGCUAAAUAAUUAGGUCCAACAGAUAAACCACACCAUAUACACAUAAUCAUUUAGAUGCUCAUUCUUUAGUUUUAUCAAUAUAAAUUUGAUAUUUCAUCAAAACAAAAGUGUAAAAAAAAUCAUAUAAAACUCUAUAUAUUUCAUAUUAAGUGAAAAUAAAUAUAAGUAUAUACAUUACAACAAUAUUAAUAAUAACAAAAAGCUAAUUAAAAUAUUAAAAAAAAAAGAAGAAAAUAUAAGGGUAAAUCUCCAAAAUAGCACUCAAAAACUAAAAUGACCAAAAUUUAAAUUUUUUUAUUUUUCAAAAUUUGAAAUCUUAUCCCCAAAACCUCACUUCUCAACUCUAAACCCUAAAACCUAAACUCUAAACCCUAAACCCUAAAUUCUAAACCCUAAACCCCACCCCUUGAGUGUUAUUUUUGUGACUUUUGGUCUUGAAUGCUAGUUUGGGAACAAAAACUUGAUUUAGUGCUAUUUUGGUCUUUUUCUCAAAAUAUAACCUUUUUGUAACACUAAAAGUAUAUAAUCUUCAACUGUUUUCUACAACAUUAACUUAUUUUUGUGACAAAAAAAAUAAUUAGACUAUAAUGGGUAAUCAUGCUGAAGAAAACUAAUUAAGGUAAAUUUUUUGUUUUUAUAUUAUUCGAGUUAUGUUAAAUCUUUUGUCAAAUUAUUUUUUUUUUUUGUAAGAAAUUGGGAGAAAGCCUCCCAAUAUUUAUUAAAGAACAAGAAUCAAACUACAAACGAGUCUGUUGUGGCCGUAGAGGUCCAUCAACAUCCUCACGCAAUAACGUAACAACCUCUAAAGGUGCAAUGUCAAACCUAUGAAAACCAAACGGUAAUGAAAAAGCCAGGUUAGCCAAACCAUCAGCUAAGUGGUUUGCUUCCCUGUACACAUGAACUAUUCGGACCAGCCAGUCCCUUGUCAAGAAGCCAUGGCACAGUCGUACCAGGAAAGACAGCGGAUGAGUAUUCCCAAUCCCUGUCGUCAGAAACUCCACCACCAUUUUAGAGUCCACUUCCAACUCCAAUCUGCUUAUACCUUUCUCCCAAGCAAUCACCAAACCAUAGUAGACUCCCCAUAGUUCCGCCAAAGGAGCAGAGCAUCGCCCUAUAUUCAGAGCGUAUCCACCAUACCACUCACCAUCAACAUUCCGUAUUACACCUCCUGCAGAGGCCAGCCCCGGAUUUCCAUGCGAUGCUCCGUCAGUGUUAAGCUUCAUCCAUCCUUCUCGAGGAGGCAUCCAUCCUACCAUUAUUUCAACUCUGCUGCCAAUAUGAAUACUCCCCCGUUCCACCUCCUUUGCUAACCUCACUUCUUUGGCCAAGUCUCGUAGAAACUUCACACGAUCUCUCCAAAGCCGAUUCUCUCCAAACACAUUACCGCAUCUCCACUUCCACCCCCACCAAGCCGCUAAAGCAAACAGCGUGGCCCAAGGAUUCCCACUCCCGGUAUCAUUAUCACAUAAUUUUUUGUAGAGCCAUUCGAACAAAGACAUCGAGAAGAAUGCUUGUCUCUUCCUAGCUGGGACGAAUCUGUUCCAUAUUCCUGUCAUCGCUGGACAGUCCCUAAGUACAUGUAGGAUCGUUUCAAUACCUCCUCUACAGACCUGGCACAAAUCGGUCCCACUUAGAUGCCUUCUAUGUCUCUCUGCGUUCGUCAUAAUCGCCUGAUUCCCAACUAACCAAAGAAACACCUUAACUCUCUCAGGGACUGCCACACUCCACAUCUUUCGAAAGAAGCUCUCCAUGUUUGGCCCUGGAUAUUCAUCUCGUGUGAGUAACUUAUACACAUAUUUUACUGUAAAUUGCCCACUAGGUGUUUGUCCCCAAGAUAGACAAUCCUUUGCCCUAGUGACCACAUCGACCACCACUGCUGCAAGCUCCAGCCGUGUCUCCUAUGUUAUAAAUAGAGCAAUUCUCGUGAGGUUCCAACCCCCGCCUUCCAGCCACAUUUCUCGAGCUGUUAUAUUCCCGUAUACUUCUGGCAGCUCCGCAAUCACAACUCUAUCAAGUGAAUAAUCUGAAAGCCACUUAUCCGUCCAAAAUUUAAUAUCUCUCCCAUUAUCAAUCACCCAACUAUGUCCAGGCACAAUCACUUCCCUUAUCCCCAUCGCCACACUUCUCCAUGUAGAUGAAACCAGCUGCCCUUAAUGUGUCUUCCAAGAAGUCCCAGCGAACCCUGUCAUAAGCUUUCUCCAAGUCCAAUUUUAGGAGCAUCCAACAUUUCUUGCCCUGCUUCUUUCUCAUCGAGUGAACAGCCUCCUGAACCACCACAAUAUUAUAUGCACUCAAUCUGCCUGGAAUGAAACUCGCUUGAGCAGGACCAAUCAGUUUCUUCAUGAUCUCUUUCAGUCUUCUUACCAUAGCAUUCGUGAUUAUUUUGAACAACACGUUGCAUAGACUAAUCGGUCGGAACUGUGUGAUGUUCUCCGGUUUCAACACUUUUGGAAUCAAGACGACCAGAGCAUCAUUAGAACCUUCAGGUAAUUUACCAGUUUCAAAAAAGAGGCAAGCAAACCUGACCACUGAAGCACCUACUGUCUCCCAACACUUUUGAUAAAAGACCGGCUGAAAACCAUCAGGUCCAGGCGCCUUAAAACUACCCAUGGCUCUAACCGCCUUCUCCGCCUCUUCUGCAGAAAACUGUCUAUUUAAGCUAGUCUGGUCAUGACUAGAAAGAUUUACAAAACCUCUUGCCGACAGGCCCUGCGAUUCAGUAUCAACCCCUUCUAACGAAUAUAACUUCUUGAAGUAACUAACCGCUAACUCCUCCAGCUCCUGAGUAUCUGAAACCCAACGAUUAUCAUCCUUUUGCAACAUAUCCACUCUGUUCCGCCUCCUUCUAAUAAUUGUUGACGUAUGAAAAAACUUUGUAUUUCUAUCUCCAUAAACGAUCCACUUCUCCCGCGAUUUUUGGAACCAUAUAAGUUCUUAUUGUUCAAGAACUAUCUCAAACUCCUUAAGGAGUUCACCUUCUUUCACCAACAGCUCAUCAGUUUGACUCUGCUCAAUUCUCGUCUGGAUUUCUUUUAUUUCGACAACUAACAUCUCCUUUCUUUUCUGAACACUCCCAAAAACUUCUUUGUUCCACUUUCGAAGUUUUACUCCCAGUCGCUCCAAAGGUUCUCUAGUCCCAAUCUCUCGAUCCCACGAAGCCGUUAACAUAUCUUGAAAUUCACUAUGUUUCAGCCAAGCCGCCUCAAAUCGAAAUGGACGUCUACACGCAUUGCCUUGAGUCUCUGGUGUAAUUUGUAAGUACAAUGGGGCAUGAUCCGAGGCCAAGAAUGGUAGAUGUGAGACUCUUGCCUCCUGCCAUUUGAGUCUAGCCUGAGGACAACAUAGUAUUCUGUCCAACCUCUUAGCGACAAAUGUGCUUUCUGUCUUCCCUCGCUUCCAUGUGAACUGGUUCCCACUAAAUCCCAUAUCAAUGAGUGACAAAUCAUUGAUCCAAUCACCAAAAGCUAAAGAAUCUUCAGAUAAUCUCCCAUUCCCACCACUUCUUUCAUCCAAUCUCACAAUCGUGUUGAAAUCCCCACCAAUAAAUACCGGACCAACCGCAUUAUGAAUCACCUCCCCCAACUCCGCCCAUAAACCUCUCCGAUGGAUCGGUGUAGGUGCAGCAUACACAACGAUCAAGUUAAUCGCCUCUGUUUCGUUCCCCACUCGAGCAUAAAUAAACUGAUCAGAAGACUUGACCACCUCAAGUUCUCCUAUUUCCGAUCGCCAUAGCAACCAUAAGCCUCCGCUUUUCCCACACGCAUCAACUCUAAACGAGUUUUCAAAGCCCAGUCCUUGACAGAUUCGGCCUGCAGCCGCUCCACCAGCAUGAGUUUCAAAAACGGCAAGAAUGUUUGUACUAAAUUUCUUCACCAAGUAUCUUAUCGAUCUACGAAACUGAAAUUUAUUUGCCCCCCGGCAAUUCCAAAGAAUGCACUUCAUCAAAAAUUUAUAAUCCAAACUUAAAAUCACCGGGGCAAAUUGUUAUGCCUCCAUACCCUUCAGUUCUUCUCCCAACCGACCUCUACAAGCUUCCACUUCGUCAAGAUGUGGAAUCUCCGGUAGUGCCAAUUGUGCCUGAUUGUUCCUUCGCUCAGAAGCUUGAUCCAAGUGUUUCUCAUUCUCAUCGAACUCCCCAUCUCCAGCGAAAGCACCGCCGGGUCGGCCAACACUUUCCCUUUCGAUUCGCAAUCUCUUUCCGUUCACCGACAAUUCAAUCUCUCCUCUAGCUGGGCCAUAAACAAGUCCCCGUGUAGGCCCAACAUGUUUUGCUUUGGGCUUCUGGAGCUUUAGACUUUUCAGAUUACUCGCUCUCUUUUCCUUAGGGCCCAAUCAACUUAUCGGUUGAUUCCCUUGUUUCUCCGUUCCAGCAAAUGACUUGGCCUCCUUAGUUGCACCAAACAUUAUAGCCUUCCCAUGCACUCUACUCAAGACUUCCGAGUUUAAAUUCAUAGUAUUUUCGUUCUCUUUAUUCUUAUCCACUCUUCCCACAUCAUCCCCAAGUUCCUCCUUGUCUCCCUCUUCCUCCAAACUUCCAAACCUAUUUGAUACUAGCACUUCCUCCACUGUACCACCACCAUUGCCUAUCUCCCUUGCUUUACUUCCGACCAUACCUCUUCCAUCCUUACUUUGCGCGGGACCCUCUAUAUGCCUUAGUUGCUCAGGCUCACUGGGGUAAAUUCUGCAUCCAUUCUUGUUAUCUCAGUACUCUCAUGAUUCAUAAUCACACGUCCAGGUGUCAGAGUAGGUGUCGGAGUAGGUACCCUAUUCGUAACAUUCUUGGGACAUGCAUGGGCGAGGUGUCCAUACAACCCACAUAUCGAACAUAUGGUUGACAUUCCUUCGUAAGAAACGUAAUACCUCUCACCAUUUAUCAUCACUGACCCCUUUAGUGGUUUGUUGAGGUUCACUUCCACACAGAUUCUCGCACUACAAAAAAAGUUGCUAUUCAUAGCACAUUGUUAUAGCACGUUUCACUGAACUGCUGUCGUUGAUGAGUGAAUUUUUUUUUUAGUAUAGGUUAGCAUUAUAUUAAUGCUAUGAUAGAGUUUUGCUAAGCGGGAAGCUAAAAUUAGCUUUUCCACGAAACACUUAGUAAAAAUUAGCUAAUAUUUUCUGUUUUCCCUCUCUCUAAUCGGGGUUCCCUCUCUUCUCUCUCAUUUUCCCCCUUUCUCGACAAAACUCUAAGAGAAAUCAAUCUGGAUUCUCCAUCUCCUUCUCUCUCGUUCUCUCUCUAUUUCCAUCUCUGUCUCGAUUCUCCAUCUCCGGUUCUCCAUCUCCGCCUCGAUUCUCCAUCUCCGCCUUGAUUCUCCAUCUCUGAUUCUCCAUCUCCUCCUCGAUUCUCCAUCUCCUCCUCGAUUCUCCAUCACUCUCCUUCAUCGCUGCUUCUCCCAGCUCCGAUUCAACUCCUGUUCUACAUCUCUUAGGUAUAGGAAGUCACAAUUUCGAUAUCUCUGUCAGUGUUAAGCUGAAAUCGAAGUUUUAUUUUUUUGCUUUAAUUUCUUGGUUGCUUUGAUAUGUUGGUUGCUUUGAUUUCCUGUUUUAUUCCAGUUAUCUUUUUAUUUGGUUGGUAUCGUUUCAUGCUCUGAAUAUUUUUGCUAUAUCAUUACAUCCUCUGACUCUUAUGUGUUAUGUUAUAAGUUCGUUUUGUUACAAAAGGUUUCAACUUAGGUUCGAACACAGCAUUAUGGACAAAGCUUGGGUACAUCUAAACAGGUAAUGAGCUUAAGCGUGUAUCUCAUGUUUCAUUUGGUGAUUACUGACUUAACUUGUUUAAUUUUGUUUUUCUUUUGAUUGUUAAUGGCAGAGUUGAUCCUGGAUAUGAGAGAGGGGCUUCAAAGUUUGUCCGGGAUGUGGCUUCAGCAAUGGGAGGGGUUGAUGUUAUUGUAUGUCCGUGUAUUGACUGCCGUAACAUAGUUCGACAUUCAGCAAGUGUGGUACUUGAUCAUCUUGUUACUAGGGGUAUGGAGGAGGGUUAUAAGAUGCGGGCUGAUUGGUAUCUACAUGGAGAGUUGAACGCAGAGGUUGCUGAUGAAAGCAAAGGAAGUGAGUGGAACGAUGAGAUCUAUGGGUUGUUCAGAGCUGCUGAGUGUUUUGAUGAAGAGUUAGCUGGUAUGGGGAAUCUAUCUGAUAUGGCAGAGGGAGAGGACAAGAAAGAAGAUGAGUUCUUGGCAAAGCUAGCUGACGCUGAAACACCAUUGUAUCCGAGCUGUUCAAGCCAUAGCAAGUUAUCUGCAAUUGUUUCGUUGUUCAGAUUGAAGACUCAGAAUGGAUGGUCUGACAAGAGCUUCAAUGAUUUGCUAGAGACCUUGCCAGACAUGUUACCUGAAGAAAAUGUCUUGCACACAUCACUCUAUGACGUGAAGAAGUUCUUGAAAUCAUUUGACAUGGGCUACGAGAAGAUCCAUGCUUGUGGCAACGACUGCUGCCUAUUCAGAAAGAGGUUCAAGAAGCUCGAUAAGUGUCCUAAAUGCAAGGCUUCAAGGUGGAAGACUAAUGUUCACACGGGUGAGACGAAGAAAGGCGUCCCACAGAAAGUUCUCCGUUACUUCCCUGUAAUACCAAGACUGAAGAGAAUGUUCCGGUCUGAAGAAAUGGCCAAGGAUUUGAGGUGGCACUUUACCAACAAAAGCAGUGAUGGAAAGCUGCGUCAUCCUGUUGAUUCUGUGACAUGGGAUCAUAUGAAUGCCAAAUACCCUACGUUUGCAGAUGAAGCAAGGAACCUGAGGCUGGGACUUUCAACAGAUGGAUUCAAUCCAUUCAACAUGAAGAACUCGAUGUACAGUUGCUGGCCUGUUCUGCUAGUUAACUACAACUUACCUCCAGACCUGUGCAUGAAGAAGGAGAACAUGCCAGGUAAGGGAGCACGUGCCUGUUACAGUUGAAAAUUGGAAAAAAAUUACUGAAGAAGUGAAGACAGUGCUUUGGAAAUCAGUCCAGGUAACAAUUUCUAAACGAUAACAGCAUAUAUAUUUCUGAACAGACAUCAAGUUAUUGAUUAUUGGUUGGCUAACUACGUGUGCAGGCAAGGUUUGAACUUGAUGAGGACCACCAAAGGGUUGCAGUUCUUAAGCAGAUGGGAGCCUUGUGGAGAUCAUCCAAGUCACGUCUUGUUACCCAAAUCAAUGAAGCUGAAAAUAACCAACAAAGGAUGAAUCUCAGACCUAAGAAUGUUCAUCCAAUUGAGUGGCGCAAAUUUGUGAAGCUAAAAACAAGCCAAGAAUUCAAGGUAUACAUUCUUAGAUGGAACUCCCAUCGCUAUUACUAACUAGAUUAAUAAGAUCGUUAUUACGAAAUGAUAGGUUCUGAGUGAUAGCUACAAAGAGAGGAGAAGCAAACAGAUUCCUCACACUUGUAGUAGAAAGGGAAUGGUUAGACUAGCAGAAGAGAUGGUAAGCAUAUUAUCUCAGAUUUUGGUUUCAUUUUUUUAUCUGUAGACAAGGCUGUUGACAUAUAAUUUUGCAACAGAAAAAUAGUUCUGAAGACAAAUCUGAAGUGUCGAGACUUAAAGUCUGGGUGAGGUCACGUACAAGAAAAGAUGGAACUCCCAUCAACACAAAUGCUGCUGAGAAGAUUGUAAGUUUAUAACAUAAUCUGUUCCUCCUAUUAAUCCUGGUCGGUAGAUAGAUAUGCUUAUAACUUUUUCUGUUAAUUGAGUCUCCUGCAACUGAUCAGGUAAAUUUUUAACUUAUAUGUUCAAUCAUCUGCUCAGAUUAAUAUCUGUGUUUUGAAUUGUGUGCAUGUCUAUUGUAAAGUGUCAGCUUAAGCAUGGAUCUCAGACAAUGAAACAGAAUCAGAAGUGCAAAUUGAUGGACAUUGGUGAGAGGAAACAAGUUGUUGCUGAAGGUCGUAUCCAUUCAACAGACCCAACUCAACUGGUCCACUUUGUGCGCUUGGGUCCGAAAGCAGCUAGAGUGUGGGUAGAUGCAGUGCUCGUAGAUGAUGCCGAAGUUUGGAGGAAAUCAGAUGAAAUAGAGAGUUUGAAAGAUGCACACGGUUCAUCAAUUGCAUGGCCAAUUGAUAAAUUGGUCAUAUUUUAAGCUGCUGUAAGUAUUCUGUUUUGUGUGUUUAAACCUGCAUAUGUAAUUGCAUAACUGAUCAGAGUUUUCAUUGUUGCAGCAGCUGAGGGAAUGAAGAACUUAGGUCCAGAUUUAGCUAGUGUUUAAGCUAGGCUAAUGAACUUGAUGUAUGAUAUUAUUGCUUAUGACUUUGGUUUGUGUUUUAGAACUGCAUCAGUAACACUUAUGUGUAAUGACUUAUGUAUGUCAAACUUAUUUUAUGAUUGUGUUAGUUUGUUAUGAAGUUUCUGCUUUUUUUAUUACAAAUUUUCGAAAAUGCAAAUUCAUAGCUCGUGGACAAAAUAACAAUAGCUAAAAAAAAACAGUUAUGCUUGUAAAGCAUAGCAUUAAAUAUUUCAUAUAAUGUAAACUAUCAUAAUAUAUUUCUAAGCUAUUAAAAACUUUAGUAUAGCACUUAUCCACAGCAAUUACCAAAAUAAGCUAUUGCUAUUGUAGACGUUGCUACCAUGGCACACAAUACGUACCAUAAUCAAUUUGUAACAAAAAAUAACUGUGCCGUAGAUUCAUUAAUAACAUCAGCUAAUUAAUGCUAUCGUAAACGUACAUUUCGUAGCAUCAAAGAAAAACGCUAUUGUAGGGGGCCUACCUAUGAUGGCUGCCGUAUACACAGCAGUUGUGAAUUCGCUAUCAAAACUCUAACAUAGCAUAUAACCCGCGCUAACAAUGAGCAUUUUUCUUGUAGUGUCGCAAACCUCGCUCUUUCGAAAUUCAACGUUGUUCCGUCUACCUUGAUCGGGCGCCCUAGUCCCUUUGCUAUACCCAUCAGUAUCGUCUUGUGAUAGAAGUUUACUGGGAUAUGUGAUAAACGAACCCAAACUGGAGUCGUAACUAUCUCGUCUUUCAGUGGGUCAAAUUCAGGAGUCCAUGCUUGCACCAUAAGGUAGCUGCCAAAAGCUCUCCAUGGACCCCCUGAUAAUGCAGCCAUAUACUCCUCUUCCAACUCAAAGCGUACUAUAAAGAAGUUUCUAGGAAGAUCCAUGACAAACAUCGACCCUCUAGGCUUCCAUAGUUCUCUUAGUUUCCUAUUAAGGUUCGUGAUCGGAACGUUCCUUCCCAAAACCCUAACGAUCAUACAUCUCUUCCACAGACUAUUCAUAGCCGUUAAUACUUCCUCUCCUAUCAUUAUCACCGGUUCUCCAUCCUCACCAUUCGGAAACUCCAAUCUCAAUCUCGCCUCCACAAACUCUUCCCCCACAGCUUUCUCCGGGACAUGCCUUCCUCCCGCGUUGCCUCCUACAACUUUCUUCAGCCAAGAGCCAGGAGCAUCCGGAGGGUCGCCCGGUGGCCUUUCCUUCUCUCCAAUAUCCUCCAUAGUAGCAUCCUUUCCUGUCUCACCCAAAACCUCAAAAUCGCCUCUCAAAACCCUAGCCGUCAUAUUCUUUUUUAUCUUAUCUUUUGUCAAAUUAUUAACAGGUGGGUUUCAUUUUUUCCACUAAAUUUUUCAUGGAUGGAUAAAUGAAUAUAUAAAUUUUUUUUUUAAUUUUUCAGUUCCUCAAAUUAACUGGUGGGUCCCACGUCUAGUCAUACUACAUUACAAAAUAACACAAUACACUAUGAUACUUUAAACCUGUUCGGAGAAAUUUAUAAAUCAUGAUACCAGAAUAAAAACUAAGAUUAUUGUCUAAAAAAUUUUGUUUUGACUCAUCUCUUUCAUUUCAAACACAUAUCCUUCUGCUGCAAAAAUGAAGAAUCCAUUUCUUUUGGCUAUUUUCCUUGUUGGCGCCCUCGCUUUACAAGAUACAAGAAGCAGGGAAGAAGAAAGACUCACUUUUAUAGACAAAAGGCUUGAAGUAGUGUACCCAGUGAUCCAGGGAUUCAAGUCACUCAUCACCCUCGACCCGUUUAAGGUAACACAGACAUGGAUAGGUUCAGAAAUUUGCAGUUACAGAGGCUUUCACUGUGACAAUCCUCCGGACAACAAAACCGCAAUCACUGUCGCUUCCAUCGAUUUCAAUGGCUUCCAGCUCUUUGCUCCCUCCAUCGAAGGAUUCAUCGAUCAACUCCCAGACUUAGCUCUGUUUCAUGCAAAUUCAAACAACUUUGGUGGUACUGUCCCUUCCAAGAUCGUUAAUCUCAAGUAUCUCUAUGAACUCGACAUCAGCAACAAUAAAUUCACCGGUCAGUUUCCGACCGCGGUAGUUGGUAUGCCUGGUUUGUCAUUUCUUGACAUCCGUUUCAACUCUUUCUCCGGUUCAAUCCCACCACAAAUCUUUGGUCAGAACCUCGACGUUCUCUUCAUUAAUGACAACACCUUUACUGCGAGCCUCCCGGAGAUACCUGGCGAUAGUCACAUCCUUUUUCUAACUUUAGCAGACAAUAAGUUCAACGGUCCUCUCCCGAGAAGCAUCCUAAGAUCUAUGACAACGUUAACCGAGGUACUUUUCUUGAAUAACGACUUUACGGGUUGUAUCCCUUACGAAAUCGGGUUACUCAAGGGAGCAUCAGUUAUCGAUAUCAGUGGAAAUAAGCUCACAGGUCCUUUACCCCUUUCACUUAUGUGUCUAGAGAAAGUGGAGCAGCUCAACUUUGCUGGGAAUCUCUUGUUUGGGGCAAUCCCAGAUGCAGUGUGCAUGUUCCUCCGAGAGAAUCUUGUCAACUUUUCCUUGUCUGAUAACUAUUUCACACACGUGGGGCCAUGGUGUAAGAUUUUGGUUGAAAGAGGUGUUCUUGAUGUUAGGAAUAACUGUAUUCCUUUCUUCCCAGGACAAAGAUCUAUUGAAGAAUGUGCGGAGUUCUUUGUCAAACCUAAUUACUACUGUCCUCACGCAUGGUUUCAUAGUUUUCUUCCUUGUAGAUAUUCUCACAUAUCUUCUUCCUCUGCUAGUGAUUUUAUGCCCAUGGUGGCUCCCUCACCUUGAUGUUCAUCAUCAUAUAUAUCAGCGUGUUUGUUCUCUUCAUUGUAAUGAAAAUAAUCGAAUUAUGUUUCCACCAACAAAAUCAUGGUAAGAGAAGGCCAAGAGUGGUGUUGUGUUGGGAAUACAAGUAUAAUCUUGUAUUUGUUAACUAGUAUAUGAUUUCCAUGUCCAUUAAUGAAUGUGUCAAUGCCAUUUGCGUAUAGUAGUCACGAUUCGUGAUACAAAGAAAAUUCUAUUGUUUUUAUGGUUAAAUAAGACGAAUUGAUAGUUGAGUUAAUUAAAAGCAAUGCCACAGUGUUUGCCUGUAUUAAUAAAUUGAUGAUUAUAAGUACAAAAAGUGUUAUAUUAAUACGUAGACUUAUAUAGAGAUAAAAAAGAAAAAAUAUAUAUAUAGUGAGUUUGUUUGAAUGUACACCGUAGGGAUAGCGAUAACGAUAUAAUUGCGAGUAAUGUAAUAAUGUAAGUGGUCCUACUCAUGGUCUAUCAUAUAAAAUUAUAAAUCAUGUGAAUGGGCAUUUUUCCUCCACGUCUAUUGCAUUUGAUGGGUUAAAUGUACCAAAGAUAAAGAGGGGUGACCAAAGGUGACCCCUUCCUACCAAACCCAUUAACAUUUUUCGUCAACUAAUCAUUUAUAAUUUUCUUUUUCCAAUCACAAUAGACUGCAUCCAGCUAAGAAAAGGCAACCCGCAGCUACGAAAUAACAUUUAACUUACCUAUCUAUCUAUAUAUAAUACUCCAUCCGUUUUUCAAUCCGUUUUUCAAUAUAAGUCGUUUUAAAGAAACUUUUUUGUUCCAAAUUAUGUCGUUUUUGGUUUUCUAUGUAACAUUUAUUAAUAAUUAAUGUUGUCUGACCAAUGAUAAUAUAUCUUCUAUUUUUCUAUUGGUUAAAUUGUGGUUUGGUAAAUAAUUAAUGAUGUUUUUGUUUUGAAAAUAUAAAAAAUUAAUGAUUUUCUUAAUCUAUGUGCAUAGCUUUAAAACGACUUAUAUUAAAAAACGGAAGGAGUAAUAAAGAGGGGUUUUCUCUCACCACAGGCUGCCAGAUCAGCAAGGAGGAGGUAGCGUUUUUGGACAGGUGUAGCCUCAGCAAACCAACUAUAUAUGUGUAAUUCCGGUCUUAUUCGAACUGGACUUUUAUUAAAAUUUGUUAUUAAGCCCAAUAUUAUGUUAAGCCCGCGUAUUAUUAGCUAUCUUACUUCCCUGACACAAUUUCCAGAAACUUAAAUCGACGUUCAGAUCUCCGUAUCGCCUCAGCUUUCCAUUAAUCUGUUCUUAACUCAGAGUUUUUGCGUGAUCCACUCCUCUCACUGGAAGCUUUCAAUCGAUCCAGAAACAUAUUUUGUUCUAGGGACGAUGGCGACCAGCUUUCAGCCGGUCGAGUUCUUCGCAGCUGGUGGUCACGCUUUCGUUUUCACGGAGGCACCUAAUCUAUAUUAAUAAGAAGGGAGCUAAUGGGUUGAUAUCCUCCUCAAUGAUGAAAAGAUUGUCCUCCUCAUCUUCCCUCGCCUUCCUUUUCCAAUAUAAACUGCCAUCACCUAUUAUCUUAACCAUAAUAUAUUUAAUUUUAUUGAGUGCUUUUUAUAUUUAUGGUUAAUUAUAGGUUUGGAAAUUUCAUAGAGGUAUUCCAAAUUUCACAGAGAUUCAGUCCCAUAUGUUCCGUUUGAUUUGGGUCUAUGACUUUUAAAUUUUUUGUUUUUGUUAAGGAAAAGGGAUGAUGAUAGACGCGCUGCUUCUGCUGUUGCCAAAUUGAUGAUAGACGCGCUGCCUCAGAGCGUGCUGCCAAAUUGAUGAUAGACGCGCUGCUUCUGCUGUUCCUGGCUCUCGCAAGACGGUGACUUGAGGCUGCGCAAGCUCAGGUUUGGCUCCUUUGAAAUCUGUGUGUUCUUUGGUCGUUUAUAUUUUCAGUGCGUUAAGGUGUUAGCUUCUGCUUCUUGAUUAGUUUUAAACAAAGUGUGGAGUAUGUUACAACAAUCAAGCAGAAAAAUUCAAGGUAGACCGAAAGUUAGAUUCUUUGAUGUGUGAAUCUGUGGCUAUGAUGUAUUAAAACAUUUUGGUUUGCAGGAACAAAUUGUUACCAUGAAGUUAAGAUCGUAUGGAUAGUUGGAAUCUCCUAUAGUUGGAACCUCCUUUGCAGCUGAAGAAUAAGCCUGUCGCUUCAAGUUUCUUACACACAGCUCCUCAUCAUGGGAACUUCGUAGACUCUGCUUCUGGUGGUUAAAGUUUUCAUUCAUAAACAUCGGAAUAACAAAGGAAAAUUUUGACUUUUGAGAUUCAGGUUCCAUGAGCACUAAAGUUUGGUUUUGGAUAGGGAGUUUAGGUAAGACGUUCCUGACUCUUGAUCGACGCACAUGGAAAGUCACUGCAGACGUAGCUGAAGGCGACACUGACGAUAUCAACCAGGCGGUGAAAGCUGCAAGGAAGACCAUUGAUGUGGACCUUGGCCAAAAGAUGACCGCUUAUGUGUAAUAUUAUAUAUUGUUCUCGAGUAUUGAAAGUUAUGAAAUUAAUGUGAUAUGGACUUAUCUUUGUUUUGUUUUCAGGAAAGGUGAAGGACAAUGUUGAGAUUCAUGGGACAAUGGGAAGACCUAUGAACAAGCAAAAAAAGCAGAGAUUCUAGUGCUUGCCAGAUUGUUUCACUCCUAUGCUGGUAUACCACACAAAAAUCUUGAGAAUAUUAUAAAAGUUUCUUGCUUUUAUUAGUAAGUUUGCUUUGAUGUGUAGGAUGUGCGGAUAAGAUUCAUGGACUAAUUAACAGUUCCAGUUGAUGGAAACUAUCAUGUCCAGACACUGCAUGAACCAAAAGGUGUUGCUGGACAGAUCAUUUCAUGGAACUUUCCGCUUCUUAUGGUUGCUUGGAAAGUUGGUCUUUCUCUUUCUUGUGGUAAAACCAUUGUCCUCAAAACCGCCGAACAAACUCCCCUCACUGCUUUUUACGGAAAGCUUUUCCUUGAAGUAAUCAAUGUUCCUUUCACCUGCUACUUACCAUUCUUGCUACUAAAAUAAAAAGCUGUAAGUAAACAAUGUUUCUUGAAAUGUAUGAUAGGCAGGUCUUCCUCUUGGUGUUAUAAACAUAGUUUCUGAAUUUGGUCCAAUCGCAGGGACUUUCCUCACGAGCCUCAUGGGUUUGGCUCUUACCAAAUUUUCUAAGUACAUCUUCACUUUUUGUUCUGGCGUAUAUGUGUCUUCUUUUAUUGUUUGUUUCUCUUUAAUUAAGAAAAGUAGGGAUUGGCUAUAAGCUCUAGCUGUGUGGUUGAUUCAGAACAAUGAUUGGCACGCGCUGUAUCCUUUGACUUAUUUUUUUUUCUUUUUCUUAAUCGCAUCUCACCAUAUUUUUCCUCUCUUUUGCUUAAUCGCACGGUACCAUACUCAAUUUUGCUCUCGAUUGUUGUCAGGUUAAUAUAAUAGAUACUCGACUCAUCACUGAAGUUGAGGGAGGGAAGUCUCUUAGAAAACCAACAUAUAGAAGCUAUAUCAGUUUAGAGAAACAGGGAAGAAGCAAGAGAGGAGAGAUGCACAUACAUAGCCAAGAAGAUGCAAGAACUUAACAAAGAGCAGAGGAGGAAAAGUCACUAGCUUUAGCUGCUCAAGCGGAGCUCAGAAACGCGAAGGAAGAGUCAGGUUAAGCGAAGACAGGAGUCUCUUCAAUAGAAAGUCAAUUGAGGCGGAAAGGGAAAUGAGUGGGGUGAUGGAAUUCAUGGACCAUAGUCAGCUACAAUGCCUAUACAAUGUGGUCGCUGAAGCCUUCGAGAGAGAAGGAGACUUGAAACAAAUGGAAUAUUUAUUAAGGCUACUGCAAUCAGAGAGAAUAAAACAAAGAUGUGUUCACCUUUGUCAUUUUAUAAGGAUUUAUGACAUAUAAGUGACUUUGAAGGGUACUUCUCAAAACUUUAUGCUAAUCUCAGAUUAGUCUAUAAAUGAUAAACUGUACAAAUGAUUUAUUAACUUUUUAUGCCUGGUUUGUCAUUUCUUGACAUCCGUUUCAACUCUUUCUCCGGUUCAAUCCCACCACAAAUCUUUGGUCAGAACCUCGACGUUCUCUUCAUUAAUGACAACACCUUUACUGCGAGCCUCCCGGAGAUACCUGGCGAUAGUCACAUCCUUUUUCUAACUUUAGCAGACAAUAAGUUCAACGGUCCUCUCCCGAGAAGCAUCCUAAGAUCUAUGACAACGUUAACCGAGGUACUUUUCUUGAAUAACGACUUUACGGGUUGUAUCCCUUACGAAAUCGGGUUACUCAAGGGAGCAUCAGUUAUCGAUAUCAGUGGAAAUAAGCUCACAGGUCCUUUACCCCUUUCACUUAUGUGUCUAGAGAAAGUGGAGCAGCUCAACUUUGCUGGGAAUCUCUUGUUUGGGGCAAUCCCAGAUGCAGUGUGCAUGUUCCUCCGAGAGAAUCUUGUCAACUUUUCCUUGUCUGAUAACUAUUUCACACACGUGGGGCCAUGGUGUAAGAUUUUGGUUGAAAGAGGUGUUCUUGAUGUUAGGAAUAACUGUAUUCCUUUCUUCCCAGGACAAAGAUCUAUUGAAGAAUGUGCGGAGUUCUUUGUCAAACCUAAUUACUACUGUCCUCACGCAUGGUUUCAUAGUUUUCUUCCUUGUAGAUAUUCUCACAUAUCUUCUUCCUCUGCUAGUGAUUUUAUGCCCAUGGUGGCUCCCUCACCUUGAUGUUCAUCAUCAUAUAUAUCAGCGUGUUUGUUCUCUUCAUUGUAAUGAAAAUAAUCGAAUUAUGUUUCCACCAACAAAAUCAUGGUAAGAGAAGGCCAAGAGUGGUGUUGUGUUGGGAAUACAAGUAUAAUCUUGUAUUUGUUAACUAGUAUAUGAUUUCCAUGUCCAUUAAUGAAUGUGUCAAUGCCAUUUGCGUAUAGUAGUCACGAUUCGUGAUACAAAGAAAAUUCUAUUGUUUUUAUGGUUAAAUAAGACGAAUUGAUAGUUGAGUUAAUUAAAAGCAAUGCCACAGUGUUUGCCUGUAUUAAUAAAUUGAUGAUUAUAAGUACAAAAAGUGUUAUAUUAAUACGUAGACUUAUAUAGAGAUAAAAAAGAAAAAAUAUAUAUAUAGUGAGUUUGUUUGAAUGUACACCGUAGGGAUAGCGAUAACGAUAUAAUUGCGAGUAAUGUAAUAAUGUAAGUGGUCCUACUCAUGGUCUAUCAUAUAAAAUUAUAAAUCAUGUGAAUGGGCAUUUUUCCUCCACGUCUAUUGCAUUUGAUGGGUUAAAUGUACCAAAGAUAAAGAGGGGUGACCAAAGGUGACCCCUUCCUACCAAACCCAUUAACAUUUUUCGUCAACUAAUCAUUUAUAAUUUUCUUUUUCCAAUCACAAUAGACUGCAUCCAGCUAAGAAAAGGCAACCCGCAGCUACGAAAUAACAUUUAACUUACCUAUCUAUCUAUAUAUAAUACUCCAUCCGUUUUUCAAUCCGUUUUUCAAUAUAAGUCGUUUUAAAGAAACUUUUUUGUUCCAAAUUAUGUCGUUUUUGGUUUUCUAUGUAACAUUUAUUAAUAAUUAAUGUUGUCUGACCAAUGAUAAUAUAUCUUCUAUUUUUCUAUUGGUUAAAUUGUGGUUUGGUAAAUAAUUAAUGAUGUUUUUGUUUUGAAAAUAUAAAAAAUUAAUGAUUUUCUUAAUCUAUGUGCAUAGCUUUAAAACGACUUAUAUUAAAAAACGGAAGGAGUAAUAAAGAGGGGUUUUCUCUCACCACAGGCUGCCAGAUCAGCAAGGAGGAGGUAGCGUUUUUGGACAGGUGUAGCCUCAGCAAACCAACUAUAUAUGUGUAAUUCCGGUCUUAUUCGAACUGGACUUUUAUUAAAAUUUGUUAUUAAGCCCAAUAUUAUGUUAAGCCCGCGUAUUAUUAGCUAUCUUACUUCCCUGACACAAUUUCCAGAAACUUAAAUCGACGUUCAGAUCUCCGUAUCGCCUCAGCUUUCCAUUAAUCUGUUCUUAACUCAGAGUUUUUGCGUGAUCCACUCCUCUCACUGGAAGCUUUCAAUCGAUCCAGAAACAUAUUUUGUUCUAGGGACGAUGGCGACCAGCUUUCAGCCGGUCGAGUUCUUCGCAGCUGGUGGUCACGCUUUCGUUUUCACGGAGGCACCUAAUCUAUAUUAAUAAGAAGGGAGCUAAUGGGUUGAUAUCCUCCUCAAUGAUGAAAAGAUUGUCCUCCUCAUCUUCCCUCGCCUUCCUUUUCCAAUAUAAACUGCCAUCACCUAUUAUCUUAACCAUAAUAUAUUUAAUUUUAUUGAGUGCUUUUUAUAUUUAUGGUUAAUUAUAGGUUUGGAAAUUUCAUAGAGGUAUUCCAAAUUUCACAGAGAUUCAGUCCCAUAUGUUCCGUUUGAUUUGGGUCUAUGACUUUUAAAUUUUUUGUUUUUGUUAAGGAAAAGGGAUGAUGAUAGACGCGCUGCUUCUGCUGUUGCCAAAUUGAUGAUAGACGCGCUGCCUCAGAGCGUGCUGCCAAAUUGAUGAUAGACGCGCUGCUUCUGCUGUUCCUGGCUCUCGCAAGACGGUGACUUGAGGCUGCGCAAGCUCAGGUUUGGCUCCUUUGAAAUCUGUGUGUUCUUUGGUCGUUUAUAUUUUCAGUGCGUUAAGGUGUUAGCUUCUGCUUCUUGAUUAGUUUUAAACAAAGUGUGGAGUAUGUUACAACAAUCAAGCAGAAAAAUUCAAGGUAGACCGAAAGUUAGAUUCUUUGAUGUGUGAAUCUGUGGCUAUGAUGUAUUAAAACAUUUUGGUUUGCAGGAACAAAUUGUUACCAUGAAGUUAAGAUCGUAUGGAUAGUUGGAAUCUCCUAUAGUUGGAACCUCCUUUGCAGCUGAAGAAUAAGCCUGUCGCUUCAAGUUUCUUACACACAGCUCCUCAUCAUGGGAACUUCGUAGACUCUGCUUCUGGUGGUUAAAGUUUUCAUUCAUAAACAUCGGAAUAACAAAGGAAAAUUUUGACUUUUGAGAUUCAGGUUCCAUGAGCACUAAAGUUUGGUUUUGGAUAGGGAGUUUAGGUAAGACGUUCCUGACUCUUGAUCGACGCACAUGGAAAGUCACUGCAGACGUAGCUGAAGGCGACACUGACGAUAUCAACCAGGCGGUGAAAGCUGCAAGGAAGACCAUUGAUGUGGACCUUGGCCAAAAGAUGACCGCUUAUGUGUAAUAUUAUAUAUUGUUCUCGAGUAUUGAAAGUUAUGAAAUUAAUGUGAUAUGGACUUAUCUUUGUUUUGUUUUCAGGAAAGGUGAAGGACAAUGUUGAGAUUCAUGGGACAAUGGGAAGACCUAUGAACAAGCAAAAAAAGCAGAGAUUCUAGUGCUUGCCAGAUUGUUUCACUCCUAUGCUGGUAUACCACACAAAAAUCUUGAGAAUAUUAUAAAAGUUUCUUGCUUUUAUUAGUAAGUUUGCUUUGAUGUGUAGGAUGUGCGGAUAAGAUUCAUGGACUAAUUAACAGUUCCAGUUGAUGGAAACUAUCAUGUCCAGACACUGCAUGAACCAAAAGGUGUUGCUGGACAGAUCAUUUCAUGGAACUUUCCGCUUCUUAUGGUUGCUUGGAAAGUUGGUCUUUCUCUUUCUUGUGGUAAAACCAUUGUCCUCAAAACCGCCGAACAAACUCCCCUCACUGCUUUUUACGGAAAGCUUUUCCUUGAAGUAAUCAAUGUUCCUUUCACCUGCUACUUACCAUUCUUGCUACUAAAAUAAAAAGCUGUAAGUAAACAAUGUUUCUUGAAAUGUAUGAUAGGCAGGUCUUCCUCUUGGUGUUAUAAACAUAGUUUCUGAAUUUGGUCCAAUCGCAGGGACUUUCCUCACGAGCCUCAUGGGUUUGGCUCUUACCAAAUUUUCUAAGUACAUCUUCACUUUUUGUUCUGGCGUAUAUGUGUCUUCUUUUAUUGUUUGUUUCUCUUUAAUUAAGAAAAGUAGGGAUUGGCUAUAAGCUCUAGCUGUGUGGUUGAUUCAGAACAAUGAUUGGCACGCGCUGUAUCCUUUGACUUAUUUUUUUUUCUUUUUCUUAAUCGCAUCUCACCAUAUUUUUCCUCUCUUUUGCUUAAUCGCACGGUACCAUACUCAAUUUUGCUCUCGAUUGUUGUCAGGUUAAUAUAAUAGAUACUCGACUCAUCACUGAAGUUGAGGGAGGGAAGUCUCUUAGAAAACCAACAUAUAGAAGCUAUAUCAGUUUAGAGAAACAGGGAAGAAGCAAGAGAGGAGAGAUGCACAUACAUAGCCAAGAAGAUGCAAGAACUUAACAAAGAGCAGAGGAGGAAAAGUCACUAGCUUUAGCUGCUCAAGCGGAGCUCAGAAACGCGAAGGAAGAGUCAGGUUAAGCGAAGACAGGAGUCUCUUCAAUAGAAAGUCAAUUGAGGCGGAAAGGGAAAUGAGUGGGGUGAUGGAAUUCAUGGACCAUAGUCAGCUACAAUGCCUAUACAAUGUGGUCGCUGAAGCCUUCGAGAGAGAAGGAGACUUGAAACAAAUGGAAUAUUUAUUAAGGCUACUGCAAUCAGAGAGAAUAAAACAAAGAUGUGUUCACCUUUGUCAUUUUAUAAGGAUUUAUGACAUAUAAGUGACUUUGAAGGGUACUUCUCAAAACUUUAUGCUAAUCUCAGAUUAGUCUAUAAAUGAUAAACUGUACAAAUGAUUUAUUAACUUUUAUAAAAUGUUUAUAGAUCUUUAUAAAUUGUUAUGAACUCUUAACUUUAUAGCUUCAAAUAAUGCAUCGAUAAGGUAGCCUUUAUGUUCUUAACAACAAAAAAUACAUUAUUUGUCUUCUACCAAAACUAUUUGUAUAUUAUCAAACAAAUAACAUUUCCGAAUAUGCUCAAUACCACCAAACAUAGUAGCUAUAAAUACAUUAUAAGUGAACUAGAAAAUCCUACAACUAUUCACCAUAAGAUAAUCUCUAUGAUUUUCAUGAUGCAAUCAUAUCUCACUUUUUUUAAAAGGGCAACCGCCUCGACAUGAAUAGCAACUACAAUAGUAAAUUUUCAAAUUAAUCAAAAUAGCUACUUAUAAAUGCCCAUAAAUAAAUUACACAAAUAGCGGUUUGGAGUCAGCAAUGGAACUAUCUAUGCUCUCUUAUUUGUGAUCAUAUUUUUCAUUUCUGUUGCAUUGAUCAAUGGCUUCGCACAAAUAUAAGUUGUUCUAUAUAUAAGAAAAGUCAUCUAUAUUUCAGCAUUAUUACAAUUUAUAAAGGGGUUUCUUAUGUUCCAAUUUUUAGUUUCAUUUACAUACUGCUUUUUAAGUUUUGUUUUAAUUUCCGAACAAAAUAUUUUCCUCAUUUUGUAAUAUGUUACAUUAUCAGAAUAUGUUUCUUGCCAAAAAUAAAAUAAGAAGAAUAUAUAAACAAAAAUUCAUUACAUACAUCUAAAUAAAACAUCAGUUUUACUUUAUGUUUAAAUUUCAAUUAAAUUAACUAUGUAACGACUAUCGAUUUUUACUCUACUUUUACUGAAUCAAUUUGCCAUAACCACUUAUGCUACUAUACUUUGAACUAAACAAUUUCAAAACAAAUUAAUACACUACGGCCGUUAACCAUUAUCAAGUGGAUCAGAAAAAUAUAAUUUUCUUUCAACAAAUUUUUAUUUUCAUAUUUUUGAACAUAUUUUCUUUACUAAAACUAUAAAAUAAAUUGUAAAUACAUGUAAAAAUAAAACAUACGAACCCGGCGCGUAGCGCCGGAAUACCACUAGUCUUAUCAUAAAGUAGAAUUUCCUCUCUCUCUUGGAGAAGCCACAUCAUCAAAUCAAAUUUUUCUGUGCUGACAUGUGUUCCUUUAAAACAAAAUGAUGCGUAUUAUUAAAUGAGUCAGCGAUAUGGUGGGUCUAACUAGACUUUGUAUUUAAAUAUCAUUAUUGUAGUUUACGCCUGGACUGAAUUGAUAAUUAGGCGCUUUUAACAAGUUAAAACAAAAUUUAUUAAAAACACGUGUACACACGUGUAAACAUGAAGAGAAAGUGAAAAAAGACGACCAAUUCAGAAGAACUGACAUCAAUCACCGCAUCUCUGACCAUCGCUUCAAGCUCCUUCUACAGGAAUCACCGGCGUUGAUCCACUCAAAACUUGAUACAACCACCUUAUAAUACAAACCAACAAAUUUCUAACCUAUCUGUGGAAGAAAAGCUUCGCCACAACUUGCAGUAGACCCUCACAUAAAGAUGAAGGAAGCAAGAUAUUAAUCUCAAACUUGGAGAGGUUCGAGCUCAGUUUGAAGCAUAUGCAUUGUUAGUGUUUAUGAACUGAGGAAGAAGAUGAAGUUGUAACUAACUUUCUCAUUUCUGUUAAGCGUAAAAGUGUACAACAUCAACCUUAUAUAGUGAGCUUUUCACCGGUUUACAAGAUAAAAUAAACCUGAGACUAUACUACGAUAAACCAAUAUUUAUAGCACUAAUAUUCCCCUCAAGAUGGAAAAUAUAUGGACUUUAAAGUCAUCUUGCCCACCAACGAAAAAAAUUAAGGAGAGAACAAAGCUUUGGUAAAGAUGUCAGCUACUUGGUUGUUGGUGCGAACAUGAAAAAGCUUGAUGAAACCGUAUACAACAAGCUCUCGAACCUGAUGACAGUCCAGCUCAAUAUGCUUUGUGCGUUUGUGAAACACCGGGUUGCUAGCAAUGUGUAUAUUUCCAUUGAGUCACAGUAGAUUGCUACUGGACCAUGCCAAGGAGAUUAAAGUUAUGCCAGCAGAUUACACAACCAAAUCACUUCAUGUGAACCAUAUUCCAUUGUUCUGUACUCAGACUCUGCCGAUGAAUGAGAUACAGUCUGUUGUUUCUUAGACUUCCAAGAGAUCAAGGCAUUUCCAAGAAAUAUGAAGUAUCUAGAGCUAGAGCGUUAUGAGUCUAAGCAAGAAGCCCAAUAUGCCUCGGAAAAUUCCUUGAGAACUAAGUCAGACUCAACAUAGUAGAAAAGACCUUGUCCAGAAGUGCCUUUCAAGUAACAAAGAACGUUUAGAGCUGCUUGAUGAUGAGACUUCUUCGGAGCUGAUAUAAAUUGACCGAGUUUGUUCGCAGCAAAAUUGAUAUCCGGUCUUGUGAUUGUCAAAUACAUCAAAUGUCUGACUAAUCUUCUAUAAGCAGCCUGGUCUUCAAGUAAUGGCUCUGUAGAAUGCAUACAAAGUUUAGCAUUAAGGUCCACAUGGAUAAGGGAUGGUUUAGACGCCAAGAGUCCAGUAUCCUCCAAUAGACCUAAUGUGUAUUUGCUUUUACACACUGAGAUGCCUCUUUUAGAACGUGCCACUUCAAGACCAAGAAAGUAUUUCAAAGCUCCAAGGUCUCGAAGCUUAAACGCAACACUCAAGUCAAGCUUUAACUGAUCAACAUCUUUAUCAUCAUUUUUGCAAUGAUAAUGUCGUCAACAUAAACCAAAACAGCUGUCUAAACGCCUUGAAGAUUUCGGAUAAACAAGGUGUGAUCAGCAUUUGAUUGACGGAAACCAAGAUAAAGUAGUGUAUCACUGAGAUAUUAGAGGUAUUAGAGGUAUCUAGCUGUGUAAGACUCUAUUUCGUUGUAGCUGACACUGAAAGAAGAGUUUUAACAGUGGUCACUUUGCCAACUGGUAAAAAGGUUUCAGCAAAAUUAAUACCAUCUUCUUGCGUGUAGCCUUUAGCUACAAGACGAGCUUUGUACCUCUCUAUUGUUCUAUCAGGAUUGAUCUUGAUUUUGUAGGCCCAUUUGCAACCAAUGACAUGCUUUCCUAGUGGUAGAGAACAAAUAGACCAAGUGUAUGUACUUUCCAACGCUAUAAGUUUCCCAUUAAUAGCCUUCAACCAUUCAUCAAAGCGUUUUGCUUGAGUAAAACUUGUAGGUUCAGGAUAUAGAGCAACAACACAUAUAUAUGUUUUGUAUUCUCCAGAAAUUUUUUCAUAAGACAUGUAUGAGGAGAGGGGAUAUGGGAUCUCAAAAUUCUUCUCAGCAACAUUGCAGUAAUAGUCUUGAAGAUGUGGUGGAAAUUUAGAGAUCCUUUUGCCUUCAGCAACUCAUUUUCCUUCAGCUUUAUCAACACUAGAAGAUCCUUCUUCUUUUAACAGUUCAACAUUCUAUGUUAUUGGAACAGAAACAUUUUCCGGUUAUGGAUGAGAAUCAGUAGUAUGUUCUGAGAUAUUCUCUGUUUCUUGAACAAAGGAGAAAAUAUCCUCAUAUGUAUCAGUCGUGGCUUUUGCAUAAGGAAAGAUCUCCUCAUGAAAGUAACAUUCCGAGAGAUAUGAACUUUAUUUGAUUCCUAAUCCAAUAGCUUGUAACCUUUGUAGUGUGGGAACCGAAAUUCGCACUGUCGAUUUCUGUCUAAAUUAGGAAACUAGGAAAACCCUAAUUCCCCAGAGGUCCCGUAGAUCUGUUAUUACCACACGCUAAGCAAUAAGAACACGAUAUACCAAUGACAAAGUAUAGAAAUCGUAAGAAGAGAGCAAAAUAGAUCUUAUUCCGAAUCUGUGUUUGAGCGUUACAACGAGGUAUAAGGCUGGGCUCGAGAGCUGUCGGCGAAAUUCCUAGUUCUAGCAACCCUAAGACGGCUAAACCUAAUUGAGUCGCAGCUCUAAAUAACAAAAACAGAAAUAUGCCUAAAUCACUCUAAGUGCUAAGUUUUCUCUGAAAAAGUCUCUAUCCCAUGCCUCUCGCCUAGGACUCCUUAUUUACUUGCUCCUAGGUCGGUUUAUGCUUUUCCUCUUCUGCCCUUAAGCCGUCAUAGCAUAAAAUGGAGAUAUUCCAUUUUUUCCGAUCUUCGUAAUUAUCUUCAAAAUUUCGUAUUUAUCCGCGGAAACUUGACAUUUAUCUUUCCUUGCGAACCAAGCGUAAACCGUCAUGCGGCUUAUGGGCUGUUGGUUAAGAAAUCAUAAGUUGGGCCUCGAGUCAUGUCUUAGGUCCCUUUGGGCCGUCUUCUAACUCGAAGUGUUUAUUAUGGCUUUUUUCGAUAAAGAACAAACUUUCCACGGUUUUUACCGUAAAGUUUGAUUGAUGACUUAGAAUGGUGGAAAACAUGAAAUGGGUUCGCUACGGUCUUCGGGAUAUAGCAUCGAAGGAUAGACGAGAAUGCAUGGACUAGUAUCGUAUCGACGUUUAUCAUGUCUUAGGUCCCUUUGGGCCGUCUUCCGACUCGAAGCGUUUAUUACGGCUUCUUUCGAUAAAGAACGAACUUUCCACGGUUUUUACGGUAAAGUUUGAUCGAUAACUUAGAAUAGUGGGGAAUCGUGAAAUGGGUUCGCUACGGUCUUCGGGGGAUAGCAUCGAAGGGUACACAAGAACGCAUGGACUAAUGUUGUAUCGACGUUUUGGAAGAGCUCAGUCGCUACGUAGCGACCAAACAGAACGCACGCUUGGUCGUUACAUAGCGACUGAGUGGGACAGACGCUCGAUUGCUACGUAGCGACCGAGCUUGGCUCGAGCUCGGUCGCUACGUAGCGACCAAGUGGGACGCGCGCUCGGUCGCUACGUAGCGAUCAAUCUUGGCUCGAGCUCGGUCGCUACGUAGCAAUUUCAACUCGUGGAAGAAGUUUUUCUUCUUCGUUCUUAUAGACGCUACGUCUGUCGAAGAGAAUUGUAUUCCAUUGUUCCGGAGGUUGCCGAACGAUCGUCCCUUCAUCAAUCCGCUUGCUCCGUUCCCCGAAGAUAUUAUCACAGUGAGGGAUCUUCUCAGGAAUGGUCCAUUUUUCUGGACUUCCUUUACGCCGAAGCGAGUUCGAAAGGCGUUGAGGUUUGUGCAUCCUGGUCCUGUUUCGGGCGUGGAAACAGGGAGUGACUCCAAGCCCGAUGACCAAGGUCCCGAUGCUGCUCCCACGGUUGCAACGGGGUGGAACUCUUCGAAGGGGAAAGAUAUUGACCUUGGCGACAUAGAGUUUUCGGUGGAUGAUUCUAUGCUUCCAGGAUGGGAUCCAGACCUUGCUUACGGCGAUGGAAGCGGUACGAGCGAGGUCCCUAUUCCGGACUUUGAUUAUUUCUUUGCUGGUAUACCCUCGGGCUUCGAUGCUCCUCUGCCUACGAACGAAUCGGGGAGGCCGAAAGUCAUCGCGGAAGGGUCUCUCAUCAUCAACGGGGUUAGUUUUCGAAAAUUACGGCGAUUGCCUUAAGUAUUUCUUUUUCCGCUUACAACGUGUUAAUCGGUUUUGCAGGGCCUGAACUUGCUUGGCUCGGCCAUUGAGGCGAGCCAUAGAGAAGUCAUGGUCUAUCGCUUUAAAGCGGAGAAAGCGGAAAGGGAUCUUGCUCGCAUGCAAAGCGAGAUGUUGGAGCGAGACGCGCAACUCGAUCGUGAUCAUGCAAGGGCUGUUGGCAUGGCGGAACGGAAGGGCAAGAGGGAGAUUGUCAAGGUGAUGAAGACUCGCGCCUCUCAAUUCCAGAUCGAGUACGGGAACCUCAAGGAUGCUUUCACCUCGGUGGGCGAUUUCCGUGAGUGUCGCGGUUCAGUCGGGAGCCUUUGGAAGACGCAGGCGGACGACUACGUUUUCAAGAAGGAGAUGGAGUUCCUCACGCUGAGGCGCUCAUUCCUCCGAUCGACGAGAGGAUCCAGGGAUUCUGGGAUCCUAUCCCGGUUUCUCCCGAUACUGUAGAGACCACGACCGAGUUUCCCAGUGAUUGCGAGGAGGUGGAUUGUCCUGCGGAUGCGUUUGGAGCUUCGUUGUCCGUGAACUUUUACUUUGAACCUUGAGAGGUGGAGUGAUCAUAUAGAGGGAGGAGGUUGUUUAUUUAUCAUGCGUUUGUUGCCGAGUAUGGCUUUUAUUUGUCUUUUCCUGCCGAGUGUGGCUGUGAUUUCGAGACAUCACAUGGGCCUGUUUUGGCCAUUUUAUCGUUUACCGGGACUGGCCGUCGGUGGCUUUGAAUCCCUACCGCUUUAUGCGGUCUUUAUAUAUAUGAUGGGCGUUUUAUUUCGAAUUGUUGUGAGCAAAUUUGAAGUAAAUUUGAGUUGUCGUCUCAUAUUUAAUUCUGUUGGGACUUUCAAUCUGUCGGUACGUUGAGAUGUGAACGGAGAGACAUGGUUUAGUAUCUCGUAUCGUUUAGAUAUCAUGUCUUGAGAUGUCUGAGACCAAUGCGAUGGGUUUAGGGCAAGACCUAGGUUUAAUCUCGGUUUAAGGUUUGUGCGGUGACUAGCCGCCUAUCGAUUUUCUUGUUGCGAUUUCUACCUGAUUCGUACCGAUUUAAAGUCCGCGAUAGGUUCUCGGCUUAUAUGACUUGUAUGGUAUGAACCGAGCAUCUUUCCAGAGACAAUUUUUAAGCCAACUGGAAGUGCUAGACCAAAAUUUCGGAUUUUUUUGUAGCGCGCUUUCGUCCUCGUGUUGGACGUUCGAAGAUCAAAAGAGUGAUCAAGUUGCGUUUGUUUAAGAUGGCUGGCGUGUUCGUCGGGGCCAAUCGACGAACGGGGUGUAAGGUUUUUGUGGUCGUGGUCUGACAAUUUGUUCGCAUCAUCUCGAAUUUUAACUUGGCGACGUCUCGCAAUUGUUUCGAAGACUAUACGUAUAUCUUAAGUGCUGAGGGAGGAUUAUUUUGCGAUUUUGGGCAGGAUGAGGCCGCUGACAAGAGUCUUAACGUUUGCAGAUUUUCUAGGCGUGUCCUGAGACUUUUGCGUUAACUAAAGCGUAAGCGUUUUAAUUAAAAAGGAGCAGUGCAUAUUGUAGUAAAAUUUCUCGAAAUCUCAUAAAAAACUCGAUUAGAAUAACGCGUCUUUUCCUAUGUGGGAGUAUACGAGAAUACGCACCCACUGCCCCCCCCCCCUUUUUAGAGAGGGAGAUAGCUGAACUCGUCUUUCGACGAGCUGCCUACGUACCUAUUUCGAGGAUCAAGCCAUCUCGUAGUUCUGUUUUAUGCCGCGAGCGUUUUUACUCAGCGGUUUUCGCCGUGUUGACCGCCUUGAUCGUGAUGACCGUGGCUGGGUCAGUGCUCUUUUCCGGAUGGUCCGGUAGUGUUGUAGUGUCGGCUUCGGACUUGUGUUGAGUUUCGACGUCCGAAGCGUUUGCGUCGGCGGACAAUGUUAAUUCAUCUUUCCUUGAAGCGUUUUUGGCCGAAGAUUGAUCUAUCAUCGUGCGCUUGCGAUUUGCCAUCGCAGAAGUCGCGGUUUGCCUUAACUUGUGCUCCGCAAGGAAGCAUAGUCGCGACUGUUUCUGACAUCCCCAGAUAGUUGCGACUCCGUUUUGGGGUCGGGAAUUUGACACCCAGGUAGUAUGUCGAUGGAACCGCUUGCAUGGCGUUGAGCCAUGGGGUUCCCAUGAUCACGUUGUAGAUGGCAGGAUGAUCGACCACCGCGAACUCGACGAUUUUCGUGAUCUCCUUGGCCAUGACUGGCAGCUGGAUUGACCCGAGGGUCAUCGAUACUUCGCCUGAAAAACCCGUGAGCGGUUUCGGCGUUGGAGUUACUUCUCCGAGUUAGAUGCUCAUCCGAUUGAGAGUGUCGCGGAAGAUUAAAUUGACCGUGGUUCCCGUGUCAAUGAGUACUCUUCCGACUUCCAGAUCUCGUAUGACGAGAUCUAUGACGAGCGGAUCGCAGUGAGGUUGAUCGAUCCCGCCAGCUUCCUCCUUCGUGAAGGUGAUUGAGCAAUUUUGACCGUCUCGGGGAGGAGACCAUGUAGGCCAGUUUGCACUCGACUCUGCCUUCCGCUGAUAAGCCUUGAUGGCCGAAACCGUAUCGUUGCAGUAUUGCAAUCCUCCGAUGAUCAUAUUGACUCUGCGAUGAUUGUUAUCGUUUCCCUUGUUGUCCGGCCUUCUGCCGCGUUUAUCCCCGGAUUGGUUUCUUUGAGGGGAUUUCUCCGCGGGCGGAUUUCUGUCCGUCUUCGGGGGGCGAUCGGUCUGGAGGAUGAGAUCUUUCACGCUGGUCACUUCCGAGAGCUCUCCAGCUAGUAGCUUCGCGGCCAGCCUUGCUCCCAAGACUUUGCAGUUAGUCGUGGAGUGUCCUCGGGACUGGUGGAACUCGCAGAAGGUGUUUUCGUCAUAUCGUUGAUUGCGAGUCCAUGUGUUACCUGUGGUUCGGCCUUGGUCUGAACUGAUCGCGUAAUUGUGCGCUCCUUGCAGACUUCCCCCUCGUGAUGGACAUACUUGUCGUUACGAGAGUUCUUCUUCUUCGUUUUCGGAUCCACGUCUUUCGAGGAUGGUCUUGCCGACUUAUUUUUUUUUUGCGACAAGACUUUCGUUUCUUCCUCGAUUAUGAUGUAGUCCGUUGCCUUGUGGAGGGCGUCCUGGAUCAUCCGCGGUUUGUCGAGGGUUAUCCAUUUUCUGAAUUUCGACUUGUACGAGAGCGUUUUUCUGAGCGCGUCAAUGGCCACCUUGUCGCUUAUCCCGCUGACCCUGGACAUUACCAGCUUGAAUCGGCUGAUGAACUUGCGGAGGGGUUCGUUCUCUCUCUGGGACAGACUCCAGAGAUCGACAUCGGAAGUUUCUUUGUCUAUGAACAUAGAAUAUUGUUUGAGAAAUUCUGAUGCGAGCUGUCGGAAACUCCCGAUAGAGUUUCGCUUAAGGCGUGCGAACCAUUCAAGGAAUGCUCCUUCCAGACUCUUGACGAACUGGCCGCAAUAGCUGGUGUCUUUUUCGCCGUCCUUCAGUCUCGCUCUUCCCAUCGUAAUGUGGAAAGCCUGAAGGUGCGCCUUCGGAUCGGUCAUACCAUCAUAUUUUGGUACUUUGAUUUUUCCCGGAUCGGAUACCCUCAUAUCUGAGAUGCGAGUGGUGAAGGGGGUCUUCCGAGCCCCUUCCAGUAGCAUGUCGAUCUCGGGGGCAGAGCUGGUAGCGUGAUGGAUUUGGGAUUUUACGGCUCUUACUUCUGCUGCAGUCUUGGUGAUAUAGUCGCGAAGAUCGCGGAUAUCCGAUGUCUCGCCAGCAGAUUUCCGAGCCUGUCAGCGUUUACUGCGAGUGAGCUCGGUUUGCUUUUCAGCCAGCUCUUCUUGUUUUUUCCAAUAGAUGAUUUCCUCCUCUUCUGUCAUUGGUUUGUCGAACGUAGAGUUUUCCCGAGCAGAUCGGCUUCUGGUCCUUCUUGGAUGUCUGUCGACGUCCUCAUCACUAUCGUUGGAGACAUCGCUAGGAUCCAGGUCGACGUGCUCGACUUCGUUAUCCAAAUCCUUCGCGGUAGGCGGAGGACUUUCAGGAUUCCCCUUUUCGGUGGGAGAUUUUUCGCUAGGGUUUUGACCCGAAGGUCGUUCCCGCACGGCUCCAGGCCUAUCGAAUGGGGUGGCGAAGUCGAGUCUUUUCCUGCGGACUUAAGGUGGUUCUGCGGGGACGGAUCGCUCGGGUCCUUGCCGUUAAGGUUUCAACCUGUUUGGUCAAGGUGCUCACGAGCCUGUCCUGUUCUUCCGACCUUUUUUCGUAGGUGGCGAACAUCUUAUCAAACUCCUCGAGCGCCGCGUCGUUGGCUGGUUCUUUGGCCGCGGAUACGUCCGCUGCUGGAAGAGGAGUCUGCAUGUUAUCCGCGUCGUCAGUUGACAUGUCUGGUUGAGCGUGAUGUGGUUGAGAGUUAGAUUGAUCCGUACCCCCCCCCCCUCCUUCUAGCGCCAAACUGUGGAAACCAAAAUUCGCACUGUCGAUUUCCAUCUAAAUUAGGAAACUAGGAAAACCCUAAUUCUCCAGAGGUUCUGGAGAUCUUUUAAUACCACACGCUAAGCAAUCAGAACACGAUAUAUCAAUGACAAGUAUAGAAAUCGUAAGAAGAGAGCAAAAUAGAUCUUAUUCCAAAUCUGUGUUUGAGCGUUACAACAAGAUAUAAGCCUGGGCUCGAGAGCUGUCGGCGAGAUUCCUAGUUCUAGCAACCCUAAGACGGCUAAACCUAAUUGAGUCGCAGCUCGAAAUAACAAAAACGGAAAUAUGCCUAAAUCGCUCUAAGUGCUAAGUUUUCUCUGAAAAAGUCUCUCUCCCAUGCCUCUCGCCUAGGACUCCUUAUAUACUUGCCCCUAGGUCGGUUUACGCUUUUCCUCUUCUGCCCUUAAGCCGUCAUAGCAUAAAAAUGGAGAUAUUCCAUUUUUUCCGAUCUUCGUAAUUGUUUUCAAAAUUUCGUAUUUAUCCAUGGAAACUUGACAUUUAUCUUUCCUUGCGAACCAAGCGUAAACCGUGAUGCGGCUUACGGGCUGUUGGUUAAGAAAUUGUGAGUUGGGCCUCGAGUCAUGUCUUAGGUCCCUUUGGGCCGUCUUCUAACUCGAAGCGUUUAUUACGGCUUCUUUCGAUAAAGAACAAACUUUCCGUGGUUUUUACCGCAAGGUUUGAUUGAGGACUUAGAAUGGCGGAAAACAUGAAAUGGGUUCGCUACGGUCUUCGGGAGAUAGCAUCGAAGGGUAGACGAGAAUGCAUGGACUAAUGUCGUAUCGAUGUUUUGGAAGAGCUCGGUCGCUACGUAGCGACCGGGCUUGGCUCGAGCUCGGUCGCUACGUAGCGACCAAACAUGAAAUGGGUUCGCUACGGUCUUCGGGAGAUAGCAUCGAAGGAUAGACCUAGUGCGUAUCGACGUUUCGNNNNNNNNNNNNNNNNNNNNNNNNNNNNNNNNNNNNNNNNNNNNNNNNNNNNNNNNNNNNNNNNNNNNNNNNNCGGAAGAGCUCGGUCGCUACGUAGCGACCGAAGGCACGAGCUCGGUCGCUAUGUAGCGACCGGACAGCGUGCAUGUGCGGUAGUAGCGUAAUGGCCGAGCUUGGUUUGUCCGUGUUCCGAUCGUCAUACUCGAACCUAUCCGUAGUUGGUUUGGGUAUGUUUCCGAUAGCUUAUGUUUGAUCUAAAUAGAAUUCGAACGAAGCUUUAUCUUGGGAACAUACGUUGUGACGUUUUCUUGACCGAGCACGAUUUGUUGCGGAAAGACACACUUGCAUUUUGCAGAGAUUUGGACGUUGACUUCGUCGUAACCGUUUUUGACCCCAACAUGUAGCCUGAAUGAUAUCCCAAAAACACACACGCUUUAGAACGAGGCUGAAAUUUGUUUCUAUCUUAGGUGAAGUUGAGCAAUAAGCGAGGCAACCAAACACCUUUAGACCAUCAUAAUCAACUUUCUUCAGAGUAUAAACCUCAUAUGGAGAUUUUUCUUUAAGAAGAGGAGUAAGAAGUCUGUUGAUGGUAAACACUGCAGUGAGAAUGUAAUCACCCCAAAACUCUAGAGGAAUGUGAGAUUGGAACAUCAGAGCACGUGCAACAUUAAAUAUGUGCUGAUGUUUCCUUUCCAUUCUUGAGUUUUGUUCUGGAGUCUCUGGACAAGAAUGAUAAGCCUCAAUACCUUUCUUCUUAUAGAGAUCAACAAACUUCAAUUCAGGAGCAUUAUCUGAUCUUACUGCCUUGACAAUAGCCUUGUAUUGUGUUUCAACCAUAUGAAUGAACUCGGGAAACACUGUUAAGACCUCAUCCUUAGUGCAAAUAAGAUAAACCCAAGUCACACGUGUAUGAUCGUCGACAAUAGUCAGAAAAUAUAUGAAACCCUCAACUGUAGACACAAAAAACGGUCCCCAUAUGUCUAUGUGUAAGUGAUAUCGCUCAAAUUAUCCUAAAAAAUGAUUUACACUCUAAAAUAAGAGGUUCAAUUGUAGUACUUAGGGAUCGAAUACACAAGGAGCUAGGGUACACAAUAGAUCCUAAUCAACAGUGAUUAAGCUAGGUAAAUUAUGAAAACAGUAAACAACAAGCAAGGCGAACAAGGCAGUUGUUCAGUUUGAUUAGUUUGAGGUUUGUAAACAGGUAUUAGAAAUCACUAGAUCUAGGGUUUAUAUUCAGGUAAUUAUGAUUAUAGAGGUAUAGAAUACUUCGGUUGUCAAUCCUAGAACUCGACUUCUACUGUAAAGAUACCCAACUUUCGCAUGUGAUUCUUUUGUUUUGACUAAGUCCAAUAUCUCAGUUGUCGCUUGUUGAUAUGGAUCGAACGUCGAUCGAUGUUUAGGUAAGAACGUCGAUCGAUGUUCACUUAGACAUGCCUUAAAGAGUUGAUCGAUAGGUUCGGUAAUAUUGUCUAAAUCAGUUUUCGCUUGUUUCUAGCAAUACUAGCUGAAAGGAAUUAAUUCUGGUGCAAAACCUACCGUUGUAGUUGUCCGCAAUCCUAACUAAGUUCAAGGUUCUAGUUAGCUACUAUAGAACACAAGCAUUAAUCACAAUUCUGUGAAUGAUAUUUAUCACCUUAGAAAUUCUAUAUUUUGGGUUAAUCCUUCAUAACCUAUUUGAACCCUAAAUCUAACAGAUGAAUUACUCAGACAUAGCAAAGCAAUUCAUAAACAUAAACUGAAAAAUGCAUAAAUAGAAUAGAGUUAGAAAUAGUGGAGUUCCAAUACAUAUCUCGGAAGAAGUCUUGGAUCUUUUCUCCAAAUCUACUAAAAACCCUAAGUAUUGUUUGCAAUAAAAAAUAGAAAAUAUGAAAGCGUGUGUUGCCUAGAACAAUUAAAGAGGACAUAAAUAUUAGGUUAAAAUAGGCUAGGGAUACUUCUAUAAAUGUGUUGUGACUGGGACUUAAGUCGGCUGAAAACCUAGACGGGUCUCGUGCGCUUCGCUGUCGAUCGAUGGCACAUGAUGUGCAUCGAUCGAUAUUUAUCUCUGAUUGUCGACCUUCGGACUGGUUUGAUGGUCAGCUAUGGGUUUCUUCUCAUUUUAUCUCCAAAAUGUACCAAAAUAACCACUUUCCUCCAAAACACUCCUGAACCUGUAAAUAUGCUAAAAAGACUCCAAAACAUAAUAAAUAGUUCCUAAAAUACCUAUAUACCAUGGCUAAAAAUAGGUAAAAUCUAUGGUAUAUCAACUCCUCCACACUUAUCCUUUUGCUUGUCCUCAAGCAAAACAAAGAGUAGUCUUUAUGAAAGAGGUUUGAAAACGGCAGAGACUCACAUAAUUUAAGAACUCACCAUCAUCACCUCUACAAUGUUGCAAGUCACAUCAAAUCAAUUCAAACUUUUGAGGUAUUCUAUAUACCAUAUCAUAGCUUAGCAACCAAAUCCAUCUAACCAGCAACUUAGCUAAUAAUGUCUAACUAUCCCAUCUACUGACCUCUUUUAUUACAUAUAUAAAAGUGUAGGCUUUACCUUGGGAGUAUCGAUCAAAAGACACAUGGACUCUUAAUCAAGCAAGUUUCUGAACAUACAUGUAGUCUUAUCUGAUCCAUUUCUUCCCUCUUUUUCUCUUCCUGAAUCUCAAUUCCAGUGAACAAUGAUGCUGAUACAGUCCAUCUUAUUCAUCUUCUUUUCGAUUUUUCUUUCUUUUUUUUCUCAUUUUUUUUAUUUCUUGGCAAAGUGUAGGCGAAUAAUGGAGGUAACAGGAGACACUCCUAUCCCUCGCUUCCAACGAUGUGUGAUCAUUCCAUUAUAGUGGAAUAAUGGGGUCGCAUGAGACACUCCUACCCCUCUAAACCGUAGGAAAUAAUUUUAAUCUUUUAUUCUUAUGAAUGCCGAAGAGAGAGAGAGAAGGGAAUCAGAAACACAAAGCUUUUUACCUUCCAGACUUGCAGGAGGAAUCCGAUCUAAUGUAUACCAAGCCCCAAGAAAAGCAGAUUAAGCUCAGUUAGGUUUGAGGUCAGCUUUGGUUCCUUCAAACAUUCUCAGCAAGUAUGGAGAUUUGGCAGGUGAUCCACUUUAGUAUCUCUAAUACACUAUGCAGUUAAUAAAUCUAAGAGUGGUGCUAGAGAGUUGUUAGAUAUUAAGUGAAAUUGAAAAAGUUCAUUGUCCAUUUCUUGACUCAAUAAAAAACUUUUUGAAUUUUUUUUAUAAAACUCAUAAAUAAACUAAAUAUUAGUAAGCCUCCUCCCGGACUUAAAUACACUGUCCCCAGUGUAUAUCUAGUCGAAGUUUGGUGAUAACAUAAAUCAUAAGUACACAAUUUAACAAGGAAAAACGAUAUACCUGGCCGCCGAUGUUGAUGUCGAUCGACACAAUUAAGUGUCCGUUGAUCGUUGCUGGUGUGGUACUGUCGAUCGAUGUCGACCUUUUCUCAUCGGUCCAUAGGCUGAGCAAUCGUCUCCUCGGAUAUCUUUUAAUUUGUUUUUUUUGACCUGCAAUAAAUUAAAUGCAAAAAUCAGUAAUAAAUUCAAAAUAAAACUAAGUAAAACUUACCUAAUAGUGGGUUGUCUCCCACUCAGCGUUUUGUUAUAGUCAUUUAGCUUGACUUUUGAAGGUUGGUUGACUAGUAUGGAGGGGACUGACUACUUGCUGAAAAACAAGUGCUACAUCUUCUUUGCUCAUCUGAAACCAGGUACCAACGAAGCCUCUUAUGGCUUCAUCUCCUCUGGUCCACUGGUUUUUCAGUAUCUCCUUAUCAACCUCAUUGACAUGCAUCCUGUACUGAAGGUUUCCAAUACAGCCUUGCUGCAUUCUAAGUCUGGCAUGAGUUGUUUUCUCGACGUCCUCAAAUCUCUGGGAAAAAUCCUCCUUCAUCAAGUCUUGAGAAAAAUUAAUCUCAUCAAGCUUGUCUUCUAAUAGCUUCACUGUUACCAGCCUUCCUCGUAAAGAUGCGUGACUAUUAUCGAUCGAUGGUUGUGUGUAACCGUUGAUCGAUGCUUCUGAUCGGAUCACAUUUUGUUUCCGAAUCACGUCUAUCUCCUCUUUCAGCUCAUCCAUGCGUACAAUUAGUCUGUCAAUGCUGUUGUUGAUCGGGUAGUAGACAUCAUCAAGCCUCCUGUAGGAGUCAUCCAGUGAAAUCUCCUAGGCUUUAUAGGUCACAUGUACCAUGUCAUCAAUCUCUGCUCUGUUAUAAGUGUCUGGUGAUAUCACUCAAAUUACCUUAAGGAGUGAUUUAUACUCUGUCAAAUAAGAGGUCGAGUUGUAGCACUGAGGGAUCGAAUUCACAGGGACUAGGGCACACAAAAUAUCUAAUAGUUAUAUGGUUAAGCUAGGCUAAUAGAUUAUAAAGCUGUAAAUAUAGUAAACUUGGAUGGGCGAACAAGGUAGUUGUUCUUAUGGGACUUAGAGUUGUUUGAUGGAAGGAUGGUUUCUAGAUCUAGGGUUUCUAUUCAGGUAAUCAGGAUUAUAAUGAUAUAGAGACUAAUUGUUGUAUGCAAGAUAUUAAAGAGCUCAACACUUAUAAGAACAAAUCGAUCAGCAUUCGCCUUCUAGAUUCGUCCAUUGACUAUAUCUAAUGAUCUCAACAAUCGAUUUUCGAUCAAUUAGAAAGUGUCGAUCGAUGAUUUUAGAGGAAUAUCGAUCGAAACACCUUUCACGACGUCGAUCGAUUAUUCUAUUGAAAUAUUGAUCGACACCUUUCUAGCAACCUUUGCGCGCGGGUUGAUAAAGUACUCACUAGGGUUGUAGAUUAGUUGCAUCUCACGGCUCUUGAGGCCGUGUUUCUUGUCAGCGAGGUAAGCACUAUUCCCACUCUAUGACGUUGCUUGAUCCAUCAACGUGCAUGACCUAUUCUCCCUCUUCCUUGGUUUCGCUUCAGAGGCAUACUUCUUGUUCAAGAGCCGGGAGCAAGGUCGGGUAGAACUUGGCCACAAAGUCUGCCAGGACCUGUGACUUUAUAGAUGUGGCUGGUCGAAAGAUUACGUCGUACUCCCCUAGUUCCACAGCCCAUUUAGCUAAGCGUCCGGAGACUUCGGGUUUGUGGAGAACCAACUUUAUAGGGAAGGAGGUGACAACCAAAAUUGGGUGAGCCUGGAAGUAGGGUCGCAGCUUACGAGCGCGACUAUCAGGGCUAGGGCCAGCUUCUCCAGAUGGCUGUAGCGGGUUUCCGCAUCCAGGAGAGCCUUAUUUACAUAGUAGAUUGGUAGCUGCUUGCUUCCCUCCUCGCGUAUUAGGACGGCGCUUACGGCGUGCUUCGAGACUGCUAGAUACAACAGCAUGACCUCGUCGAGCAGUGGCUUGGAUAGGAGAGGAGGAGUGGUGAGAUACUCCUUAAGCUCAUGGGGAGCGGAUUCACACUCUUCCGUUCACUGGAAGUCCUUUGGGGUUUUUGAGGGUUCCAAAGAAGGCAUGAGAUUUGUCGGAGAUUCUAGAGAUGAAUCUAUUCAAUGCCGCCAUUCUUCCUGUUAGCCUUUGAACCGCCUUGACGUUCUUCAGGGAAGGGAUCGAAUGAAUGGCUCUGAUUAGCUCUGGGUUGGCCUCAAUGCCCCGGUGGGUUACAAUGUACCCGAGGAACUUGCCGGAUCUGACCUGGAAUGAGAAUUUGGCUGGUUGAGUUUCAUGUUGUGCUUCCUGAGAGUGGAGAAGGCUUGUUGCAGGUGGGAUAUGUGGUCUUCAGCCUCUAGGGACUUGACCAGCAUGUCAUCGAUGUAGACCUCCAUGGUUCGCCCUAUCUGCUCUGCAAACAUCAUUUUCACCACUCGCUGGUAGGUUGAUCCCGCGUUUUUCAAGCCAAAGGGCAUAACCUUGUAGCAAUAGAUCCUUCUGGACGUCAUGAAGGAUGGUUUCUCAUGGUUUUCUGGAUGGAUAAGUAUUUAAUUAUAGCCGGAGAAAAACGUCCAUGAAGCUCAUCAGCUGAUGCCCCGCGGUGGCGUCGACCAGCUUGUCGAUAUGAGGUAGAGGGAAGGGGUCCUUUGGACAUGACUUGUUGAGGUCCAUGAAGUCUAUGCAUACUCUCCACUUCCCGUUCUUUUUCUUGACUAUGACAACGUUGGCUAGCUGAUAUACCUUGGAUUUGACACAUUUUUAUCCAUGGUAUAUAAGUAUUUUACUAUAUAUAUAUCUAUGUUUUCUACUCUUCUAGGUAUGUUUUCAGGUUCAGGUGCAUUUCGGAGUAAAGCUAUGAUUUUGGAGCAUUUUGGAGCUUAAAGGACAUUUCACCCGAGCUGACCACUUAGAGGUCGACGAGAGGAAGAACAAUCGAUCGAUGCACAUCAGUGCUGACGAUCGAUAUCAGGAAAUGCCUCGACAGAUGAAGAUUAAUAUCGAUCGAUGUACACAAGUACCAUCGAUCGAUGUCGAGACACCAGACGCGACAUUUUGGAUUCAGCAGACUUAAAAACCAAGGCCAAGCCAAAUUACCAAAAUGCCCUGAUUGGAACUCCUUGUUUUCAUUUCUUUUCAUCUAUACUAUGAGUUUCUAUUCCUUUAUUGUUAUGAAUUGCUUUGCUAUGUCUGAGUAGUUCAACUGUUAGAUCCAGGGUUCAGAUAGGUUUGUGGGAUUAGCCCCAAACUAUAGAUCUGCCUUGUGAUAUUCAUGAUAGAUUUGUAUUCAUUGCUUGUUUUAGCCUUGCUAACUAGAACUUGAUCAUAGGAUUGCAUACUCAAGCACCCUUGUUAUCCCAUCCUGACAUCUAUCUAUCAUAUUAGGACUGCUAGACAGGGCUAAUCGCCAAUUUAGCAUCUUAGUAGGGCAUUUCAUACUCGCGCAUAGGCCUGGCUAGAACCCGUCGAUCGAUGUGCUCAACUGACUAUCGAUCGACAUUGGCAAAGGUGUAUCGGUCAACGUCUUAAUAGACCAUCGAUCGACACUCUCUCGUUGUCUGCAUACUAACCGUUGAGACACGAGAUCUAGUCUAUUAACCAGUGGUACAUGCGACAGCUGAUCACUGAGUUAAGCGAAUGAGCUCUAAUAUAUCAUGCAUGCAACAGUUAGGCAUCUAUAGGUACUACAUCUGAAUCUCUUUUGAUGAGAGUAACACUCGUUAGGGCAAUUUGAGUGGUAUCAAAUUUGGCACCGUUGCCGGGGAGCUUUGAUCGCCAUUAGAUUUAGUUUUAUUGAUUCUUAUUCUUUUUUCUACCCCCUUUCUAAUAAUCUUUUUCUUGUCUUUUCAGGUGCAUGCCCAGCGGUACCAGAAGAAACAAGGAGAAAGACUUGCUGUUCUCAGACGAUCCUGCUCAUUUGGAAUGCACCAUCCGUAGAGGUAAACGUUCCACAUCGCUCGACGCAACAACUUCAUCGUCUAUCGAUACGCACAACCAACCGUCGACCGACACCAGACCAUCAUCGUCGAUCGAUCCUGAUCGUUCGACAAUGAUCGAUACUACACCGCGUACGACGAUCGAUACCGUGUCGUCAAAAAUGGUAAACAUUAUUAUUCUAACUCAGGACGAGAACGGAAACCUGUAUGACAAGGCCGGUCAUCUGCGUAAUGCAACAGGUCAGAAAAUAGAUGCUCAGGGAACUGUAAUCCCUGAUGCUGAUGCUACAGGAGCUGCUCAACUUGUAGACGAGGACGCUCGAUCGAAACCACUGGCCGACUACAAUCCCCCAGAUGAGUACUAUUCCAACAGAUCAGCUACUCGACUUCCGGAGAUCCAGAAGCAGAAUUUCGAGCUGAAGCCUCAAUACUACACUCUCGUGUCGCAGAUACCCUACUCUGGGUUACCGCACGAGCAUCCUAUGGACCAUUUGGAACGGUUCGAGGAUCUAAUCACUGCUAUUCGGAUGGAAGGAGUCCCCAAAGAUUACCUGCUGUGCAAGCUCUUCAGAUACACGCUUAAUGGAGAAGCGAUGCACUGGCUUAGGCAGCAACCCACAGGAUCUUUAACAUCCUGGAACGAUAUCAAGAAUGCUUUCUUACGAAACUUCUUCGAUGAGGCGCGCGCUGAAGAACUUCGGAACAAAAUUUCCACAUUCUCGCAGAAGGUUGGAGAGUCUUUCAAAGAUGCGUGGAUUAGAUUUAGGUUCUUCCAGCGAGACUGUCCACACCACAGAUUUAACGAAGUGCAGCUGCUAAGCACUUUCUUCCGAGGUCUCGCCUUACAGUAUCAAAUAGCCCUUGAUACGGCGAGUGAAGGAAACUUCACUACUCGGAAUACGUUAGAAGCUGUGAGACUUAUCGAAAACCUUGCUAACAGCAGCAGCACCAAAAACACUGACUCUGAACGGAAGAAGUCUGUAGCCUCUAUCGGGAAGGAACAGAUGGACGAAGUAAGAGCUAAGUUAGAUGUGGUGCACGAGCUUCUUAAGAAGCAAGUCUGUUCAGCUGAAGGAGAAGUAGCAGAUACGGAAGGAGAAGAAAAUGUGAACUACAUCGGAGGUACCGGAUUCCAGAAAUUUGGAAACCAGGGCGGAAACAGAAACUUCUUUGAAAAUGGCCAAAGAAGUAACCAAAGUUUACAAUUUCAAAAACCCUUCAACAACAACAAAAUCUACUCGAACUCUUACUACCAAAAUCCACCACCCCAGACUCAGGAAAGCAAGAUCGAAGAAAUGCUUGAUCGAGUACUGUUGGGACAACAACAAAUCACCGUGGAUUUCAACGGUAAAAUAGACUCCGCCUACAACAAUCUGAACACCAAAAUCGAGACCUUAGGGACUCAGGUGAGAAAACUUGAAACCCAAGUAAUUCAGACGGGCGAGACUAUAAAGAGGCAAGAAGCUUUCGCUAGAGAGGUAGGAUCCGACAAAGGGAAACACCACGUAAAUGCCAUCAUAGAUGAUGAUUUCUGGCAAGUGGUGAAAAAUGAAAAGCUUGAGGAAGGAGACUUCGAAAUCGAAAGCUCCAUGAGUCUCGGCGGAUCCCAAUGGUGUCGACCGAUGUCGAUGAACUCGCAUCAAUCGACAGACCAUGAUGAAGAUCGAUCGACAGAUUACUCCAGUCAUCGAUCGACGUCGUCUGCCAAAUCGACUGAAUGCAAUGCGGUUCGAAUUCUAACUCAUGAAGAAUUCGCAGCUAAGCAUCCUCACCCACCCUCCCCUUUCUAUGAUAAAAUCGAUCGAUCGGUUGAGCCAACCAUCGAUUGACAGAGUGAGUCCGACGUCGAUAAUCACAACACACCUCCCAUCAAUUGACAGGCACCAAUGACAUACCGAGUGCGGUUACCCUCAAUAGAUAAUGAUUACACCAACGCACUCAGACCACCACCUAACCCAUUAGCUAACCCACCCGAACCAAAACUCAACCCUUUAAAUAGUUCACCUGAAUCAGUUCAAGAAGAACAAGAAGCUGAAGGGAGAAGGUUAAGGAAAAGAAAGGAGAAGAUUCCUAAAAACCUUAAGCAGGAAGCUAACGAUAAGGAGAUGGAUGGUUUCACUAAAAGAGUCCUCAGAAUCCCAAUCGAAAAACCUUUUGAUGAUGCUUACUUCACACACCGGUUGUGAAUGUUCUUCAGAGAAACAAAGGUAACUGAGGAGGACAUUAGGAGAAUGUUUCAUCAAGUCAGAGAGAAGAUGAAACACAGGAUCACAUUGACGAAGAAGAGUGAUCCUGGGAAGUUUGCAAUACCAUGCGUAGUCAAGGGUGUUGAAUUUCCCCAUUCAAUGUGUGACACAGGAGCAUCAGUUAGUAUCCUCCCUAGGAUCAUGGCAGACCAGCUUGGUUUGACCAUCGAACCUACAACGGAAUCUUUCACCUUCGUGGAUCUUUAAGAGAAACGAUCAGGAGGAAUCAUAAGAGAUCUGGAGGAACAGAUUGGUAAUGCCCUUGUCCCUGUAGAUUUUCAUGUCCUAGACAUCGAGCUUAACUGGAACUCUUCACUUCUGCUUGGACGAUCUUUCCUAGCUACAGUAGGAGCCGUAUGUGACAUGAACAAAAACAAAUUGUGUCUAACGCUCAUAGACCCAAACAUCCACUACGACCCCAUCCGACCUAAGAGAAAGGUCAUUAAUUCUGUGGAUUACGGGAAAGAACUUGGCUUCAUUGGCUCAUGCCAUUGUGGAGCAGAGUAUGAAUCAGAGUACAAAACAGAGUACUUGGAAUCGGUCGACACCACCACCUUUCCAUCGAUCGAUUCCAAUGAGUCAACGGUGACCGAUGACCGCAACAACACGUCACUCGACGUAAUGCACCCAGUUGACCAUUUCGCUUCAGCUAAUCAUUGUUACCAACACUUUGCCUUCCAACCUCCAAGCAAGAGAGGACAUGAUGAUUAUUCCAUAGGCAGUUGGACAGACAGUGGUUUCCAUGAAAGUUUUGCAGUUGACACUGUAAUUACUUCACCUAGUGAGGGACAUACAGAGGAACACGAUGAGGAUUUUUGGAAAGAACGUGCAAUAGAAAUGUCUUUGCAGGAUGAAAGACUUGAAACACCUAAGUUCACCAACACGUUUCCAACAUAGUUCGAUGCUGUGCACUCCACAUCGGUCGAUACCCACCCUCGUCCAGCAAAACAACCGCUCACAUCGAUCGACACACGUAAUGGAACAUCGAUCGAUAUUCGCGCCGCAACAAAAAUUCAGGAGCAGGAGAAUAUUCCCUCCCCAACUAGGUUUAAAGAUACCUAUAUAAAUCGUUUUGCACCCCCGAAACCACCUACACACAUCAUAGCAAACACACAAGCAAAAAUGAUGAACACUCUUCCUUCUACAUCAACAGAAAAAUCCAUGAAGAGCAAUCAUCUCAAGAACACAAGUUCUGCAGAAAUUACUCUGCCAUCGAUCGAUGCAACUGUAUCUACAUCGAUCGAUACUACUCUAAACCCUAAUCUUUCUAUUUCUAAAUUAAAUGAUAAUGCAAACAUUGAUUACGGUUUUCUAACACCUGAUGAAUUUAGUAUUUUCAGGGACCCAGAUGGCAACACACGUGCAAUGGAUGGAAGGAUUUUACAAGUGUCCAGAGAGGACAUAGUAGACAUCCUUCAAGUAGCCAAUGGACCCGACAACCUAUUCUCACAGCAACAUGGCACUCCAGACGUCAUUCAAACAGAUCCUAACAACCACGUAGGAGUCGCCACAACAGAGAUCAAUCCAGAUCUAUCACGCCAACCUAAUGGGCAAGCAUCAAUCGACGGUACAUUGGAGACAUCGAUCGACAGGUAACACCAACGUCGAUCGAUAGAGAUGAAUCGACGUCGAUCGACAGACGGUAUGAAUGUGGAAACCGCGCUUUUGACAUGUACGGAGCCAGAAUGUUCACUUGGGAACAAAGGGACGAGUAUGGAGUCUACAGAGAUGAGUGUGGACACGCACGAGGCGUAGCUGGUGAGAUGAUACCUGUCACAAAGGACGACAUCACAAAAUUACUGGAAAGAGCAUCUCUUUUUGAAGAGAGCCACAUCUGUCUUCCAGAACAUGCCACUUCCUUCAUACUCACAAGACUGGCACCAGAACUCUACACCAAAGAUGAAAUCGAUGGGAUGGUGUUUGGUAUUUGUGGAGCUCAGGAGAAACUGGGAGAGGAGCUCAAAACAUUGGUAGAAGAUACACAUCAGCCUUUGGAUAGAGGCUACAAUGAGCUUUUCAGAAGUAUGACAGAAAUGAGAACAGAAAUUGAGAGUUUACGUCAGCAACUUGAGAAGGAAGCUACGACCUCGACAUCGAUCAACGCACCACAUGCAACAUCGAUAGACGUCAGUCUUCCUACAGCUCAGAUCCCUGCAGAACCGCAAUGUUCAACACAACAAAGGGAUGAAUGGGAAGUCUCAUACAUCGACACGAGGAUAAACGACGUUUAUUGCCCUCUCAACAACAAAAUGGACUGGCUAAGCACUAAAAUCGAGCUACUACAGCAAGAUCUGGACACCAUUCGCAAGAAGGACCAACAACCAGCCACAUCGAUCGACAUGUGUACCUUCAUAUCGCUCGACGCUAAAGUCUCAGCCAUGAAUGAGAGGCUGAGGACUUACGAGGAUAUGCAUGACCGCUUUAUAUCACCAGUCAUGACAUAUUUAAACAGAUUGUCUAGUCAAUUACUUCAUGCCCAAAAGGAUAUUGAGAACAUUACUAAUCAAAGGCUUUUGCAGGAAAAAUCAGCAUCGAUCGACAGGCUACGAGGACCUUGGAUCGAUGGCAAGAAACCUGUGGAGUUACUUCCUUACACAGCAGCAGAGGUUGACAAGAUCACAUCCAAGAUCUACACUGCUCUAGACACCAUGGAGGAACGACUUGACAAACGCUGCGAUGACAUCUACUUUCCAUUCGACAACAAAAUCAGUGGACUCGACAGCCACGCAUAAUGGCUACAGAAAGAAGUCAAAGCCAUUCAGAGGCAACUCGCAGCUCAACACCAGAUAUCAGCAUCAAUCAACAGGACACGAGCGAAAUCGACCAACGAACACAUAAUCGCAUCGAUCGACGCCGAGUCUACACCAAUCGGCGAGCGGCUGAUACACAAGACAGUAGAGUCAAUGCAAAAGGAACUGACAGAACUUUCAGCAUACGCCUAUGACAACAUAGGCUGGCACCAGGUCAGCAUUGACAACGUUCAACAAAGGCUACAGAACAUCUCCAAUGUACUUGAGAAGAUGGAUGACAAAUGGACAAGAAAUGAUGAGGCCACAAGAAGUUUCAUUGCAUCUUGGUCCAGAAUGCGCAGAGAUGAUGUGGAUGCUUGCUUUUCAACAAGCAGCUGUUUCUCUACCCAAUAGCCAAUCACUACCACAGUCAAGCUAAAUGACUAUAACCAAGCGCUGAGUGGGAGGCAACCCAAUAUUAGGUAUUUUAUUUUGGUUUUAUUAGCUAGCAUUUAUUUACUUUUGUUUUAUUUCUUUUAGAUUUAGGAGACCCAAGUAGGAGGACCUGAAUAUCGACCGACGACGAGAUGUCGAAAUCGCUCGACAUAGACAACCACACGACGAUCGAUGUAACACUUUCACAUCGAUCGAUAUCUAAUCCGGUCAGAUGUAUCUUCCUUACUUGUUACAUUUCGUACAUCAUGAACUAUUCAUCAGAACUCCGGCUGAGUUACACUGGGACAGUGUAAUUUAAGUCUGGGGGAGAUUUACUGAUAUAAUUUAUUUUAUUCUUAUGUAAAAAGGAAUUUUAAUAAAUUAUGCUUAGCUAUUAAAAAUAAGGACUAUAAUCUUAUAUUGAUUUACACAUGAAUAUAUAACCAAGCUUUAGCACCAUUUUAUAUUUACUGAUUGUAGAUAGCACUAAAGAUGCUAAAGCGGAUCAACCUAUCACCUACACACUUGCCUUGAACCGUAUGAAGUAACCAAAGCUGAUUUCCAACACUAAACCUGACAUAACCGCUUGUCUUGGGGCUUGGUAUACAUGGGAUCGGAUUCUUCAGACAGGUCUGGAAGGUAACGCCUGGUUUAGAUUAUUUAUCACAUUUUCUCUCUCUAAAUUUCGACCCUAGAUUAGUUAGUAAGUAUUAUUCAAAAAAAAAAAAAGUAAAUAAAUAAGAUCUAUUGUUUAAUUAGGAUGAGUCUGAACAGGACUUGGUGGCUAAAACCAUUAAGGCUUGAUUCAUAAAGACUCAAAUACAAGAGUUCGAAACGGGACUUGGAGGCGGCAAUCUUCAAGGCUCGCUUUCGCAAAGAACUCUUGGAUAUAGGUCAAAAAGAAGUGAACAGAACUUGGUGGCAACCACCAUUAAGUUUUGAUUCAUGGAAGCCUGUCCAAUCUUGGUCACUGAUCCUGCAAUGGAAGCAGACUUUGACUCAAGAGAGAAAUUUAGAGAGAGAGAAACUAGGAACUAACUUUUACCUGCAGCUCCAGAUACCUGUCUGAAAUCCUUGCAUCAUGUGAACGAUACUCCCAAGGUAAAGGAUUCACUUUAUAUUUAUGCUAAGAAAUAAAAUCAGUAGAGGGGAUGUCAGACGUGAAUUGAUGAGUUGUGUUAUGUUAGAAAUGGUUGCUAAGCUAGGAUAUUGAAUAGUGUGCUUUUUUGAUUAGGAGUUUUUAAAUGUGGUUGCAAAAUUGUUGAGGAAAGAUUUCUAUGCUUUAAAAUCUUAAGUCCCCAAUAUUUUCAAACCUCUUUCAGAGAGACUGCCUGUAUGUUUUGCUUGAGGACAAGCAAAACGGUAAGUCUAGGGGAGUUGAUAUACCUUGGAUUUGACCCAUUUUUAUCCAUGGUAUAUAAGCAUUUUACUAUAUAUAUAUAUAUAUAUAUAUAUAUAUAUAUAUAUAUCUAUGUUUUCUACUCUUCUAUGUAUGUUUUCAGGUUCAGGUGCAUUUCGGAGUAAAGCUAUGAUUUUGGAGAAUUUUGGAGCUUAAAGGACAUUUCACCCGAGCUGACCACUUAGAGGUCGACGAGAGGAAGAACAAUCGAUCGAUGCGCAUCAGUGCUGACGAUCGAUAUCAGGAAAUGCCUCGACAGAUGAAGAUUAAUAUCGAUCGAUGUACACAAGUACCAUCGAUCGAUGUCGAGACACCAGAUGCGACAUUUUGGAUUCAGUAGACUUAAAAACCAAGGCCAAGCCAAAUUACCAAAAUGCCCUGACGAGUUUUUAACCUAGUAGAAUAUAUACUGCCUAAGUGUUUUGACGGCAGGAGAGCUUUUUCUAGACCUAGUUUUGUUACAAGUUUCAUUGGGGAGAGAAGAUUACUUGUGAUUGGAACUCCUUGUUUCCAUUUCUUUUCAUCUAUACUAUGAGUUUCUAUUCCUUUAUUGUUAUGAAUUGCUUUGCUAUGUCUGAGUAGUUCAACUGUUAGAUCCAGGGUUCAGAUAGGUUUAUGGGAUUAGCCCCAAACUAUAGAUCUGCCUUGUUGUGAUAUUCAUGAUAGAUUUGUAUUCAUUGCUUGUUUUAGCCUUGCUAACUAGAACUUGAUCAUAGGAUUGCAUACUCUAGCACCCUUGUUAUCCCAUCCUGACAUCUAUCUAUCAUAUUAGGACUGCUAGAGAGGGCUAACCGCCAAUUUAGCAUCUUAGUAGGGCAUUUCAUACUCGCGCAUAGGCCUGGCUAGAACCCGUCGAUCGAUGUCCUCAACCGACUAUCGAUCGACGUUGGCAAAGGUGUAUCGGUCNNNNNNNNNNNNNNNNNNNNNNNNNNNNNNNNNNNNNNNNNNNNNNNNNNNNNNNNNNNNNNNNNNNNNNNNNNNNNNNNNNNNNNNNNNNNNNNNNNNNUUAGGUAAUAUAAAAUACAAUAUAAUAUUAUUAAUAUAAAAUUUGUUUUAAUUAUAUAAUAAGUCAAAUACCUAAAAUCGUGGAGAACAUGACAUAUAAGCAAAUUCACUUCUCAAAUAAUAAUAUAGAUUUAGUCUUCUACUAAUAAUGAUGACCGGUCAAAGCGGUUUAUUCCUUUUCCGGCUGCCGCAUCUUAUUACCCUCGGUCAACUCCUUCCCUAUUUAUCACCAACAUGACCUAUUUUUUUUUUUUAAAGACCUAAUCUCAUUUCAUGAACUUUUUUUGGGUGUUUAAACUAGUAGUCAUCGUACUCUGGAUCAUUUAUUCUUUCGCCUCAAAAAAAAACUAGUAGUCAUGUUCAUGUAUCCUGUAUAUAUAUCUCUGAUGAAAAUGAAAAUAUUUAUUUGUCGACGUCUAAACUCUCCCAAUACGGCAGGCCUCAUCCGGCAUGGCUAAUAUUGCAUUAUAUAUUGCGAAGAACUGCUUAAUAAUAGUGGGUGCCUAAUCGUAUGGAAAAUGCUAUAGAAUGUACAGAGCUGCACGUGUCUCCAUUUAUUUUACAAUAUUUUUAAUUUGGGUCAAUACAAUAUGCGUCUUUAAUUAUAGUUUUAGAGUACUAUAUGUUGCUUCGAAUUAUUUGAUGGAAAAUAUGGAAAGCAUUAAUAUAAGAGACCAUAUAGACAUUUUUAUCAUAUACAAGCUGAGAAGUGAGCAGCCAUGGACGUGUAUUAUUUAAUUUUAUAUGUACUAGAUUUUUUAACCGCGCUACGCGCGGAUAAGAUAUUAUAUGUAUUUCUCAAUUCAAAAAAAAUAUAAUGUAUAAUACUGUAUUACAUUAUUUAAAGAAUAUAAAAUAAGACUACAUAACAUAAAUAUAUUUUUUAAAUUUUCUUUGUGGAAAUCAUUAUGUUGUUUGAUUGUUGUACUUGAUUCACAUAUUUGCAUAGUUAUUUGUGAUAGAUGAAUAACUAUAUUUUUAUUAUCAGUAAAUAAUAUAUAUUUAUUAUAUAAUAUAAGAAAAAUAAAAUUAUAUUCUUCUAAAACAAACUUGUCUGAUGUAGGGACUCGGUUAUAGACAUAUCAUAUUCAAAUGAGACAUUUUACAGUUAUCAAUCUUCUUAACAGUCAAGAAACAAAUCUGAAUAUCAAAACAAUAUCUCAUACGAUCUCUUUGUGGAAUAACUGCUAUGAAGAAAUUGAAUUUAAGCAUCAAAAAGGACUGAAAAUGGAUGUGCAUAUGUGUUAUCUAAGUCAGUUUUACAAAGUACUAUUCAUAAUUCAUAUAUCAUUUAUGUCCAUCCUAUUUUUUGUCCAUAUUUUCUUAAACAUCUUGAAAUAACUGAUGCUAAUUAAUAAUAAACUUUUGGCUGGCAAAAAAAGAGUCAAAAUUGUCUAAUUAUUGCUUAAUUUGUCUAACUGAUAUAUAUGUAUUUCUCAAUUCUAAAAAAAUAAUGUAUAAUAUUGUAUUACAUUAUUUAAAGAAUAUAAAAUAAGACUACAUAACAUAAAUAUAUUUUUUAAAUUUUCUUUGUGGAAAUCAUUAUGUUGUUUGAUUGUAGUAUUUGAUUCACAUAUUUGCAUAGAUAUUUGUGAUAGAUGAAUAAUUAUAUUUUUAUUAUCAGUAAAUAAUAUAUAUUUAUUAUAUAAUAUAAGAAAAAUAAAAUUAUUUACUUUUUAAACAAAGUUGUCUCAUGUUGGAGAUUCGGUUAUAGACAUAUAAUAUUCGAAGGAGACAUUUUUACAGUUAUCAAUCUUCUUAACAUUCAAGAAACAAAUCUGAAUAUCAAAACAAUAUCUCAUACGAUCUCUUUGUGGAAUAACUGCUCUGAAGAAAUUGAAUUUAGGCAUCAAAAAGGAUUGGAAAUGAUGUGCAGAUGUGUUAUCUAAGUCAGCUUUACAAAGUACUACUAUUCAUAGUUCAUAUAUCAUUUAAGUCCAUCCUUUCUUAAACAUCUUGAAAUAACUGAUGCUAAUUAAUAAUACACUUUUGGCUGGCAAAAAAAAAUUAAAUUUGUCUAAUUAUCGUUUAAAUAUUUUAUUAAUAUUGUCUAAGAAGCUUUCAAUUGAUAUCAUAGUUUAAUUUUUAUUAGUUUUUUUUGUUAAUUUAAGGAUUUUUUGUAUUUAAGAUUUUUUUCCAUAUUAAGCUUAUAUUUCUUUCACAUAAUAUAUAUAUAUAUGUGUCAUAAAAAUUACCAUCAAAUCAGUUUUACUUUUUUAUUAUUUUAUUUUUAAUGAAAAUACACUUUUAAAUAAUUUAAUUUAAAAUAAAAUUAUAUAUUAAUUUAUUGUAUUCUAACAAUUUGAUUGAUUUAAUUAAUUUGCUUUGGUGGAUAACUUAAAAAGUUUUCAUAUGAAUCGGGGAAAGCAAGCUUAUGUUGUUAUAUUAUAUUUAUUUGUGUAUAUAGAAUCUUGUGUAUAUAGAAUCGGGGAAAGCAAGCUUAUGUAAACUUACUUUUACAAAAGUCUUAACUUUGUCACGAAAACAAAAAUCUAUGCUUUUUCAUAUUUGUCAAUGUUCUCACACUUUCAAAGAAUAUAUUAGCUUAGUCACUUUCUUAUUUUUUUUACAAAACAAAAUAUCGAAGGCUUGAAAGUUGAAUCCAUAUUAUUGUAAAUGUACAUAAGAGUUUGUGAUUAUAUAUUUAGUGAUUCUUGUAUAUGUGUUCAAGAAAGUUUCAAUGGCUUAGCGGUAUAUGCUCUAUAUUUAUGUCAUACUAACCUGGGUUCGAUCCUGUCCUUUGCAUUUUUUUUUCAUUUUUUACGAAAAAAUAAAUGAGAUGACGUGGCAACUUCGGGCUCUCUGAUUGGAUGAUUAUAUAUGCUGAUGUGGACACUCUAAGAGGGGUUUAUAUCUCCCUUUUAGUAUAGUAUAGAUUUAUAGUCUAUUACACCACAACUUCAGAUCAUAAAAUAUAUUGGCUACACACGUGAAGAAAAAAAAAUACUAAGAAUAUAGAUACACCAUUAUAGUGUUCCCAUAAUUUGCCAAUAGUUUACGUGAGUGUAUUUGCUUAAACAUAUCCUAAGUAGUCAGCCGCCCCGCAAAAUUAAAAUAAGAAGAUGAUGUUUUCCAACUUAUAUGCAUAAUGCAUUGCAAGACCUCAGUUUAAUGCAAAUGAGCUUAGUUUAGAGAGACGCUGUAGAAGCAGACGUCCUGUGUAGAAGUUAUGAUGUGUUGGUAGUUUACCUUGUAGUUUAUAUGAUGUACAUAUAAAAAGGGGAGAUACUUAUGAAACAAGGUUAUGUAUAUUUGAGAAAGGGGGUGUUUAUUUGAGAGAGAGGAAAGUAAAGAUGGAGAAAUAACGUAAAAAAGGAAAUGGGUGGAACCUGGACCGGGCGGAUAAGUGUUGGGGGUGGGGUCACAUUUGGGCGUAAUCAGUAGGGGAGGAAUGUAUUUUUGUUUUUGUUUUUGUUUGAUCUCCUCUUUAAUUACUUAAUCACGAUUUUAAAAUGGGGGAUUAAGAAAAUAGAAGAAGUCGCCUGCUUGAAAUGACAAAAAUACCCUAAAACAUUAAAGGAUUAGUAUGGCCACGGCGGCAUGAGUAAGAUGCGGCGUCGUUUAAAGACAAGGAAGAUAGAGAUAAAAGCUCAUUAGACCUGCCUCCACAAUACUUAUUAGUGAUUGAUGAUCAUCUCUCUCUCUUUGCAUUUGAAUUGAUUUUGCAAAUCUCAUAAAAGGGGAUUCAGUUAUAAAAAAAUUAAAAAAAAGGAAUCGUUGAGUUUAAUUUGCUCAAUGGUGGUGGUGAUGGAGAGUUGCGGAAGUAGAGUCUUACCGAUGAUGUCGCAGGCGGGCAUGGAGCGGCGGGAGCGGAUGAAAGUGGAGGUGUUCGAAGAGGUCAUCCUUCGUCUCCGUCAAUCUGAUAAUAUUGACACGGAUCUCCCCGGUUUCGUCGACGACCUCUGGGCUCACUUCAAUCGCCUCCCGGCCAGGUAAACAGAUUUUGAGAUUAAUGUUUCCGUAUAGGCAAAUGAGCAGCUCAAAAAAGAUUAUUCUUGUAUUAGGUAUGCAUUGGAUGUGAAUGUAGAGAGGGCUGAAGACGUUGUCAUGCACCAGAGAUUGCUUCUUUCGGCUCUUGAUCCGCAUAACAGGAGGCCUGCUAUCCAAGUUCGUCUCGUCCAGGUCCAGGUCCUUUUCUUAUCUUCUUUCUUUCUUUCUUACUUGUCUUUUAUGAUCCUCACGGAAAAUGAAUGUUAGGUUCAACAACCUCCAGCUGACUCGGACUCUCUUACCAAUGAAACAACUUCUUCUCCUGCCAGGUGACCAACCAACCAAUUCUUCAUUCUCUUUAAAACAUGCAAAGCAAAGCAAAGCAAAGCAACUAACCUCUGCUUUUCCACUUUCCAGCAUUCAUCCUCCGCCUGCCUUUGGUUCAUCUCCCAAUCUCGAAGCACUUGCCCUUGCACUUGCUGCCCAUGACCACGAUGAGGGCGACAACUCUGUGCGUAACAAUUCUCUCUAUUCCCGGUAUGUUUUGCUACUCUUCUACUCUUUCCUUGUGGCACUAUUCAACUCCUAACUCCCCCUCUUUGUUGCAGUCCCCUGCAUGAGAUCACCUUUUCCACACUAGACAAACCUAAACUCCUUUUGCAGGUAAGAUUCUCACAUGGAAUCUAUAUUGCAUUAUGUAAUCCUGCAUUACACGUCUUCGGCUUUUCUUUUCUUCUUUCCGCAAUGCUUGAAAAUUGGGAUACUUUUAUUGUUUCUUCCUCCCAAAUACUUUUUAAAAUAUGGUAUGUAGUUGGAAUAAGUAUGUCUGAGUAUUGAUGUCAUCAAUUUGAAUAUUCGUAUUUUGCAAUUACAGUAAUACCUACGAAUAUAUAUGACUGACUUUGAAAUAUAUUUUGAUCAUUUUGAUUCAUCACUGCGUUACUAAGCCAGCUUAAACGAUGCAGUUAACUGCAUUGCUUGCUGAGCUUGGGCUGAAUAUUCAAGAGGCGCAUGUUUUUUCUACAACCGAUGGCUUCUCACUCGAUGUUUUUGUCGUUGAUGGUUGGUACGAGGUACCUUCUCUUGUUUCCCCUCUCCUUUUUCCUUCUCUAUUGCAAGUUGUUCUUUCAUUUUACGAAACCCUUUUACCUUUGCUUUAUUUUUUCAAUCGUUUAGUGAUUUAGUUGCUGAAAUGCAACUUGAAAAGAAAAAAAAAACAAACUUAUAUGAAGAAAGCUUCCUAGUCAAUAAGCUGGUAUGCUACCUUUUUUAAUUAUUCAGGAAGUAGACAGACUUAGAAUGGCAUUGGAGACAGAAGCAGCAAAGAUUGAGGUAAUUUAAUACUUUCGUGCAAUAUGCAGACUGGUGAUUUAUGGACUACGCUUUCUUUCCAAUCACUUAAUUCCUAAUGAAAUAGAGUUGGUAGCUCUGUACACUUUCUCAACAUCUCACAAUAAUGUCAUGUCGUGUUGUGUGUUAUUAAUGAAUUUCAUUACACUCAGUUGCAGGACCAAAGCUGGCCUAUGCAGCAAUCCUUCUCUCCUGAAAAGCAAAACGGGACAGCGAAAGAUCAUGUCGUAAUACCCACUGAUGGAACUGAUGUUUGGGAAAUUAACCUUAAACAAUUAAAAUUCGGGCAUAAGAUAGCAUCUGGUUCUUAUGGAAAUCUGUAAGUCGGUUCCACCUAUUAAAUACAUUUUGUCAUUUUAAGAUGCUCAAAUCUAUCUUGUAUUAUUCAGGUAUAAAGGUACAUACUUAAGCCAGGAAGUUGCUAUCAAAAUCCUCAAGCCAGAGCGUCUAGAUUCUGAGCUAGAGAAAGAGUUUUCCCAAGAAGUCUUUAUUAUGAGGUUUGUGUGCCUUCCUGUCUUGGGCACGCUGUGAACUUAUGUGUUGAUAAAAAAAAAUAUCAUCUUAGACUCGUAAGAUAUCAUUCCAAAUCUUUCCAUUUUCAGGAAAGUUAGGCACAAAAACGUUGUUCAGUUCAUUGGUGCUUGCACCAAGCCUCCACAUCUCUGUAUUGUUACAGGUAUGCCACAGUGAACCUAUUUAUGUGCAUUACUAUACUUGAUGUAAUUUUGUUCUAGGCUUAUUAUACUUAUUUUUCGUUUCUCUCUUUGUUAUUUAAUUAGAAUUCAUGCCCGGUGGAAGUGUAUAUGACUAUCUACACAAGCAAAAGGGCGUGUUUAAGCUUCCAGCUUUGUUUAAAGUAGCUAUAGAUAUUUGCAAAGGGAUGAACUACUUGCACCAAAAUAACAUAAUUCACAGAGAUUUGAAGGCUGCCAACCUUCUAAUGGACGAAAAUGAGGUAACACUCUCAACUUAGUGUGAAUUGGCAUUUGGGCCGACCUUGCAUACUUUGGUUGAAACUCUACUCUAUGUAAAUGUUCAAAUAAAGAUAUUUUGACUGCAUCACAUAUGCUAUAUCCUAGAGCAUGAGUUCUACAGGAUGCUGCUUGUCAAUCAUGUUCUUUUGAGUGCACAGUUGCGUAUUCAUAGUGGUGUGUGGAUUUUUGUUUUGUCUGUUGGUACAGGUUGUUAAGGUUGCAGAUUUUGGGGUGGCUAGAGUAAAAGCACAAACUGGAGUUAUGACAGCUGAAACUGGAACAUAUCGGUGGAUGGCUCCGGAGGUAUGGUUGUGAGAUGUCCUUUGAUACUGUUUGUAUAGUUUAGUAUGUCAGUAGCAUAUGAAAGUUUGCUCAGCCAAUGUCUCCGAUGAUUAGGAUUAUUCCAAAAUCGGUUAGCUAUUAUGAGAUGACCAGUAAGUAUCUUGUGUGGUUGGUUCUGACUUCUGAGACAAUAAAAAUUUGGUGGAAAUCCAGGUGAUAGAACACAAGCCAUAUGAUCACAAGGCAGACGUUUUCAGCUACGGGAUUGUGCUAUGGGAGUUGUUGACUGGCAAGGUAAUUGGGCGACUUUUGUCUUGAGAAAAAUAAAGUCUUGCAAAGGAAGGUGACAGUAUAACUAACGUUAGUGAGGUUUUUUAUGUAACGGCAGCUUCCUUAUGAAUACAUGACGCCAUUGCAGGCAGCCGUAGGGGUGGUCCAAAAGGUAAAUUGCCUGUUUUCAUUUGUUUGCUUGGAAACGCAGAUAGCUAAAAAGGGGGCUGUGUUGUGGGUGGGAAAACAGGGAUUAAGGCCGAAAAUACCGAAGAAGACGCAUCCGAAAAUGAGAGAGCUAAUGGAGAGAUUGUGGGAGAAGGAUCCAAGCCUGAGACCAGACUUCGCAGAGAUCAAAGAGAAGCUAGAAGAGAUAGCCAAGGAAGUAAGUAAGAGAAAGAAAUGGUUAUGAAAGUGGAUUGAAUAGAGAGAGAGUAAUUGAAGUGAAUGUGUGUGUGUGUAGGUAGGAGAAGAGGGGGAGGAGAGGAAAAAAGCAUCAAGAGGAGGAGGGGGUAUCUUUGCAGCACUGAGGAGAAGUGCAACAACACAUCAUUGAAUAACAUACAAACAUGGCUGUGCAUAUGAUAUUAUAAUUGUUAGCUGGUAUUCAAUUGAUUUUGUAAGUUAUUAUAUACACCCCAUACUCAAGACUCUUAAGAAUUUGUUGUUGUUGUACGAGACUGUUAGCAUGUUAAAGAUUGACCCCAAAAAAAAAAUCAGUAACUUUGAGGGACAUAAAAAUAUCUACCACAAUACAUAUUACAAGUAAAAACAGGACAUGGGGCUACUUGAGAAGAGGAGCGGCAUUGCGAAUGGAGAGAUAGUGGUGGACUUGGUGGGUGGAGAGUGACCUUAGAGUCUUGAAAACAUGAGCAUUUGCAUAGCGGAGGUUUGUUCUGGGGUCUACAUAUGGCGCCUGUCACCAAACCAAGAGAUGAUCAAACUAAAGAAAAGGUCGAAAAUCAGAAAUAAAUUAGAAAUACAUACCUCGAAUCCAGUGACAUCACAAAUUCUCUUGCAUGGUUGAGUGGAUGGAGGCGACUCGAUGUUGAUAUCUGCACACGAAAGAAAGAUUGAUUGAUUACAGUGAAGAGGAGGAGGAGGAGUAUUUUAAUUUUUGUGAAUCGAGAGAGAGAGAUACAAAAGGGAUGAUGAUCAGGGUCAGCUUGGAGGAUUUGCUUGAGAUGUUUCCACCUUCCUCGAGACUGGCCCUUUGGGUACUUUUCAUAGGCCUGUGUCUUCUUAAAGCUCAGAUGCAUCGGAACCACUAUAUCUGCCUCCACCAACUCCCCCUCCAUCUUCUCUUCUGUUUGUUAAACCCUAGAUCCAUCCAUCCGAGGAGGACGACGAUGCUUUUUAUACGCGCUCUCUCGGUUGUUAAUAACCGGUCCAGUCCGGUCCGGUAUUGUUAAUUAAGAAAAACAAAUGAGUAAACCAAGCUAUAAGAGUUCCUUCUUCUUCUCUCUCAGAUUAUGGCAUGAUUCGAAUUAGGAGCGGCUCUUUUCAAACUGAAUGAAGAGUGAUUCCCACCAAUUCAAACGCUCAAUCUAAAGGUCAGAGAGCUCUCCUCUGAGUCUGAGAAUUAGGUGGAUCCAUGAAUUGUUUGAGUUAGUAAUGGAUAUUUCUAUUGCGGCUGAGUGAGACUGAUGAUGAUGAUGAUGAUGAUGAUGCCUUCUUCUUCUUCUCUCCCACUAGACUGCUUUGCUUGCUUAUUCCAACAGCUUCCUUUUUCCCAUUCCCGUUGCCUACAAUAACCCUGAUAAAGGUUCUCCUUCCCACUUCAAUAACCCCUCAUUCUAUUCUCACCACCAAUCUUACCUACAUUACAGAGGAUGAGGAUGAUGAUGAUCAUCAUCAUUCCUCCACCUCUCCUUUUCCUCUCUUCUCUUUAGCGCCAACAUUACCUGCUCUCAGUCAUGAAGGUAGUAACUAUCCCCCUUGUAUUUACCCUUGUUCCCUUCCAAACUAUUAUUAUUUGUAUUCUCUUUCAGGUCAGGUCCACUGCGGGUUCAUGCCAGGUGGUUUGUCGUCUCUGGAUAAAGAUUUCGUAAACAAAUGUAAUUUUGUGGUUGCCACUGGGAUUUUCGAUGCAUAUGAUCAACCCCAUUAGGAGGAACGGCAAAAUCUUAAUUACUACUGUUAAUUAGUGGUAAUUAACAUAAAUAAAACAAUGUCUCCUUGUUAAUAAUUAUGCUAAGUCCUUUCUCUUGUUUUACACACACAUGUUCCAGAGGGAGCGGUGAUAAUAAGAGAACACACUGCAAUUACCAAUCUCUUCAGCUGCCUGUGGUUCUACGAGGUACACCCAGGGACCAGCUUAGCUUUGGGUACGUAGUGGACAGACUAAAAUGAGCCUUCAAGGUGUUCAUGUUUCACAACUGUGAUGUGAAUACAACUCUCUCCUUCCCUCACAUCCGACAACAUUCCUCUAAGAUCGAGUGGGUCAAGAGUGUCAACGAACUCAAAAGGGAAAGGAGAGUGUUUGAAGGAGAGCCGAGGCGGCUUUGGGCUCUGGACUCCUUAUCCAGGGGAUCUUGAUUCCGUUGAGCUGCCACAAGUUGUAAGAACUUCCAAUGCUGGUUGAGGCAAAAGCACGAUUAUAAACUAAGCUUUGCUAGCAAGGCAAAAACAUGCUAACAAAUUUGAAGAGAGAACAAGGCGAUUUGCUAAACCAGCCAAAAAGCCAUUAAGUGCUUGAAUUGUUUCCUGGUCCUUCGAGCAGAUAUUGUGUUCCUAAUUGCCCCUAGGACAAUUCAAAAGCUCAGAGAAGAUUGACAGCCAGCUUCGGUUUGAGCCUGCAACCUAGAGGGUGAAUAAUCUCCGUUUCUCAUCCACUCUGAGUUGUCGAUGCAUAUCAUUGUCGCCUACGCACCACAUCCGAUCCACGAAUCAAUCUAUAAUACUCAAAAAUCAGGAAGAAGCAGAUGAUGAAAGCCGAAAAUCACCUCGAGGACUUGGGCUUUUUUUUUUUUUUUUUUUUUUUUUUUUUUUAAUUUUGGUUUCAUCUGCUUCUGUGCAUUAACAGCAUUAUUUGGGAAAAGUCCAAAAAUACACUUUUUUUCUACACAACUACGUAAGAGCAUACUAUUUCUGAAACAAGAAAGGAAUGGGGGCAAAAUAAGAGUAUUAGAGCAAGAGCAUUAGAGGUUCAAGAGGGAGGUUCACACGUUUUACGAGAAAAAAAAAAUAUUAAAAAAAGCAAAAGUGAUACCCUCUCUCCUAAAGUUCAUCACUGUAGCGCGGGCCCCACGACACGUGGCGGCCCGCGAUUGGUAAAUUUUUUUUUUUUUUUUUUUUUUUUAAAAAAAAUCAAAAUGAAAAAAAAAAAAACUUUAAUAAUAAAAAAUUAAGAAGGUGAAUCCCAAAGGGGGGUUCACUGAUGCUCAUGCUCUUAGAACAUUUACAAUUUGUCUACCGUACUACUAGUAGUAGUUGUAUCACAUUUGACGGCGGCGUUUUCUAUACAUAAAAUUUUUUGGUAUCCUAUCUGCUGCCCUGAAAGAAGAAUGAGAAGAGGAGCUACUGCAAAUGUAUCAUGCUCUUGUUUACUAGCGGAAGUGUCGCCCCGUCUUUCCUCGAUCCUAACAGCUUCUCGCUGCAUAAAAACACAACUCAUAAAAUCAAAUACUACUACUUGCUAAGCUCCUCUCAUAUUACCUUUUAGUACAAUUUUUAAUCAGCACUUGGUAAGCUAAGUUGAUUACACACAAUCUCAACACAGUUGUCUGUUGUAAACGCCAAGUAUUCAUUUGAUACCCACCCCCCCAUCAAUCAAUCAUCCCGACUCCACUUAUUAGUAUUAGCUAAAGUUGAGUAGUAAACCAUCUCAUCUCACCUUGUAUACGGCGGCGGACAGAAGAUGAUGACGUAGUCUGCUCCGGUGGCGCAAGUGUAGGUGCUCGUCUUGUCGUCAUACGCGUAGCUGUAGGCGCGUGGACAAGCGUGCUUGAAGAAGAGCGAGUAUACCGAAGGCUGACACGUGUCAGGCGUGGCGUAAGCAUCGCUGCAGCAAUACCGCGGGUCUCCGAAGGCCUCGCAGGCGCUGCGGCAGGCCACGCCGCCCCUUCUGCCACGUGCCACCAGCUUAAGGUCUCUGGGACAGGCGCCGUUCAAGUCAACGAGACACCCGGUGGCUCCGCAUCCUCCAAGGACGAUUUUCUUGGGCAAGAUUAGCACCGGGAGGUUGUAGCCGUCGACGAGACUGACGUCGUAGAAGUCUAGUCCCCCGGUGCCGUUGAGGGUGAACUCGGCGAGCGUUGCGGGAGGUUUAGCUCCGGAGCCCGAACACUCGACCUUACCGGAGCCGCAGUCAGCGGUUAAGCAGGAGAAAGAACCGGAGCUGGGAUCUUGGGAGCACAAGGUUCGAGCCCAGAGACGACCGGACCACGACGCCGGAAUUGUGACGGACUUGGAUUUUCCACGGGAGAGGCGAAAGCCAGUGGUGGGGAGAGGGGGUGAGGUGGCGCCGGAGAGAAAACCGGGCCAGAUGGUGUUCCGGCAACGAUUGGUGAUCUUGAACGAAACAGGCUCAACUUCUGCAGAAAAAAAAAAAAAAAAAAUCAACUUUACGCAUCACAAAAAAGAAAGAAAGAGAAUCGAAUCGAAUCGAAUCAAACCUGAAAGAGAAACCAACAAGAUCACAAACAGGACGAUUCGAUGAGCCAUCUUCUCUGUUCCGAUUUAUCAAAACUCUGAUGAAACCCAAACAACUUUACUUUCAUAGCCGCGGAUGAUAUAUAAUAGUGGAGAGAGAGUGUGUGAGUCUUGAGUGAGUGGAACAAGAUAAUUAUUAACCCGAAUCGAAUCGAGUCGAACCUAAACCGUUGAUGAUGCUAGUCCAAACCCGGUUUUCAGGUAGGGCUCUUUGUGUGGGCCUUUACACAUGGGAAAUUCUAUUGCACUCCCAUUCAUCUAAAAUCUUUCAAGUUAGGCCCUUUUUAUUUUACACUCUACUUAUCAUAUUCUCGUCUAAAACCUCUUUCACCAGUUCUUGAUAAAACUAUUCACUAAAACAAUGUUGUCCCUCUCUCUCUCUCUCUCUUAUCUCUCUCAAAUUUUUCAGAGAGAGAGAGAGAGUCGAAACCUGAGUCUCGCCGGUGGAUUCGGGUGGUUUGAUUCUUGUUGAUCGAGAAUCUGUUCCGGCAUAGGUGGAUCCUUAAUCACCUUUGGCUGGUUUAUGUCUCCAACGACGGUUCUUUCUAUUGGAAAGCCGUUGGUUUUUGACUCCGGCGACACAUCAGAGACUCCUGUGUAAUUGUCGGCUUUUGGCUCCGCUUCUACCUUCCUGUCUGUUGUAGAUAGCGCAUUCUCUCCGGUUUUUUUUCUAGAUCUAGUUGUUUUUUGCUUCCUGCUUCUCUUUAAUCCAAUCAUUCUCCACUUUCCACAAUCGAUUGACGGUUCCUCUCCUUGGUCAAGGAUGUUGCAUCUUCAGUGAUGCGCCCCAAAUCAACAGCAGAAACAAAUCAAGAAACCCAAAGAAAGAAGGGCCCAACAAGAAAAUACAAGUCAUGGUUGAAUAAUAUAUCAAUCUGACGGUAAUUCAGAGACCGUCAACCAUACAGAAGCACGAGAUCAGCCGAAGAGUUUGGCGACCACAAUCUUCCAAUUUCGGUCAAGUCAAGACAUUUAUGAUUUUUGGUCAAUUCAAGGUCUUUGGUCAAGUCUUUCUUGUUUUUAUAAGUUGCUAAUUUCUAUGUUUGACUAGUCUUUUAUAUUCCAUCUUUUUGUAUGCUUUGCCUAUUAUAUAAAGACCAUUUGAUCAAUGAAAUAAAAUAAGCUUUGAUUAUUAUUUUUGGAACCUUGAGAUGGAUUCUCACUUCUCGUUUCUUGGUGUGGUUAGCUCCAAGUAAACACCUCUUUUCCGUUGGACUUGUGCGUCAUAUCAAGCAACGGAUCGAGAUUGCUUCUUUGUUGGACCGGUGCGUCAUAUCCGGCAACAAAUUGGCUUUGGGAAUAUCAACAGCCUUCCGCAUCUGCUGUGCGACCCUUCGUUUCACCAUUACUUCCUUUGUUGGACUUGUGCGUCAUAUCAAGAAACAAUCAAAGCUUGGUAGUAUCAAGAGACUCUCCGCCCCUCUUGUGUCACCAUUCAAUCCACCAGUUCUCCCUUUUAGCGAGUUUAUCUCCUUAGUCCGGCUGAGUGAUCCUUUCCCUAAUUUAGGGCAUAUAAUUCGGACUUCCAUCUAUCUUCAAAGAUGUCUGUCACUACUUUUAGGAAAAUUGAUUGUUUGGUUGCGGUUGUGUUCGAUUGGUUCUUCUAUUCUGAAGCUAAGUUUCGUGUCUCCAUCCUUUGGCGUUUUAUGUUGCUCUGGUGUUAAGGUUUGCUCUCGACUUGGGUCGAUUGGAGGCUCACCUGUUUCUGGUGCUGGCGACAAAGGUUUCGGUUUGGCUUGUCAUUGCUAGAAUUAUCUCGACGGUUUCUUCUCGUUGACGUCCUGUUUCCGGUGUGUCCAGUGGAUCAACGUCGAGUUGUUCCGGCGAUGACUCUCCAGUCGUGGAGUCGGUGGAUAUGAGUCAACACGUGUCUCCCAGUUUCUCCGUGUUCAACACGUGUGUCGACUCUCUAGGACUUUUUUGAGUCUGGGCUUAGGGUUUCAAACAACAAUAAAAUCGUUAUUCUAAAGAAACGAAGACAACAAAGGUUUCAAACUUCUCUGACCAUCAUCAUAUGUUAGUUCAUGAUACAACUAUGCAUUAAAAAAAUAUUGUUAUAUUUUUCAAUUUUUUUCUCAAAAUCUAUGUGUUAUAACCCCUAUAAAAUAUUCAGUUUUUCCGGUAAAUGGUUAAUAUACUGAAGCCUAUAAUCUUUAGUGUUGUUUUGAAAUUUCUAACCACAUUAUACAUUUGUAUUAAUGUAUUCUAAACUCUCUUUCACGGUACAUUGGUAUCAUUUUAUUUCUUUAUUAAUUAAUUUAGUAAAACUUCAUUCCCUAAAUCAGUGGAUAAACUACAAUAAAAUCACUAUUCUAGAGAAACAGAGACAACAAAGGUUGAAAACCCUUUUGCCUAUCAUCAUAUGUUAGUUCAUGAUAAAACUAUGAAUUAAAACAAUAUUAUCAUAUUUUUUGAAAUUUUCUCAAAAUUUAUGUGUUAACCUCUACAAAAUAUUUAGUUUUUCGGUAACUGGAUAAUAUAAUGAAACCUAUAAUCUUAAGUGUUAUUUGAAAAUUUCUAACCACAUUCUACAUUUGUAUAAAUGUAUUCAAAACUAUAUUUCAUGGAACAUGGGCAUCGUUCUAUUUUUUUUAUCAAUUAAUUAAGUAAAACUUCAUACACUCCCUAAAUCAGUUGAUAAACCACAAUAAAAUCGCUAUUCUAGAGAAACAGAGACAACAAAGGUUCCAAACCUCUCUGACCAUCAUCAUAUGUUAUUUCAUCAUACAAUUACGCAUUAACACAAUAUUGUCAUUUUUGUUUCUCAAAAUCUAUGCGUUAACCCCUAUAAAAUAUUUAGUAUUUCGGUGAACGGUUAAUAUACUGAAGCUUAUAAUCUUCAGUGUUGUUUUAAAUUUUUUAACCAUAUUCUACAUUUGUAUUAAUGUAUUUUAAACACGCUUUCAUGGUACAUGGGCAUCGUUCUAUUUUUUUAUCAAUUAAUUUAGUAAAACUUCAUGUGCUCCCUAAAUUAGUUGACUAACCACAAUAAAAUCGUUAUUCUAGAGAAACGGAUACAACAAAGGUUUCAAACCUCUCUGAGAAUCAUCAUAUGUUAUUUAAUAAUACAACUAUACAUUAAAACAAUAUUGUCAUAUUUUUAAAAUUAUUCUCAAAAUCUAUGUGUUAACCCCUACAAAAUAUUCACUUUUAUGGUAAAUAGUUAAUAUUCUAAAGCCUAUAAUCUUUAGUGUUGUAUUAAAAUUUAUAACCACACUCUAUAUUUGUAUUAAUGUAUUCAAAACUCUCAUUCAUGGUACAUGAGCAUCGUUUUAUUUUUUUAAUCAAUUAACUUAAUAAAACUUCAUAUGCUCUCUAAAUGAGAGGACAAAACCAAUAAAAUCGCUAUUCUAGAGAAACGGAGACAACAAAGGUUCUAAACCUCUUAACAAUCAUCAUAUGUUAGUUCAUGAUAAAACUAUGCAUUAAUACAAUAUUUCAUUUUUUUGAUUUUCUUAAAAUCUGUGUGUUAACAAAACCUACAAAAUAUUCAGCUUUUUAGUGAAUGGUUAAUAUACUGAAGCCUAUAAUCUUUAGUGCAGUUUUAAAAUUUUUAACCACAUUCUAAAUUUGUAUUAAUGUAUUAUAAACUCUCCUUCAUGUAUAUGAACAUUUUUCUAUUUUUUAUCAAUUAAUUUAGUAAAACUUCAUAUGCUCCCUAAAUCAAUGAACAAACCCCAACAAAAAUCACUAUUCUAGAAAAAAAGAGACAACAAAGGUUACCAACAGUUAUAACCAUCAUCAUAUGUUAGUUCAUGAUACAAAUAUUCAUUAAAACAAUAUUUUCCUUUUUUAUUUUUUCUCAAAAUUUGUGUGUUAAUCCCUACAAAAUAUUCAAUUUGUUCGGUAAAUGGUUAAUAUACUGAAGCCUAUAAUUUUUAGUGUUGUUUUAAAAUUUCUAACCAUAUUCUAAAUUUGCAUUAAUGUAUUAUAAACUCUCUUUCAUGGUAUAAGAGCAUUGUUAUAUUUUUUAUCAAUUAAUUUAAUAAAACUUCAUGUGCUCCCUAAAUCAGUGGACAAACGCCGAUAAAAUCGCUAUUCUAGAGAAACAUAGACAACAAAGGUUCCAAACCUUUCUAACCAUCAUCAUAUGUUAGUUCAUGAUACAAAUAUGCAUUAAAACAAUAAUUUCAUUUUUUUCUGAUUUUUCUCAAAAUUUGUGUGUUUACCCCUCUAAAAUAUUCAGUUUUUUGGUAUAUGGUUAAUAAACCGAAGAAUAUAAUAUUUAGUGUUGUGUUAAAAUUUCUAACCACAUUCUACAUUUGUAUUAAUGUAUUCUAAACUCAAUUUCAUGGUACAUGGGCAUCGUUCUACUUUUUAUCAAUUAAUUUACUAAAACUUCAUAUGCUCCCUAAAUUAGUGGACAAACCCCAACAAAAUCGCUAUUCUAGAUAAAUAUAGAAAACAAAGGUUCCAAACCUCUCUAACAAUCAUCAUAUGUUUGUUCAUGAUACAAAUAUUCCUUAAAAUAAUAUUUUUAUAUUUUUGAAUUUUUUCCUUAAAAUUUGGGUGUUAACCCCUACAAAUUAUUCAAUUUUUCAGUAAAUGGUUAAAUAUACCAAAGUAUAUAAUCUUUAGUAUUGUUUUAAAAUUUCUAACCACAUUCAACAUUUGUAUUAAUUUAUUCUAAACUCUAUUUCAUGGUACAUGGACAUCGUUUUAUUUUUUAUCAUUUAAUUUAGUAAAACUUCAUAUACUCCCUAUUUCAAUUGACAAACCCCAUUAAAAUCGCUAUUCUAGUUCAAUUAAUUAAGUAAAACUUCAUAUACUUCAUAUAAUUUUACAUGAUAAGAAUAUUCCCUAAAACAAUAUUUUUAUAUUUUUCAAUUUUUCUCAAAAUUUGGGUGUUAACCCCUACAAAAUAUUCAGUUUUUCGGUAAAUGGUUAAUAUACCAAAGCAUAUAAUCUUUAGUAUUGUUUUAUUAUUUAUAACCACAUUCGACAUUUGUAUUAAUUUAUUCUAAAUUCUAUUUCAUGAUACAUGGGCAUCGUUAUAUUUUUUAUCAAUUAAUUUAGUAAAACUUCAUAUGCUCCCUAAAUCAAUGGACAAAGCCCAAUAAAAUCGCUAUUCUAGAGAAACAGAGACAACAAAGGUUCUAAACCUCUCUAACCAUCAUCAUAUGUUUGUUCGUGAUACAAAUAUUCCUUAAAAUAAUAUUUUUAUAUUUUUGAAUUUUUUCUCAAAAUGUGGGUGUUAACCCCUACAAAUUAUUCAGUUUUUCAGUAAAUGGUUAAUAUACCAAAAUAUAUAAUCUUUAGUAUUGUUUUAAAAUUUCUAACCACAUUCAACAUUUGUAUUAAUUUAUUCUAAAUUCUAUUUCAUGGUACAUGGACAUCGUUCUAUUUUUUAUCAAUUAAUUUAGUAAAACUUCAUAUACUCCCUAUUUCAAUUGACAAACCCCAAUAAAAUCGCUAUUCUAGAGAAACAAAGACAACAAAGGUUCCAAACCUCUCUAAACAUCAUAAUAUGUUCGUUCAUGAUACAAAUAUGCAUUAAAACAAUAUUUUCAUUAUUUUGAAUUUUUUUCAAAAUUUGUGUGUAAACCCCUACAAAAUAUUCAGUUUUUUGGUAAAUGGUUAAUAUACCGAAGCAUGUAAUCUUUAGUGUUGUUUUAAAAUUUCUAACCACAUUAUAUAUUUGUAUUAAUGUAUUCUAAACUCUAUUUCAUGAUACAUGGGCAUUGUUCUAUUUUUUAUCAAUUAAUUUAGUAAAACUUCAUAUGCUCUUAAAUCAGUGGACAAACCCGAAUAAAAUCGCUAUUCUAGAGAAACGAAGAUAACAAAAGUUCCAAACCUCUCUAACUAUCAUCAUAUGUUAGUUCAUGAUACAAAUAUGCAUUAUAACGAUAUUUUCUUUUUUUUUGGAAUAUUUCUCAAAAUUUGUGUGUUAAUCUCAACAAAAAAUUCAAUUUUUCGGUAAAUGGUUAAUAUACUGAAGCAUAUUAUCUUAACUGUUCUUUUAAAAUUUCCAACCAAAUUAUACAUUUGUAUUAAUGUAUUCUAAACUCUAUUUCAUGGUACAUGGGCAUCGUUCUAUUUUUUAUCAAUUAAUUUAGUAAAAUUUCAUAAGCUCUUUAAACUAGUGGACAAAACCCCCCAAUAAAAUCGCUAAUCUAGAGAAACGGAGACAACAAAGGUUCCAAACCUCUCUAACCAUAAUCAUAUGUUAGUUCACGAUACAAAAUGCAUAAAAACAAAAUUUUUAUUUUUUUCUCAAAACUUGUGUGUUAACCCCUAUAAAAUAUUCAAUUUUUCGGUAAAUGGUUAAUGUACCAAAGCAUAUAAUCUUCAGUGUUGUUUUAAAAUUUCUAACCACAUUCUACAUUUAUAUUAAUGUAUUCUAAACUCUAUUUCAUGCUACAUGAGCAUCAUUCUAUUUUUCAUCAAUUAAUUUAGUAAAACUUCAUAUGAUCUUAAAUUACUGUACAAACUCCAAUAAAAACGCUAUUCUAGACAAACGGAGACAACAAAGGUUCCAAACCUCUCUAACCAUAAUCAUAUGUUAGUUCAUGAUACAAAUAUGCAUUAAAACAAUAUUUAAAUUUUUUUCAUUUUUUUUUUAAAAUUUGUGUGUUAACCCCUACAAAAUAUUCAAUUUUUCGAUAAAUGGUUAAUAUACUGAAGCAUAUAAUCUUUAGUAUUCUUUUAAAAUUUCUAACCAUAUUAUACAUUUGUAUUAAUGUAUUCUAAACUCUAUUUCAAAGUACAUGGGCAUCGUUCUAUUUUUAUCAAUUAAUUUAGUAAAACUUCAUAAGCUCCCUAAACCAAUGGACAAAACCCCCCUAUAAAAUUGCUAUCCUAGAGAAAUGGAGACAACAAAGGUUCCAAACCUUUCAAACCAUCAUCAUAUGUUAGUUCAUGAUAAAAGUAUGCAUUAAAAUAAUAUUUAAUUUUUUUGAAUUUUUCUCAAAAUUUGUGUGUUAACCCCUACAAAAUAUUCAGUUUUUCGGUAAAUGGUUAAUAUACCGAAGCAUGUAAUCUUUAGUGUUGUUUAAAAUUUCUAACCACAUUCUACAUUUGGAUUAAUGUAUUCUAAACUCUAUUUCAUGGUACAUGGGCAUUGUUCGAUUUUUUAUCAAUUAAUUUGGUAAAACUUCAUAUGCUCCCUAAAUCAGUGGACAAACCCCAAUAAAAUCGCUAUUAUAGAGAAACAAAGACAACAAAGGUUCCAAACCUCUCUAACUAUCAUCAUAUGUUAGUUCUUGAUACAAAUAUGCAUUAAAACGAUAUUUUCAUUAUUUUGAAUUUUUCUCAAAAUCUGUGUGUUAACCCCUACAAAAUAUUCAAUUUUUCGGUAAAUGAUUAAUAUAGUGAAGCAUAUAAUCUUUAGUGUUCUUUUAAAAUUUCUAACCACAUUAUACAUUUGUAUUAAUGUAUUAUAAACUCUAUUUCAUGGUACAUGGGCAUCAUUCUAUUUUUUAUCAAUUAAUUUAGUAAAACCUCAUAAGCUCCCUAAACUAGUAGACAAAACCCCCCAAUAAAAUCGCUAUUCUAGAGAAACGGACACAACAAAGGUUCCAAACCUCUCUAACCAUCAUUAUAUGUUAGUUCAUGAUACAAAUAUGCCUAAAAACAAAAUUUUCAUUUUUGUUUUGAAUUUUUUUCAAAUUAGUGUGUUAACCCCUACAGAAUAUUCAGUUUUUCGGUAAAGGGUUAAUAUACCAAAGCAUAUAAUCUUCAGUGUUGUUUUAACAUUUCUAACCACAUUCUACAUUUAUAUUAAUGUAUUCUAAACUCUAUGUCAUGCUACAUGGGCAUCAUUCUAUUUUUUAUGAAUCAAUUUAGUAAAACUUCAUAUGUUCCUAAAUUACUAUACAAAGUCUAAUAAAAACGCUAUUCUAGAGAAACAGAGAAAACAAAGGUUCCAAACUUCUCUAACCAUAAUCAUAUGUUAGUUCAUGAUACAAAUAUGCAUUAAAACAAUAUUUUAAUUUUUUUUUCAUUUUUUCUCAAAAUUUGUGUGUUAACCCCUACAAAAUAUUCAAUUUUUUGGUAAAUGGUUAAUAUACUGAACCAUAUAAUCUUUAGUGUUCUUUUAAAAUUUCUUACCACAUUAUAUAUUUGUAUUAAUGUAUUCUAAACUCUAUUUCAAGGUACAUAGGAAUCGUUUUAUUUUAUAUUAAUUAAUUUAGUAAAACUUCAUAAGCUCCCUAAACCAGUGGACAAAACCCCCCAAUAAAAUCGUUAUCCUAGAGAAACGGAGACAACAAAGGUUCCAAAUCUUUCUAACCAUCAUCAUAUCUUAGUUCAUGAUACAAAUAUGCAUUAAAGCAAUAUUUUCAUUUUUUUUUUAAUUUUUCUCAAAAUUUGUGUGUUAACAUCUACAAAAUAUUCAGUUUUUCGGUAAAUGGUUAAUAUACGGAAGCAUAUAAUAUUUAAUGUUGUUUUAAAAUUUAUAACCACAUUAUACAUUUGUAUUAAUGUAUUAUAAAGUAUAUUUCAUGGUACAUGGGAAUCGUUCUAUUUUUUAUCAAUUAUUUUAAUAAAAAUUCAUAUGCUCCCUAAAUCAAUUGACAAACCCCAAUAAAAUCGAUAUUCUAGAGAAACGGAGACAACAAUGGUUCCAAACCUCUCUAAACAUCAUCAUAUGUUAGUUCAUGAUGCACUUAUGCAUUAAAACAACAUUUUUAUUUUUUUAAAUUUUUCUCAAAAUUUAUGUGUAAACCCUUACAAAAUACUCAGUUUUUUGGUAAAUGGUUAAUAUACUGAAGCAUGUAAUAAUUAGUGUUAUUUUAAAAUUUCUAACCAUAUUCUACAUUUGGAUUAAUGUAUUCUAAACUCUAUUUCAUGGUACACGGGCAUUGUGCUAUUUUUUAUUAUUUAAUUUAGUAAAACUUCAUAUGCUUUCUAAAUCAGUGGACAAACCCCCCAAUAAAAUCGCUAUUCUAGAGAAACAAAGACAACAAAGGUUCCAAACCUCUCUAACUAUCAUAAUAUGUUAGUUCAUGAUACAAAUAUGCAUUAAAACGAUAUUUUCAUUUUUUUGAAUUUUUUUCAGAAUUUGUGUGUUAACCCCUACAGAAUAUUCAGGUUUUCGGUAAAGGGUUAAUAUACCAAAGCAUAUAAUCUUCAGUGUUGUUUUAAAAUUUCUAACCAUAUUCUACAUUUAUAUUAAUUUAUUCUAAACUCUCUGUCAUGCUACAUGGACAUCAUUCUAUUUUUCAUCAUUUAAUUUAGUAAAACUUCAUAUGUUCCUAAAUUACUGUACAAACCCCAAUAAAAACGCUACUCUAGAGAAACGGAGACAACAAAGGUUUCAAACCUCUCUAACCUUAAUCAUAUGUUAGUUCAUGAUACAAAUAUGCAUUAAAACCAUAAUUUAUUUUUUUCAUUUUUUUCUCAAAAUUUGUGUGUUAACCCCUACAAAAUAUUCAAUUUUACAGUAAAUGGUUAAUAUACUGAAGCAUAUAAUCUUUAGUCUUCGUUUAAAAUUUCUAACCACAUUAUACAUUUGUAUUAAUGUAUUCUAAACUCUAUUUCAAAGUACAUGGGCAUCAUUCUAUUUUUUAUCAAUUAAUUUAGUAAAACUUCAUAAGUUCCCUAAACCAAUGGACAAAACCCCCCCAAUAAAAUUUCUAUCCUAGAGAAAUGGAGACAACAAAGGUUUCAAACCUUUCAAACCAUCAUCAUAUGUUAGUUCAUGAUAAAAGUAUGUAUUAAAAUAAUAUUUAGUUUUUUUGAAUUUUUCUCAAAAUUUAUGUGUUAACCCCUACAGAAUAUUCAGUUUUUCGGAAAAGGGUUAAUAUACCAAAGCAUAUAAUCUUCAGUGUUGUUUUUAAAUUUCUAACCAUAUUCAAUAUUUAUAUUAAUGUAUUCUAAACUCUAUGUCAUGCUACAUGGACAUCAUUCUAUUUUUCAUCAAUUAAUUUAGUAAAACUUCAUAUGUUCCUAAAUUACUGUACAAACCCCAAUAUAAACGCUACUCUAGAGAAACGGAGACAACAAAGGUUCCAAACCUCUUUAACCAUAAUCAUAUGUUAGUUCAUGAUACAAAUAUGCAUUAUAACAAUAUUUUCAUUUUUUCAUUUUUUUCUCAAAAUUUGUGUGUUAACCCCUACAAAAUAUUCAAUUUUUCAGUAAAUGGUUAAUAUACUGAAGCAUAUAAUCUUUAGUGUUCGUUUAACAUUUCUAACCACAUUCUACAUUUGUAUUAAUGUAUUCUAAACUCUAUUUCAAAGUACACGGACAUCGUUCUAUUUUUUAAUCAAUUAAUUUAGUAAAACUUCAUAAGCUCCCUAAACCAAUGGACAAAACCCCCCUAUAAAAUUGCUAUCCUAGAGAAAUGGAGACAACAAAGGUUCCAAACCUUUCAAACCAUCAUUAUAUGUUAGUUCAUGAUAAAAGUAUGCAUUAAAAUAAUAUUUAGUUUUUUUGAAUUUUUCUCAAAAUUUGUGUGUUAACCACUACAAAAUAUUCAGUUUUUCGGCAAAUGGUUAAUAUACCGAAGCAUGUAAUCUUUAGUGUUGUUUAAAAUUUCUAACCACAUUCUACAUUUGGAUUAAUGUAUUCUAAACUCUAUUUCAGGGUACAUGGGCAUUGUUCUAUUUUUUAUCAAUUAAUUUGGUAAAACUUUAGAUGCUCCCUAAAUGAGUGGACAAACCUCAAUAAAAUCGCCCUUCUAGAGAAACAAAGAUAACAAUGGUUCAAAACCUCUAUAACUAUCAUCAUAUGUUGGUUCUUGAUACGAAUAUGCAUUAAAACGAUAUUUUCAUUUUUUUGAAUUUUUCUCAAAAUUUUUGUGUUAACCCCUACAAAAUAUUCAAUUUCUCGGUAAAUGGUUAAUAUAGUGAAGCAUAUAAUCUUUUGUGUUCUUUUAAAAUUUCUAACCACAUUAUACAUUUGUAUUAAUGUAUUUAAAACUCUAUUUCAUGGUACAUGGGGAUCGUUAUAUUUUUUAUUAAUUAAUUUAGUAAAACUUCAUAAGCUCCCUAAACUAGUAGACAAAACCCCCCAAUAAAAUCGUUAUUCUAGAAAAACGGAGACAACAAAGAUUCCAAACCUCUCUAACCAUCAUCAUAUAUUAGUUCAUGAUACAAAUAUGCAUAAAAACAAAAUUUUCAUUUUUUUUGAAUUUGUUUCAAAAUUUGUGUGUUAACCCCUACAGAAUAUUCAUUUUUUCGGUAAAGGGUUAAUAUACCAAAGCAUAUAAUCUUCAGUGUUGUUUUAAAUUUUCUAACCACAUUCUACAUUUAUACUAAUGUAUUCUAAACUCUAUGUCAUGCUACAUGGGCAUCAUUCUAUUUUUUAUGAAUUAAUUUAGUAAAACUUCAUAUGUUCCUAAAUUACUAUACAAACUCCAAUAAAAACGCUAUUCUAGAGAAAUGGAGACAACAAAGGUUCCAAACCUUUAUAACCAUCAUCAUAUGUUAGUUCAUGAUACAAAUAUGCAUUAAAGCAAUAUUUUUUUUUUUUCUCAAAAUUUGUGUGUUAACAUCUACAAAAUAUUCAGUUUUUCGGUAAAUGGUUAAUAUACUGAAGCAUAUAAUAUUUAGUGUUGUUUUAAAAUUUAUAACCACAUUAUACAUUUGAAUUAAUGUAUUAUAAAGUAUAUUUCAUGGUACAUGGGAAUCGUUCUAUUUUUUAUCAAUUAUUUUAGUAAAAAUUCAUAUGCUCCUUAAAUCAAUUGACAAACCCCAAUAAAAUCGAUAUUCUAGAGAAACGGAGACAACAAUGGUUCCAAACCUCUCUAAACAUCAUCAUAUGUUAGUUCAUGAUGCACUUAUGCAUUAAAACAACAUUUUUAUUUUUUUAAAUUUUUCUCAAAAUUUAUGUGUAAACCCUUACAAAAUACUCAGUUUUUUGGUAAAUGGUUAAUAUACUGAAGCAUGUAAUAAUUAGUGUUAUUUUAAAAUUUCUAACCAUAUUCUACAUUUGGAUUAAUGUAUUCUAAACUCUAUUUCAUGGUACACGGGCAUUGUGCUAUUUUUUAUUAUUUAAUUUAGUAAAACUUCAUAUGCUCUCUAAAUCAGUGGACAAACCCCAAUAAAAUCGCUAUUCUAGAGAAACGAAGACAACAAAGGUUCCAAACCUCUCUAACUAUCAUAAUAUGUUAGUUCAUGAUACAAAUAUGCAUUAAAACGAUAUUUUCAUUUUUUUGAAUUUUUUUCAGAAUUUGUGUGUUAACCCCUACAAAAUAUUCAAUUUUUCGGUAAAUGGUUAAUAUAGUGAAGCAUAUAAUAUUUAGUGUUCUUUUAAAAUUUCUAACCACAUUAUACAUUUGUAUUAAUGUAUUCUAAACUCUAUUUCACGGUACAUGGGCAUCGUUCUAUUUUUUAUCAAUUAAUUUAGUAAAACUUCAUAAGCUCCCUAAACUAGUAGACAACACCCCCCAAUAAAAUCGCUAUUCUAGAGAAACGGAGACAACAAAGGUUCCAAACCUCUCUAACNNNNNNNNNNNNNNNNNNNNNAACGGAGACAACAAAGGUUCCAAACCUCUCUAACCAUCAUCAUAUGUUAGUUCAUGAUAAAAAUAUGCAUAAAAACAAAAUUUAGUUCUUUUGAAUUUUUCUCAAAAUUUGUGUGUUAACCCCUACAGAAUAUUCAGUUUUUCGGUAAAGGGUUAAUAUACAGAAUAUUCAGUAAAACUUCAUAAGCUCCCUAAACUAGUAGACAAAAAAGUACAUGGGCAUCAUUCUAUUUUUUAUCAAUUAAUUUAGUAAAACUUCAUAUGUCCCCAAAUCACUGGACAAACCCCAAUAAAAACGCUACCCUAGAGAAACGAAGAAAACAAAGAUUCCAAACCUCUCUAAACAUAAUCAUAUGUUAGUUCAUGAUACAAAUAUGCAUUAAAACAAUAUUUUCAUUUUUUUCAAUUUUUUUCAAAAUUUGUGUGUUAACCCCUACAGAAUAUUCAGUUUUUCGGUAAAGGGUUAAUAUACCAAAGCAUAUAAUCUUCAAUGUUGUUUUAAAAUUUCUAACCAUAUUCUACAUUUAUAUUAAUGUAUUCUAAACUCUCUGUCAUGCUACAUGGACAUCAUUCUAUUUUUCAUCAAUUAAUUUAGUAAAACUUCAUAUGUUCCUAAAUUACUGUACAAACCCCAAUAAAAACGUUACUCUAGAGUAACGGAGACAACAAAGAUUCCAAACCUCUCUAAACAUAAUCAUAUGUUAGUUCAUGAUACAAAUAUGCAUUAAAACAAUAUUUUCAUUUUUUUCAUUUUUUUCUCAAAAUUUGUGUGUUAACCCCUACAAAAUAUUCAAUUUUACGGUAAAUGGUUAAUAUACUGAAGCAUAUAAUCUUUAGUGUUCUUUUAAAAUUUCUAACCACAUUAUAUAUUUGUAUUAAUAUAUUCUAAACUCUAUUUCAAAGUACAUGGGCAUCGUUCUAUUUUUUUAUCAAUUUAUUUAGUAAAACUUCAUAUGCUCCCCAAAUCAGUGGACAAACCCCAAUAAAAUUGCUAUCCUAGAGAAACGAAGAAAACAAAGAUUCCAAACCUCUCUAAAUAUCAUCAUAUGUUAGUUCAUGAUACAAAUAUGCAUUAAAACGAAAUUUUCAUUUUUUGAAUUUUUCUCAAAAUCUGUGUGUUAAUCCCUACAAAAUAUUUAAUUUUUCGGUAAAUGGUUAAUAUAGCGAAGCAUAUAAUCUUUAGUGUUCUUUUAAAAUUUCUAACCACAUUAUACAUUUGUAUUAAUGUAUUAUAAACUCUAUUUCAUGGUACAUGGGCAUCGUUCUAUUUUUUAUCAAUUAAUUUAGUAAAAUUUCAUAAGCUCCCUAAACUAGUAGACAAAACCCCCCAAUAAAAUUGCUAUUCUAGAGGAACGGACACAACAAAGGUUUCAAACCUCUCUAACCAUCAUUAUAUGUUAGUUCAUGAUAUAAAUAUACCUAAAAACAAAAUUUUCAUUUUUGUUUUGAAUUUUUUUCAAAUUUGUGUGUUAACCCCUACAGAAUAUUCAGUUUUUCAGUAAAGGGUUAAUAUACCAAAGCAUAUAAUCUUUAGUGUUGUUUUAAAAUUUCUAACCACAUUCUACAUUUAUAUUAAUGUAUUCUAAACUCUAUGUCAUGCUACAUGGACAUCAUUCUAUUUUUUAUGAAUUAAUUUAGGAAAACUUCAUAUGUUCCUAAAUUACUGUACAAACCCCAAUAAAAACGCUAUUCUAGAGAAACGGAGAAACAAAGGUUCCAAACCUUUCUAACCAUAAUCAUAUGUUAGUUCAUGAUUCAAAUAUGCAUUUAAACAAUAUUUAUAUUUUUUCAUUUUUUUCUCUAAAUUUGUGUGUUGACCCCUACAAAAUAUUCAAUUUUUCGGUAAAUGGUUAAUAUACUGAAGCAUAUAAUCUUUAGUGUUCUUUUAAAAUUUCUAACCACAUUAUACAUUUGUAUUAAUGUAUUCUAAACUCUAUUUCAAAGUACAUGGGCGUCGUUCUAUUUUUUAUCAAUUAAUUUAGUAAAACUUCAUAAGCUCCCUAAACCAAUGGACAAAACCCCCAAUAAAAUUGCUAUCCUAGAGAAACGGAGACAGCAAAGGUUUCAAACCUUUCAAAUCAUCAUCAUAUGUUAGUUCAUGAUAAAAGUAUGCAUUAAAAUAAUAUUUAGUUUUUUUUGAAUUUUUCUUAAAGUUUGUGUGUUAACCCCUACAAAAUAUUUAGUUUUUCGGGAAAUGGUUAAUAUACCGAAGCAUGUAAUCUUUAGUGUUGUUUUAAAAUUUCUAACCAUAUUCUACAUUUGGAUUAAUGUAUUCUAAACUCUAUUUCACGGUACAUGGGCAUUGUUCUAUUUUUUAUGAAUUAAUUUAGUAAAACUUCAUAUGCUCCCUAAAUCAGUGGACAAACCCCAAUAAAAUCGCUAUUCUAGAGAAACGAAGACAAAAAAGGUUCCAAACCUCUCUAACUAUCAUCAUAUGUUAGUUCAUGAUACAAAUAUGCAUUAAAAUGAUAUUUUCAUUUUUUUGAAUUUAUCUCAAAAUUUGUGUGUUAACCCCUACAAAAUAUUCAGUUUUUUCGGUAAAUGGUUAGUAAACCCAAGCAUGUAAUCUUUAGUGUUGUUUUAAAAUUUCUAACCACAUUCUACAUUUGGAUUAAUGUAUUCUAAACUCUAUUUCAUAAUACAUGGGCAUUGUUCUAUUUUUUAUCAAUUAAUUUAAUAAAACUUCAUAUGCUCCCUAAAUCAGUGGACAAACCCCAAUAAAAUCGUUAUUCUAGAAAAACGAAGACAACAAAGGUUCCAAACCUCUCUAACUAUCAUCAUAUGUUAGUUCAUGAUACAAAUAUGCAUUAAAACAAUAUUUUCAUUUUUUUGAAUUUUUCUCAAAAUUUAUGUGUUAAGCCCUACAAAAUAUUCAAUUUUUCGGUAAAUGGUUAAUAUAGUGAAGCAUAUAAUCUUUAGUGUUCUUUUAAAAUUUCUAACCACAUUCUACAUUUAUAUUAAUGUAUUCUAAACUCUAUGUCAUGCUACAUGAGCAUCAUUCUAUUUUUCAUCAAUUAAUUUAGUAAAAUUUCAUAUGUUCCUAAAUUACUGUACAAACCCCAAUAAAAACGCUACUCUUAGAGAAACAGAGACAACAAAGGUUCCAAACCUUUCUAACCAUCAUCAUAUGAUAGUUCAUGAUACAAAAUACAUAAAAAUAAUAUUUAAAUUUUUUUUCAUUUUUUCUCAAAAUUUGUGUGUUAACCCCUACAAAAUAUUCAAUUUUUGGGUAAAUGGUUAAUAUACUGAAGCAUGUAAUCUUUAGUGUUGUUUUAAAAUUUAUAACCAUAUUCUACAAUUAGAUUAAUAUAUUCUAAACACUAUUUCAUGGUACAUGGGCAUUGUUCUAUUUUUUAUCAAUUAAUUUAGUAAAACAUCAUAUGCUCCCUAAAUCAGUGGACAAAACCCCUCAAUAAAAUCGCUAUUCUAGAGAAACGGAGACAACAAAGGUUCCAAAGUUUUCUAACCAUCACCAUAUGUUAGUUCAUGAUACAAAUAUGCAUUAAAAUAAAUAUUUAUUUUUUUUGAAAUUUUCUAAAAAUUUGUGUGUUAACCCCUACAAAAUAUUCAGUUUUUCGGUAAAUGGUUAAUAUACCGAAACAUGUAAUCUUUAGUGUUUUUUUUAAAUUUCUAACCAUAUUCUACAUUUGGAUUAAUAUAUUCUAAACUCUAUUUCAUGGUACAUGGGCAUUGUUCUAUUUUUUUAUAAAUUAAUUUAGUAAAACAUCAUAUGCUCCCUAAAUCAGUGGACAAACCCCAAUAAAAUCGCUAUUCUAGAGAAACGAAGACAACAAAGGUUCUAAACCUCUCUAACUAUCAUCAUAUGUUAGUUCAUGAUACAAAUAUGCAUUAAAACAAUAUUUUCAUUUUUUUGAAGUUUUCUCAAAAUAUUCAAUUUUCGGUAAACGGUUAAUAUACUGAAGCAUAUAAUCUUUAGUGUUGUUUUAAAAUUUCUAACCACAUUAUACAUUUGCAUUUAUGUAUUUUAAACUUUACUGCAUGGUACAUGGGCUCGUUCUAUUUUUAUCAAUUAAUUUAGUAAACCUUCCCUAAAUCAGUGGAAAAAACACCAAUAAAAUCACAAUUCUAAAGAAACAAAGACAACAAAGGUUCCAAAUCUCUCUAACUAUCAUCAUCUGUUAGUUCAUGAUACAAAUAUGCAUUUAAACCAUAAUAGACCGAAGAAUAUAAUCUACAAAAUAUUUAGUUUUUCGGUAAAUAGUUAAUAGACCGAAGAAUAUAAUCUUUAAUAUUGUUUUAAAUUUUCUAAACACAUUCUAUAUUUGUAUUCUAAAUUUUAUUUCAUGGUACAUUGGCAUCGUUCUAUUUUUUAUCAAUUAAUUUAGUAAAACUUCAUAAGCUAACCAGUGGAAAAAACCCCCCCAAUAAAAUCGCUAUCCUAGAGAAACGGAGACAACAAAGGUUCCAAACUUUUCUAACCAUCAUCAUAUGUUAGUUCAUGAUACAAAUAUGCAUUAAAAUAAUAUUUAAUUUUUUUGAAUUUUUCUCAAAAUUUGUAUGUUAACCCCUACAAAAUAUUCAGUUUUUCGGUAAAUGGUUAAUAUACCGAAGCAUGUAAUCUUUAUUGUUGUUUUAAAAUUUAUAACCACAUUCUACAUUUGGAUUAAUGUAUUCCAAACUCUAUUUCAUGGUACAUUGGCAUUGUUCUAUUUUUUAUCAAUUAAUUUAGUAAAACUUCAUAUGCUCCCUAACUCAGUGGACAAACCCCAAUAAAAUCGCUAUUCUAGAGAAACGAGGACAACAAAGGUUCCAAACCUCUCUAACUAUCAUCAUAUGUUAGUUCAUGAUACAAAUAUGCAUUAAAACUUAUUUUCAUUUUUUUUGAAUUUAUCUCAAAAUUUGUGUGUUAACUCCUACAAAAUAUUCAAUUUUUCGGUAAAUGGUUAAUAUAUUGAAGCAUAUAAUCUUUAGUGUUCUUUUAAAAUAUCUAACAACAUUAUACAUUUGUAUUAAUGUAUUAUAAGUUCUAAUUCAUGGUACAUGGACAUCUUUCUAUUUUUAUCAAUUAACUUAGUAAAACUUCAUAACCUCCUUAAACUAGUGGGAAAAACCCCCCCAAUAAAAUCGCUAUUCUAGAGAAACGGAGACAACAAAGGUUUCAAACCUCUCUAACCAUCAUUAUAUGUUAGUUCAUGAUACAAAUAUACAUAAAAAAAUUUCUCUUUUUUUUUGAAUUUUUCUCAAAAUUUGUGUGUUAACCCUUACAGAAUAUUCAGUUUUUCGGUAAAGGGUUAAUAUACCAAAGCAUAUAAUCUUCAGUGUUGUUUUAAAAUUUCUAACUACAUUCUACAUUUAUAUUAAUGUAUUCUAAACUCUAUGUCAUGCUACAUGGGCAUCAUUCUAUUUUUCAUCAAUUAAUUUAGUAAAACUUCAUAUGUUCCUAAAUUACUGUACAAACCCCAAUAAAAACGCCAUUCUAGAGAAACGGAGACAAAAACGGUUUCAAACCUCUCUAACCAUAAUCAUAUGUUCGUUCAGGAUACAAAUAUGCAUUAAAACAAUAUUUUAAUUUUUUUUAUUUUUUCUCAAAAUUUGUGUGUUAACCCCUACAAAAUAUUCAAUGUUUUGGUAAAUGGUUAAUAUACUGAAGCAUAUAAUCUUUAGUGUUCUUUUAAAAUUUCUAACCACAUUAUACAUUUGAAUUAAUAUAUUUUAAACUCUAUCUCAAGGUACAUGGACAUCGUUCUAUUUUUUAUCAAUUAAUUUAGUAAAACUUCAUAAGCUCCCUAAACCAAUAGACAAAACCCCCAAUAAAAUCGCUAUCCUAGAGAAACCGAGACAACAAAUGUUCCAAACUUUUCUAACCAUCAUCAUAUGAUAGUUCAUGAUACAAAUAUGCAUUAAAAUAAUAUUUAAUUUUUUUGAAAUUUUCUCAAAAUUUAUGUGUUAACCCCUACAAAAUAUUCAGUUUUUCGGUAAAUGGUUAAUAUACUGAAGCAUGUAAUCUUUAGUGUUGUUUUGAAAUUUCUGACCAUAUUCUACAUUUGGAUUAAUAUAUUCUAAACUAUAUUUCAUGGUACAUGGGCAUUGUUCUAUUUUUUAUCAAUUAAUUUAGUAAAACAUCAUAUGCUCCCUAAAUCAGUGGACAAACCCCAGUAAAAUAGUUAUUCUUGAGAAACGAAUACAACAAAGGUUCCAAACCUCUCUAACUAUCAUCAUAUAUUAGUUCAUGAUACAAAUAUGCAUUAAAACAAAAUUUUCAUUUUUUUGAAUUUUUGUCAAAAUUUGUGUGUUAACCCCUACAAAAUAUUCAAUUUUUCGGUAAAUUGUUAAUAUACUGAAGCAUAUAAUCUUUAGUGUUGUUUAAAAAUUUCUAACCACAUUAUACAUUUGCAUUAUAUAUUUUAAACUUUACUGCAUGGUACAUGAGCUCGUUCUAUUUUUUAUCAAUUAAUUUAGUAAAACUUCCCUAAAUCAGUGGAAAAACACCAAUAAAAUCGCUUUUCUAGAGAAACGAAGACAACAAAGGUUCCAAACCUCUCUAACUAUCAUCAUAUGUUAGUUCAUGAUACAAAAUAUGCAUUUAAACAAUAUUUUCAUUUUUUUGAAUUUUUCUCAAAAUUUGUGUGUUAACCCUUACAAAAUAUUCAGUUUUUCGGUAAAUGGUUAAUAGACCGAAGAAUAUAAUAUUUAAUGUUGUUUUAAAUUUUCUAAACACAUUCUACAUUUGUAUUAAUGUAUUCUAAAUUUUAUUUCAUGGUACAUGGGCAUCGUUCUAUUUUUUAUCAAUUAAUUUAGUAAAACUUCUUAUGUUCCUAAAUCAAUGUACAAACCCCAAUAAAAUCGUUAUUCUAGAGAAACAGAGACAACAAAUGUUCCAAACCUCUCUAACCAUCAUCAUAUGUUAGUUAAUGAUAAAAUCGCUAUUCUCUAUAGAAACGGAGACAACAAAGGUUCCAAGCUUAUUUGACCAUCAUCAUAUGUUAUUGCAGGAUGCAACUAUGCAUUAAAAAAUUAUUGCCAUAUUUUUUGAAUUUUUCUCAAAAUCUAUAAAACCUAUAUGAAAAUAUUGAGUUUUACAUUACACGAUCUACAUACUGAAGCCUAUACUUUUUAGUGUUGUUUUAAAAUUUCAAAGAACAUUAUACAUUUGUAUUAAUGUAUGUUAAACACUCUNNNNNNNNNNNNNNNNNNNNNNNNNNCACUCUUUCAUGGUACAUGGGAAUCUUUCUAAUUUGUUAUCAAUUAAUUUUGUUUUAAAAUUUCAAAGAACAUUAUACAUUUGUAUUAAUGUAUGAUAAACACUCUUUCAUGGUACAUGGGAAUCUUUCUAAUUUGUUAUCAAUUAAUUUUGUAGAACUUCAUAGUACUCCCUAAAUCGGUGGACUAACCACUACAAUAUGGAUGGGAAGUGUAAACGAUGCAACCUACCUGAAACUAUAGAUCACUUUUUUUUUCAGUGUACUUUUUCAAAACAGAUCUGGUCUUCGGUCCAUGUUUUCCCGAGUUUUGCGUACAAUGAAUCUAUAGAGUUGAGGAGGCUGUGGAUUGAUUUGGUGUCAAGGAAGAACUUACCUCCUUCUGGAGUAGCGGCAGGACAAUUAGCUCCUUGGAUCUUAUGGAGUAUAUGGAUAGCAAGAAACAACCUAGUUUUUAAUGAUAAGCAUCUCUCAGCGAAUGAAACUCUUUGCAAAGCUAUCGCAUUGGCUCGUGAGUGGGGCUCCUGUCAGCUGCUCUACCUCCAGCAACUCGCACCAUGGUCCCUCUAACAGUACCAUCAACUAACUGUAUUCUAAUCAAAACAGAUGCUGCUUGGAUUGAAAGUGUAAACAUUGCAGGAUUAGGUUGGAUUGUGGAAUCACAAAACAGAACAUCAUCAUACUCUGCCCUUGCUCACCAUGUGAAAUCGCCUCUAGCGGCGGAAGCACUGGCUCUCUGGGAAGCAUUAUUGAAAUGUAGAGAACUCGGCCUUUCAAGAAUUCGGUGUGAAUCAGACUCAGCGGUGCUGAUCAAAGCCAUCAAAGCGGAAUCAUCCUUGGAUGGUCUCUAUGGGAUCUUGGCUGACAUUCAAGCUUUAGCCUUUUCUUUUGAAUAUAUUUCUUUCCAUUGGAUCUCAUGUAUGAGAAUAUAGAAGCUGAUAAGCUAGCAAAGCAGAUCUUGUCUGUUAAACUGGCCUUUAUGGCUUCAUCUACUUUGGUUUGAUCAUUUAAUACAAGUGUUCAAAAAAAAAAAUCACUACAAAAUCGCUAAUCUCUAGAGAAAAAGAGACAACAAGGGAUCCAAACCUUUAUGAUCAUCAUCAUAUGUUAGUGCAAGAUGCAAGAAUGCAUUAAAAUGGUAUAGUCAUAUUUUUUAAAUUUUUUUUAAAAAAUUAUGUGUUGACCCCUACAAAAAUAUUGAGUUUUUCUGUAAAUGAUAAAUAUAUUGAAGCCUAUAAUCCGUAGUGUUGUUUUAAAAUUUCUAACCAUAUUUUACAUUUGUAUUAAUGUACUCUAAAUUCUCUAUCAUGGUACAUGGGCAUCGUUCUAAUUAUUUAUCAAUUAAUUUAAUAAUACUUCAUAUAAUCUCUAAAUCAGGGGACUAACCACUAUAAAGUCGUUAUUCUAGAGAAACGGAGACAACAAAAGUUCGAAAACUCUUUGACCAUCAUCAUAUGUUAGUGAAGGUGCAACUAUGCAUUAAAACAUUAUUGUUAUAUUUUUGAAUUUUUCACAAAAUCUAUGUCUUAACAACUCCUACGAAAAUAUUGAGCUUUUCGGCAAAUGAUCUAUAUACUGAAGCCUUAUAAUCUUUAGUGUUAUUUUAAAAUUUCUAACUAUAUUAUAAAUUUGUAACAAAACAACUUAGCGGGAAAACAAGCAGUAGGUAAAGUUUGGAAUCGGAUUAUCAUUUGAAUCGGAAAUAUAAUUGUAGAGUUGUUACAAAUUAUAGUUUGAACAUAAAAUGAUGUGGUUAAUAAUGGUAAACAGUAGCAUCGUAACGGAGAACAGCAUCGCCUGUCUUCAUGUCGAUCUGAUGCGUUUUGAUUUUGACGAAGCCUCUAGCCAUUCUGAAUUUACCACGUCCUCCCACGAUCCCAAUCUCUCUCUCUCCCGCCUCUUCGGCCACCGGAUUCCUGGAGAACACGCUUAUCGAGCUUCCGUUGAAUUUCCCCGCCGUGAACGCCAAAUCCGCGUACAUCACGAUCGUGAACUUUCUUAUGUCUUUGCUCGCGGAUACGUACAUUCCACGCCCGUUUCCUAUCUCCUUCGAAUCUUUCCCGGGUCCCACGGUGAGCGGAUCGUCCAUCGCGAACAGGCUUCCGAAUCCUACUGCCGAAUCUGCGCCGCCGGUGAGAUUGGCGUGUGCGAUUCUGACGGCGCUGGGGUUUCUGCCACUGAGGAUAUCAUGAAGGUAGAAGCGGAGACGUGUCACUUUCUCCUCCUUCGGAUGAACCGGCUUGGUCGUCCCGUAGUAGUUGGAAUCGCUAUUCGCUGUAACAACCAUAACGGCUAAAUAGAGCGCAAAGAUUAGCGACAUUAUCCCGCUUUUCAUUAUUAUUAUGUUCUUAUGUAAACUUAAGAAUAAUAUACGAUGGAAAGAUUAAAGUCCAAACGAAAUUUUGAUUAUUUAUAGAGUUUCAUCAUACUAGUGUUCAAUGUGAAAACUGUAGGUAGGAUAUUCUUUAACAAAAUGGAAUGCUGCAUAAAAAGAGAUAGUGAAUAAAUGCUGCAUAAAUUCUAUUGAUAUGUUUCCCCUAUUGGGCAAAAAAAAGUAGUAAAUGCAACUCAAGCAACAUUUGCCAGAUUUAUUUACUUUUUAAAAGAUUUAGAUUAAAGAAUAGUUAGAUAGUUACUUUAAAUAAUAGAGAUCCUAGUUAUUAGUUAUAUAUCCUAGAAAGUAUUUCACAAUAAAUUUUUAUUAUCUAUAUAAAUUUCUCCAAGGUAUUGAUGAGUCUCUCAAAAAAAAAUCUGGGAAUCUCUUUACACAAAAGGGAUGAUUGGUGUAAAUGAUUUAGACAUCUAAAAUUUAGUAUAGAAUCAUAUAUAUCAAUCAAUCAAGUUUUCAUUUCUUUAAAUCUUUAGAAAAUUAAAAGCUGUAGAUUUAUGUCCAGAAUUAAAUAAAAAUAUAUAUUGUUUUCCAAAACUAUAGCACAAAAAUUUACAGCAACUUAAAUUUUACAUCAGAAAACAUAAAGUUAUAGCUCAUUCAAAUCAUCCCCAAAGACUAUAAAUCCAGUGAGCAUAUCAAAAGCUUUGGAACAUAUGCUAAUGUAUAAGGAUAUAUAUAUAUAUUCUUACAAAAAUUAUGUACUAAGAAACAAAAAUAUGAAUGUGAACGGCAAAUUCCACAAAAAUGAACCUCGAAAACACUAAUACAAAAGACAAUCCAUGUAUACACAAGGCUCAACAUUGUUCCCCGACUAGAGAGAGAUAAGAUGAUGAUGAUGAUGGAUGAUCUUGUCAUUCAGUCUAAACGAAGUUAAGUUAUCAGAUAACCUUUGGUUGCUUAUACUCAGGACUGUGCAACUGAUUAAACACGGUAAUACUUAUACUCCUCUGCCACCAAUGGGACUAUCUGCACCGUUAUGACCUUGGAUUAUUUGGAACCUUUGGAAGUCUCGAAACAAGUUGAUGUUUGAAAACAAAACCUACACAGCACAAGAGAUAGUUCUUAAGAGUAUAACUGAUGCAAAAGAGUGGAGUGAAGCGCAAGCAAGCCAGAAGGGCACAUCUCAGUACACCUCUACUCACACUGGCUCCCUGCCUCGGUCCAGUUACCCCCCUCCCGCAAACCUGACAGGUAUGCUUGUAUGCAAUGUUGAUGCAGCGUGGAAUUCAGUGUCGGGAACUUGUGGCAUAGGUGGGGUUUUCUCAGGCUAUAACGCUCCGAACCUUGCAACUGUUUCGGAAGCUCACAGCCAUGUUCUCUUCAGCUUUAAUGGCGGAAGCCUUAGCUAUCCAUCGGGCGGUCGCCCUUGCGGUUUAUUCAAACGUCUGAUCCCUGGCAGUUCUCUCCGACUCUCUCUCUCUGAUUAAGCUCUUGAAGAGGGGAGGGACUCAACCUGAACUGUUCGGUAUCAUGUUUGAUAUCUAUCACUUUAUGUCUUUCUUUGAUGCAAUUUCUUUCACUUUCAUAUCUAGGAACUUUAAUUCAGAUGCUGAUUUUGGUGGCAAAAUCAGCUAUGUCUAUGUCUGUAAUGAACUCCAUUCAUGGAGUGUAAACCCCCUUUGAGUAAUGCAAGUCUGUUUGUUCAAAAAAAAAAAAUACUUAGGACUGUGCAAGCUUACUAGAUAUCUAUACUAUUAAAGCAGGAUCCUAUUGUCUUUUUUAUUUUAGUCUGCCUUUUUUUUUACUAGCAUUGCAUGUUUCAUUAAGGGCAAUCAAGUAAUAUUAAUAACACAUCUAUAUUGGAUCAUUUUUUUCGGAUCCAGCCCACAUCAGAUCUCUCUUGGGCUAUUUGGGCCGAUUAAGAAAUCAGAUCCAAUUUUCACAUUUUUUUUCCUUUGGGCCAUUGAGUCCAAGUUCAAAUAAUUUUUUUUUUAACUAUUCUUAAUUAUUUUUCUUUUCUUUUCUUAAUAUAAUUUAAACAUUCAUAAAAAAAAUUGAAUUUUUUCAUUGAAAAGUAUAAAUCUUUAUUAAAAGUAUAUAAUUUUUUUUAUUAAAAUAUUAACCACAUAAUAAAAUUAAUUUAUCAGAGUUAUAUCAACUUAAUUUAUUAAAGAAAUAAAGUUUAAUUUUUAAACAUAAAUAGUCAUUUAAAAUGAAAUACGAUAAAUACAAAUAAAAAUUUUAAGUCUUUAUAAAAUAAAACACAAAUAUAUAAAAAUAUGAUAUUUACUAAAUAUUUGUCAAUUGAAAAAAUAAAUAAAUAAAUCCGCGCUUUGAAAGCGCGGAUCAAAAUCUAGUUCUUCGUUAAAGCUCUUCCCUGAUUCCUACCAUCUCAACGUUCCCGAAGAAGUUUCUUCCUCUUCCCUCGUCGCAUGCAGUAUAACUGUUCCUGUCAGCACCGUGAUGAAUCCACAUAUCUCAGAUGCUAUGCUCUCUGUGUUUUGCCCAUACCAGUCCAGUCCAGUCCGGACCACUAACAAGGUGGUGAGUGGUUCAAACAUGAUAUUUUUACCAGACAAAAAAAUCAUUCCGAUAUCAAAAUCCAAUUCAGAAUAUAAAAAGGAGCAGGACGAACCAGCAGGGGUUCCAUUGGCAGCAGCACGUUUGAGACCUUUCUUCUUCAAAAUGAAGCUCGAACCUACGAAUACACUCGACGCCACUGCUAAUACUAAUCCCUUGUCAUUGUCCGCGUCACCAUUUUUUUUAAUUAUCGAUCGCCUUUUUUUUCUCUCUAAUGGGUCUGCUUCUAGUUGACUACAAAUAUUUAUUGUAACAAUAUUUUCAUAUUUUUUUCACUAAUCCUUAAAUAAUUGGCCGUUUAAUUACACUUAUUCAAAUAAUAAAAUGUCACUUCAUAUUUUUUAAAGAGAAAAAGACUAUGAUAACACCAAAUCAAGUUUUUGUUUCCAAACUAGCACUCAAGGCUCAAAGUCACAAAAAUAUGUUUCAUUAAAGAGGUAAAUAUACACUUAUACCCCUUGGAUUAAUUAAUCUAAAUCUUAGGGUUUAGAGUUAAGGGGUGGGGUUUUGGAAUUAGAGUUUAAAAUUUUAUAAAAUAAAAAAUAAAUACUAAAAAUUAAAAUUUAAAAACAGUUUCAAAAAGUAUUUUUGAAUUAUAAAAAGAAAAUUUCAAAAAAAAAAUUCAAAAAAAAAAAAUUCAAAAAAAAAAAAAAUUAUAAAAAAUUAUAAAAAAUUUUGAAUCUGAAAACAUAGAAUCUGAAACUAUAAAAAAAAAUUCUUUUUUUCAUUUUUUUAUUUUUAUUUUAUUUGUUUUUACUUAUUUUUGUUUGUUUAUUUAAUUUUAAACCAAGGAUAUUAGGAAUAUUUUACCCUUUAAUGAAUGUCAUUUUUAUGAUUUUUUCCUUCUAGUGUCAUUUUUUAGACAAAAAAUCAAAAUGUGCUAUUAUUGACAAUUGCCCUUUUUGAAAUAUCACUCAGUUUAUGUCACUGCAACCUUCAAGAAAAAAUAAGAUAUGUCGUCAAAUUUCUACACUGAUGAUAAUCUCAUCAUAAUAAAAGAGAAAGGAAUCAUUACCAUAUUAUUGCUGGAAUAAUUACGCAAACAGUCUACAUAUAUAUAUAACUCGAUCGGAGAUAAAGCAAACAAAGAUUAAAUGAGACAAAAGCAACCAAAAUAUUAAACAUGCAUGCAAUAAUUUUUUUUUAAAAUACGAGUAAACGUUUAAAGUUUCAAGGGUGUGUUGGCAAGGGAGGCCAUUUGCCGAACUUGGGAUGGUGAAUGUAUUUAGGAGGAAGAGGUGGAAACUUUGAAAGUGGUGGACAUGGCUUCUUCGGAAUCACCACCGGUGGCACGUAGAUUGGUGGAUGCUCUAUCUUCGCCGGCGGCUUGUAGAUCGGGACUGGUGGUGGGAGCUCGAUCUUUGGGGGGCAUGCCUUCUUUGGUGGUAUCUUGUGAACUGGAACCGGCGGUGGAUCAACUUUCUUCGGUGGCGGCUUGUAUACGUGAACCGGCGGUGGGCAUGGCUUCUUAGGAGGUGAAUGCUCUAUCUUUGGUGGCGGCUUGUAAACGGGAACAGGAGGUGGGUGCUCUAUCUUCGGCGAUUUAGGAGGACAAGACUUCUUAGGAGCCGGUGGUGGAAGCUCCACCUUUGGGGAUGGAUCGUGAACCGGGACAGGUGGCGGAAUCUCUACCGUUGGUGGUGGUGGAACUUCCUCAAGGGGAGGUGGGCAAGGUUUCUUGAAUUUAGGAAACAGUGGAGGUAAAGGGAAAUGAUGUUCAAAUCCCUUAAAAGGAGGGAACUUAGGCAUAGGCCAAAAGAAUUUGGAAACACAAAGUUCAGGUGUAAACCUCAGGUUUUGUUUGAGGCCCAAAAUGUGUUUGUCUCCGGAUGUGUAUAGAAACACGAUCUUGUUUGACUCAAGGCCGUCGUGAGCCGGACAAGGUGCUCCCUCCGCACUGUGAAGCUGAGCAUAGCACUCCUCCUUUAAAGCUCCGUCGUCAGAGAUAAUGUCAUGAGGAAGAACUUUCAGACCGAACUUUCCUUCCUCAUCAAUGUUUCCAGAACCUUUUGUAACAAAAUGCCCUUUCUCCCCCUUACAUUCAAUCGUCACUCGGAGUCCUUGAUAAAAUCAUAAAAGUAGUAAUACCCACACAUCUUUUAAAUAACCACACUACAUACUAUAUAACAAAAAAGAUAUUAUUAAUCCUGGUGGUUGGUUACCUGAGAAUGCACGGGGAUUUUUGAUUUUGCUCUCGGCGUAACCAACAACUUCGACGACACGAGCGAGGGAUAGAGUCGCUGAAAAUAGAACCGACGACACGAGGAGAAUGAGGCAUGGAACCGAACCUCGAGGCUCUGGUAAGAUCCUCAUUGGGAUUCUCACCCUCUGACACACUACGUGUACUCUCCCGUUUCCUUAAAAUGGAGUAUACGAUGUUUAUAAGAAGAAAAGAAACUAUAUCUAGAUUUAAGUAUUAGUGGAGAAGAUGAUAUGAUUAUAGAGAGGCUCCCUCUCGUUUAUAUAAUGGUCUUAUCAUAGUUAUUUUUGUUGUUAAAUGAACUUAAUUAUUACUUCAUAAUCUGUUUUUUUUUACCACGGUUUCUUUUAUUUGGUGGUAUCGUCAUGGAAUGGAAUUUUCAUUUAUUUAGUUAUUAUCAUGGUCCAUCUUAUUGUUGUAAAUUGUAAUUAUGUCUAUUCAGCAAUAAUAUUAUACCUUUCAUUCAGUGUGGUUGAAACAAUUUGACUUUUAUAUUUCUUUAUUUAUAUUUAUACAACAAAGGCUUUCACAUUUACCUUUUUAUUGCAUGAAACACAUAUAGAUACAAAAGAAUUAAAAACUAGCAAAUCAAGUAGAAAGGAGAGUAACCGGAGGUAAAGUUAAUAAAGUGACUGCAGGAUGACCAUGAAUAUAUUUUGUUAACUGUUUUUGUCAGUGGUCACAUGCUAUAUAUGUAAUUUAUGUAAAAACAACAAAUGAAUUAAUGACUGUGUAUACGUGCAACCAAACCCAAAUUGAAGCGAAUCACAUGAUGGUUAGAAGAAAAACUUUAAUAUUUAUGGAAAAAGAUAGUCACACUUCUUGUGCUUCGAUCCCGAUCCCGACCCCGAUCCUCUUUCAUUAUACUCUUUUAUUUGAUGUUUUCUUGUAAUCCAUGCAAUAUUUUUUAUAUGCAUGGUUAAAAUUAAUUACGUUGGGCAUGCAGCAACCAUUGUAAGUAGACCAAUGUACCAGAUAUAAAUUAAGAUAUACUGUCGAAUUUGGUCAGAGAAGAGCAGCUUGAGACAUUGGCAUGUAGUUAGAUAGGAGAUAGAAGUGAGUUGAUAAAAAAAAAAGGAGAUAGCAGUGAAUUUUGGUCAUCAGUCUUGUAUAUGAGUCGGCAAGGCCCAUAACCAUAUGCAAACUAGUAUUUUUCGUAUUUUGUUGUAUGGUAGCCAAGUUAUACAUGAGAAUAUCUUCUUCUUUUUUGAACUUUAGUUGCUUGAGGAGAAGGUAAUAGAUUAGAAAAUGUUUAUUGAUUGAAUGAAAAUAAAGCUUGCCUUAGCCUAAUAAGGCUACAAUAUAUAGUAAAAUCAAAGAGAAUAUUAAACUAAUUAGGAAAAGAGAUAAAGCCAAGCAUAAUAAGGAAAACUAACAAUUAGAUAACAAUAGCUAUGAUAUGUGACUUAUCCUGUCACACUGUGCAGGUAAUCUGGUAUUGAACACGAGGGGAAGAUUGCUGGUGGCAUAUUGGGAUAUGGAUUGUGACCAUCAAUGGUUCUCAUCUCUGAGGUUGUUCAAACUUUCAUUCUUGCUGAUUUCUGUUACUACUACGUCAAAAGGUUACCACCACCCUUUAGAGGCUUUCACUAUACCACUCUUUUAGCUAUUUUAUUUUUACAAAGUAUAAACGAUUCAACCAUUUAUUUUUGUCUUUGUGCAGUGUUUUCGGACGGCAGCUUGUUCUCCGGCUUCCGUCUGGAGUAGUAUAAGUUUUUCUUUUAAAAUUAGAAUACUUGAGUCGUGAUAUGUAAUCUUUCAAACUUGGGAAAUACGGUUCAGUUUUUUUCUUUACCUCUGAUCUUAACGUUUACGUGUCUGAGAGCUGACUUGGUAAUGAAACUGUCUUAGUGUCUUGUAGUAUAUUUUUGACAAUCGUUUUACCACAACUCGUGGACCAUUGAGUUGUUAUAUCCUUGGCGAGUUUGCCUGAAAACUGAAGUUUAACAUUCUCAAGAAUGAUGAGUACUUGAUGAAUCAUGCAUGGGGUUUGAUUAUAUUUGAAUCAACUCACUUUUUAAGUGAGGAAAAAAGAGUGUUACAAUGUCUCUGUUUCACUUUCAAGGAGAGAUGUCAUCCUCAUCUCAUCUCUUGAAGAAAACUAAUUCGGAAUAGAAAAAAAUGUACAAAUCAAUAAUGAAAAAAGGUUAUUCGAGUGAGCCAUGCAUGAUCGAUCAGUUGAGGCGAGAAGCAAGGUUGAUAAAGGUUUCUUCACUGCAAGGAAUUGUGAGGCCACCCAUUGGAUGAUCAUAUCCAUAUUCUUCCUCUGCCCUUCUUAGUAGAUUUUGAAAUGAAGGUUCCUUCAAGUACGAAAUGGGAACUACAAAUCUCUUCAUCUUCCUUUCUCCUAUGUAAACCGCUAAGUAGCCUUUUGGAACAUCAAUAGAGCUAGAGGAAGAAGAAGAGAACAGUUUUGCUUGACGGAGAAUCUGCUUUGAUGAUUGUAACACGCGAGGUACCCUGAUCGCCAUGGAUUGUCUUUGUGUGUUUCUUGAAUUGUAAGUUUAAUUCUUUACUGCUGAAUGUGAGAACUUGAAGAGCAUAAAAAGGACCUAAUGAUGAGUCCAGUAUAUAUAGAUAAGGGCAUUGUUUGAAGAUAACGUUUUAUUUUGGCUAGACAAGUUUCAGUUCAUAAAUUAACACCAACCAGCACAUGGCUUUGCCGGACCACGGCAUGGUAUGUAAGGGACCGCUAGUGAUCAACUUCAUCAUUUCUGAUGUGAAGACACAAAUCAACAUGACCACUUGUUAGUUAGAUAAGACAUUAUAACUUGUCAAAUUUUCAAUUCCUGCCACAGAAAAUGUUGAAGGUUUUUGUGACUUUGUCUGUAUAUGAUCAAGUCAUGUGGUCCUCUCUUUUAAAUAUCACUGAGAAGAAGUUACUACUUAAUCAGUGAUAGAGAUGGUUCUUUAGGUUCCCAUCUUCAAGUCCCUACAUAAUCUAUAGAGAGAUUUGGCUUGUGAUGAUGUCCUUGAGACAAAUAGCCCCAAUGAAGUUAUCAUGUAGGACAUCAUAUCGUAAAUAUAGAAAUAACACUUUCUAUAAAGUAUAAACAUAAGAGAUGGAAUGUUGUUAAAAUUUAAUUUAUCAUAUCGUAAAUGUUGUUAAAUUUCCGAUUUGGAAGCUUUAUAUUCUCACAGAUUUGAUUCUCUUUUUUUUUUUUAACUUCUUUCGCGGAAGUUGAACACCACAAUUAAUAAUACACAUUGAGAAAUACUUGGGUUCACCCCCUAGGGUGAACCUCUAGGUUCACCAACCAAUAGUGUUUGAGUAUUUGAUAUUUGAUAUCUUUUAAAAAAGGAAAUAAAAUUGAAUAUCCAAAUUAGAUUAUAUCUUUAAAAUCAAAUAAUAAAAAUACAUAAAAAUAGUUACAAAAAAUAAAUAAAUUAAUAUUAUUAAGUCUUCAGCAAAAUAUUAAACCCUAUACCCUAAAUCCUAAACCCUAUACCCUAAACGUUAAACCUUAAACUUUGGAUAAACUUUAAACAUUGGAAAAUCUUAAACCCUAAAUUAUACAUUAAAAAUUAAAUUUUAAUAAAACUAAACCCUAAAUCCUAAUCACUAAACCCUAAACCCUUGGGUAAACUCUGAACCCUUGGGUAAAUUCUAAACCCUUGGAUAAAUCAUAAACUCUAGGAUUUAAUUUUAAAUAUUUUUAAUUUAGAGUUUAUGAUUUAUCCAAGGGUUCAGGCUUUAUCCACGGGUUUAUGCUUUAGUGAUUAGGGUUUAGGAUUUAGGGUUUAGUCUUAUUAAGAUUUAGUUUUGAUGUAUGAUUUAGGGUUUAAAAUUUUCCAAUGGUUUACGGUUUAUCCAAGAUUUAAGGUUUAUAAUUUAGGGUUUGGAGUUUAGAAUUUAGGGUAUAGGAUUUAGUAUUUUGCUAACAUUUUAACAAUAUUUAUUUAUUUAUUUUUUGUAACUAUAUUUAUGUAUUUUUAUUGUUUUAUUUUAAAAAUCUAUAUCAUAUUUGGAAAUUCAAUUUUAUUUCCUUUUUUAAAAGAUAUCAAAUAUCAAAUACUCAAACACUAUUGGUUGGUGAACCUAGAGGUUCACCUUAGGGGGUGAACCCAAAAAUUUCUCAUACACAUUCGCAAUUAUAUAGGCCCAAACAAAUUUUAAAUAGAAGUCCAAGCGCAUACAUUAAACGACUUAAUUCCCUCUAAUUUGCACUGUUUUGUAUUUGCUUACGUCUUUGUAAUGGUUUCUUUGUCCCCAUUAAUUAAAUUAUGAUCCUUCUUUUUCGCCCUUUUGUUAGUUAAGUUAGUAAACCCUUGUUUUUCAUCCUACACCGACCCCCGUAGAGACGUGGAAAUGGGAUAAACCCUCAGGUGCAGUUACCAGGUCAAACGGGGAAAGAGAGGAUUUUUACUUUCUUAUGUAUGUAUUCCAUUAUUUGAUUUAUUAUAAUGAACUCAGAGAAAUAAUUAAGCCUCACAUGCCAAAUUAAGUACCUCAAAACCCUACCUCAACUCCCAUUUAAUUAGCAUAUGUGGCUAACGAAAGCUUAGUCCUAUCUUUUGCCAUCUUGAUCCUUUUCUCUAGGUGCCACUCUGUUUCUUUUUUUUUACCCUUGAUGUUACACUUUUGAAGUUCAACUGUUGAUUGAUCAUCGUACAAGAAAAACUAGCCAGUCUGAGCUCGCAAUAUUAUGUCUCUUUUGGAUCCAAGUUUGCUGCAGCCCAUCCAUGCAUGUGAUGAAAGACCCUAAAUUUCACGUCAGAUCUUGCCACCUAUAUUUUUUAUUUGACUUAGUAACAGAGCUCAUGGUUUUUCUUUCACGUGAAUAUAGAACCUAGAUUCAAUCACUUCCUAUACGAAACAUACAUCGCACCUCCGAGUUUUUUUCUUCUUGUACUUGACUGGUUUUUUUCUCAGAUUCUAGAGUUUUUUUUUAUAUUUAAAAAAAAAUGAUAAUAAUAAACUUGGAGAUGAAGAGCGUUUUUUUGAACAAAGAGCAGAGUUGUAAUAACAGGACAGAUUUUCAAGGGGUUUUCUGAUUUCUGGCCACGGAAGUAGAAAACAGAGAUACAAGAAUUUCUUAAAUUCGAGCAGACAAAUUCAUUUCUAAAUAAAUCUGUCCGUAAUAAAAAAAAUGUGUAAAAAUGGAAAGCUGUACAAAAGAGGACAGUAUUAGGUAGGGAAGGAGGAGGAUUGGAGGAAGCAAGAGUAACAUGGGGAAGGGCUUUCAUGUGGUUGGUCGAUGAGACGAAAGAAUAACGACGCGUCUUUUUCAGUCCGUAAGGCGAUGUUGUCCCUUCAAAGAUCCGUAAUUUUCUCCCUCUUUCACUCCAAAAUUUUCCCAAACAAAUCUCGUUCGCAGAACAUGCUUCCUAGCCUCUCUCUCUCUCUCUCUCUGACAACGACCCCAAUCUCUCUCUCCCUCUCUCUCUCUUUCUCUCCAUUUGUGGUUGAUAAGAGAGAAAACAUGAUUCCAAAUUAUUCUUAUUCACCUGUUGGUUGAUGUGAUUGAUUUCCGAUGUAACCCGCAAGAAUAAUCAACUCGAGAUCAAAGUUUAACCUUUGCAGAGUUGCGUGUAUUACAAGUACAAUCGUUGCUAUCUGAUUUUUUAGGAUUUUUAGAACAUCCUUUGCUCAAACAGAAUAAAAUAAUACACAAGGCAAUUGCACUAAAUGACCAAGAAUAAACAUACUUCAAAAGUUAAAAUGUUCUGAAAAAGAGAAAUAGUCACGUCAUUUACUUAAUUAACUUUUGUAACAUGUUUCAUUGAACUUAUAAUAUAUCUACAGUCUGCAUUAUGGCCGACGCCGUGGAUUAGGAAGAGGAACAUCACAAGUUACAAAGAUGGGAAGCUCGAGAUCGUGAGACUUUUACAUGUUCUUUUGUCCCUAACCUUUUACGACCAGAUACAAAGAUCUAUUAAAUGCUCGCUGUCUUUAAGCAUAUAACCAUCGAACAUUGUCAAUAUAUUAUAAACAAAUACAGUUACUUGCCGACAAGAGUCAAAGGCGACUCUUUCUCAUUUUUUUCUGUAUUUUCAUGCAUUUGUUACAAGGUGUUAUCUCAAAAAGAUAUUCUAUUAUCAAAUGGUUGUAAUUAAAUAGUUUUGUUUGCUGGUAAUACAUUUGCAUUGGUUUCUAUUGGUUACAAUAUUCGUCUUUGGACUCACAUGACAGUUGUGAAUCUGGCAAUUUGUUAGCCUUAGAGUAUGAUUAAUGGAAGGUUCUUAUGAUGAGGUUUUUAACGGAAUAUAAGAAACGUCUUUUAACUAAAAAAAACUAAGAAUCGAUUUUUAAAUAAGAUAUUUAAGAAUCGGUUCUUAGCUUUUUUAGUUAAAAGUUAAGAGACGGUUUCUUAUAUUCCGUUAAGAACCACAACCUAAGAACAUCCAUUAAUCAUGUUUUAAAGUCCUAAGAGCAUCUCCAAUGUUAAACUUCAUUUUUUCCUUUAAAAUGUAGUAAAAGUGAAAAUGAAGUAAAAUUGCUCCAAUCCUACUCCAUAUCCCAUGGAAAUGAACAAACAAAAAAAUAGAUUAUUCCAUUUAUGGAGUAAAUUUCAUUAUAGAGUGAAAUAUGGAGUUGGAUUGAAGUAUUUCUUACUUCAUAUUUACUUUUACUCCAUUUUAGAGGAAAAAAUAGAGUAGGGAUGGAGAUGCCCUAAGAAAUUUAAAUAAAUAAAUAUACAUAUAUAUAUAUAUGUUGAAAAGAAAGUAUAUAAUAGUUUCAAAUCGCGUGAUUAGCCUAUUUUAAUUUUAAAAGAUGUAGAUACAGCAAACUUAUAAUGUUUAAAUAUUAUCUUGAUUCUAGUCCGGCGAUGACACCGUUUAAUUUGUUGGUGUAGACAAUGGAUUGAUUCUCUCUCCUUGACUACAUAUUUGUCCACUUUAGUUAGAGUGUACAUUAUGGCUGCUAGUUUGUGAUUACUUAGAAUCUAAUUACCGAGGAUAGUAUUUAAAGAUGACCAACAAAAAAUAUCAUAAACUAGAGGUAAUAAAUCAAAUGCAUGCUUUCAACUCUACACGCUUAACCAAAUAUAUUAAUGGAAAACAUAUAAUAUGUACUUAAUUGUGGUACAUAUUUACAUACCUAUUCGUACAUAAUUAUAAAGUAUAGUUACCACAUUGAUAUUUUCCCUAUUUAUGACAAUAGCUAAUGAACGAGAGUGAGAGGAGGGACCAUGGUGUCUUGGGGAGGACCAACAAUGAAAUUAAAUCGCAAUGGGUUUGGAUCCCACACUGUCACAUGCGUUUCUAUAUCCCUCCUGCUUUUCUUCUGCUCCUUAAAAAUAAAACUGUAUAUAUCUACAGUUAUAUAUUAAAUUAUUAAUAUCAAUAUAAUAAUCAUAGUUCUCUAUAAUAUGCAAGUGAAACUAUUGGAAUAGACAUACUAAUAUUUAAAACAUCUAAAUUACCCUCAUCGCCGUUCUUUAAAUAAUCAGCUCAAAAAAUCAUAUUAGUUUUUAUUUAUAAUAAAUUCGUAGUUUCCAUUUUCUUAUACUCGAUAUGAUAAUUCCCUCAUACAACUGGCUGCUGAAUUUUCGUUCGAAAUGUAUAAUUAUAUUUUGGAAGAGUCUUACAAGACGGCACUAACCAAAUUUUAGAUUACUGAUAAUAAUUUGAUUAUAUAUUAGUAUUAAGUGAAGAUGAGAUAAUGUAAGAACUUCAAAAAUAAUAGUAAUAUUGCUUUAGCAUUCCAUCCUCAUCCUCCUCCAUAAAUAACCCCUUUUCGCAACCUAUCUCUCAUCAAACACUUCUCUUUUCUCCUCCAAAUUGUCUCCUCGCUCCCUCAUCUCAUCAAGAAGUCAAACACUAGCUAAAACUAAAACAAUGGCGGUAAAGAGAUCUUCUAAGGUAACACAAACAGCAAUGUUAAAGCAAAUCCUCAAGAGGUGCUCGAGCUUAGGUAAGAAACAAUGCUACGACGAGGAAGGCCUCCCUCUUGACGUACCAAAGGGACAUUUUCCUGUUUACGUAGGCGAAAAGCGUACGAGGUACAUCGUACCAAUCACCUUCUUGUCUCAUCCCGAAUUUCUGAUCCUUCUUCAACAAGCAGAGGAAGAGUUCGGUUUCCACCACGACAUGGGUGGACUCACCAUCCCUUGUGAAGAAGUCGUUUUUCUCUCUCUAACAUCCAUGAUCCGAUAAGACGCAGAGAGAGUUUUACAUUAUGAUCAAGACUAAGAUUCUUUUCUUUUUGCCUUUGGAUAAUAAUUUGUUAUCCAAAUGGUUCUUUUUUCCUGGACUAAUUCUAAACCUGUAAGAUCCACCUAAAAGAUCAUUCUCUACACGGAUCAUGUAAAUCUCCAUCGGGUUUUAAUUAGUUCAUUAGUUCCCCCUAAUGGGGUUAGUAUUCGAUGGAACAUGUAUGUUUUUUUUUCCAUUGAGCUGAUAAGUGGUGGUUUGCGCUAAUAGAUGAUUAAUACCGCAAGUUGUAUUGGCCAUUUUUUUUUAAGGUUUGAAUAUUGUGAUCGUUCGAGUUCCUUGAAACGAAGAAAUGUUCAAUCUUUGUAUGAGUCUUUUCAAUGUUUUUUUUCUCGGAUGUAAGUAUUUUUUUUUGAGAUUUGUGCGAGUGAUGUAGUAUAAAUUAAAGCUUCCAUUCUGUGUUUUAUUAAAUUAAUAAUUACGUUUAUUAUAUGUGGCACCUGAACAUCUUAAAAUGACAAUAUAUUAUCCACGAUAAACAACGAAUAAAUUGAUCCAACCGCAACACAGAAGAUCUCAAUUUAGACGACUCAAUAUUAUGUGUUCAAAAAAAAAAGACGACUCAAUAUUAUUAAAAAAUAUAUAUUCAUGAGUUUCUUGAAAAAGUUACGUGCUGGAGGAAAAUACAAUUGUUUUCUUUUCUUGAAACAAGGAAAAUAUAAUUGCUAGAGUCGAAAUAUCAAACCUAGAGAGUAAUACUACUCUACGCAUCUUUAUUCUUCUUCUAAAUUAGGUUUCUAUAAUCCGACUGAGUUUUUUUUUUUUGACUAAAAGCAUAUUUGUCUCUAGUAAUUGAAGUUGGUCAUAUAUAUAAUAGUUUAGUAUUCAUUGGAAUUAACUUAAUAUGCCUUGUAGUUUUAGCUAUGAUUUUUUCUUUUGAAAAAUUGAAUGCACUUACUUCUCUCUCUCUCUCUCUCUCUCUCUCUCUCUCUCUUGCUUUUCCUACGAGCCACAAGUCGAAUAUGAUAGCAACUACUCUUCUUAAUGCACAUACCCUCUUUUUUUCCUACAUACUUUUUAUCUAAUUAACUCCGGCCCUCACUGAAGAGUAUCUUUCCGUUCAAAGCAAUUUUAUGUUCGGAAUAAAUUGUACCACAAACACCAAUAAUAUCUAUCCUGCCUCAUCAUAUAUACAUAUGUAUAUAUAGUUAUUUAGUUGAACACACGAAAUGAUCGAACAUGUUGAUUGUAGCAUGUACACAACAAACCGAUUGAUUGAAGGACAGCCACACACGAGUGGGUAAAGCCGCCAAACCGUGACUUUGAUCAGUAUACCGGGAAUUUGACUGCCGGUCAUUUUAAUUAAUUUCUGCUAAGUACAUAUUAUCAGACUUAGCACUAGUAGAAAAUGAUUACAUAUAGCAGUUAUUGUUUUGUAAUUUUACUAUAAACUGAAAACACCAAAGAUAAGAACAUUUGAAUCGAAACAAAUGUAUAUACAUGUGCAAAUAAAUGAUCAUUUUGAUAAAUUUAGUUUUAAUAAGACAUCAAAAGCAAGCAUAUUCAUCAUAAAAUAUGUAACGAGAUCGAAGAUUCAACAUAUACAAGGACUAACCAUUUUAAUAUAUUUUCAGGAAGUGGUUAACAGCAGUGUUUGGUCAGAUAUGCCUUCAAAUGCUAAAGAAGUAAGCAAAUAGAUUCCUCUCAUUUCCAUAAAAAGGAACACAACCUUGGGUUGAUCGAGCGAAAAUAUUAGAUUAAAGGCCAACAUGGCCUUAAAUAGAAAGAGAUAAAUAUAAGAAGAAACACAAUUUCUCUAUCAUAUGAUGAUCUAUUGUUCAAACUUUCAAGAUUCUUGGAUGAAAGAAUUUUGUGACUAAAUUCAAAACAAGUGUUUAUAUUUCUUCAAUACAAAUAGAACCCAAGCUUGUAGACAGUGAUAAUAACCCGAUAAGGAAAACCAUUCACGUAGUAAAAUGUAUAUCCAAAGUAUUAAACGCAGAAAUGAGGAGAAGAAGCCAAAAGGUAUGGAUCCCAACUGGAUGAGUAAAUUACAAAAAGAAGAAUCUAUAAAUAUUGUCCCUUAUCACUACCGUACGAAGUAAUUCUCUGCAGGAAAAUUCUUGGAAGCUGCAUUUGUACGGGUGUUCAAUCCGGAUAUCGGUUCGGUUUCGGUUCGGUUUUUUUCGGUUUUCGGUAUUUCGGUUAGUAAAAUAUAACUACCAUUCUAAAUCCAUAUUUACUUCGGUUCGGUUCGGUUUAUAUACCGUCGGUUUUCGGUUUAUUCGGUUUUAUACCAAAAAACAUAAUUAUUUAGUUUGAGAUCAUAUUAUAUGAAUUUUAGAGUCAUAUUGUCAACAUAGUCAUUUAUUAAAAAUAUAUUACAUGUCCAAAUAAAUGAACAAAAAAGUAAAAAUGCUUCUACCAUCAAAUAAAAUAAUCAAAUCUAUAACUAAAAUCAAAGUUUGAAAUUUUGAAAAUAAAAAUAUGAAACAAAACAGAAAUACGAAAGAAAAGUUUUUUCACUCUUCCCUAUUUAUCGUUUAUUAAAGUCAUGCUUUUUCAAUUGAACACGAAACUCUGUUUGUUUACAGAUAAGAAAAAAGUUGUAAAAAUUUUCCAUUAAUUAUUGUCCAUCAAAUUUAUAAUCUUCAUAUUAAUUUAGUGAAGACUAAAAUAAAGCAAAAAAAUCAAAAGAAAACUUAGAAAAUAAGAUGUAUGAAUUGCGAUGUAUUGUUAUUUAAUUAUAAUUCAAGUGUUUUACAAAUUAAGGCUCUUUAUUACUAUAAAAUUAUAGUAAUAGUUAUUAACACAAAUUUAACUUAUGUAACAAAUAGAUUUUCAUGUAUUGUUAUAAUAUAGAUACAUAUUUACGUGUUUCUACUUUUAAUCGGUUUUGUUCGGUUUAUUCGGUUUAAUCGGUUAUAUACCAAACCAUAUCCAAAUCCUACGGUUUUUAUAAAAUUAUAUCCAUUCGGUUUAUAUGGUAUAUACCAAAACCAAACCAUAUUGUCUAUUUCGGUUCGGUUCGGUUUGGUACGGUUCGGUUUUACCAUAUUGAACAGCCCUAUGCAUUUGUCACAUAUCAUCUUCUAUUUUAGAUUAGUUUUAUAAUUUAUUUUAUAUAAUUAUUAUUCUAAUAAUUUAUUUUAUAUAAUCAUUAUUCUAAUAAUUUAUGAUUAAUGAUAGACAAAAUAAAAUAAAACAAAUUUUUGAAACAAAUAUUAAUAUAAUUUUAUUGAAAUCAUCUCUUAAUAGAACAUUUAUGAUAUAUUAAAUAUAAACGUACUAUUGCUCACAAAUUUAAAUAUUUUUGGCUGAAAAGUACCAAACUUAUAAUGUUUUAUGGAAUAAUAAACGAAAUAUAGAAUCCCACACUUAUAUAUAUAUAUAUAUAUAUUUUAUGAAAUCUUGCUACUUGUAUUUAUAUAUGUUAUUGAAUUAAGUAAUAAUUUGUCAAUUGAAGGGAUUGUGGUAUCACAUAAUUAAAUAGGUUUUAUAUAUCGCAUAGGAAAACAUGACAAUAAAAAAAAAAAAAAGAGUAAUAAAUAAAUAAAACCUUAACUUUUCUGGUUUUCGAUAAUGACUCAAAUCCUUUAUGAACACGAUAAGGAUAUAAAAGAAAUCCAGAUUCUCUCAACAACGUAACCGACAAUAAACACACACAACUUUAUAAAUAGUUACCAUCAAAUUCAGCCAAAUCCUCACAAGCUCUUUGAUUCAAAACUAGGCUAUAGCUCAUCCAUGGCCUUCUCUGUGGAAAUCUCGUCUAUAUUCCCGUUCUCGCUAUCCGCAAAACCUAAGAAAGCUUCGCAAGAUACCCUAUUCCCAUGCUUUACCAAACCCUGCCUUAGUCCCCAAGUUUCGAAAACCCUAAGUUUCUCCGUUUCAUGCAGAAGAAGAAGCACACUUGCCCCUGUUUUCUCGUCGAUGAUAACACCACAAGUGGCAAAAGAAGACGACGAGCUUCACGAAGAAUGUGGAGUAGUCGGAAUCCACGGUGACCCUGAAGCUUCCCGUCUCUCUUACUUGGCUCUUCACGCGCUGCAACACCGUGGCCAAGAAGGAGCAGGAAUCGUAGCCGUUAAUCACAAGGGUGAUCUCGAAUCAAUAACAGGCGUCGGAUUAGUGUCGGAAGUGUUCACGGAGUCGAAACUAAACACUCUUCCUGGCGAUAUAGCGAUAGGACAUGUCCGGUACUCAACCUCCGGAGCCUCGAUGCUCAAGAAUGUUCAGCCUUUCAUCGCUACCUGCAAACUCGGAUCCUUGGCAGUAGCGCACAAUGGUAAUUUCUUGAAUUACAAGCAACUCAAGAGAAAGCUUGAGGAGAACGGUUCCAUCUUCAUCACAAGUUCUGACACCGAGCUGGUGCUUCACCUGAUCGCCAAAUCUAAGGCCAAGACGUUCCUUCUGAGGAUCCUCGACGCUUGCGAGAAGCUUCGAGGUGCUUUCUCGAUGGUUUUUGUCUUUCAAGACAAGCUUGUCGCUGUCCGAGACCCGUUCGGGUUCAGACCACUUGUGAUGGGCAGAAGAAGCAACGGUGCAGUUGUUUUCGCCUCAGAGACUUGCGCUUUGGACCUUAUCGAUGCGAGGUACGAACGUGAAGUGUGUCCGGGGGAAAUAGUGGUCGUGGAUAGAGGAGAUGUAGGGGAAAGCUCUAUGUUCAUGCUCUCUCACCCUGAACCGAAGCAAUGUGUGUUCGAGCACGGUUACUUCUCACAGCCCAACUCAAUUGUCUUUGGACGUUCAGUGUAUGAAACACGCCGCAUGUACGGUGAGAUAUUAGCCACGGUGGCACCUGUAGAAUGUGAUGUCGUCAUCGCAGUGCCGGACUCGGGGACAGUUGCUGCUCUUGGAUACGCAGCCAAAGCUGGAGUUCCGUUUCAGAUCGGUCUCCUGAGGUCGCACUACGCUAAACGCACUUUCAUAGAGCCAACUCAGAAGAUCCGUGAUUUUGCAGUCAAGGCAAAGCUGUCUCCUGUCCGGUCAGUCCUUGAAGGGAAGAGGGUGGUUGUGGUGGACGACUCUAUUGUCCGAGGAACCACGAGUUUGAAGAUAGUUCGGAUGCUAAGAGACGCUGGAGCCAAACAAGUUCACAUGAGAAUUGCAUUGCCGCCGAUGAUUGCGUCCUGUUACUACGGAGUGGACACUCCUAGGAGCCAAGAGCUUAUCUCUAGUAAGAUGAGCGUUGAGAAGAUAAGGAAGCAUAUUAACUGCGAUACUCUGGCGUUUCUACCAUUAGAUAGCUUGAAACAAGUCUAUGGACCAGUCGAGUCACACAGCUAUUGCUACGCCUGCUUUACCGGCAAGUAUCCAGUGACUGAGGAGGAGGAGGAGGAGAACAAUGCCGAGAGAGAACUCACCGCUCUCUGAAUUAUUUGUAAUCAGAACAACCUCUUUUAUAUGCUUUUUCUUUUUCUUUUAAACUGGGGGUGUAUAGUAAGUAAGUAAUUAACUAUGAGAAUUGGUUUUAGAAAAAGGGAAUAAAUACAUUGUUUCACGAAUGCUGUCUACACUCAAAAAAAAAAACUAUUGAAUAGAAAUUUGCUCAUCACAGUUUCAGACAUGUUUAUGGAUGAAGAUUGAGCUUACAUAAGAUGUGACUUGUAAUUAGCCAUUUUCAGCUCGAUCAUAAGCGUUGGAUUUGUGUUUGGGGGCAAACGUGAAGCCUUCCGGAACCUUUCCAAGCAGCAAUUCCGAUAUCCUCACCUGCAACAUUAAAUCAAACUUUGAGUUCCUUCAUAUAUAGUCCACCGUAACACAGCUGAAUGAAUAAGUAAAAAUUACGCACCCAGUCACCCGCAGAUUCAGACAUCAUGAGAGUCUCGAGAUCAUCACGACCAAAGUAAGAAGGCGGACGCCAGUUGAUUUGCUGCGGGAUCACAUCCAGCAGACCUACAGGUAUGUACCUAAACGUGUAGCUUAGCCACUCCAGUAAGAAAUGCCUAGUUGUCUCAACUCCUGUUCAGGUUUUAAAUUAACGGCAGAGUUUUAGCCACAAGGGAACACGCAAAGGUAGUUUCAAUUCCAUGCAGUGUGCAUCAUUAUUAAUAUUACCUUUUGUGUCGGAUCCCCAAUGUUGAAGACCAAAACGUACAAAGUCCUUGAAGAUGUUGAGUCUUUCCCCGGAGGUAAUGUCCCAGUGCCGUUGCUCUUUAAUUUCAGUAAAUAUCCAAGGCUGCAAAGAUUAAAAAAACCCUAUUCAGACAUGCACUAGAGAAGGAUUAAUAGUAAAAGGUCAUAUACACAACCUUGAUCAGUGCUCCGCGAGCAAUCAUGCAGCUAGACAACUCAGGACAGUCAGACUUGUGUUUGUUCCAGUCUAAAAACGAGUACACAUCUCCAUUUCCUAUAACUUGUAGGUUAGAGGAAGCGUUUUUGGUACACUUGUAUAUAUAGUCCCAAUCCGCAGACUUGCUAUAACGUUGUUGUCUUGACCGCCCAUGAAUCGUCACUGCAGUGGCUCCCCAAUCCCCAAUAUCUGAAAUUAACGAGUCUAUCCGGUUCUUACCCUCAAAAAAUGCAGUUCGUACCUGGCACCCAAAAAGGAGAGGGCAAGUAAAGAGAGGUUAACAUACCAAUACAUCAUGCAAUUAAUAGGUUAUGAUAUAUGCUUAGGCACUAGUUACCUUGAUAGUGAUAGGUGUUUCAACAAUGGAAGAAGAGACCUCCACGAUGUUCUUCAUUCGUAAUGGUUUGUUGAGAAGAGCUGAACCAGCACUUUUGUUCACAACCAUAUCUAUCGGGCAGCCCAUGUUGAUGUCUAUGAAAUCAACCGUGCAUUCUCGAUCUAUAAGCUCAACCGCACGAGACACCGUGUCUGGAAAAGAACCGCAAAUCUGAACACCAAACAGAUCUUCCGAUGAAUGCCUUCUAAGCAGAGCCCAUUCGGAAGCUUGGCCCUAUAGUUUCAGAUUUUCACAUUUAUUACAAAAAAUUAAAAAAAAACUGUUUUUAUCACAAGUAAAUCUUAGUGGGCUAACCUGCAAAAGAUUUGUACACAUGGCCAUCUCACCACAAGUCACAUCAGCUCCCAAAACUUUGCAAAGUCUUCUGAAGGGAAGAUUGCCCACAGUUGUUAGGGGUGCAAGGUACAACUUAUCCCUAAAAUCAAUAAGCUUUUUCUUUUCGCGAGGGUGCGAUUUUAGGCUCCCGUCGGUUUCAACAACUUUGAUGCUAUCCUCCUCAUCCUCUAUCUUGGCUUUUGAAGUAGAAUGCCCGGUCUUUUCCGUUUCAUCGUCCACAUUCAUCACCCCUGUACCAAUACAGUUAAAAAUGUAACAUCAGGAUGCUGUCUUGUCCAAGACGCUUCUUAUGUGAGUGAACUCUUGUUCUUUAAUAUAAAGCUAUGAUAUUAUUUUAAAGACUUAACAAAACUAUGCAACCAUCUGAGAUAAUCUGGGCAUUCUGGAAAUGAUAUAUUUCUGAAAAUAAAAGAAGAAAUCCUAACCAUCAAUAAUGUCUCCAAGUUUAGAAGUCUCGUCAGAUUUUGCCUUUUUCGUGGGACGAACAUCUUCAGUUUCUAAUGGUCCAGGAAUAUCAACAUCUUCAUUUGUCUGAGCACCAUCUAGAGGUUUUUCUGCGUCAUUCUCUUGAGGGACAUUGCUUUUUUUGGCAUGGCCCUAGAAAUUGUAUGGAAAUAAUGAGACAAAAAAAAAACCGAAGAAGAGAAAUAAUAAUCAUAUGUCGCAUGCUAAAAGAUAUGGGAGUGAAGAGCAGCAGCAUAAGAGAAACAAGUGUUCGGUACAACAUACCAUAAGGCCAAGGGAUUUAAGUUUGGCAUCUGCCUUGGGAAAAGUCAUGUUAUUUUUCCAUAAAAGCCUCUGUGUCUCUUUGUUGAAAAAGUUAAUCUCGGCAUCAGAAAUUCCAGAUAAAUCUUUGUGGGUGCCAAAGAAUCUGCAUGAUAAACCAUAUUGACACUUGAUCCCAGAGGCCACAAAUGGGCACUGCCCCUCUAUAUCAUCUGGUUUCUGCAGUUACAAAAUAAUAAUAAUAAUAAUAAUAUUAUUUCUCAAUAACGACCAAGCUAGUUUCGAUCAAGAGUAGAGAGUACCUGAGCUUUGAAAGCUUGAAUGUCAUGAUUAAAGCGGCAUUUCUCUUUAUACUGACAGGAAUCAACGUCUUCUGUUCUCGAAACCUGCGGACACAGGUUUAUCGCACAUUUCUGCAAAAAAAAAACAAAACAAAUGGCAUGUUCGGUUCAGUUGCAAAAAGCAAAAAAAAAAACAAAACAUUAUAUCCUAAUAAUAAGCUUGGAAAAAAAUGGACAUACCUCCCGGCGUUCUCUUUUGAGCUGUCGUUUCGAUUUCUUCUCCUGGACUAAGCUCGGAUGAGGCGCCUUCACGUCACUUUGCUUUAGGGAACGGCUCGGAGGAGGGCAUAGGAACUCCUUUUUUAUAGGCGCCAUCGACCGUUCUAUAAGCUCCUCCGAUGUCGCUUCGUACACACUGAACUGCUUCGUCGGCUUUGCAUCUCCUUCCGCCAGCUCAGCUACUACAUCGGACAUAGCUCCCUCGUCGCCGUACACAGAGAUGAACAGAGAGAGUGAUAUAAUGUUUUUAGGGUUUUAGAUAUUUCUACGGACGAGGGAGAUAUGUAAGACCCGGCCCGUUACAGUUUCCAGAUUGAAAUUCACGAAAUGCUUUUUAUUAGGCCUAAAAUGAGGCCCGGCCUGUUAACUACAGUUCAUAUAAAACUUAACAAUCAGAGGAGUAGGAUCCCAAAAGCACCAAACAAACAGAGAAUCUCUCUGUCUCAACCUCAAUCUCUUGACCCUCCCGCCAUUACAACCACAUUAUAUAUCUACCAUGAUCUGAAAUAUAACUGGAUUUCAUCUGUAAUAUACAUAAUAAUUCAACACACUGCACAUAGAUAAAAUAAAUAAAUAUACUGUUUGCCUAGUUGAUAUGCAACUCCAAUCCUUUGAUCCAGCCAACACCUCAACACCCGGUCUACUUGUCCAUUUUGCUGACAUGUUACCAUUCAGGUUCUGCUGGGACUGUGGCUCCUGUCUUAACUGGCUGAUGUUGAGUUGCUGGGAUAUGGUGAUGUCCAGACUGAGCAAGAUGAGAACAGGGGGAACGAUUAGAGACAAGCCGUAGUAGAUGAUCCGUUAGGGUGCGGUAUGGCUCUUGCCGUUAAAUGUCAGGUCAGAUACAUCAGAAGAGCGGAGAGAAUGAAGAACUGGUUAAAACCCAUUUGAGAUUUGAAGAAAUUGUAAAACAAAAUAUGACAAUCAUUAUUCACUAGACUGUUUUAUUAAUUACAUAAUAAACACAGAGACCAACCCAAAACCAUUUGCAUUAACUAGAACUAUGGACAAUAAAAAUAAAAUAAGAAUGGAACUAAACAAGCUUCAUUCGACCUCUGAACCUAAAAUGUUAAAACGAAAAAGAGAGAGAGAUAGAAAAAAAACAGAGAAAACAUACUUUGCCUACAUGAUCGUGAUGUAGCGAUUGGUGCCGUGCCUAGCCCAAUAAUCCUUGAGAUCAACGGGAGAGGAGAGGUCGUGGCCUUGCCCAGCUAAACGGCUAAGUAGCCUGGAGAAGACGUUUCCGCUCAUUUUCCUACCGCCCACUCGAGAAUGGCGCUUGUUUGGCAUCUGCGGAAGAGGAUACAGAGACAAAGUGGUAGUGCAGCAUGAUGAUUGCCACCCGCCGUUCCCCCAUUUGUAACAGUGACGAGCAGUACCAGUACAAGUGCACAUGGGCACUGGCAUUGUCGUCUCAUCGAAGGUGACAAGGUUUAAGCCGACAACGUUACUGUCCCAAUCUUUUCUGCAUUUCUUUCCAGGAGAAGCAACAUGAUGGUUCAGAUCUUCGCCUACUCUCUUUCUCUUUGACCUUGUUUCCGGUUUGCGCUUUUUUUUUCUUUUACUUGGCGCAGCUUCAUGUGGAAUAGUUGACAAUGGGGAAGGGUUUGGUAAGUGAGAGCUUUGGGAGGCACCGAGCUUUGCACGUGACAAAAUGUAGUUUAGAUUGUGUUCACGGAACUGAAGAGCACUUAAGGCACUGUCCCUCUCCAGAAUAGCAUUAUCUCUUAGAGAGAGAGCUUUGUCGCGUAGGUCAAGUGCUUCGUCCCGAGCGGCUAAAGCUUCCUGCUUGGCAGCCAGGGCGUCGUCUCUUUCCUUGAGGGCAGCGUCUCUCUCGGCAAGGAUGGACAUGAUCUUCUGAUUCAUGACCAGAGCAUUAUGUUGGUCCUCCUUUGUCUGAUGAUGAUUAGGCAUCGCAUUCCACUGUUAGAAAAAAAAAAAUAAUUCCCCGAUUAGCUUUCCAACCAAAGUAGUAAUAAAGAAUCAUAUUUAAAAAAAAAAAGAAGCUUACGACAGAGUGUGUUCCUUCUUUGUAGUAAUCGGGGUUGUAACGCCCAUUUUCAUACUGACCACCGCUCUCCAUCCUCUGACUUGAAAACCAGUAAAAGCAAAAUCAAGUAUUUGAUAUAUAAUAACAAAGCAGCAGAGCAGAAAUGGUCUUUGAAUACGGUUUCUAAUGAAUGAAUGUAGGGAUGGUGGAGCUCACAAUUAUUUACUACUUGUUGGAUAAGCAAGCAAUCAAUCCUGAAUCUAAGCUUUGGCUAUUUGAGAUCAUCCACAAUUUUCCCAUAAAGAAAAACAGUAUGACAUCCCAUGUAAGACUCUCUACAUCAACCCAAAAUUCAAACGAUUAGCUCUAAAUAACAGCAAAAAUAAGACUAUCUGAAAGAUACAUAUAACCAUCAAACAGUUUCAAUUUCAAGCUCCCAUAAUAAUCCAAAUUCGAAAGAAAAAAAAGAGAUAAUAAUUCAAAAUUGAGAAACGAAAGGUGAACAAUAGAUGUAUAUAUAUUCGGAUUAAGCAUAUCUAUGUGUAAGAAAAUUAUAAUAAAAUUGAUUGGAAGCCUUACGGAGAAAGGAGCGAAGGGAAUAGAGAGCAAAGAUCUCGGGAGGGAGGAGGGGGGGAGAAGGAGGAGGGAGGGAGGUUAGUAUCGUCUAUCUACAACAUUAUCUUGGAAAACGUGGGCCGAAGGGAGCCCAAAUAAUUAAGCCCAUAUUGAGUUGUCGCUUUGCUGCCUGGUGUUGUCUGGUCAUUAGAUAUCGAGAAUCGUUGGAAAUGUCAGCGUUCAGUGGAGAAUAGACAGCACCUUUCUUCGGCUUCUCCUGUACAUUCCAUUUUCACUGGCUAACGGACCUGCAUUUGAUUUCACUUUAGCCACCCUCUUCUCAACUGAAUCACACAUUCUUCAACAGCAGCAGCUUUAGAAUCUGAGAUUUGGCAUCUAUGGGUGUCAUGAGACCUGACUGAGUUGGUGAUGAAGUCUAUUGUCCCCGUUGAUCAUUGCCGUUAUCUUUCUGCUGGAAUGGCCAUUGGUAUCGUUGGCGAUGCUGGUGUCAGGUUAUCUGCAGACUUUUGGCGAUGCUGUUUGUUGAGAGAACUGAUCACAUCAUACACAUCAUACACACAAAUUUUUCAUAUUAUGUAAUGAGUUUUUCCAUAACAGAAGCUUGACUGUAACAGAUACAAAUAAAAACACUGAUUGAAAAAUAUAUGUUUUACACACAACGUUGGCUCCUUCAAAAUACCAGAAGAAAAGGACACAAAGAAGAUACAUAUUAUACACACUGUUACAAGAGUUAGAAAAGCAUAGGGAUGCUUUUUCUCCAGCUACGCCAUCUCUGAGCUGUCAAGAAGGAAGGAGGGGUGAAGGCCAGUCCAAACAUCUCCUUCAUGCCUCUCCCUUGCUCAGCGAACCUCACAAGCUUCCCUACAACAUCUGCGCUUUCCACAACCUGACUCAUGUCCUUGGGAUUGCUCCAAAGCUCGUUCACGAGUUGUAAACGCCUGCGUUUGGAGUUGACACCAAUCCCAAACUUGUGAUACAUUCUUCUCCUCUCUUCUCCUGAAAACCUUUUCCCCACCAGCUUGCUCAGCAUCAUUCUCUCCCCGUGAAGCGCCUUCCGGCUUUUACCAACCCCACGAAAGAAAAGAGUAAAUAAAUAUAAAUAAAUAAAAACACCAAAAAGAACGUGUAUCCAACCUUGAAGCCAGAGUUAAGGUUUCUCCUCCUUCCAAAGUUUGGUUUCCCUGAGAGAAGCGAGCUUUCAUAAACAAAAGUCUUCUUAGCUCAACCCCAAUGUAGAUUGAAUCAGCCUCAUCAUCUCCUUUGAAGAGCAAGUAGAAGUAUGUUCUAUGCACCAAAGAGACGUUACAGCUUUGCCAUAGCUCAACAAUCUCUCGCCGCUGUCUCUCAAAUUCCAUGUCCAUGAUAACCAGACCAAUAUCCCUCCCCAUUUUACCAGAAUCAUCAUCACCAAUCGACACCUGAUUGAAAAUUAGUUGUAAUCUAAGAAGAAGAACCGACUAGUAUAUAUAUAAGCUUACCUGGCCUUGACGCUUAGCCAUCUCCUUAAGACCAUCAACAAAAGUGCGGAUGCUAGUGAUACCUCCCUCUUCUCCCAAGGGCGUUCUGAUGCUCUGAGUCGCAGUGGAAUCGCUCCCGCAAGAAGACAGCGAAUCAUUCCUUGACACACUAGAACCCAACUCUAAACCAGAAAAUACUAUCUUCUUGUGACUCUCUUCUUCUGGUCUUUCUGUCCCUAUGUUUUCAGGUGGAGUGCUCGCGGUCUCUCUGCGGUUCCAGCUUCUCAACCUCACAUUUUGGCCUACACUAGCAUCCUCACUAGGGCCUAAAAUGUUCUUAGGUUCUGCUCUUUUUUCGUCUUUGUGGUUGACUGUAGCUGAUUCCUCAAUCUCAAUGCAUUGAACUUCUCUGCAAUAUUCUUCUGAUGGAUCUUCUGAACGCGUAGGCAGCUCUUCAUCAUCAUCAUCCUCAGAGUGAGACCCAACAUAAGCUCUUGUUAUUGAUGUCUGUGACACUGAACCAUCCUCCCACUUGUCAAUGUGCUGCGGAGUUCCACACUUCAACAGAGUAGAAGCAAAAAUAAUGUGAAUAUAUUUGUUGCAUAAAGUGAAAUUGUGGGAAAAAUAAAUACCUUUGAGGCCUCAUCGAGUUCAACCAUUCUCAUGAUAUCUUCAAGCCGGGAUUGAGCAAGAUCUCUGUCUUCUCUCAACUCUGCCAUCUCCUUUUCCAUCUGCAUUCAACAUUACACCUUAGGUUAGCAUUAACCCAGCCUGAAAAGGAGAUCUAUCAUAAGCACAAACCUUUUGUAUCUGAAGAUUCUUCUUCCUCACCGUCAUCGCACAAUCACAUUUCGAGGCAGGCGUGGCAGGGGUUCUCAGCUCGGUCUCGAGCCUCGCAAGCUCACGCUGUAGUUGCUGCAGCAGGGCCUUGUCUGACAUAACGACGUUGAUCCGGGCCUUUGUGGUAACUUCCUUUGCACAGCAAGCAAACAAGAGAGUGUUCCUCGUUAGCUCGACGUGACUCCUCGCUGGGCUCAGAGUGCAGAUGAUGGCAGUUCUUGAAUUCCCACCCAAGCAUGGCUGUAGAAUUCGUGUGAGCUUGGAGUCUCUAAAGUUGAUGUGCCCUUGCCUUCCCUUACUAUAUAGAUCGAUCACCCAGUGCUUAGACAAUUAAAGUUAAUCUACUAAGGAUGUAUUGUUUACACACCUAAGUUUACGGAUCACAGUUCCAAGAGUAAGCAAACUUCGGUUGAUAUGGCAGCCUUCCUUGAGCCUCGCACCAGCUGACAUCGCCUGUGAUGCACGCUCGCUUCCCGCCAGAUCUAUGAAAUUCUGCACGUUAAAGGAAGAAUAAUGAACAGAAAAACAUUAACACCCCAGGAUCCAACAUAAAAUAAAGGGUUGUUGAUGAGAGAGCAUACCACACUCGCCAUGAGGGUGGUGGAGUUUUCUUUGUCUAAGAACUCACGAGCAGAGCUUUCAACCGUCUAUAAAAAUACAUUCAAAAGCCAAAGCUAAGUAAAAGAGAAUCAUGGUAUCUUAAAUACAGUGAUAGAUAAAGAGUUUUAACCAGUCUAAUAAUCUGAUGAGAUCUGGAACUUCUCUCAUUCAGUGAGGUUUCACCAAUCUUACGUUGUGCUGCCAAAAAUUAUUGAGACAUUUAAGUUACAACAUUAAUCUGAAUAACAAUCUGAUUAUUAUUAUCAUAUACAUAUAUAUAUAUAUAUAUAUAUAUAUAUAUGGCUACUUCAUAGAAAUGCAAAGUGAUUUUUGACCUUCACAAACAGAUAGAAGGUCCUUGAGAUGGUUCCAAUCUCGCAGAGUUUCCUCUGUGGCUUUUUCAACCACUGUCCCUUUCUAGUAAGAACCAAGAAAGAACAAGAAGAUUCAGACAAAAUUUACAAAGCGCCAGUAAAGAAAUUUGACAUAAAAAAGUUUUACCUCAGGAUCGUCUCGUAGCCUAAGGGAUGUACCAUCGGAGCUGAGCAAAUCUCGGAUGGCCUCAUUGUAGAUCUCUAUAGCUGAAAAUUUAACGGAAAAUGCUCUUUCUUCAUGCUACAGACAGCAUCCAGAUUCAAUUAGUAUUGGGUGCAGCAGUCAGAAGAAAAAGAAAAAAAAAAAAAAGUUUGAUAUAUUGGAGAAGCAUGAUUGCCUGAAAAAUGUAGUUAAAAAUGUCAGCCACAGCAAACUCAGUGAUAGCAGACAUGGUGUAAGUCUUUCCGCUACUCGUCUGGCCGUACGCAAAAAUACUACCUGUCAAAAACGUUACAGUAAAAUUUGAAAAAGUGAGCAUUCAUCACCAAGAUAAGCAUAUUUGAAGGAAGAUUACGUACAAUUGAUUCCUUUGACAACAGAGAGAGCGAUGUCCUUGGUUCCAUUCUCGUAGACUUGUCUGGUGGAACAUUCACCUCCGUAUACUUUAUCUGUCACCACACCACAAAAAGGAAAUGGGAAUCUGAGUCUUACAUAGAGUAGAGAUGAAAGGGUGAGAGAUAUAAAGGUAGUUUGUCUUAGAAUAUCAAGACCAAAGUAGAGUUGAGUUCAUAUAAAAGGCUGUGGUGUCUACUGGUAAAAAUACAUCGAUCUGUCAUCUUAAAAAUGGACUAGAAAAAUAAGUUCAUAUUCACUGAUGCUGGUGAAUCUCAUUAUUAAGAUGAAAUGUGGGAUGCUUUACAGAAUCAGGAGGGCUACUACCUAUUUCGUUGGAAAAUCUAACCAGUAUAAGCUGUAUAGUUAGUUAAUUACCAAAAGAAUAAGCAGAAGGAAAGUUGGAGGAUUGGCGGAAGGUGUUUCUUCUGUACAAAAUGGUGGUAUCAUUGAGACAUUCCCAAUCCUCCGUAGGUUCGUUAGAGGCAAUCUCUUUCUGGUUAGGGGGCCUCAGUCUCACGAGAACCAGUAUCUUCUCAGACAUGUGUGCCUUUUCCAUAUUCCUUAUGGAUAUUGCUUCAACAAGUCAGCUACCAUAAACAUGAAACAUACCCCUAUAAAAUGAAAAGCAUUUUGUUCAGUGAACCAAAACACACACGAAAUAAAAGAGAGAAGACAAUGGGUGUUGUUGUUAUAAAUAAACACAAAAAGGCAGUUUAGUUUAGUUUAGUAAAGAAGGUGGCCAACCUCAACUGAAGAAAGAAAGAAAGAAAAGAGAUAACCGACUACUAUAUAUCUGUAAUGGUCACCCACUACGCUUUAAAAGACUUAAGGUAACGGUUUUUUUUUUUUUUGACUCAUCAACAACUUUCAUUAACCAAAGUGAAUACGGAAUUACAACCACACGAUUUUAACCCGACAUACAACGACGAGAUCUAGUAACACCUAAGAUCACUAAGAUGGAUCCUACGCUACCUAAUCGGAACGUCGUUGUAUUUUUCACCACAAUGAAUCGAGUUCAUCCCACAACUCGAGAUGAACCGACUCUUAACCACUAAACUAGACCACUAAAUUAGACCACGGUAACCGCAAACAACAAUGAACCAAGUAGAACCAAAGCCUCAUCUGAGUAUCAAUUCAAGCACAGACUAGUAAUCUCUAAUGAUAAGCAUUCAGCCCAUGAUCAAUAGUACCAACACCAAGGCGCAUAUCAGAUCAGUCCUGGACCACACCGGAGAUCGUUGCCACGGUUCAUAGCCAAAAACCGGUCAUAAAGACCGGACUGAAAGUCGGACCUUGACGGCAGCUGCGGGUUUGGUGUACCUAAUAGUGGCUUGAAGAAGCGCGGAGCUUGUACCACCGGAGCGAAAUACCUCCGACCCCGGCGCUGGGAUGUCAAGCUACGCCACACGUUUCCGACCAAGCCCACCACUCCGGUUGACAACUCCUUCAUAGUGAAGCUCGACGCGCGUAAUCCCCGAGAACCGGAGACCAAACUUCUGAUCACCACCCUUCGUAAAAUCUCCUCCAGCCAAACACCACCGCUCUGGGAAGUGGAUCUAUGGCAGAUGAGGCGUCUCACCGUAGCCACGCGCCGCCGCCGUGAAGAUUACCCGGAGAUCUGUAAAUGAGAAAACCAGAUACGGUUUUCUUCAGUCCUAAAAGCCGACUCCUCUCUUCACCGCCACACCUUGGGUCUCGCCGUCUCUCCACGAGGUCUCGGGAACCGCCUCCGUCGAACAANNNNNNNNNNNNNNNNNNNNNNNNNNNNNNNNNNNNNNNNNNNNNNNNNNNNNNNNNNNNNNNNNNNNNNNNNNNNNNNNNNNNNAAUAGGUGUAGCCUUUGACGAACAUACCCUCCUUAGCCUCUUCAGACUCGCCUUCUCCGGUGUAUUUUCCAAGCUGAGCCAACGAGUUGGCCUUGGCACGAGCCAAGAGAGUGGUCUGAGCAGCGUUCACGUUCUCAGCUCUGCCUCCCCAUGUUUUCAGACAAGUGUUCUGGAGAGCACGUGCGUAGGAGAAGGACACGUGCCAUGGGUUUGGUGCCUGGUUCAUCGCGUUGAGGUUCAACGUUGCCUCCAACUCAGACUGUCCUCCGGACAAGAACUGCACAAAAAAAGAAAACACAAACAACUUUACUUCCACCACAAGAAACCAAGAUCUAGGUUUUCCUCAUUAAUAACAAAACUCAUUUUCUUAUAGAAUAAAGCUUGCCAUGAUUCCGGGGACGGCAGGAGGGAUUCUGUUGCGGAGGAGCUUAAGGGUGUAGGCGGCAACUUGUUCAGGAGUAGCUCUGUCUUUAGACUCGGCUCCGGGAGUCACCAUGCUCGGCUUCAGGAGGAUACCUUCAAACAUGACAUUGUUCUGAGCAAGGUAAAAGAAAACCUCAGCCCAAACCUUCUCUGCUACUUCGUAAGUCCUGUCAAUGUCGUGUUCUCCGUCCAACAAUAUCUCUGGCUCCACUAUUGGAACCAAUCCACUGUCCUGAAUAGACAAAUUAAACACAAAACACAAUCUGCGUGUGAAAUAAUAGCUUUAAAAGAAUCCGAGUUGACCUGUUGCUUGAAAGAGAAGCAAUGUGUGUUUACUUGUGAAAUGGCAGCGUAUCGGGCAAGGCCCCAAGCAGCUUCUUUAACAGCUAGAGCAGACGGACCAUUGGGAAUGCUCACGACAGUACGCCUAAUUAAACCAUCAAGAGUACAAAAGUCAAAGAAAAAACUCAGCCGAGAGGAAACAUUUUGGAUAGGAACAGAGGGUACUAUACCAUUUGGCGAAACGAGCACCCUGUUGAUAGUAAGCAGCAGUUCGGGAGGAUAGACCAUCGAGCCCUUGGCACCAUGACUCAUUGUUAGAUCCAACAAGUGGGACCAAACCCUACUUCCAUAAAUAGAUACAACUCGCUUAGCUUCCUCUAAUCAAGGAAAAAUAAAUACCUUUGAGGCCUCAUCGAGUUCAACCAUUCUCAUGAUAUCUUCAAGCCGGGAUUGAGCAAGAUCUCUGUCUUCUCUCAACUCUGCCAUCUCCUUUUCCAUCUGCAUUCAACAUUACACCUUAGGUUAGCAUUAACCCAGCCUGAAAAGGAGAUCUAUCAUAAGCACAAACCUUUUGUAUCUGAAGAUUCUUCUUCCUCACCGUCAUCGCACAAUCACAUUUCGAGGCAGGCGUGGCAGGGGUUCUCAGCUCGGUCUCGAGCCUCGCAAGCUCACGCUGUAGUUGCUGCAGCAGGGCCUUGUCUGACAUAACGACGUUGAUCCGGGCCUUUGUGGUAACUUCCUUUGCACAGCAAGCAAACAAGAGAGUGUUCCUCGUUAGCUCGACGUGACUCCUCGCUGGGCUCAGAGUGCAGAUGAUGGCAGUUCUUGAAUUCCCACCCAAGCAUGGCUGUAGAAUUCGUGUGAGCUUGGAGUCUCUAAAGUUGAUGUGCCCUUGCCUUCCCUUACUAUAUAGAUCGAUCACCCAGUGCUUAGACAAUUAAAGUUAAUCUACUAAGGAUGUAUUGUUUACACACCUAAGUUUACGGAUCACAGUUCCAAGAGUAAGCAAACUUCGGUUGAUAUGGCACCCUUCCUUGAGCCUCGCACCAGCUGACAUCGCCUGUGAUGCACGCUCGCUUCCCGCCAGAUCUAUGAAAUUCUGCACGUUAAAGGAAGAAUAAUGAACAGAAAAACAUUAACACCCCAGGAUCCAACAUAAAAUAAAGGGUUGUUGAUGAGAGAGCAUACCACACUCGCCAUGAGGGUGGUGGAGUUUUCUUUGUCUAAGAACUCACGAGCAGAGCUUUCAACCGUCUAUAAAAAUACAUUCAAAAGCCAAAGCUAAGUAAAAGAGAAUCAUGGUAUCUUAAAUACAGUGAUAGAUAAAGAGUUUUAACCAGUCUAAUAAUCUGAUGAGAUCUGGAACUUCUCUCAUUCAGUGAGGUUUCACCAAUCUUACGUUGUGCUGCCAAAAAUUAUUGAGACAUUUAAGUUACAACAUUAAUCUGAAUAACAAUCUGAUUAUUAUUAUCAUAUACAUAUAUAUAUAUAUAUAUAUAUAUAUAUAUGGCUACUUCAUAGAAAUGCAAAGUGAUUUUUGACCUUCACAAACAGAUAGAAGGUCCUUGAGAUGGUUCCAAUCUCGCAGAGUUUCCUCUGUGGCUUUUUCAACCACUGUCCCUUUCUAGUAAGAACCAAGAAAGAACAAGAAGAUUCAGACAAAAUUUACAAAGCGCCAGUAAAGAAAUUUGACAUAAAAAAGUUUUACCUCAGGAUCGUCUCGUAGCCUAAGGGAUGUACCAUCGGAGCUGAGCAAAUCUCGGAUGGCCUCAUUGUAGAUCUCUAUAGCUGAAAAUUUAACGGAAAAUGCUCUUUCUUCAUGCUACAGACAGCAUCCAGAUUCAAUUAGUAUUGGGUGCAGCAGUCAGAAGAAAAAGAAAAAAAAAAAAAAGUUUGAUAUAUUGGAGAAGCAUGAUUGCCUGAAAAAUGUAGUUAAAAAUGUCAGCCACAGCAAACUCAGUGAUAGCAGACAUGGUGUAAGUCUUUCCGCUACUCGUCUGGCCGUACGCAAAAAUACUACCUGUCAAAAACGUUACAGUAAAAUUUGAAAAAGUGAGCAUUCAUCACCAAGAUAAGCAUAUUUGAAGGAAGAUUACGUACAAUUGAUUCCUUUGACAACAGAGAGAGCGAUGUCCUUGGUUCCAUUCUCGUAGACUUGUCUGGUGGAACAUUCACCUCCGUAUACUUUAUCUGUCACCACACCACAAAAAGGAAAUGGGAAUCUGAGUCUUACAUAGAGUAGAGAUGAAAGGGUGAGAGAUAUAAAGGUAGUUUGUCUUAGAAUAUCAAGACCAAAGUAGAGUUGAGUUCAUAUAAAAGGCUGUGGUGUCUACUGGUAAAAAUACAUCGAUCUGUCAUCUUAAAAAUGGACUAGAAAAAUAAGUUCAUAUUCACUGAUGCUGGUGAAUCUCAUUAUUAAGAUGAAAUGUGGGAUGCUUUACAGAAUCAGGAGGGCUACUACCUAUUUCGUUGGAAAAUCUAACCAGUAUAAGCUGUAUAGUUAGUUAAUUACCAAAAGAAUAAGCAGAAGGAAAGUUGGAGGAUUGGCGGAAGGUGUUUCUUCUGUACAAAAUGGUGGUAUCAUUGAGACAUUCCCAAUCCUCCGUAGGUUCGUUAGAGGCAAUCUCUUUCUGGUUAGGGGGCCUCAGUCUCACGAGAACCAGUAUCUUCUCAGACAUGUGUGCCUUUUCCAUAUUCCUUAUGGAUAUUGCUUCAACAAGUCAGCUACCAUAAACAUGAAACAUACCCCUAUAAAAUGAAAAGCAUUUUGUUCAGUGAACCAAAACACACACGAAAUAAAAGAGAGAAGACAAUGGGUGUUGUUGUUAUAAAUAAACACAAAAAGGCAGUUUAGUUUAGUUUAGUAAAGAAGGUGGCCAACCUCAACUGAAGAAAGAAAGAAAGAAAAGAGAUAACCGACUACUAUAUAUCUGUAAUGGUCACCCACUACGCUUUAAAAGACUUAAGGUAACGGUUUACUAAUCUAAACAUUGUUAAAUCGAAAAUGUAUUCUAGACAUUUGAAAAGUGACUUAGAUUUUUAUAAUAUUCUAGCUAGUGACCCGCAAAGAAAGAAAGAAAAAGAAGAGCCACCGGAGCGAAAUACCUCCGACCCCGGCGCUGGGAUGUCAAGCUACGCCACACGUUUCCGACCAAGCCCACCACUCCGGUUGACAACUCCUUCAUAGUGAAGCUCGACGCGCGUAAUCCCCGAGAACCGGAGACCAAACUUCUGAUCACCACCCUUCGUAAAAUCUCCUCCAGCCAAACACCACCGCUCUGGGAAGUGGAUCUAUGGCAGAUGAGGCGUCUCACCGUAGCCACGCGCCGCCGCCGUGAAGAUUGCCCGGAGAUCUGAAAAUGAGAAAACCAGAUCCGGUUGUCUUCAGUCCUAAAAGCCGACUCCUCUCUUCACCGCCACACCUUGGGUCUCGCCGUCUCUCCACGAGGUCUCGGGAACCGCCUCCGUCGAACAACAUCGUCUUCGGAGUUUCUCGAUCUUGCAGAGAAGAUUGCAUAUCAACUAAGGGGAGACGAGAAGAAGAGGAGCAAAGAACAAAAGAGGAAGGGUUAGAGAUGGACGCCUCCGGCUACCGACGAGCGGCGGCCGGAGCUAGGUUAGGGUUUUCUUAAAGGAACGCUAGAGAGAAAAGAGAGCGUAGGAGAGAGAGUUUUUAAUCUUCAGUAAGAGGUAACGGUUUACUAAUCUAAACAUUGUUAAAUCGAAAAAGUAUUCUAGACAUUAGAUUUUUAUAAUAUUCUAGCUAGUGACCCGCAAAGAAAGAAAAAAAGAAGAUAAUAACUUUUGAGUUUAGUAUUAAUAAUAUAUAAGUCUCCUUCAUCAGUAGAGAGACGACAUUGUCAGACAGAAAUGCGCGUUUUUAAGGUAUAUGAGAGAGAGAGAGAGAGAUUCGAGUUUAGUGUAACAAACAAAACAGAACGCAGAAGGUAAGUGAGAGUUGUCUUCUUCUUACAGAAACGAAGAUUCAAACAUGGUGAGAGAGAGAUACCUCGGAAUCGGGUGAGGACUGGAGACAAAAAAAAAACAAAUAUAUUUAUUUAGCAGCCAGCCCAGUCCACUCUCUGCUACUGAUUUGGUUCUUCUUCUUCUUCUUCAGUUUGCAUUUCCUCUCUCUCUCUCUCUCUCCCCGUCUGGAGGGACCACUAGACCGAUCGGCAUUGAUUUGGUCCCGCAGAUCACCGGCUUCUCUUUCUCUCCCGAGAGCUUGAGGGGGAGUGACGUGACAAAUCUUGUUAAUGACCUUUUUGACCUUCGACAUCUUACUGCCACGUCGACGUCCCUACGUUGGGCUUAUAUUCAGCGAGCCUACUUCCUGAAAUGAAUGGAUAUUUAUUGGGCUUUACAAACAAGUAUAUUGGGUAUUAGUUAUAUGUAGCCCAAUUAGUCUUUCAUUAUGUCAUUGUGUCUGCAUGCAUGCAUCUGGAAUUUUAUAGAUUAACGUAUAGGUAGUAGUAUAGAGUUACGAAUAAUAAUGUUCUGAGACCACCGUGAGCAUCCAAGUGGUCCGGAUACAUAACAUAAUCAUCUAUAUACAGAGAUAACUUCAUCAAUACAAUAUAUAUAUAUAUAUAUAUAUAUAUAUCAGAAAAAAAAAACAAAAACUUAUUAGGAGUAGCUAAUGCAAAUUAACCAGACAAAAUAAAAUGUUUUUGACAUAUUUAUAAGGACAACCCAACUCAAAUACAGAUGCAAUCAAAACAUAAUCUGCCUUCGUCUCCAAUUUCUUUUUUUUUUGCUAAAUAUGUUAAUUUUCAUUAGAUGAAAGGUUCAGUUAUACAUCAGUACAGCUGAGGCUUAAGCUACCAAGGCAAAAAAAGGUAAAAACAAGGCAGCAGAAAGAUCAAUGACAAGCAAAUAAAGAAGAUGAAGUCAAGACAACCAGAGGGACAUGAGUCCCCUGAAGUUUUUCCUAUGUCGUCUGGCUGUGAUGGAGUUUCGGGUCUCCUUGUCGAUGAGUCUGAAGACGGCUUGAACUGGAAGAGAGAUGCUGUUGUGGAGGACGUUGUUGCGCUGCUUCCAGAGGUGGUAAAUGGUGAUUUGAGCGACAAGCUGCCUGAGAGUCAACGGGCAGCGGGAAGAGGAGUAUCGGAUCCAAGACAUCAACUCAGCCCAAGAAAGGAAGUUGCGAGAGCACCCAAGCCUUGAGAGCACUAAUGACCAGACCACUGCACUGUAAUCGCAAGUGAUGAGCAGAUGUUCCCGGGUUUCCUCAGAGGAGUUACAGAGGCAGCAGAGCGGAGAGAUAUGUGGAGACCAUCUCGCAAUUCUUGAUCUAGUGGGGAGUCGGUUGAGGUGUGCAACCCACAUAUUAAAAGCAAAUUUUGGGAUUGCUCCUUUGAACCAAAUAGAGGGAGCCCAUGGUUUAAUAGUAUCUGAAGGCCUUAAGCUUUCCCAUGUUUUUGCAGCAGAGUAUCCAUGGGCAUCAGCUCCGUCUAUGAUCCAGUUGACCGCAUCGUCUUCAGCAAUAGGAUCCGGGACCGGGAUGGUUGUGAGGUAUAUGUGGAGAGAUAGCGAGUUAUCAGAUCGUGGGGAAGGUAGGCUCCAGUGCUCCCCAUCACACACCUCAGAAACAGAAGCAUUUAAAGGGACCCUGAGCAGCCUAGGGCCACCUUCACCGAUAAAAGUUAACAAGCUCCCAAAGGGGGUCCACGGGUCGAACCAGAAACUGGUAUUCUUUCCAUUUUGAAUGGUGAACUUAAUAAACCUUUCAGCAAGGUGUUUCAGACCCAACAAAGCAUUCCAAGUCCAAGAUUGCGAUGGCUUUUGCUCCAAUGCCCAGAUGCUACUCUCCCUUAUGUGAUGGUGCUUGUGCCAUUUUACCCAUAGUGAUUGACUGUUAGACAAGAGCAGCCAAUAGUACCUGAGAGAAAGGACUGUGUUCCAAGAGGAGAACCUUCUGAGCCCAAGGCCCCCUUCGCUUUUGGGCAGACAACAAAUUUUCCAAGAAACCUUAGUUCCAUAGCCUGUUUCGAUAUCUCCAGUCCAGAGGAAUCGACUGCAUAGAGAUUCAAUGCGGCUGAUACACCCCUUUGGCAAGAUAAAGGUUGACAUCCAGAAGAUUACCAGACCCGCAAUAACAGUACGAAUAAGCUCUACUCUGCCUGCAAAAAUAAGAGUCUUUGUUCCCCACGCUUUGAACCUCUUUGCAACUUUGUCAAUCAGAUCAGCAUACUCAGAGAUUUUUAGCCUUCUAGACAUAAGGGGAAGACCCAAGUAUCUUAUAGGGAGCGAUCCAGGUGUGAACCCAUACCUCAUUAUAGAUGUUGAUUCUGCCUCGUUUAAUCCCGCAUGAAACAGGUGAGUCUUGGAUUGAUUCAUUUUCAGGCCCGACCAAGAUGCAAAAUCAUGGAGUGCUUCUGUGAUUCCAUGGAGUGAAGAUUCCCCACCGUCAAAAAAUAUCAUAAUGUCAUCUGCAAACAUCAAGUGGGAGAUACCUAGCUCCUCCGUUUUGGGGUGGUAAGCUAUGUAUCCCGCCUGGAAUCUCGAGUCUAACAGCCUAGAUAAGACCUCCAUAGCCAAAACGAAGAGAUAAGGGGACAGCGGGUCCCCUUGUCUUAGACCUUUACUACUUCGGAAGUAACCAUCAGAAGAUCCAUUUAGCGCGACCGAGAAGGACGGGGUGGUGAUGCAUUGUUUGAUCCAGGCUACAAAGAUCUGAGGGCAUCCAAUUGCCUUCAGCGUAGCAAGCACAAAAUCCCACCUGACAGAGUCAAAAGCUUUCUUUAAGUCAACUUUUAGCAUUGCUUUCCUCUCCACGUUAUUUCGGUUGUAGCCAUGGAUGAUCUCCGUUGCUAGCAGGACAUUUUCACCCAAGAGUCUGCCCGGGAUGAAAACAGAUUGAGAGUAAGAGAUGACCGACGAUAGGACCUUCUUGAGUCUGUUCGCUAGGAGCUUAGCAAUAACCUUGUACAGAGUAUUUAAACAGGAUAUAGGCCUAAAGUCUGUCAUUGAUUCCGCGUUGGGCACUUUUGGGAUAAGAACCAGAGUUGUUGCAUUCCAUUGAUUGAGGAGGUUUCCGGUUCUGAAAAAUUCAGCAACUGCUUUUGUUACUUCCGGCCCGACAAUAGUCCAGCAAGCAGUGAAGAACUCUGCGGAGAACCCAUCAGGGCCGCUAGUCUUAUUACGAGGGAGGCUGAAAAAAGCGUCUUUAAUAUCUUGGGCUGAGAACUGCUUUCCUAGUUCAGCUGCCUCAGGAGCCGAGCAUCUGAAAGGCAUAAGGAGGUCGAUGUCCUGUUGGAGGAAGGUUUGCUGAUCUGAGGUGUCAUUAAGGAGGUUGGAGAAGUAUUCGACAGAGUGUCUAUGAAUGGCUUCUUGAGAUUGUAUCCUUGAUCCGUCAGCAGCUGUCAAAUAAUGAAUGUGGUUCACGGACUUUCUGGUUGCCACCAUACGAUGGUAGAAAGCCGUGCUGCUGUCGCCGACUGAGAGCCAAUUUCACAGCAUCAUUAAUUAUUCUCUUCAAUAGGUGUAGCCUUUGACGAACAUACCCUCCUUAGCCUCUUCAGACUCACCUUCUCCUGUGUAUUUUCCAAGCUGAGCCAGCGAAUUGGCCUUGGCUCUAGCCAAUAGAGUGGUCUGAGCUGCGUUCACGUUCUCAGCUCUGCCUCCCCAUGUUUUCAAACAUGUGUUCUGCAGGGCACGUGCGUAGGAGAAGGAUACAUGCCACGGGUUUGGUGCUUGGUUCAUCGCGUUCAGGUUCAACGUUGCCUCCAAUUCAGACUGUCCUCCCGACAAGAACUGCAAAACCAAAACAAAACAAAACAAAAAAAACUUUACUUCCACCACCUCAAGCAACCAAGAUCUAGGGUUCUCAUCAUAAGCAAUUUCCAUCAAAUCAAGCAAUAUUUUGAUUUUUAUAGAUAUUUUUACACUAUGUAAAGUGAAGAGAGAGGAAUAGAGCUUGCCAUGAUUCCGGGGACGGCCGGAGGGAUUCUGUUGCGGAGGAGUUUAAGGGUGUAGGAGGCAACUUGUUCAGGAGUAGCUCUGUCUUUAGACUCAGCUCCGGGAGUCACCAUGCUCGGCUUCAGGAGAAUACCUUUGUACAAGAUGUUGAUAUUUUAACACAACUUGAUAAUAUAAGAUAAGCAGCUCCAUAUACUUAGCUAGUAACACCUUCAAACAUGACAUUGUUCUGAGCAAGGUAAAAGAAAACCUCAGCCCAAACCUUCUCUGCUACUUCGUAAGUCCUGUCAAUGUCGUGUUCUCCGUCCAACAAUAUCUCUGGCUCCACUAUUGGAACCAAUCCACUGUCCUGA
Molecule: long non-coding RNA, 222499 nt
Filed under: Brassica napus (rape)
Lineage: Eukaryota; Viridiplantae; Streptophyta; Magnoliopsida; Brassicales; Brassicaceae
Description: long non-coding RNA (BNAP_LNC000012)
Rfam family: MIR9563 microRNA precursor family (bases 195098-195215)
Source: RNAcentral